RNAcentral lists this long non-coding RNA (200155 nucleotides) under Malus domestica (apple). Its description in RNAcentral is "long non-coding RNA (MDOM_LNC010067)". The record is from RNAcentral. Lineage: Eukaryota; Viridiplantae; Streptophyta; Magnoliopsida; Rosales; Rosaceae.
GGAUAGGCUGGCGCUGCUUGCCAUCAAAGCUCAAAUAAAGCAAGAUCUCCAUAAUUACAACGUGAUGAGCUCCUGGAACGAAUCCACGCACUUUUGCAUGUGGCAUGGUGUGACGUGCAGUCGACGACAUCGCCAAAGGGUCACUAACCUGGACCUGCAAUCUCAAAAUCUGGUAGGGAACCUAUCCCCAAACAUUGGAAAUCUAAGUUUUUUAAGGGAGCUGUGGCUGCGAAAUAACAGCUUCAGUCAUGAAAUUCCUCCACAAAUUGGGAAUUUGCGUAGAUUGCAUGUAUUGCGAUUAGAUGUUAACUCGUUUAGUGGUAGUAUUCCACACAAUAUAUCACAUUGCUUCAACCUUAUCCUUGUGAAUUUCACUCGCAACAAGUUGGUGGGUAAAAUUCCUUCAGAAUUUGGAUUGCUAUCGAAGCUGCAACAUUUUUCAUCAAAUGUUAAUAAUGUAACGGGACAGGUCCCUCUUUCCUUGGGCAACCUUUCGUCUCUCCAGAGACUAAGUCUUGUUAGUAAUAACUUGAUGGGAAACAUCCCCAGUUCUCUUGGCCAAUUGAAAAAAUUAACCUUCUUGGCAUUGGGGUUAAAUCAGUUGUCUGGUAGCAUCCCUUCCUCCAUUUAUAACCUUUCUUCUCUUGUUACAUUUUUCAUAGGAGGUAACCAAAUUCAAGGGAGUAUUCCAUCAGAUAUUGGCAAAAGUCUUCCUAAUCUCGGAGUCUUCGACGUCGGCUCAAACCAAUUUACCGGGUCCAUUCCUCCCUCAAUAUCCAAUAUCACAAGUGUUUGGUCAUUUGAAGUUGGGCCAAACAACCUAAUCGGACAGGUACCGAAUCUCCAAAAGCUUCACAACCUCCUGUAUUUCAACAUUCAAUUUAAUAAUAUUGGAAGCGGUAAAGAUGGUGACUUAAGUUUUCUCUCGGACUUGGCCAAUGCCACCAAGUUAGAAUGGUUGGUUAUUAGCGACAACAAUUUUGGAGGGACAUUGCCCAUGUCAAUAUCCAAUCUCUCAACCAAACUUGAAAUGUUUUGGGUUGGCAGUAACCAAAUAUAUGGAAGCAUCCCAUCUGGGAUAGGGAAUCUGGUGAGCUUGCAAUCGUUGCCCUUCGGGAUUAAUAGCUUCACAGGUAACAUUCCCUCUGACAUCGGCAAGCUUUCAAACCUUGAAGCAUUACAAAUUUCCAUGAACAAAUUAUCUGGAAAUAUUCCGUCUUCCGUAAGAAAUUUAACCAAGUUAUACUAUCUUGCGCUGGAUGGAAAUCAUCUUGAGGGCAGCAUUCCUUCAGGUCUGGGGGAAUGCCAUGGGUUGCAAUUGUUGAAUCUUUCUUAUAACCUCCUAAAUGGCACAAUACCAAAACAAGUUUUUAGACUCUCCUCCUUAUCGAUUUCUUUGGACUUGUCUAAUAACCUCUUCACAGGUUCCCUUCCCCCGGAGGUUGGGAAUUUCCAGAGUCUAAGUGAACUUUAUCUUUCUGAUAACAUGUUAUCUGGAGAACUCCCCAGUAGCCUUGGUGGUUGUGAGAGUUUAGAAGUCCUGCAUUUGCAAGGAAACUUUUUCAACGGGUCCAUUCCUUUGUCUAUGAGUUCAGUGAGAGCAAUUCGAGAUCUAGACCUUUCUCGCAAUAAUUUUUCAGGGGAAAUUCCACAUUUUUUAGAAGGUUUUAGAUUCUUGAAUAAUCUGAACUUAUCAUUCAAUCAAUUUUGGGGAGUGGUACCAACUGGAGGUGUUUUCAAAAAUGCGAGUGCUAUUUCAGUUGUUGGCAAUACUAAUCUGUGCAGCCCUGUUGAUAAUUUAAAGCUUCCCAAGUGCAAGUCUAAAGAGACCAAGAAACGAAGAUUGUCUCGUAGCUUGAAACUAAUACUCCCUUUAGUAUUUGGACUUACUCUUCUAGGAAUAGCCAUGGUGUUCUUCUAUUUCUUUCUUUGUUCGUCAAGGAAGAAAAAGAAAGAAAUUUCAUUGAGCACUUUGGGGAACACUAUUUUGCAAGUGUCAUAUGCUACUCUACUCAAAGCUACUGACGGGUUCUCAAAGGCUAAUUUAAUUGGUGCUGGUAGUUUUGGGUAUGUGUACAAAGGAGUUCUUGAUGAGGAUGAUAAAUCUCAACUUGUUGCCGUGAAGGUGUUUAACUUGUUACGCCAUGGAGCUUCGAGGAGUUUCAUAGCCGAAUGUGAAGCUUUGAGAAAUAUUAGGCACCGAAAUCUUGUCAAGAUUAUAACCGUGUGUUCAAGUGUUGAUUUUCAUGGUAAUGAUUUCAAGGCUCUAGUUUAUGAGUUCAUGAACAACGGGAGCUUAGAAGAGUGGCUGCGUCCACCUACUGGAACUGAAGAGUUAAGAGAUCAUAUACCCAAGAAGUUAAGUCUUCUUCAUAGGCUAGAAAUUGCCAUUGGUGUUGCUUGUGCACUGGAUUAUCUUCAUAAUCAUUGUGAAACGCCAAUAGUUCAUUGUGAUCUCAAGCCAAGCAACGUUCUCUUGGACAACGAAUUGACUGGCCAUGUUUCUGACUUUGGAUUAGCAAGGUUUCUCUCACAAGUAACGAGUAAUGUUUCAGCAAUUCAGAGUCAGACAAGUUCCGUUGGAAUAAAAGGAACGGUUGGUUAUGCAGCUCCAGGUAUACAUAUGUUAGAUAUAUACUUCAUUAUAUUUCCUUUUUUAUUUUGUAGUAUUUAAUUUACAAAAUUCAAACUGAACUUUUUAUACACAAAUGUGAUGUUUGAAUUGUAGAGUAUGGCAUGGGGAGUGAGGUGUCAACGAACGGUGAUGUCUACAGCUUUGGCAUUCUCUUGUUGGAGAUGUUUACAGGGAAGAGACCCACUGACAACAUGUUUGGUGAUAGCUUGAACCUUCAUAACUUUGUCAAGAUGGCUCUCCCCGAGCGAGUUAUUGAGAUUGCAGAUGCACCACUUCUUGAAGGAGGCACGAACGACAAUCCCAAUCAAUGCAGUGCAAGAAUUCAUAAAGUUGAGGUGUGCUUGAGUUCAAUAUUUAGAAUUGGAAUUGAUUGUUCUGCUGAAUCCCCAACAGAUCGACUAAAGAAUAUCAAUGAUGCUGCAUCUGAACUUCAUUCAAUUAGGAAUACUUUUCUUGGGUAGAAACUCUUUUUUAUGUGCUUUUGUAAUAAGAGAAAUUUCGUUUACUGCCUAUGAAGUCUAGCUUUUACGUUACCGCAGUAGAUGUGGAAGUUUGCAAUGUAAAUAAUCACCAAUGAGGUUUGUUGUGUGAAGAUUGUAUUCCUACUUUUUGUACUUGGUAUUUUUGUGUAAUAUUCUCAUCAAUUAAAGUCUAGUUCGUGCCACAAAAUUGUUGAAUAUUCACAUUGACAGAUUCCAAAUUUUUGAAAGAUUCAUAACCUGAAGAGCCUCAACAUUCACAAAAUUAUCUUGAAAGCUGUAAAGAUGGUGAGUUGAGUUUCCUAUCAGACUUGACCACCAUCAAUGUAAUGUGUUUUCGAAAAUGAAAGUGCUAUUUCAAUUGUUGACAACACUAGAUUAUGCACGGCAAUUCCUAAUCUCAAGUUGCCCAAUUGCAAGUCUAAAGAGCUCCAAGAAAAGAAGAUUAGCUUAUUGCUUGAAAUUAAUAAUCCCUUUCUCAAAGGCCACUGAUCGGUUUUCUUCAGCUAAUUUGACAAUAAAGCUCGGCUUGUACUUGUAGCUAUGAAGGUGUUUAACAUGUUACGUCAUGGAGCAUCAAAGAGUUUCAUAGCCGAAUAUGAGGCUUUGAGAAAUAUCAAGCAUCAAAAUUCGUCAAGGUCAUAUCUGCAUGUUUUCUCGAUGAUGAUUUCAAGGCUCUAGUUUAUGAGUUGAUGCACCAAAGGAGUUUAGAGGAGUGGUUGCAUGAUUUGCAUCCACCUCCUGUAAUUGAAGAGGUAAGAGAUCAAUACAACCAAGAAUUAAUAUCUUCUUCAAAGGCUACAUAUUGUUAUUGGUGUUGCUAUUGUGCAUUGGAUUAUUUUCAUAACCAUAGCGAAUGGUCAUUUUUUGUAGAAUUUUAACCCCAUUUUAAAGCCCAUGGGCUAUGAAAAAUCAAGGUUGUCUAGCAUUGUUGCUAUAAUUAUUCGCCCAUGUGCAUUCUGAAUUCAAAUCCAAUAGUUUUAGUAGUCGUUCUAUCAAUCUUGACAAUAAAAGAGUAUUUAUUUUAUUUUUUCAAACAAAUAGUAUUAUUUCCACUAAGGGGAAGGGGAUAGGCUUAGCCUCACAAUGAUGUAGUUCAAAUUCGUAUUUGGCAAUAAUCGAACAUAAAAUUUAUCAGUUACAAGUUAAGAAAAUACCAUUAGACCGUAGUACUAAGUGGCAUAAAAGAGUUUCUAUUAAACCAGUAAAAUGAAAAUUCUCAACCAUUCAUUAAUGGAUUUGAAUUUAGAUUUAUUACAAUUGAUAGAUACUUUUUUUGGGCAAUCAAUAGGAUACUAACAAAUUUGUUUUUAGAACAAAGAUAUGUCACGAUAAUGUGACUUAAAGCUGUGUCAUUGGCCUUUUCACUUAUUGCCCUAUCUUUAACGCACUCCAAUUAAUAUCGUCCACUAAUAUUAGUAUUUAAUGAAUCUCAUCAUAAAUUGUUACCCAAAAUAUUAAUUAUCAAAGCAAAUAAACUUGAUUGAGUUUUAAAUUUUUCGUGACUAACUCCCAAAUAAUUCUCGUUACCAAGCAAAUUAAAUACCUUUAAUUAAAAGCUUAAAAACUUUUUAAUUAUUACCUCUCUAUUUUGCUUUUGCAAUCACGAGCGUACAAUAUUAUAGGAAUAUUUUUGUUCUUCACACUCAAAUGAUGGUAAUGCUCACUACCUUAUUUAUCACCAUUAUAUGAGUUUAAUAUCUUGGAUAGACAAUUAUCAAAAUUUAAACUCAUCCAACGGUAAUAAAUAAGGUGGUAAGCAUUACCACCACUUGAGGAUGUUGAAUAAAAAUCGCCCCAAUAAUAUUAGUUAAGUUAGUUGGUGUGGUAAUUGGUCUUUAGCAAGCUUCUUAUAGAAAAAAGAAGAAUCUGAGUACUUUGGCUGUUUUGCAGAAGAAAAAGAAAGAAAGGGGCAUUUGAUGUUUGGACAGAUAUUAUGGCUGUUUGGAUGAAAUUAUUUAUUAUGGCUGUCUAUGACAAUGAGAAAUUUGAUUCUUCUAGUUGUAGCUAGUCCCGUUUUCUAUGUUUAUUUGCUUUCUUAUAUGAUGGAAUGGCGUUUUACCAUGAGAUUGAAUGGUUUUUUAUUUGGUUCUUUGUUUAGUUUGAACUAGAAAAAUUGCCCACGCGCUGCUGUGGGUUUUGAAACCAUAAUGCAGAACAUACUACGAAUAUUUUCGACAGAAAAAGACACAAAUUAUUUAGAUUCAGUUCACUUCACAUCAACAUAGUGUGCAUAAUGAAGAGAGCGUAUAUUUGAAAGUUUGAAUUAAUGAAACAUAAAAAAAGGUCGUACCCAGUGCACAAGGCUCCCGCUUUACGCAGGGUUUGAGAGAGGUAAAUGUCGGCUAGCCUUACCCCCAUUUAUAGAGAGGCUGCUCCCAAGUCUCGAACCCGAGACCUACCGCUCAUGGGCGAAGGCACUUGCCAUCGCACCAAGUGCAACCUCUUUGAAUUAAUGAAACAUGCAACAACGAAAUAUAAUGUUUUUUAUCCCCCCCCCCCCCCCCAGUCCUAUAAAAAGAAGCAUAAAUGGAAAGGAUGGUUCCCAAACUUUGUUUCAAUUUAAGUUUUAUGGCUUUCCUACUCUGCCCUACAUCACAGAACAAAAAGAAGGUUACCUAAGAAUUCAUGCAUUCAUCUUCUAAACAUGCAACAGAAAAGCACUCAUGCAUAAUAAAGGGUACAUUGACAUUAAAUAGAUCAACUUAAGUGCUAACAGCCAAUCAACAAAUUGAACAUAAUUGAAGUUUUAGUAGAAUGAGUUAACAAAAAGGAAGCUUGGUUUCCGCAUGAAAGAAAAGAUCCGCUUGAAAUGGUAGUCAUUCAAGAUGUUUUCUGGUAUUUAUGCGAAUUCGGAAAUGCUAUAAAUGUAAAAGUUACCUCAAAAGCCUUUUCUGCGUUGGUUUCUGUAAUCACUCCUACUGCAGCAUUUGCAGUCAGUAUCAUGAGAAUAACAUGUGUCUAAGACCAAGUUGUAUCCCACGUGCUUAAUCAACAACAAACAUAGAAAACAGUUAUCAUAUAUCAUAAAAUUCCAAGUCUUAACUUGUAAAGUUUCAAGUGCUCAACAAAUUUUGAACAAUGUAUGGUUCAAAACUUAAAAAAAAAAAAGACAUGCAUCAAAGACUUUAGGGAGAAAAAAUAUGCAUUGGCUGAAAUAGAUAAUUAGGAUUUUAAAUGUUAAAAUUUUCUUUUUGGCUCACUAAUUAGUGCAAAAGUGAGAUUGUAUGAACAAUUUUACACCCGGAAACAUGAACUAUACAUAAUCACAACUAAUCUAACAAUGAGAAAGUAUAUAAGACAAAACACUAACAGAAGGCUAAAACACUCUUUUAUUUGAUCUAACAAUAGGGUAAUAGGAUUAACUAAAUCAUUAGAGACUGCAACAAUGAGAAAGUCUGAAGAUUAAAGUUCUUGUUGAAUACCUUGAAAAACAUUUUCAGUAAAUCCGUUCAGGAAAAUAUAGAAACUUAAGAUUCUAUGCAAUUCCAUCAUCCGGGAUAGCACAUAUUUACUUGGAAUCCAACCUUAAGCCAACAUUUUUCUAUCUAUAGCAUCCAUCAUACCUAAGACAUUUCUCAGUAGGGGCACAUGAACAAUCAUAAUUGAGAUUUCAUAAGUUUAUUUUUUUGUUAACUAUAGUGAAAUUUAUAAAACAAUUUUAGCAAAACUCGAGUGUAGAUAAUGGACUUUUGUUCCAGUUUAAAAAAUAUUGACUUGUGUUCUAAGCAACAUAAUGCAUUCACAUUUCAAUUGUCAAAAGGCAUCACAGUAAUCCCCAACAACAACAACAAAGCUUUUUCCUACUAAGUGGGGUCGGCUAUAUGAAUCCUAGAACGCCAUUGCGCUCGGUUUUGUGUCAUGUCCUCCAUUAGAUCCAAGUACUCUAAGUCUUUUCUUAGGGUCUCUUCCAGAGUUUUCCUAGGUCUUCCUCUACCCCUUCGGCCCUGAACCUCUGUCCCGUAGUCACAUCUUCGAACCGGAGCGUCAGUAGGCCUUCUUUGCACAUGUCCAAACCACCAUAACCGAUUUUCUCUCAUCUUUCCUUCAAUUUCGACUACACCUACUUUACCUCGGAUAUCCUCAUUCAUAAUCUUAUCCUUUCUCGUGUGCCCACACAUCCAACGAAGCAUCCUCAUCUCCGCUACACCCAUUUUGUGUACGUGUUGAUGCUUCACCGCCCAACAUUUUGUGCCAUACAGCAUCGCCGGCCUUAUUGUCGUCCUAUAAAAUUUUCCCUUGAGCUUCAGUGGCCUACGACGGUCACACAACACGCCGGAUGCACUCUUCCACUUCAUCCAUCCAGCUUGUAUUCUGUGGUUGAGAUCUCCAUCUAAUUCUUCGUUCUUUUGCAAGAUAGAUCCUAGGUAGCGAAAACGGUCGCUCUUUGGUAUUUCCUGAUCUUCGAUCCUCACCCCUAACUCAUUUUGGCCUCCAUUUGCCCUGAACUUGCACUCCAUAUAUUCUGUCUUUGAUCGGCUUAGGCGAAGACCUUUAGAUUCCAACACUUCUUUCCAAAGGUUAAGCUUCGCAUUUACCCCUUCCUGAGUUUCAUCUAUCAACAUUAUAUUGUUUGCGAAAAGCAUACACCAAGGAAUAUCAUCUUGAAUAUGUCCUGUUAACUCAUCCAUUACCAACGCAAAAAGGUAAAGACUUAAGGAUUGUUAAUGCACAAAAUCAAUGAGGACUUUGAUACAACAGAAAGUAUUAAGCUUGUGAUCUUCGCUAGAUUGCUCCGGUCAUUAGUGUGGAUAAAUAUGUAAAUGGAUAGAAACAGGAAAGCAAACACAAGAUGUACGUGGUUCACCCAGAUUGGCUACGUCCACGGAGUAGAGGAGUUCUCAUUAUUUUUGAAGGGUUUACACAAGUACAUAGGUUCAAGCUCUCCUUUAGUGAGUACAAGUGAAUGAUUUAGUACAAAUGACAUUAGGAAAUAUUGUGGGAGAAUAAUCUCGUAAUCACGAAACUUCUAAGUACUGAAGUGUGGUAUCGUCUUCACUUGCCUUAUCUGUCUCAUAGGUAGAUGUGGCAUCUUCUCUGGAAGUACUCUUCCUCCAUCCAGUGGUGAUAUCUUUAACUGGUGGAGAUGCACAAGGUAAUGUAUCAAUUUCACUUGAAGCUUACUUGUAGUUUCGGGCUUGGUCAAGUGUGAUACAAACCAUAUAGUAGGAGUCCCCCAAGUCGCCGAGCUAGGAGGAUCUGCCGAAAGAGGUGACAGACAAGGUAAGCAAUCAGACUUCCAAGCAAGCAGUCCCAGGAUCAGAAGUUUGAUUUCGGCUUCCGGUUGAUUGUUCUCAUUCUCCUUAUCUUGCAUUCAAGCAUGCCAGGAUAAAGAGAAGAAAAAUGGAGAAGAGAUGAUAUGAGAUACUUUUGCUUUUGAAGAAGUAACUUUCCACAGGCUUAUUCUUGAACUGGGCUGGAGGGUUUUCUGGUUUCCUUCAGAGUAUAAGGCCGACUGAAAAAUUUGAGGGUCAAAACAAGUCCAUCAAAUCUAGAGUACGUUCGACCCUGAUGAUAUGGGAUACUUUUGCUGUUGACAAAGUAUGUGGUAUGUAUCGGCACGUGUUUCUGUUACGCUUGUCUCCACAUGCUUCCUUGUAUCCUUCUCACUUGCCCUAUCUGUUCCUCAGGCAGAUGUAAAGGCCAAUAUCUUCUCUGGAAGCAUGAAGAUGUUGAAGAUGAGUACUCGAGAGCAAUGCUAAGGUAAGCAAUCAGGUAAGGGGUUCCAGGCAGUCAGUUCCUGAUUGGAAGUUUGAUUUCAGGUUCCUGACUGAUUGCUCUCUUUUUCUCCUUGUCCUUGCAGGUAAGUGGAACAAGGACAAAGGAAAAGACAGGGAAAAGCAUGAUAUGGGAUACUCUUGCUUUUAACCCUGAUGAUAUGAGAUAUUCUUGUUCUUGGUGUGGCUUGUUUGCUGAGGUAUUAUCGGGGGGAAAUAAAGCUGAGUAUUUCGAGAGGUUACUUCGUUGAGGAGUGCCUUUCUCAGAUAUGAGGAAAGGGUUGAGCAUUUUUGCAGGUUUGCCUGUCCGUUGAGGAGGGAGGUCGACAUGUAUAUAGGAGUCUCCCUAAUAACAAGUAGUAAUGCUAUUCCUUUACCCUUCUUGGUCACAGCAAUGUAGUGGGAGCUGCCAGCUUCACGUGUUUUUAAUUUUGUCAGAGCACUUUGAAAAAGUGGUAUGUGGUAUCUGGAAAGCUGAUGUUACGUGUGAAGAUUACAGACAAGCUUUAUCUAAGGAAAUCUGGCUCUCGAAGUUCUGAGAAAGUUGUGCCUCUUCGGUUUUCGAACAAGCAAUCCCUGUCGGGGAUCUGACUCUCGAGAUUCAGAGAAUAGUGCCUCUUCGAUUUUUUAGAAAGCAAUCCUGCUGGGAGUCUGGCUCUUGAGAUUCGGAGAGCGGUGUCUCGUCGAUUUUUGAGAAAGUAAUCAUGUUGGGAGUCUGGCUCUUAAAAUUCGGAAGGCGGUGCCUCUUCGACUUUGAAGCAAGCAAUCUUGUUGGGAGUGUUUUCUCGAAUGUGAGUAAAGGUUGGGCAUGUUUGCUAGUCUACCUUGCCACAAGAGCACGGAGGUUGACACACAUAGGGACUUUCCAAUUGUCAAGCAGUGGUGCUGUUCCUUUACCCUUGUGGGUAAUAAUAUGGUAGCUAGACCUUCAAAAUUUAUGCGUCUAAACUUUGUUAGUGUUGUUUCUUUGCUAUUCUUUUACCCUUCUUGGUCAUAGCGAUGUAGUGGGAGCUGCAAGCUUCACGUGUCUAAACUUUGUCAGAGAUCUUUGACAAAGUUAUAUGUGGUACCCGAGGAGUUGAUGGUGCAUAUGGAAAGUGGUGAUUGAACAGUAAGAUUCACGUGCUUUCUACUUCACCAGAAAUCUUCGACAGAUUGCCCGUAAUUUCCGCAAAGCUGAGUGUGCAUGUGACAGGUGCUGACGAGGCUGAAAAAGCAGGUGCUUCUUCGAUUUCUGAGAUCGGCCCUCGUGGUCUCUGAGCAGCCCAGCUUUUGAGAAAGCAAGCGCCUCUUCGAUUUCUGAGAUCGGCCUUCGUGGUCUUUGAGCAGCCCAGCUUUUGAGAAAGCAAACGCCUCUUCGAUUUCUGAGAUCGGCCCUCGUGGUCUCUGAGCAGCCCAGCUUUUGAGAAAGCAAACGCCUCUUUCGAUUUCUGAAGCUCCGUCGAGUGCAGAUUUUUUAUAGAGGCUGGCAUUAAGUUCCAAAGCACACUUGAAUCUCUACCAGUAGAAGCUCCAUUUCUUGCACUUCUAAGAUCUUGAUUUGUCUGACCUCUUCUCUUCUUCAACACAUUUGAAAAUGUCUGGACCCUCCGACCGUCGUUUUGACUUGAACCUUGGAGAAGAGGACAGCCACGCCUUCUCCAGACAACAUAUGGCGCCCAUCCUUCAUAUCCCCUACUGGUCCUCUUACCGUUGGGGAUUCUGUGAUGAAGAAUGAUAUGACCGCUGCAGUGGUGGCCAGGAACCUUCUCACUCCCAAAGAUAACAGACUACUUUCCAAACGGUCUGAUGAGUUGGCUGUUAAGGACUCUCUGGCUCUUAGUGUUCAGUGUGCAGGUUCUGUGUCUAAUAUGGCCCAACGCCUAUUUGCUAGAACCCGCCAAGUUGAAUCAUUGGCUGCUGAAGUGAUGAGUCUCAAACAGGAGAUUAGAGGGCUCAAGCAUGAGAAUAAGCAGUUGCACCGGCUCGCCCAUGACUAUGCUACAAACAUGAAGAGGAAGCUUGACCAGAUGAAGGAAUCUGAUGGUAAGGUUUUACUUGAUCAUCAGCGGUUUGUGGGUUUGUUCCAAAGGCAUUUAUUGCCUUCGUCCUCUGGGGCUGUACCUGGUAAUGAAGCUUCAAAUGAUGAACCUCCAAUGCCUCCUCCUUCUGGGGUUUUGUCAAGUACUGAGGCUCCGGAUAACCACCCUCCGGUGCUUUCUCUUUCUGGGGCUCUACCGACUGCUGAGACUUCCCCUAAGCAACCUUUGUGAAGGCUCCCUUUUGUUUGUUUAUUUUGACUCAUGUAUAUGUACAUAUUUGUGGCUUAUCGAAAAUAUUAAUAAAUAAGCUUUGCUUCAUUUCAACGUAUUGUGUUAAAUACACCAAAGCCUUCUUCACUAAGUUCUUUGAAUUUUUCUUUUGUUGAAGCUUGUAUGUUGAAGCUUUCAUUCAGUUUAUUUCACUUGUCCAUUGGAAUUUUAUUCAAAGAAUUAUCAAAUAAAGACAAUAGCAUGCCAAAGAUUAAAAACCCUCAUUUCAAACUUUGCUAAUGCAUAACUCUGUUUGGUUUUCUUCUCCGAAUACCAGACUGAGAGAGGAGUCAAGUUCUCUAGUGCACCAUCAAUCUCCUGUUUGAGAAACCAUCACCACAGCCACUCCCUUGAGGCACCACCGUCGCCAUUUUUCACGGAGAACAACGCCACCACGAAACCACCACCAUUAAUCUCGCCACCUACGCAACUUUUACCAUCCCCGAACCCACCCUCUGCAAAUUGCCCUCAUCCCUUCUAAUUUCAUUUCUUGCAUUUCUUGUAUGGUAUCCAUUUCUUGCACACUCAAAUAUUUAUAUACCAACUGAGAAUAACAAUAUAAAUCCCACACCCACCCCUUUUCCCCACUUGAAAAAUUCACCAAAAGACCGCAUUAACCACCAUAGUUUAAGAAUCCAGACCCCAAAUUUCAAUCUAAUUAAUUAAAUUACAGAUGAUUCUAUCUACCUCAUGAAAACAAAUAUGUUCAGUUAAAGAAAUUCCAUAAUCACUGCAUCUUAAACCACUUCUUAAAUAUGUCCGCCAUACCAAUCUAAUAAAAAAUCCAUGUUCAAUCGAUUCUUAUUAAUUCCAACACCAAGUAUUUCAGCAUCUAGAUUAUAGAAAAAUCACAAUAAAACAAACUCAGAACACCCAGAUUCCAAUCUUGGUGCUAAAGCACACUUUGUUAACCUCACCUUCAUCAAGUCCAUGUUUCCUGCCAUGAGAUCUUUCUCUUUAUCCAGACUUGCCUUUAGCUGCAAGAUCAAAAUAAUGAAGCAUUCAAUUCCAUUUCUAUACUCAUAAAAUUAAAAAUUGAAAUAUGUCAUAAUUUACUCGGAAUCUUCAUAUGUAUUAUGAAAGCAUAUGAACAGAUACAUUUGAAAACUUAUAACGCUACCUAAUAAAGUUGAAAAGUAACUAAUUAAGAUCAAGUUCCAGUGCAUCCAGUGAGCCUUCCAGGGAAAGAUGGCCCCAUGGACUUAGACCUUGAAAACUGAGGCUUGUUUUGCCUUGUAAUUGUAUGAUCAGUAGCAUCCUUAUGGAUUGCAAUUGUAUGAUCAGUAGUAUCCUUAUGGAUUCCCAAAUUAAUCCUCAAAAUUUUGUUCUCAUCCGAUAGCUUAUGCACCUGGGACAAAAGUCGCUCAAUUGUUUCACUAUUCUCCUUGUUUCUCUUUAUCAACUCAGCCCGGUGCUGCAUAUUUUCGUCAAUGAGUUCUGAGAUCUUUUCGUGCAACAUUUUCUCUUUUUCAACCACAUUACCAUCACAUUCUACACCAUUAUCAAUAUUCUUCUCUUCCAUAUAUUCUUCGAAUGUACACAAAACCUUUUUUUAGGACAUACCAGCAUUUGUUUGUUUUGAUGGCUCUGAUUUUGGUUUCCGUUUUCUCUUUUGUGGUGGUCUAAUCAAGAUGCACUCCAAAACACUAAUUUGAGUGCCUACACAGAUGAACAUCGCAUAAAAAUCAUAAAAAAAAAUCCAAAACAGCAGCAGAGAUAAAAAAAUGAUAAUAACUCUAAAAAAAAUUUAAAUCAAAAGCUAAGACUAACUCACAGAAUUUUUGGGCAAAAAAAUUUCUUUAAAUACUAAUUUAAUGCAAUCCAGGAGCUAAAUGCUUAAAUCAGAAAAAAUCCUUUAACCCAGAUACUCCUAUGGUCACAAAUACUGAUAUUUGUGCAGUGCAGCAAAGUUUUUCUUGAAACUUGACGUAUGUCACUAAAAUUAUCCCAAAUAUAUCUCAGAGAUUGCAGAAAUUCAGACUAUCAAUAAUGAGACAGCCGGAAUGUUUUACCCUAAUCUUAUUAGGAUUUUUAACUAAACAACUUGCUCAUGUAACAGCUAUAUUACAGCAUAAAUAUUCAUGAACACUCAUCACCAAUAGCAAAAAGGAGCAAAGUACUAUUACAGAAAUCUAAAGAUACCCAUCAACAAUAUAACAAAAAAAAUUGCGGUGAGAUUUUAAAAUACCAACUUUAUUCGAUAUUACAAUGAAAUAUAACAAAAAGAAAAAUAAAAACAAAAUGUACAAAAAUCAUUAUUUUCAUAAAUAGACAGUGGAAUAACAGAAGAAGCCAAACCCAGAAAAAUUAAAAACAUAGAAUCACAGUAGAAGAAGCACACCAUUUCAGAUCUUUUUAUCCUCUUUGAAGAUCGAUCGAUUCCAGAGAGAGAGAGAGGAGGAGGGAGAAGACAAAUGGGAGAGGAGGUAGACGGAGGCGAGAGGAGGAAAACGACGGAGGUAGUUUAUCGGAAGCAUGUCUUGUCUUGCGUUGCUAGUCAACAAGUCAGUGGAAUCCUCACAAAAUCCCUCACUCAAUCGGGUCAGUGACAACUCCCUCAAUUUUCUCCCUCUCAAUCUCUCAAUCAUCGACAACUACCCAUUAAUUAAGGCUUCUAGUGGCAAUUUUGACCAAUCCCUUAAUCCCGACACCAACCCUUGAUUUGAGGAGGAAAAAUCAACCCUAACCCCCUUUAUGGCAACCUUACUAAGUCACGCCUCCCUCUCACUUCCCCUCCCUGCCAUCCCCCAACUAUCUCCCUCUCUGUCUCUGCACCCCAUGCUUUUUGGCAAUGGCACGAAUGUAAAUAAUACAAAAUCAAAGGAUCAUUUCAAAACAACAUAAAUAGACUGGCAAAACCGUAAAUAUUUCGAAAUCUGUUCAGAUACAAAAUUACCUUCCUAACUUUUAAUAUUUACCCACCAACCCAGUCUCAAAUUUGAUGGCAAUGGUGUAAAUAAAGCAAAAUCGAGUGACAUGUAGAAUAGGUAAUAUCUAUGUGUAGAAAACCUGUAACGGGAAAAUUGAAUUGUAGGAGCCGUAGCUCAUAUUCAUUCAUUGAUAGUGUAUAAAUAUAUUUGAUUACAAAGAGUCCUACAGGGCUCCAGUUCUGCUGUCCCCUUUUGUGUGUCUCCUUUAUGUUUCAACUUUCAUUGCUAAUAUUUUGACACAUGUCUUCUAGCUUAACUUAGUUUCUAACUUUGUUAACUUUUUAUUUAACAUUUAAAAGUAAAAAGAAAAAUCCAAAAUAAUCUGACUGUUGGGUUCUCGAGGUCUGCAAAUCCAAAAUAGAAUUCUUUCUGUGGCUGUCGGGUUACCAACGUGAGCAAACCUCUUCCCAAUUUUUCUCCAUCGUUGUACUGCUUCUUCACUUCUUUCCAGGCCAGCUCUGGUUGAGCUUGGAUUAUGUCCAGUUGAAAGUUGAAAACAAGCUUACCAUGAGACCCCAUAUCCUGCCAACUUUCUCUACCAAAUAUGCCAAAAGCUGUUGGCUGAAGUCAAUGAGAAGAUCAUGGAAUAUGGAUUUGCUGAGAGGUGGUAGAGUGAGAGAUUUUUCAGGUGUGAAAUCCCAUUGUAUUCUAGGAGUCAAGGAUUCUCUGGGAAUUCUGGAUCGAAGAAGACUUAUAAAUUGUUUAGUGAAGACGGAAACGAUUCGAAACAGUGGGACAAGCAUACUGGGUGAAUAGUUGAGUAAGCGAACGGAGGGCUUUAUUCAUUAUCAAUUGUGUGUAUGUUGCUGUUGUUACUGUCGUGCAGAAAAUCUCAGUUUGAGGUGACUGAGAUUACAACAAAUAUGAAAUCAUCCCUCACAGUUGUAGUGCUCUGUAUGUCCUUUAAAUGCAAGAACUGAUUUGUGACUCGAAGAAAGCUCUUGCAGGGUUCGUUUGCUUGGUGUCAAACGAAUUUCACUCUAAAAACAAAAUAAAAUUCUUUUUUCUCAAUCAAACUAUUUUAUGAGUCAUCAGAAAAUCACAAGAAUUGAUAGUCGCUACUACUUUCCAAACAUCAAACUAUUGAACUAAACAUGGUAAAUACCAAUAUUAAACUAAACAUGGUAAAUACCAAUAAUAUAUGAUAAUAUUUGGGAAUUUCUUAUAUUUCAUUAAUCUCCAAAGUGGAGUAUAUAUAGGAGUUACAAUUGGUAUUACAUAUGUACUUCACAAAUGUGGGACAAUAAACUACUAUUUACAUUUUAACUAAUGUAUAACUCGCAACACUCCCCCUCAAGUUGGUGCAAAGAUGUCAUGCAUGCCCAACUUGUCAAGCGAGUCGGAAAAUGCACUAUUAGACACAGCCUUAGUAAGAGCAUCAGCCAGUUGAUCUUCAGAUCUCACAAACGGAAACAUAAUAAUUCCUGCAUCCAAUUUUUCCUUAAUGAAAUGUCGAUCAAUCUCCACAUGUUUUGUUCGAUCAUGUUGCACUGGAUUAUGAGCAAUCUCAAUAGCAGCCUUGUUAUCACAAUGGAGUUUCAUAGCACUUUUGUGUUUAAACCCAAGAUCUCUCAACAAUUUUUUCAACCACAACAACUCACUUACACUAUGAGACAUACCACGAAACUCAGCUUCUGCACUUGACCUAGCCACCACUUUUUGUUUCUUGCUUCUCCAAGUAACUAAAUUACCACCCACAAACAUAAAGUAUCCAGAUGUAGAUCGUCGAUCAGUGAUAGAACCAGCCCAAUCUGCAUCUGUAUACCCUUCGACAUUCAAAUGAUCAUUCUUGGAGAAAACCAGGCCUCUGCCAUGAGCCAUCUUCAAGUACCUCAAAAUACGAGUUACUGCAUCCAUAUGAGCUUCACUAGGUGAGUGCAUAAACUGACUUACCACACUAACUGCAUAAGCAAUGUCAGGGCGAGUGUGAGACAAAUAAAUUAAUCUCCCCACAAGCCUCUGAUACCAUUCCUUAUGAGUUGAAACUUGAUCUGGAAAUAAGCCCAGACGAUGAUUCUGCUCAAUCGGAGUAUCAACAGGUUUGCAAUCUAACAUACCUGUUUCAGCUAACAAAUCAAGAACAUACUUCCUUUGAGAUAGAAAAAAUACCAUGCUUGGAUCGUGCAACCUCGAUUCCAAGAAAAUACUUCAAUUCACCCAAUUCUUUCAUCUCAAACUCAGUAGCUAGGUACUUUUGAAGGUGUUGUAUCUCCUUUUGAUCAUCACCAGUCACUAUCAUGUCAUCAACAUAAAUAAUCAAUGCAGUUAGCUUACCAUUUUGUCGCUUUAGAAACAAAGUAUGAUCUGAAUGACUCUGGAUAUACCCAAACUUCUUCAUUGAACUUGUAAACCUCCCAAACCAUGCUCUAGGAGAUUGUUUCAAACCAUACAAGGCCUUUCGUAACCUGCAUACAAUACCUUUUCCAGGAGAUGUUCCAAUACCAGGUGGGAGAUCCAUAUACACUUCCUCCUUAAGAUCACCAUGAAGGAAAGCAUUCUUAACAUCAAACUGCAACAGAGGCCAAUCCUGGUUUGCUGCCAAGGACAGAAGAACACGCACAGUAUUAAGUUUGGCAACAGGAGCAAAGGUCUCCUGAUAGUCCACCCCAUAGGUUUGAGUAUAACCCUUAGCAACUAAUCUGGCUUUAUACCGAUCAAUAGAACCAUCUGCUUUGUGCUUAAUAGUAAACACUCAUCUACAUCCAACGGCUUUCUUCCCGUUUGGUAACGGAACAAAAUCCCAAGUAGAAUUCUUUUCCAAAGCUUCCAUCUCAACUUUCAUAGCAUUAACCCACUUAGGGUCAGACAAAGCAUCUUGCAAUUUUGUUGGAAUUGAUACACUAGAUAGCUGACAUAUGUAAGAUGCAUAUGGUUGGGACAAACGAUGAGAAGACACAUAAUUGUUGAUAGGAUAUUUGGCUUUGGCAUGCAUAUCAGGCUCAUAUUGUACUUUAGGUUUUCCACGAUUAGCUCGUGGAGGCAACUGAUAAGUAGAAGAAUCGUCAGAAUUUACCUCAUGUAUGCCACCAUCUUGUACCAAACAGUUAGAAGAAUCAUCACUGGACGAACCAUCAUCAGGCAACUCGUUAGACAUAUCAGCAGCAGGCAACCGAUCAUCAGAAGGUAAUUCAUCAGAUAUAUCCGCAGCAGGCAACCGAUCAUCAUCUGUAGCCGACUGAUUAGUAUCACGCAAAAUAAUAUGUUCUGUUCCCAACUCUGUCUGUAACACAUCAUCCAUAUCAUCUCUUCGAAUCUGCACUUCACUCCCCCUCUCCCCUUGAAGUGGAGAGUCGGAAGAGGGCUUCACAAAAUACGAAACUUCCUCAUGGAAGGUGACAUCCAUGGUAAUAUAAGUUUUUUGAGUCGGAGGAUGAUAACACUUAUAGCCUUUUUGAUUGUUAGCAUACCCAAUAAAGACACACCAGAGAGCACAUGCAUCAAGUUUACUCCGCUGAUGAGAGUAGACAUGCACAUACGCAAUACACCCAAACACUUUCGGAGGAAGCUUUGAGACAGAAACAAGAGAAACAUGUUUUUGUAGCACAUCAAACGGUGUCUGAAAAUCAAGAACCCGACUUGGAACACGAUUGAUCAAAUACACAGCAGCCAAAACAGCAUGACCCCACAAAUGAUUAGGAACACAUUUAUCUAACAUCAAUGAGCGAGCAACCUCCAUUAUUUGACGAUUCUUCCGUUCGGACACACCAUUUUGUUGAGGUGUAAACGGAGUAGUCGUCUGGUGAAUAAUACCAUGAUCACGGAAAAAACAUGCCAAAGUGUGAUUCACAUAUUCUCCUCCGUUAUCAGACCUGAAGACCUUAACUUUGGUCUGAAACUGAGUAGAUACCAUUGUACAAAAUUCUUGAAGAAGUAAUGGAACAUCACUCUUAUUUUUCAUCAAGAACACCCAAGUUACCCGAGUACAAUCAUCAAUAAAAGUAACAAACCAACGGAAUCCAUUAGAAGUAACUUUUGCAGGACCCCACACAUUAGAAUGUAUCAAAUCAAAUGGUAAAGUAGCUUUAGAAUCACUUACAGGAAAGGAAGCACGAUGACUCUUAGCCAUGACACAUGUUUCACACUUGAACUCUGAAUCACUACAAGUGCGAAACAAAGAAGGAAAUAGAUGCUUCAUAUAACUGAAUGAUGGAUGUCCCAAUCGUCGAUGCCAUAACCAAAUUUGAUGUCUGUUAUCCACUUUAGCACUUAAAACUUGAUGAUGAUUUGAACCGGAAACAACAGUAUCCUCCAUAGUCAAGAUGUACAAACCCCUUAUCCUUUUACCAUAACCAAUUAUCUUCUGAGUUUGAAUAUCUCGAAAAUAACAAUACGUAGGAUAGAAGUGAGUAGAACAAUAUAAAGUAUCAAGAAGUUUUCCUACCGACAAAAGAUUGCACUUAACAUCAGGAACAAGUAAAGCACGGACCAGUGAUAAGGUUGGAGUCAAAGAGAUAGUGCCUUCACCCUUCACAGGGGAAAGUGCUCCAUUUGCACUAGUAAUAUACGGAUCACGAACAUAAUCACAUAACUCAUCAAACACUCUAGGGUCACUUGUCACAUGAUCAGUGGCCCCAGUAUCAAUUAUCCAUUUAUUUGUUCCACCAAGAUGCAUAACAACACUAUGAUUAUAUUGAGCCAUUGAACAAAAUCACGAACAAUAAAGGCACAAAAGAUAUGCAGCGGAAUGAAAACAAUUUACCAGAGUACUGUAGCAAUCACUGUUCACGGCACUGUAGCAAUACCAUUCACGGCACUGUAGCAAAUAACAAUCACUGUCCACGCACUGUAGCACGACACUUUUUUUUUCACACGGAGGAAAUCACGAAAAAUGUGGCACAAAAUUUAAAGCACAUAGGUCACCAAGAGCGAACUGCUCUGAUGCCAUAUUGAACUAAACAUGGUAAAUACCAAUAUUAACUAAACAUGGUAAAUACCAAUAAUAUAUGAUAAUAUUUGGGAGUUUCUUAUAUUUCAUUAAUCUCCAAAGUGGAGUAUAUAUAGGAGUUACAAUUGGUAUUACAUAUGUACUUCACCAAUGUGGGACAAUAAACUACUAUUUACAUUUUAACUAAUGUAUAACUCGCAACACAAACCAAAUAAAAUUAAUCUUUAAUAAAAAGUAUUAACUGAAACUUUAGUCCCAAAACAGAGUAAAUUCGUUGAGCAUUUUUCUCAUAGCAUCUUGCACUUUCAUAUCAUUAUCAUGAGUCUUUGUGGUGCUUGUCAUUUGAGAGCUGAUCAAAGCCUAAAUCCUUCUUUGGUGCUUUUCAUAUGCUUCGGUUCCAUUGGCUUCACAGGGAUUAUUUUAUCCGUCCAUGUCCUUGAGGAAAAAUGAAAAAUACAAUAUGAGAGCCAAAUUUAUAUAUGAAUAAGAAGCAAGAAAACUAUAGAUGAUUCAAAUAUAUAUAUAUAUAUAUAUAUAUCCUAUACUUGAUUCGUUGCUUAACUUCUCAAGGAUAAACUAUAGAGAAAACGCGGUACAACCAUGGCGAAAACGAACUCCUAUAAGAGCUUGUUUUCAAGUUUCAACAACAACAACAACAACAAAGCCUUUUCCCACUAAGUGGGGUCGGCUAUAUGAAUCUUAGAACGCCAUUGCGCUCGGUUUUGUGUCAUGUCCUCCGUUAGAUCCAAGUACUCUAAGUCUUUUCUUAGAGUCUCUUCCAAAGUUUUCCUAGGUCUUCCUCUACCCCUUCGGCCCUGAACCUCUGUCCCGUAGUCACAUCUUCGAACCGGAGCGUCAGUCGGCCUUCUUUGCACAUGUCCAAAUCACCAGAGCCGAUUUUCUCUCAUCUUUCCUACAAUUUCGGCUACUCCUACUUUACCUCGGAUAUUCUCAUUCCCAAUCUUAUCCUUUCUCGUGUGCCCACACAUCCCACAAAGCAUCCUCAUCUCCGCUUACGUGUUGAUGUUUCACCACCCAACAUUCUCUGCCAUACACCAUCGCUGGCCUUAUUGCCGUCCUAUAAAAUUUUCCCUUGAGCUUCAGUGGCCUACGACGGUCACACAACACGCCGGAUGCACUCUUUCCAUCCAGCUCGUAUUCUAUGGUUGAGAUCUCCAUCUAAUUCUCCGUUCUCAUGCAAGAUAGAUCCUAGGUAACGAAAACGGUCACUUUUUGUGAUCUUCGCUAUAUUGCUCCAGUCAUUAGUGUGGAUAAGUAUAUAAAUGGAUAGAGAUAGGAAAGCAAACACAAGAUGUACGUGGUUCACCCAGAUUGGCUACGUCCACGGAAUAGAAGAGUUCUCAUUAAUUGUGAAGGGUUUACAAAAGUACAUAGGUUCAAGCUCUCCUUUAGUGAGUACAAGUGAAUGAUUUAGUACAAAUGACAUUAGGAAAUAUUGUGGGAGAAUGAUCUCGUAAUCACGAAACUUCUAGAUGUGGCAUCUUCUCUGGAAGUACUCUUCCUCCAUCCAGGGGUGGUAUCUUUAACUGGUGGAGAUGCACAAGGUAAUGUAUCAAUUUCACUUGAAGCUUACUUGUAGUUUCAGGCUUGGUCAAGCGCGAUACAAACCAUGUAGUAGGAGUCCCCCAAGUCGCCGAGCUAGGGGGUCUGCUGAAAGAGGUGACAGACAAGGUAAGCAAUCAGAGCUCCGACUGAUUGUUCACCUUCUCCCCAUCUUGCAGCAGCAUGAAGGAUAAAGAGAAGAAAAAUGAGAAGAGAUGAUAUGAGAUACUUUUGCUUUUGAAGAAGUAACUUUCCACAGGCUUAUUCUUGAACUGAGCUGGAGGGUUUUCUGGUUUCCUCCAGAGUAUAAGGCCGACUGAAGAAUUUGAGGGUCAAAACAAGUCCAUCAAAUCUAGAGUACGUUCCACCCUGCUGAUAUGGGAUACUUUUUCUUUUGACAGAGUAAUGGAUGUAUCGGCACGUGUGCUGUUACGCUUGUCUCCACAUGCUUCCUUGUAUCCUUCGCACUUGCCCUAUCUGUUCCUCAAGCAGAUGCGGAAUCUUCCCUGGAGACAUAAGAUGUUGAAGAUGAGUACUCGAGAGCAAUGCCAGGUAAGUAAUCAGGUAAGGGGUUCCAGGCAGUCAGUUCCUGACUGGAAGCUUGAUUCCAAGUGCUGACUGAUUGCUCUCUUUCUCCUUGUCUUGCAGGUAAAAACAAGGCCAACAGAAAAAACGGGGAAAAAGCAUGAUAUGGGAUACUCUUGCUUUUAACCCUGAUGAUAUGAGAUAUUCUUGCUCUAGUAUAGCUUGUUUGCAGAGGUAUUAUCGGGGGGAAAGAAAGCUGAAUAUUUCGAAAGGCUUUGUUGGGAGUGCCCUCUCAGAUAUGAUGAAGGGUUGAGCAUUUUUGCAGGUCUGCCUGUCCGUUGGGGAUGGAGGUCGACAUAUAUAGGAGUCUCCCUAACAACAAGUAGUAAUGCUAUUCCUUUACCUUGGUAGUGGGAGCUGCCAGUUUCACAUGUUUUAACUUUGUCAGAGCACUUUGAAAAAGUGGUCUGUGGUAUCUGGCUCUCGAGAUUCGGAGAACGAUGCCUCUUCGAUUUUUGAGAAAGCAAUCAUGCUGGGGGUCUGACUCUCGAGAUUCGGAGAGCAGUGUCUCUUCGAUUUUUUUUAGGAAGUAAUCAUGUUGGGAGUCUGGCUCUCGAGAUUCGGAGGGCGGUGCCUCUUCGAUUUUGGAGCAAGCAAUCUUGUUGGGAGUGUUGUCUCGAAUGUGAGUAAAGGUUGAACAUGUUUGCUAGUCUACCUUGCCACGAAGCACAAAGGUUGACACACAGGGACUUUCCAAUUAUCCAGCAAUGGUACUGUUCCUUUACCCUAUCUUCGAUUUUGAGAAAGUAGUCAUGUUGGGAGUCUGGCUCUCGAGAUUCGGAGGACGGUGCCUCUUCGAUUUUGGAGCAAGCAAUCUUGUUGGGACUGUUUUCUCGAAUGUGAGUAAAGGUUGGGCAUGUUUGCUAGUCUACCUUGCCACGAAGCACAGAGGUUGACACACAGGGACUUUCCAAUUAUCCAGCAGUGGUACUGUUCCUUUACCCUUGUGGGUAAUAAUAUGGUAGCUAGACCUUCAAAAUUUAUGUGUCUAAACUUUGUUAGUGCUGUUUCUUUGCUAUUCUUUUACCUUUUCUUGGUCAGAGCGAUGUAGUGGGAGCUGCAAGCUUCACGUGCUCAACUUUGGCAGAGAACUUUGGCAAAGUUGAUCUGUGGUACCCAUGAGUUAUUGUUGCGUGUGGAAGUGGGUGAUUGAACAGUAAGAUUCAUGUGCUUUCUACUUCACCAGAAGUCUUCGACAGAAUGCCCAUAAUUUCUGCAAAGCUGAGUGUGCGUGUGACAGGUGCUGACAAGGCUAGAAAAGUAGGUGCCUCUUCGAUUUCUGAGAUCGGCCCUCGUGGUCUCUGAGCAGCCCAGCUUUUGAGAAAGCGAGCGCCUCUUCGAUUGAUUCGGAGAACGGUGCCUCACCGAUUUUUGAGAAAGCAAUCAUGCUGGGGGUCUGGCUCUCGAGAUUCGGGGAGCAGUGUCUCUUCGAUUUUUUGAGAAAGUAAUCAUGUUUGGAGAGUCUGGCUCUCGAGAUUCGGAGGGCGGUGCCUCUUCGAUUUUGGAGCAAGCAAUCUUGUUGGGAGUGUUUUCUCGAAUGUGAGUAAAGGUUGGGCAUGUUUGCUAGUCUACCUUGCCACGAAGCACAAGAGGUUGACACACAGGGACUUUCCAAUUAUCCAGCAAUGGUACUGUUCCUUUACCCUCUCUUCGAUUUUUAAGAAAGUAGUCAUGUUGGGAGUCUGGCUCUUUAGAUUCGGAGGACGGUGCCUCUUCGAUUUUGGAGCAAGCAAUCUUAUUGGGAGUGUUUUUCUCGAAUGUGAGUAAAGGUUGGGCAUGUUUGCUAGUCUACCUUGCCACGAAGCACAGAGGUUGACACACAUGGACUUUCCAAUUAUCCAGCAGUGGUACUGUUCCUUUACCCUUGUGGGUAAUAAUAUGGUAGCUAGACCUUCAAAAUUUAUGGGUCUAAACUUUGUUAGUGCUGUUUCUUUGCUAUUCUUUUACCCUUCUUGGUCAGAGCGAUGUAGUGGGAGCUGCAAGCUUCACGUGCUCAACUUUGGCAGAGAACUUUGGCAAAGUUAUCUGUGGUACCCAUGAGCUAUUGUUGCGUGUGGGAAGUGGGUGAUUGAACAGUAAGAUUCAUGUGUUUUCUACUUCCCCAGAAGUCUUUGACAGAAUGCCCAUAAUUUCCGCAAAGCUGAGUGUGCGUGUGACAGGUGCUGACAAGGCUGGAAAAGUAGGUGCCUUCUUCGAUUUCUGAGAUCGGCCCUCGUGGUCUCUAGGGAGCCCAGCUUUUGAGAAAGCGAGCGCCUCUUCGAUUUCUGAGAUCGGCCUUCGUGGUCUUUGAGCAGCCCAACUUUUGAGAAAGCAAACGGCCUCUUCGAUUUCUGAGAUCAACCCUCGUGAUCUCUAAGCAGCCCAAGCUUUUGAGAAAGCAAACGCCUCUUCGAUUUCUGAGCAGGCGCCUCUUUCGAUUUCUGAAGCUCCGUCGAGUGCAGAUUUUUUAUAGGGGCUGGCAUUAAGUUCCAAAGCACACUUGAAUCUCCACCAGUAGAAGCUUCAUUCUUGCACUUCUAAGAUCUUGAUUUGUCCGACCUCUUCUCUCUUCAACACCUUUGAAAAUGUCUGGCCCCCUCCGACCGUCGUUUUGACUUGAACCUUGUUGAAGAGGCAGCCCCGCCUUCUCCAGACAACAUAUGGCGCCCAUCCUUCGUCUCCCCAACUGGUCCUCUUACCGUUGGGGAUUCCGUGAUGAAGAAUGAUAUGACCGCUGCGGUGGUGGCCAGGAACCUUCUCACUCCCAAAGAUAACAGACUACUUUCCAAACGGUCUGAUGAGUUAGCUGUUAAGGAUUCGCUGGCUCUCAGUGUUCAGUGUGCAGGUUCUGUGUCUAAUAUGGCCCAACGCCUAUUUGCUCGAACCCGCCAAGUUGAAUCAUUGGCGGCUGAAGUGAUGAGUCUCAAACAGGAGAUUAGAGGGCUCAAGCAUGAGAAUAAACAGUUGCACCGGCUCGCACAUGACUAUGCUACAAACAUGAAGAGGAAGCUUGACCAGAUGAAGGAAACUGAUGGUCAGGUUUUACUUGAUCAUCAGAGAUUUGUGGGUUUGUUCCAAAGGCAUUUAUUGCCUUCGUCUUCUGGGGCUGUACCGCGUAAUGAAGCUCCAAAUGAUCAACCUCUGAUGCCUCCUCCUUCUAGGGUUCUGUCCAGUACUGAGGCUCCAAAUGAUCCCCCUCCGGUGCCUUCUCUUUCUGGGGCUCUACCGACUGCUGAGACUUCUCCUAAGCAACCUUUGUGAAGGCUCCCUCUUGUGUGUUUAUUUUGACUCAUGUAUAUGUACAUAUUUGUAGCUUAUCGGGGAUAUCAAUAAAUAAGCUUUCCUUCAUUUCAACGUAUUGUGUUAAAUACACCAAAGCCUUCUUCGCUAAGUUCUUUGAAUUUUCUUUUGUUGAAGCUUGUAUGUUGAAGCUUUCUGAGUGGAGCAUGUAGGUUGGGGUAGUGUUCCCUUAAUUUCCCGAGUGAGGAAAACUUCUUGGUUGGAGACUUGGAAAAUCCAAGUCACUGAGUGGGAUCGGCUAUAUGAAUCUUAGAACGCCAUUGUGCUCGAUCCUGUGUCAUGUCCUUCGUUAGAUCCAAGUACUCUAAGUCUUUUCUUAGAGUCUCUUCCAAAGUUUUCCUAGGUCUUCCUCUACCCCUUCGGCCCUGAACCUCUGUCCCAUAGUCGCAUCUUCUAAUCGGAGCGUCAGUAGGCCUUCUUUGCACAUGUCCAAACCACCGUAACCGAUUUUCUCUCAUCUUUCCUUCAAUUUCGGCUACUCCUACUUUACCCCGGAUAUCCUCAUUCCUAAUCUUAUCCUUUCUCGUGUGCCCACACAUCCAACGAAGCAUCCUCAUCUCCGCUACACCCAUUUUGUGUACGUGUUGAUGUUUCACCGCCCAACAUUCUGUGCCAUACAGCAUCGCCGGCCUUAUUGCCGUCCUAUAAAAUUUUCCCUUGAGCUUCAGUGGCAUACGGCGGUCACACAACACGCCGGAUGCACUCUUCCACUUCAUCCAUCCAGCUUGUAUUCUAUGGUUGAGAUCUCCAUCUAAUUCUCCGUUCUUUUGCAAGAUAGAUCCUAGGUAACGAAAACGGUCGCUCUUUGGUAUUUCUUGAUCUCCGAUCCUCACCCCUAACUCGUUUUGGCCUCCAUUUGCACUGAACUUGCACUCCAUAUAUUCUGUCUUUGAUCGGCUUAGGCGAAGACCUUUAGAUUCCAACACUUCUCUCCAAAGGUUAAGCUUUGCAUUUACCCCUUCCUGAGUUUCAUCUAUCAACACUAUAUCGUCUGCGAAAAGCAUACACCAAGGAAUAUCAUCUUGAAUAUGUCCUGUUAACUCAUCCAUUACCAACGCAAAAAGGUAAGGACUUAAGGAUGAGCCUUGAUGUAAUCCUACAGUUAUGGGAAAGCUUUCGGUUUGUCCUUCAUGAGUUCUUACGGCAGUCUUUGCUCCUUCAUACAUAUCCUUUAUAGCUUGGAUAUAUGCUACUCGUACUCCUUUCUUCUCUAAAAUCCUCCAAAGAAUGUCUCUUGGGACCCUAUCAUACGCUUUUUCCAAAUCUAUAAAGACCAUGUGUAAAUCCUUUUUCCCAUCUCUAUAUCUUUCCAUCAAUCUUCGUAAGAGAUAGAUUGCCUCCAUGGUUGAGCGCCCUGGCAUGAACCCGAAUUGGUUGUCCGAAACCCGUGUCUCUUGCCUCAAUCUAUGCUCAAUGACUCUCUCCCAGAGCUUCAUUGUAUGACUCAUUAGCUUAAUACCCCUAUAGUUCAUGCAAUUUUGUACGUCGCCCUUAUUCUUGUAGAUAGGCACCAAAGUGCUCGUUCGCCACUCAUUUGGCAUCUUCUUCGUUUUCAAAAUCCUAUUGAAAAGGUCAGUGAGCCAUGUUAUACCUGUCUCUCCCAAAACUUUCCACACUUCGAUUGGUAUAUCGUCUGGGCCUAUUGCUUUUCUAUGCUUCAUCUUCUUCAAAGCUACAACCACUUCUUCCUUCCGGAUUCGACGAUAAAAGAGUAGUUUCUACACUCUUCUGAGUUACUCAACUCCCCUAAAGAAGCACUCCUUUCAUGUCCUUCAUUGAAAAGAUUAUGAAAAUAACCUCUCCAUCUGUCUUUAACCGCGUUCUCUGUAGCAAGAACCUUUCCAUCCUCAUCCUUGAUGCACCUCACUUGGUUUAGGUCCCUUGUCUUCUUUUCCCUUGCUCUAGCUAGUUUAUAGAUAUCCAACUCUCCUUCUUUGGUAUCUAGUCGUUUAUACAUAUCGUCGUAAGCCGCUAACUUAGCUUCUCUGACAGCUUUCUUCGCCUCUUGCUUCGCUUUUCUAUACCUUUCACCAUUUUCAUCGGUCCUCUCCUUGUAUAAGGCUUUACAACAUUCCUUCUUAGCCUUCACCUUUGUUUGUACCUCCUCAUUCCACCACCAAGAUUCCUUUUGGUGUGGGGCAAAGCCCUUGGACUCUCCUAAUACCUCUUUUGCUACUUUUCGGAUACAACUAGCCAUGGAAUCCCACAUUUGGCUAGCUUCCCCCUCUCUAUAUCCCACACACAUUGGGUGAUUACCUUCUCUUUGAAAAUGGCUUGUUUUUCUUCUUUUAGAUUCCACCAUCUAGUUCUUGGGCACUUCCAAGUCUUGUUCUUUUGUCUUACUCUUUUGAUAUGUACAUCCAUCACCAACAAGCGAUGUUGAUUAGCCACGCUCUCUCCUGGUAUAACUUUGCAAUCCUUACAAGUUAUACGAUCCCCUUUCCUCAUUAGAAGAAAAUCUAUUUGUGUUUUUGACGACCCACUCUUGUAGGUGAUCACAUGUUCUUCUCUCUUCUUAAAGAAGGUGUUGGCUAAGAAGAGAUCAUAUGCCAUUGCAAAAUCCAAGAUAGCUUCCCCAUCCUCGUUUCUCUCCCCAAAACCAUGGCCACCAUGAAAACCUCCAUAGUUGCCUGUCUCCCUGCCCACGUGUCCAUUUAAAUCUCCUCCUAUAAAUAACUUCUCCGUCUGAGCAAUUCCUUGCACCAAGUCUCCAAGAUCUUCCCAAAAUUUCUCCUUCGAACUCGUAUCCAACCCUACUUGAGGUGCGUACGCACUAAUCACAUUGAUAAGUUCUUGUCCUAUUACAAUCUUGAUUGCCAUGAUUCUAUCUCCUACCCUCUUGACAUCUACAACAUCUUGUACCAAGGUCUUGUCCACGAUGAUGCCAACACCGUUUCUCGUUCUAUUUGUGCCCGAAUACCAAAGUUUAAACCCUGAGUUUUCUAGAUCCUUUGCCUUACUACCAACCCACUUAGUUUCUUGUAGGCACAUAAUAUUUAUCCUUCUCCUCACCAUAACUUCCACUACUUCCAUAGAUUUUCCCGUUAAGGUUCCUAUAUUCCACGUUCCUAAACGCAUUUUGCUCUCUUGAACUCUACCCUUCUGUCCUAGCUUCUUCACCCUCCCCCGUCUAAUAGGAUCAAAGUACUUCUUUUGUGUGUCCCGGGUAAAGUUGAUAGGAGCAUAUGCUCCCAAACAACUUUGAGUGGAGUCGUUCGAAAAGAAGUUUCUAUGGCCCCCUUGCUCAUUUAACACUGCAUCCGGGUGCCGAUGGAGAUACAGCGACCCUUGCUCACUUAUCACUGUGCUCGGGCCACACAGCGCGCCACUUACGGGUGACGCCCUAGCUUUAGCGCGAUUUUGUUCUGGAUUCAUUUUCAUAAGGAUUCGACGUGAUCAUGGAGUGUCGGCUGUCGACUACCUGACGCCCUCCCCCUCCUCCUUUAUCCAGGCUUGGAAAGAAGUGAAGAAGCAGUACAACGAUGGAGAAAAUUUUUGGAAGAAGCUUGCUUAUGUUGGUAACCCAACAGCCACAGAAAGAAUUCUAUUUUAGAUUUGCAGAUUAUUUUGGAUUUUUUUAACUUUUAAAUGUUAAAUAAAAAGCUAACAGAGUUUGAGAUUAGGUUAAGUUAGAUGACAUGUGUCAAAAUAUUAGCAAUAAGACAUACACACAAAAGGGGACAGCAGACUUGAAACCUUCAUACAGGGAUACAAAGUAUUCCCAUCUAUAUCUCAAAUAAAAGAUGACAUAAAUCAAUAUGAUUUGGUUUGUUUACAGAUGGCGGAUUGGAUUGGGACAAGGUCUUUUGUUCAACAUUUUAUGUAUCGAGACUAGAAAUUGAGAGUUUUUAUCAUUUUUUUUUCAGACAUGUAAAUGGCGUCCAUUGAAAAUUGGUGAUUGUGGGGGCAAGUCAAACUUUAAGUGUGACUUGAUCACUCUGAAUCUCAAAAUUUAAAGUACCGAAACCUAUUUUCAUGUCCAUGCUAUUGAAUUAUCAGAGAGACGAGUCGAUGGCCCAACUCCAACAACAUUGAUAUUGUUCCCAACUUGGUAAUUACCACCUGCACAAUCCGUCAGGUGUAGAGUUUUAUCACAAAAGGUCUCGAUUUUAGUUGAAAUGGGAUUAGGAUAUUUAAACUCUUCUUUUCUCAUUGAUACGGUGGAUGUGAGGCAUUUUAACACGCAUUCUCACGUGGGACCCAAUUAGUGGGUCACACAUGGAAGAUCCACACAUCGACAACCACGUGAAGCGAAGGAGACUCACCCAACACAGGGGGCCAAGGGACCCACCAUCAUCGCAUAGGGUCAAGGGGACCCAUCCAUCACGUGGCAGUACAGUACGGGCCAUCUUCUUGGCUCUGAUACCAUGUUGAAUUAUUAGAGAGAUGGGCCGAGGACCCAACUCCAACAACAUCGAUAUUGUCCCCAACUUGGUAAUUACUACCUGCACAAUCCGUCAGGUGUGAGAUUUUAUCACAAAAAAAACAUCGGUUUUAGUUGGAGUGAGGUUAUGGUAUUUAAACUCUUAUUUUCUCAUUGAUAUGAUCGAUGUGAGACAUUUCAACACAUGAACUUUUAUGCUGAUGGUUACUUUGUAUCUAAGUAGGGAAUGUUUAUUUGAUUUGUCAUUUUACCUAUUGGUUAAACUUUGAUCACUUAUCUUGGACAGAUAAAUCUGAGUUAUUUACAAUUGCACCAUGGAGGUCACUUUAUAGAAGCCUGUAAUGGGACAAUGACUUGUGUUGGGAAAAUUUUUAGUUGUGACUGGAACACAGAUGGUGCAUCACGUGUUUUUAUGUAAAUGGUGAAAAUUUUUAAUUUUUAAAUUAUUAACUUUUUAACAGACAUAUUCAACCAUUUACAUGAAUAUAUAUGAUAUAUCGUCUUGUGUGAUGGUCACACUAAAAAAUCUCUCAUUGUGUUGGUGGUCAUGUUGCUUGGUUUGACAAUAUGAACUGUGAUUUAAUGUCCAGGUGGGAUAUUGAGGAUUGUGCGAAGAAAGUAGGGUCACUACUAGAAAAAGAGCUACAGGACACCGUUCUUUAUAUUCUAUUCCCAAAUCGUGCAUAUUUGAAGAAAGUUGUCACCGUGAAAAAACAUUGGUGCAUUUUACAUUUUUUUACACUGAAAAACGGUGCCCAACAGAUAUUUGACAAAUUUUUUUUGGAAAUUAUUAACUUUUACUGGUGUCUAUAUGGAUUAUGGAGCGUGCCCUGACAACUUUUAUAGUCGAGUAAAUUGUAGUAAUGAUCUAUUAACUUUAAUCAAAUUGAAGCAAUGAUCAUUCAACUAAAAAUCCAUUACUAUUGGUCUUUCAACUUAUCAAAAUGUGUAGCUGUAGUCAUUUUCAUCAAUUUUAUCAAAAUAAAUUAUGUUGAAAUAACCAUUUAUAUAAUUAUGGUCCCUCAACUCAUCCAAAUGUGUAAUUAUGAUCAUUUUCGUCAACUAUGUCAAAAUUUUUGGCAAAACGAGUUAUGUUGAAAUGAUCAUUGCUACAAUUGGGUUAGAGUUAAGGGACUAUUUCUUCAGUUGAAUUAAAGUUGAGGGACCAAUAGUAAUGAAUUUUUAGUAAAUGAACUAUAAUUGCAUAUUUUGAUGAAUUUUUAUAAUCAAACCGAUUUGAUAUUGUAUAGAAAAUUUGAAUACAAAAGAUGCUGUAGAUGUAAUUAUUGAUUCCAUACUGAUGAAACCAGGUCAUUGUAAAACGCUCUCUCUAAAUCCAAUCCAACCAUGUGGCUGUGAGUUUCUCAAUUUUUUUAUUAUUAUCAAAGUAUGGACUGGAGCACAAAAGUAAAGUAAUAAACAAUAUUUCACCUCCACUCCUUUUCAUAUCAGUUUCCGGAUUCCUCUUCUCCUAAAAGCUUCUACAGUUUUUCUCCCAACACCUCAAGCGGUUGCAUGGCGUCCUCUAGAUCAGCAGCCUCUCAUCCGCAUGUCGUCAACAAUAUGCAUGUAGUCCUCUGUGUUUUUGUCGCCCUCUGAGUUUUAAAGUUGUUGGGAUGUGAAAGGCUGAGUCCACGAGAGAUUUGUUUACUGGGUUCGUAAGUUGUUUGAUGGGAGUUUGAUUGACUCUUAAACCUGGUAAAAAGUUUCCUUGCUUCUCUCUGUCUCUUCUCUUGCUUUAUAUUUUUUUAUUUUUUUAUUUUUUUUAUUUCUAAUUUUUAUUUUUGGUUGAAGUUUAAAACUUAGGCAAAAGACUGUUUACUACCCUCAUAUUUCGUGGUUUUCAACAUUUAGUAUAUCAAGUUUUUUUCGUCCCAGAGUCAUACCUAAAGUGUAAAUUUUGGGACAGUCUCAUACAUCUGUUAGUCAAACUGUUAAGUUUUCCGUUAACUGAUGACGUGGCGCCCAUGUGGACAAUGACUGGAUGCCACGUGUCAAUAAGGGUCCCACGUGGAUUUAAAAAUUACAAAAAAUUACAAAAUUGCAAAAAAAAAUAAAUAAAAAAAAAGCUGUUGUUGUCUACGCCCACCAAACCCUCUAUACUCGACCCAUCUCCCUCUCCUCCACCCUUUGCAAAAACCCUAACUCCCAAAAUCUUUUGAGUUUUCAAAAAAAUUGAGCAAACCGAGCAUGAAAUCCCUAAUCCCCAAAAUCUUUCCGACCCGUUUGAAUUUGACUUCAAUUUCAUCAAACACAUAAUGAAAACACAAAAAGACUUCGAUUUCGUCAUACCAAAAAACUGAUCAGUCAGGACUCGGACAUUCAUUUUCGUUUUGUUCCCCCCAAAUUUUCUCAACAACCAAACAGUCCAUUUCAAAUUAUAAACAACAAAAGCAGCAGAAUCACAAAGAUCAAUACACAAAAUUUGAAAUUUCUUAGCUAAUCCGUAACUCUGUUUGCGGGAAACAAAGCAGCUCUAAAUCACUCGCCUUUGAGUUCGAAAUGCAUACCUCGAUUUCUUAGAGAUAACGACGCUUUCUCAAACGUCGUCUAUGAGAAGGCCAUCCCGGCAAUGAUCAACGAAAAUCGGGAAAUGCAGUGAAAUUGGAAGCUGAAAGGACACCGUGACCUAGUUGGUGGCCAGACGACGGCAGAUAUGAUGAAAUUGCGGCAGAGAAAAUGGCUUUUAGGGUUUUAGAGAGGCAGUGAGUGAGGUGAAGAAUCUGGAAUUUUAGAGAGAGAGAGAGAGGAGAAGGGGGUCUCUACAGCUUGAAAAUGGCCUCAGCAAAGGCGUAGCGUUGGUGAAUCGCCUCGUCGAGGAAGCCACAGCGCUCCCGGCAUAAGGCGACGGCCAGAAGAUCGUCGAGCUUGGAGCUCGUCCAGCCCAUUGGGUUGGGUAUGGAGGGACUAUGAGAGGGAUGGGUCGGGUUGGGAGGUGGUGGUGAGGGAAGAACGAGUGCGAGUGGGGAGAGGGACGGAGGGGGGAGACCAAGUCGCUCGGGGUGGGGAAGACAAAAGGGAUCUGGAGAAGGAUGGAUAUGCAGAUGUGCAUAAGGAUUUAGGGAUUUGGGUAGUGAGAGCGGAGAGUGAGAGCGAAUGUGCAGAGGUACGUGUCACAGCAAAUCGCUCGGGGUGGGGAAGACAAAGGGGAUCUGGAGAAGGAUGGAUGUACAGAGGUGCAGAGGGAUAUGGGGAUUUGGGGAAUGAGAGAGAGCGGAGAGUGAGGGUGAGAGCGGAUGUGCAGAGGUGCAUAAGGAGAAGGGAAGCGGAUCGGGGUGGGGAAGACAAAGGGAAUCUGGGGAUUUUUUUUUUAUUUUUUUUAUUUUUAUACUUUUAUUUAAUUAAAAUUUUAAUUGUUUAUUUAUUUAUUUAUUUAUUUUUAAAUUUCCACGUGGAUGACCCGUGGCGCCCAGUCAUUGUCCACAUGAGCGUCACGUCAUCACUUAACGGGAGAUUUAACAGUUUGACUAACGGAUGUAUGAGACUGUCUCAAAAUUUAAACUUUAGGUAUGACUCUGAGACGAAAAAAACUUCAUGUACUAAAUGUUGAAAACCACGAAAUAUGAGAGUAGUAAACAAUCUUUUACCCUUAAAACUUUCUUUUAAAAGACUCAUUUUCUCUAAAAAGUAAUAAUAAAAAGGGAUAUCAAAUGAAAGGCUCUGGUAGUCUUGAAAUACGUGUAUUGUAGUUUCUCUAUGUAUAUAAAACAAGAACAAUUGAUAAUCUGUAUCUUUGGAAACCAACCAUAAUUCUCAGUUCCCCUCCUCUCUCAGAGUGCUCUCUCCCUCUCGUCAUCACGAGUAAGGCUAGAUCUAAUGAUCUGAUUUCAACGACGCCUCUGGCUACCAGAUCUGGUACUGGCAACCAUUUUUGCUUGGAUCUCGCUCUCUCUCCCUCUCGAGCUAAGCAGACGCACCUCCAUGGAAGAAGAUGGAUGCUCGACGUCAAAAUGAUGGAUGUAAGUUGACUGUAGAGAUCUGAUUUCCUGCUGCCUCUCCACCUCGUUUUCAUCAUGAUGUGCCCUAAACCUAAUCUGGUAGGUAUUUAUUUGGGUAUUUUUUUUAUCUCGGUUUCUUUUUCUAAUUCAUUUUCAGAUCGUUGGAAUGUAUGUAUAUCAAGUUCUAUUUAUAUUCUCUCUUUUUAAAUCAUUUUCAGAUAUUCGGGAUUGUUUGAGAAGACCUAUGAGAAUCCCACUUACAAAAUUUUGUGAGCAACAAACUUAAGUGUUGAAACAUUGUUUGUAUUUUCUAUUUUUCGUCAAAGUUAUUAUUUUUUAUUUUCUGUUUUUGUAUGCUUAAUGUUGACUCUUUUGGUGGUAUUGUUAUGAAGGUGAAUCUGGAAAAAUAUGUUCAUUCUAGAAUCGUUACUCGAGUUCUUGGAUGGAUGGGAAGGUUGUGGAACUCUCCUAGGUUUAAAUGAUUAAUUUUCAUCCAAAGCAUGUGGUAUUAAUCGUGGACUUCGUCAAUGGGAGCUCAGCGGGCUCCCUCUUUUUACAUACAUAAAUUGCAAUUUGGACACUGAUGCUAAAAGGCAUAUUUUAUGUGAAAAAAUAUUUAAUCUAUUAAUAAACAAAUAAACCAAAAUAUAAUAAUGUCAUAUAUCUACUAUUCCUUUGCCCACCAAUGUAUAAAUGGUGGUGUUUGUUACAAUAGAGACUUCUGUAGAGGACAUGGACCCUAAUUUAGUGGCUGCAUGAUGGCUGUUUAUGCUUGCCACCGAAUUCAGUGUCCAAUGUUUCCAAUUGGCACCAAUAAGAUAGUGUUCUAUAGCUAUUUUCUAAAAAAAAACUAAUGAAAAAGGCUUGAAAACUUUAAGUUUUAACGAUAAGGAUAAAAUAAAGGGUAAAAUGAAUAGUAUCAGAAUUGACUUUUUAGUGUAAAAAUAUAAUUUUUCGUUAAAGUGAACACUACCAUGAGUUUUUUAUUAAAACUCCUAUUUUUCUAGUAGUGGGUAUACUAAGACUGCUAAGUACCAUUACACAUUGUCAAAUGACAGAACUUACAAGCCCAUUGUUGCUGAUAGUGAUUUUUGGAGUCUAGCUACUGUAUUGCCCCUAAAUAGAGUGGUACUUGUGUACACCGUUGAUGAUGUCCAACUGAUCAAUUCAGCCCCAAACAUUGAAAUUCAAGCUUCAGCAAACUCUUUUGACAUUCCUUACAUGUCAGCCCCAAACAUUGAAAUUCAAGCUUCAACAAACUCUUUUGACAUUCCUCACGUCUGAUCCUUUUGGCAUAUUUGAGGGAUUUUUGGAGCAAGCUUAUGAAGGAGAUCGGGAACAAGACAACCUUGUUGAGGCAGGUAUACAUAACAUGGAAAAUGAAGAGAGAGAUGGCGAUGGCAAUUCGGAAGAUUCAAAUUAGUGAGACUCAGACUAUGAACAAAGUGAUGUCGAUGACAACUUAUUUGACGACAAUUUAGAGAAAACUAAAGGGAAAAAUACCAAUGGAAAAUGCAAUGGAAAUAGGAAAGCAUCACGUAAUACUGAACCCUUUCCUGAUUUAGGAUUUGGAGAUGUUGAAACAAACUACGAAGAUUCUGAUGGCUUUAGAAGUGGUUCUAGUUCAUCAUCUGAAGGUGAACAACCAGUGAAGCGGAAACGUAGGAAGAAAAUGCCCAAAUUCAUUCCUUUUAGAAGUGAUUUGGAUAUGAAGAACUGGAAUGAUAUUUGCCAAUAGAAGGGGGCUCAGACAAGCAGUGACAUAUUAUGGUUGUGUGAAUGGAAGACAAAUAAGAUUCCCAAUAAGAGAAGGUUAUAAAGUUCAGGGUAAGUGUACAAAGGAGGGAUGUCCAUGGGUGAUUUAUGCAAGCAAAACAGAUGGGAGCCCUGCACUUAUAGUGAAGACACUCAAUGACGUCCAUACAUGUCCGAGAGAGCAAAAGCUCAGAGUAUGCACCUCAAAUUGGUUAUCACAUAGGUAUGCUGACUAUUUGCUUGACAAUCCUAAGUGGGAAGUGUCAAAAUUUCAACAAACUGUUCAUAAACAAUACAAUAUGCAUGUAACACCGGCUCAACUUUAUAAAGCACGAUCAUUGGCAGCUGAGAAGAGUGAAGGGGGCUUAUGUGGAGCAAUAUGCAAGGUUAUGGGAUUAUUGUGAGGAGCUCAAGCGAAGAAAUCCUGGCAGUACAAUUUUGGUGAAGACUGAAAUGGAAGGAGGAAGGCCUAGGUUUCAGAGGUUGUAUGUAUGCUUUGCAGCAUUGAAAAAAGGCUUUUUGGAAGGUUGUAGGCCAGUGGUGGGAUUGGAUGGAUGCCACAUUAAAGGUCCACAUCCAGGCCAGUUGCUUGCUGCCAUUGGUAUAGAUGCCAACAAUGGCAUGUAUCCAGUAGCAUAUGCGAUUGUUGAAAUUGAAGAUAGAAGAACUUGGACUUGGUUUCUCGAGCUACUCAUCACUGAUUUGGGUAUUGAAAAUGGGCAUGCUUGGGUCUUUACGUCAGACAAACAAAAGGGGUUAAUAAAAGCUGUGAAGGACCUUAUUCCAACUGCUGAACACAUACAUUGUGUUCGACACUUAUAUAACAAUUUCAAGAAAACACACGUUGGCAUUGCAUUGAAACAAAUUCUUUGGUCAGCAGCUAGAGCAACCACCAUUCCAGGAUUUAAAGCAGAGAUGACUAAGAUGGAAGUUGAAGACGGAUUGGCUAUAAGUUGGUUUGAUGACAAACCAGCAUGUCAUUGAAGCAGAUCUUAUUCUAGGACAUCAUCUAAGUGUGAUAUCUUGUUGAAUAUUCUAUGUGAGUCUUUUAGUAGUGCAAUAUUGAGAGCAAGAGAUAAACCAAUAUUAACUAUGGUGGAAAGGAUUACAACAUAUCUGAUGGUCAGAAUGGCAAGAAUGAGAGAAGCAGCGGAUAAGUGGAAAACUGAGGUUGGCCCUAGAAUAUUUAAAAUGGUUGAAAAAAAUAAAUUAGAAAGUGGUUCAUGUAUUGCUUGGUUGUCAGGUGAUAUGGAGUAUCAAGUGAAGCAUAUGAGUGGAGCACAAUAUGUGGUUGAUUUAGCGAAACACACAUGUACAUGUAGAAGGUGGGAUCUCACUGGAAUUCCUUGUGCUCAUGGAAUUGCUGUAAUCUAUAGAAAGGAGGACGAUCCAUACAAGUAUGUUCAUUCUUGUUACAAGAAAGCAGCAUACUUGAGAGCCUACACUUAUAUCCAUGCCAUGCUUAGUCAAGAAUUUUGGCCACCUACAAAUCACCAACCCGUUGCAUCUCCAAAGUAUCAUAAGCAAGCUGGUAGGCCAAAGAAGGUGAGGGCAAGAGAGCAAGAUGAACCACAACCACCAUCAACCUUAAAAAAAUUGCCUAAAUGCUUCAGCAAGGUCACUUGUGGAAUGUGUGGCAAGAAAGGUCAUAAUCGUACAACAUGCGGGAAGAGGCAACGACAAGCUUCACAGGUAAAAAUAGCUUAAUGGUUUCACUUAUCUGCAUUUUUAGUCACAUAUGGUUGUUAUAAAUUGGGGAAUAUCAUCUCUUAGGCCUAUGGAGAAGCUGGGAGAGGACAAACUUGUGGGACAAAUGAAAUUGGCCAUAACUCACCAACUACUGAAAGUGGGCAAACACAAGCAAUGGUGUGCGUACUGAAAACUUCGGUAUUUUAAGGUUUUGUCUUGUAUUUAUUGACUGAUGUAUGUGUAACUCUUUUAUUGAUCAUUUUGUAGCAUGCCACUGGAGGAAAUACGGGAAGUGAAACUCCACCAAAUCAGGGACAAGAAAAAUCUGCACCUAAUGCAAGUUCUUUUGACCUAUGUCUUUGUCCCUUUCUCGUCAGGUUUUUUUUUACUUUUUUAUUGUUUGUAGGUUUCUAAAAGGGGUAGAGUGAAAAAAAAAUGCAAGAGGUAAGUCAAUGCACAAGUCAAGAAAACCACCUAAAAACCGUAGAAUCUGAAGAAAUCAUUUGAAACUUUAGACUUUUUGUUAAUAUUGUCAAUAUCCUCUUGGACUCGAUGGUACUGAGCACUGUGAUCAUGAUACUCACUAGAUCGAAGUGCAUGUUUAAUAAUGGAAUCACCAAAUGGAAAAGCAAAAUCAUAAGUUGGGUACAAGUUGUACUCGGACACAAUUCGAUGAUGUGGUGUAGAUUGUAGGGGUAAUAAAUAGGAUCUUGAAGAGAUUUUUUUUGGAUACUGCAUAUCCAGAGUUCUCCUCAAUGAAUGAUUAUGAUUUAGGUCACAAUUGACCUCGAAUGCCCAUUUUCUUCUCAAGAAUUUGAAAACGAAUUUGUGAGCUUAAUCAACAUCUAAUUGUGGACUAUCUCACCUAGAUAUAUCUACAAGAUGGUCAUAAUAUUAUUUGCUUGUUAUUACAAGCUCAAUUUCCCAAUUGUAGGCUAUUUCAGACCACUGGGAAUUACUUUUAAGCACACAAUUUUUCAUGGCUUAGCACAAGGUUAAGCAUUCUAUUCAUUGCUAAUUUUUGGUUAGGAGAAUCAUCUUGAUCCACAGGCAUGUAUCAUCAUGAUCAUUUCGGUUGACGUUUAUUUUUCAACCAACAAGAAAUUGUGUACACAAAGAUGGUUCAAUCCAUGAAAAUUGAGAUUCAAGUUUAUCUUUCUAAAUAGCAACUAAAAUACCUCUUUGUAAUUGCAAUAUACAAUUUAGUUUUACAAAAAACAUCCAAAAGAGUUUCAAGUCAUGCGGAUGAACAUUUUAUGCAAAUAUAUUGCAUGGGCUUGAUCCUUUUUACUUCAUCACUAGUCAUUCCCUCGCAUUCAGCAUGGAAACUUUAUGAGCAAUUCAUAUGAUGUAAUAAGUAAAGAUGGAAUUGAACAAUAACAACUUGAAAGAAAAGAAUUUGAAGACUUUACCACUCCUUGCAUGCCUCACAGCACACCAUGAGAUUAUCUGGGUUAUACGGUAUCUGACAAGUGCAAUACCUUAAAAAAUAAUUAAACAAAUAAACAGCACAUCAAAUUUCAUCUAUAAACACCACAUAUCAACUAAAACGUAAGAUAAAAGAGACUCACAGAGGAAUAAGAAAAUUGUCGAACCCUUUCCUAGAAUGCAAGACCUAAAUCUCUAAUAGUAAUCCUCAUAUGUUACCAUUUGGAGUUUUACGUACUCAUCAAGAGUGUGGACAUUACACUUUCCGAGAAUGGUAUCAAUGCUCAUAGUAUCACGAUGAUUAAACCAUAUGAGCUCAUCCUUUCCAAAGAAAGGAGGACGCUUUUCAAGGGCAUCAUCUGACCUAUAGAACCACCUCACCAUCACUUUCUUUUUAUUGUGACUAAAACGCAGGAUGGCCGCCACCCAUGGCUGAUCGUUCACUAUUGCACCAUCAUGAUUAAUCAUGACUUAAUCCCCAACGGAGAAAGUCUCAUUGGUAGUUGUAAUGCAACAAGUGGCCAUCCCUUCCAAAUAACUGGCAAUCAUAUAAAAGAGAUCCAACAAGAAGUGAUCAGCUUAACCCCAGUGUCCCUCCCAACUCUAAUGUCAAUCACAUAAAAGAGAUCCGUCUACUAUAUGACCUCAACUAUAACAAAAGAGCUCAAUCUUAUAACAAAAGAAUAAACAAAACAUAAAUCUUAUAACAAAAGAUUAAAAAAACAUAGCUAUUAGUGCUUUUAGUGAGGGUGAAAUAAUCUGGACAAUAGAAUUCAAACUACACCAUUACAUAAUUGAUCUACAUUCUAAUCACUAGCAGCAAAUGAAACCUUAAUUUUAAUUCAAAAUUGAAACCCUAAUAGCUCAAAAUUUCGAACUAUUACAUAAUUGAUAACUAGUUUUAAAUCAAAAUCACUAGCAGUAAACGAAACCCAAAUCGAAAUCAAGGUGAAAUUUCUUACCACGUGCAGUGCAAUCGUUGGAGGUGAAAGACAUAUAGAAUUCGAGAGGAGAAAGAGACUCAGAAACGAGUCGAGAGAGAGCCGGUGUGUGGUGAUUCUGAAUUUGAAUUAUAUUAGCCGUUGAAUUUAAAUUUGGACCGCCAAAUUUUUUACUGUUGGAUUUAAUCAUCUUAGCUGUUGAAUUUAAACACUUUAUAAAAGAAUAUGAAACGUAUUGAAAAAAAUUCUUUUAAUUAUUUCACUCGUUGAACUCCCGAGUCUCAACUCCAUCCCUUAAGACUCUCUGGAUUCCAAGUCUCCUACUACCAGGCACCACCACCAUCUCCUCUCAAGUCUCAACUCCCACAUCUCUUCUAUCUCCCGACUCCAACCACCACCAUCAUCUCCUCUCAACUGAAGUCGAUAGCUCGAUCCCUCCCACCACUGAGUAAGGUACUCAGUUUUAAUUUUUAGGGAUUUAAGAUUUAGUGUUUUCUAGAUUUUGGGGUCUUGAUCUAAUAAUUUCUAGUUGUCUGAUAACGGAAUCAACUGCUUAGUCUUAUAAUUUUGAAGCUUUGCUUUGAUAUUUUGAUUAAAUUGAAAUUUGAAUUAUGAGAAUAUUAGAAACUUACAUAUCUAUGUAAUGAAGAAAAAGAAAAUUAGAAACUUACAUGAAUUGAUCAAAAUAAUUACACCAACAAAAUAUCCAUUCAGUCAAAAUUUUGCACCAUUACAGAAUUGAUCUAAAUUCUAAUAACUAGCAGCAAACAAAACUUUAAUUUUAACUCAAAAUCGAAACCAUAAUAAAAUAGGAAAGUUAGCUAAAAAUUUCGCACCAUUACAAAAUUGAUUACAUUUUUUAUUCAGAAUAGAUUACAUUUUUUUUUUCCUUUUCAAAACAGGUUAUUUUCACAUAUCCUUUGUAAUCCAAACACAACACUAGCUCAAUUCAAUUUCAGAUCAAAACGACCCUGACUGUACUAUUAUUAUCAAAAUCCACAACCAUAUCAAUCACAAAAUGGAAGCUUGAAUGAGAUAAAAAAAUAUUUAAAAACUUAUCACUUUUAUCUUAUUGAAUAUGGCUUCCAGGGAGAAAAAAGGGAAAAAUUGAUGGCGAAAUCUCUUUUCUACAUGAACAACAAAAACCCAGCACAAUGACACCAAAUACAAUCUAAUCCAAUUCAAUCAAACCAAUCUCAAUUCUCAUAUUCGACUUUAAUCUCAAUUCAAUCUCAUAAUUCCAAAUACAAUCUGCUUUGCUCAAUUCAGUUUCAAAACAAACGACCCGGACUGUACUAUUAUUAUCAAAAUCCACAAGCAUAUCAAUAAGAAAUGGAAGCUUGAAUGAGAGAAAAAAAAUAUGUAAAAACUGACCACCUUUAUCUUAUUGAAUAUGGCUUACAAGGAAAAAAGGGAAAAACUGAUGGCGAAAUCUUUUAUCAACAUGAACAACAAAAACCCAGCACAAUGACACCAAAUACAAUCUAAUCUCAAUUCAAUCAAACCAAACUCAAUUCUCAUAUUCCAAUCUAAUCUCAUUUUAAUCUCAUAAUUCCAAACACAAUAUGCUUAUAAGAAUGACCCCAACACUUGCCCACCGAUCACCAACACCCCAAAUCUAAAUAUUCUCAUAAUUCUAAUUCCAAUUCAAUCAAAUACCAAAGCAAAGCUUCAAAAUUAUAAGACUAAGCAGUCGAUUCCAUCAUCAGACAACUAGGAAUUAUUAGGUCAAGACCCCAAAAUCCCAAAAUCUAGAAAACACUAAAUCUUAAAUCCUUCGCCCAUGAGCGGUAGGUCUUGGGUUCGAGACUUGGGAGCAGCCUCUCCAUAAAUGGGGGUAAGGCUAGCCGACAUUCACCUCUCCCAGACCCUGCGUAAAGCGGGAGCUUAUGCACUGGGUACGACCUUACUUAGUGGUGGGAGGGAUCGAGCUAUCGACUUCAGUUGAGAGGAGAUGAUGGUUGGUGGUGGUCAGAGUCAGGAGAGAGAAGAGAUGUGGGGAGUUGAGACUUGAGAGGAGAUGGUGGUGGUGCCUGGUAGUCGAAGACUCGGAAUCCAGAGAGUAUGGGGGAUGGAGUUAAGACUCGGAGUCCAACGGGUAAAAUAAUUAAAAGAAAUUAUUUCAAUGUGUUUCAUAUUCUUUUAUAUAGUGUUCAAAUUUAAAUUCAACGACUAAGAUGAUUAAAUCCAACAGUUAAAAACAAAAUUGACGGUCCAAAUUUAAAUUCAACGGCUAAUAUAAUUCAAAUUCAGAAUCACCGGCUCUCUCUUUCUCUCUCGACUCCUUUCUGACUGUCAAGUCUCUGUCUCCUCUCGAAUUCUGUCUUUCACCUCCAACGGCUGCACUGCACAUGGUAAGAUAUUUCACCUUGAUUUUAAUUUGGGUUUCGUUUGCUGCUCGUGUUUCUGAUUUUGAUUUAAAAUUAGUUAUCAAUUCUAUAAUAGUUCAAAAUUUUGAGCUAUUAGGGUUUCGAUUUUGAAUUAAAAUUAAGGUUUCGUUUGCUGCUAGUGAUUAGAAUGUAGAUCAAUUCUGUAAUGGUGUAGUUUGAAGUCUAUUGCCCAGAUUAGCUCACCCUCACUAAAAGCACUAAUAGCUAUGUUUUUUUAAUCUUUUGUUAUAAGAUUUAUAUUUUUUUUUAUUCUUUUGUUUUAAGAUUGGGCUUUUUUGUUAUAGUUGAGGUCAUAUAGUUGACGGAUCUAUUUUAUGUGAUUGACAAUAGAAUUGGGAGGGACACUUGGGUUAAGUUGAUCACUGCUUGUUGGAUCUCUUUUAUAUGAUUGCAUGUUAUUUGGAGAGGAUGACCACUUGUUGCAUUACAACUACCAAUGAGACUUUCUCCAUUGGGGAUUGUGUCCUGAUUAAUCAUGAUAGUGCAAUAGUGAACGAUCAGCCAUGGAUGACGGUCAUCCCGUGUUUCAGUCAUAAUAAAAAGAAAGCGAUGGUGAGAUGGUUCUAUAGGUCAGAGGAUGCCCUUGAAAAGCAUCCUCCUUUCUUUGGAAAUGAUGAGCUCAUAUGGUCUAAUCAUCGUGAUCAUGUGAGCAUUGAUAACAUUCUCGGAAAGUGUAAUGUCCACACUCUUGAUGAGUACGUAAAACUCCAAACGGUAACAUAUGAGGAUUACUAUUGGAGAUUUAGGUACUUGCCUUCCAGGAAAGGGUUCGACAAUUUUCUUAUUCCUCUAUGAGUCUCUUUUAUCUUACGUUUUAGUUGAUAUGUGGUGUUUAUGGAUGAAAUUUGAUGUGCUGUUUAUUUGUUUAAUUAUUUUUUAAGGUAUUGCACUUGUCAGAUGCCGUAUAACCCAGAUAAUCUCAUGGUGUGGUGUGAGGCAUGCAAGGAGUGGUAAAGUCUUCAAAUUCUUUUCUUUCAAGUUGUUAUUGAUCAAUUCCGUCUACUUAUUACAUCAUAUGAAUUGCUCAUAAAGUUAUUUUCCUCUUUGACUUAAAGGUAACAUGCUGAGUGCGAGGGAAUGACUAGUUAUGAAGUAGAAAGGAUCAAGCCCUAGCAAUAUAUUUGCAUAAAAUGUUCAUCUGCAUGACUUGGAACUCUUUUAGAUUUUUUUUUAAAACUAAAUUGUAUUUGCAAUUACAAAGAGGUAUUUUAGUUGCUAUUUACUUUUGGAUGUGUAGAACUAAAGAAAGAUAAACUUGAAUCUCAAUUUUCAUGGAUUGAACCAUUUUUGUGUAUACAAUUUCUUGUUGGUUGAAAAAUAAACGUCAACCGAAAUGAUCAUGAUGAUGCAUGUGGAUCAAGAUGCUUCUCCCAAGCAAAAUAAGCAAUGAAUAGAAUGCUUAAACCUUGUGCUAAGCCAUGAAAAAUUGUGUGCUCAAAAGUAAUCCCAGUGGCCUGAAAUAGCCUACAAUUGGGAAAUUGAGCUUGUAAUAACAAGCAAAUAAUAUUAUGACCAUCUUGUAGAUAUAUCUAGGUUAGAUAGUCCACAAUUAGAUGUUGAUUAAGCUCACAAGUACAUUUUCAAAUUCUCAAGAAGAAAAUGGGGAUCUGAGGUCCAGACCUAAAUCAUAAUCAUUCAUUGAGAAGAACUCUGGAUAUGCAAGAUCCAAAAAAAUCUCUUCGAAAUCUUGUUUAUUACCCCUACAAUCUACACGACAUCAUUGAAUUGGGUCCGAGUACAACUUGUACCCAACUUAUGAUUUUGUUUUUCCAUUUGUUGAUUCCAUUAUUAAACAUGCACUUCGAUCUAGUGAGUAUCAUGAUCGCAAUGCUCAUAUUUGUGCUAUUUUGAUUACCUUAUCUCGCUAUCACUUGAUUCAUUAGUUCUAAAGGAAGUUCUAAUCACUACGAAAACAGCUUAAUAACAGUUGAUUAUCCCUAAAACAAAGAGGGCAAACAUAGAAAUAGUGUUUGUACUCAAAAUCCCAAUUGUGUAACACAUGGUUGUAAUCUACCCUGAUCUCAAAAUUUAAAAUUCGACACAAAAAUGAAAUUUGGAAUGAUUAGCAGGGAAAUAAGAGAGAAGCGUGAGCGAAUAUACCCAUGAGGCCUUCGGAUCCGAGUUCGGAGCUUGAAGGGCAGAGGUUGCAAACCCAGAGCAUGGAAGAAGCGGGAAGGAUUUUCCUCUGUGCUGCCUCGUGUCUUCUACUAUUUAUCCAAGCAUUGACUGUUCAAAUAUUGGGUAGUGGGUAAUCUUAAAACUGAUAUAAUCAUAUAGAAAUAACUUUGUUCAAUCUUUCAGGAUCUUAACAACAUGUCUUUCAACAAUAUUUGUGAUGUUGAUUUUGAAUCAUGUCUCUAUUUUAGAUUGAGAGAGAGAGCAUGAUUUAAGCGGGAACUAUCUCAGAUUCUCAGGCAAUUUUCCUAUCUAGCAAAUGGUUAAGACAGAAAAAUGAACCUUCGAUAUAGAAAACAUCGUAAGCUUACAAAAGCCACCAAAUCAAAGUUAUGCUUUUUUAUGUGCUUGUUUGCAACAUGGCAUAUUUAUUGCUUUCCAGGGUAUAAAUGGCUAUCAUGCAAAAUGAAAAAGAAGUUAAAGACUUCCAACAAUGGAGAGCAUACCACCAUCAUAUGUGAUCCAGGGCAACACCAUAAAAGCAUGCUAGAAUUAGAGAGAUGAGACUGGUGGCUAGUGGCAUAUUUUAAUUAGCAAAACCUCCAAGAUAAGUCGACCUCUCUGAUCAUAUGGGAAUUUGCAAAGAAAUGGAUUUCCCGUAGAUAUCUUUUGCAUCAUCAUAGUCAUUAUAAAAAAGGUAAACAUGAUGACAUGUUUCAGGACAGCAUACAUAACACAUGCAUAAACACCCCAAUUGCAAACUCUACAAUGAAAGGGACCAAAAUAAAAUAAAAACUUCCGUUAAACUAAAACAAUUACAAAAUCCAAAAUUCAAUUCUUUUUUUUUUUUUGCAAACUCUUCAAUGAAAUGGACCAAAAUAAAAUAAAAACUUUAGUUAAACUAAAACAAUUACAAAAUGCAAAAUUCAAUUCUUUCUUUUUUCUUGUGUCAAAAUUAAAUUAUUGUAACCUUCAUAAAUGCAUCAAUUUAUGGAUCCGGCCUUAUAUUCCUUUCCCUCUCUAACCGUACCAAAUCAUUCAUGUAUGCUACAGCAUAAAACAAUUGACAAAAACAGGGGAAGGAUAUCAACAGUGCUCGAUUGAGUACAUGAAAUAAUUGCUGGAAUUAAGAAUAUAUACGCAUUGAAAGUAACGAAAUUGCAAUUAACAAGAACACACCUACAUAGGCUUCACUUGCAUCUUGACAUCUAGCUGUAAAAUCCAAUGUUUCUCUUACGGUCAGCUCUGGAAAAUGAUUAUCUGUUCGGUGGAUUUAUGCCCCAAAAUUCAAACACCAGAGUUUCCUAAAAGCAAAAAAGACUGAAAUCAGACAAUCACACGUAGCAUCCGAGCACACAUACAAAACCCUCCAAAAUUACAACAUAAAAGCAAUUGUAGGCUCAUUGGAAAAGUGUAUAUAUAUAUAUAUAUAUAUAUAUAUAUAUAUUUUUUUUUUUUUUGUGGAAAUGCUAAUAGAUUCAUUUUCCAAUCCUCAAAUCUAUUUCCCCACAAAACCAAAAAAAAAAAAAAAUGUUAGUUUGCACCCCUCCGAAGCAAAGGGAAUGAAAGAAAGGAAGAGCAAAAUAAAAGACAAGGGGGAGUCUAAACUUGGACACCAAGCAUAAUAAGUACAACUACUGCUAAAACCAUUUGUCAGAUGAUAUGAAAUAUGAAUCAUGAACAUACACGCAAUAAAGUUUCCCUUAUGGAAUCCUCAAAUAAUCUGGUACAGACUGGAUCACCUAGAGAUUAAGAAAUAAUAGUCCUACUAGUAUAGAAGCAUGCAAAAGAAGCUCUAGGAAUUAGAAAAACAUCGUCCUCCAUACCUGAUGAAAUAUCUCAGGCUGCGAGGUGUAACCAUUUGCAGUUCAUUUAUCUGCAUCCCACACCAUGCAGCUUCACUAAUGACCAACGAAUUCAUACUGCAGUGCAUAGAGAAAAAUGCAACUGCACAUAAACUCUUAACUACAUUGAAAGUCAUGAUACCAAAGCAAUGAUGAAACUUCUUCACAUGAUAUCAUUUUGAACCAUACCAAAGCAUGUCAAUUCUAUGUGAUUUUGUUAAGAGUAAAUGUUCAUUUUCUAUGUUGUAUAUAUCCAUGUACCAACUUCAGAUCUACUAACUUUGAGAGAAAGAGAAACAAUUACAACAUUUUUCUAUGCAUGACGAUAAUAAAUAUGACUCAUAAAUAAUUUUGACCUUAAACAAAAGAAAAUGCUUAGGAAAAUUAAAUUUAACAGAGGUCCAUACCUGUAGCAGGGAAAAGAAUGGAUGUAUCCCUUCUUUUUUUCUUUUUUGGUCUGAAUGUAUCCCUUCCCUUUAAAGGUUGCACUGCCCAAGAAGUAAACUCGUCAUAAAUUAAUCAAAAAAAUGAAAGUAAAUUAUGCAUCACGAUGUAGUCAAUUUGGAUUUUAGAGGAUUUUAAUGGAUUUUUUUAAGUGACAAAUUUAAAAAGAUUUUAAUAGAUUUACAAUUCUAUGUAGAUUUUGGCAGAUUUAUAUGGAUUUCUAUUAUAGAUAUUUAUGGAUUUGAAUGGAUUUCUUAGGAUUUUAGUUGACUCCUACAACAUAAAAUAAAUAUUUUUUUUAGUACACAAUCUGAAAAGAACAUAAAUUGAAAGGAACAUAAACAUAUAUCUAUUGAUAUAGAAAUACAAACCAAUCAAAUAUGUAAAUAGAAUGGGGUAUUGAGAAUAUUGAUCCAAGAGUUUGAAUAAUUGUUAAGGAUAGCAUCUGCUUUAGAACAUCAUAGCCAUUCAAGAAUGAUGAUUUCAAGUUCAAGAACAGGAUAUCCAAUCAUGAAUAAUAAUAAUAUAUGUGAAAGAAUACCAAAUGAAAAUCGAAAUUGAGUAGGACAUAUUUGGGCAGCAAAAUCCUGGGAUAAAAAACAUUUUAACCAUGACCAAAAAAAAAAAACAUUUGAAGCCAAAAACAUGGACACUAAUUUGCAGAAAAAAGGCUUAAAUCAAAUGGGAAAAGCCAAACUUAGAAAAAUCAAAAGUGCAGAUGAGAGAAUCUCAAUUCAGAAAAGCACGAGUAUAAAGCAAAACAAUAUACAACUAUAAUCCAACAACAACAACAACAACAACAACAACAAAGCCUUUUCCCACUAAGUGGGGUCGGCUAUGAAUCCUAGAACGCCAUUGCGCUCGGUUUUGUGUCAUGUCCUCCGUUAGAUCCAAGUACUCUAAGUCUUUUCUUAGAGUCUCUUCCAAAGUUUUCCUAGGUCUUCCUCUACCCCUUCGGCCCUGAACCUCUGUCCCGUAGUCACAUCUUCGAACCGGAGCGUCAUUCGGCCUUCUUUGCACAUGUCCAAAUCACCGGAGCCGAUUUUCUCUCAUCUUUCCUACAAUUUCGGCUACUCCUACUUUACCUCGGAUAUCCUCAUUCCCAAUCUUAUCCUUUCUCGUGUGCCCACACAUCCCACGAAGCAUCCUCAUCUCCGCUACACCCAUUUUGUGUACGUGUUGAUGCUUCACCGCCCAACAUUCUGUGCCAUACAAACAUCGCUGGCCUUAUUGCCGUCCUAUAAAAUUUUCCCUUGAGCUUCAGUGGCCUACGACGGUCACACGACACGCCGGAUGCAUUCUUACACUUCAUCCAUCCAGCUCGUAUUCUAUGGUUGAGAUCUCCAUCUAAUUCUCCGUUCUCUUGCAAGAUAGAUCCUAGGUAGCGAAAACGGUCGCUUUUUGUGAUCUUCGCUAGAUUGCUCCGGUCAUUAGUGUGGAUAAGUAUAUAAAUGGAUAGAGAUAGGAAAGCAAACACAAGAUGUACGUGGUUCACCCAUAUUGGCUACGUCCACGGAAUAGAAGAGUUCUCAUUAAUUGUGAAGGGUUUACACAAGUACAUAGGUUCAAGCUCUCCUUUAGUGAGUACAAGUGAAUGAUUUAGUACAAAUGACAUUAGGAAAUAUUGUGGGAGAAUGAUCUCGUAAUCACGAAACUUUUAAGUAUCGGAGUGUGGUGUCGUCUUGACUUGCCUUAUCUGUCUCAUAGGUAGAUGUGGCAUCUUCUCUGGAAGUACUCUUCCUCCAUCCAGGGGUGGUAUCUUUAACUGGUGGAGAUGCACAAGGUAAUGUAUCAAUUUCACUUGAAGCUUACUUGUAGUUUCAGGCUUGGUCAAGCGCGAUACAAACCAUGUAGUAGGAGUCCCCCAAGUCGCCGAGCUAGGGGGUCUGCUGAAAGAGGUGACAGACAAGGUAAGCAAUCAGAGCUCCGACUGAUUGUUCACCUUCUCCCCAUCUUGCAGCAGCAUGAAGGAUAAAGAGAAGAAAAAUGAGAAGAGAUGAUAUGAGAUACUUUUGCUUUUGAAGAAGUAACUUUCCACAAGCUUAUUCUUGAACUGAGCUGGAGGGUUUUCUGGUUUCCUCCAGAGUAUAAGGCCGACUGAAGAAUUUGAGGGUCAAAACAAGUCCAUCAAAUCUAGAGUACGUUCCACCCUGCUGAUAUGGGAUACUUUUGCUUUUGACAGAGUAAUGGAUGUAUCGGCACGUGUGCUGUUACGCUUGUCUCCACAUGCUUCCUUGUAUCCUUCGCACUUGCCCUAUCUGUUCCUCAAGCAGAUGCGGAAUCUUCCCUGGAAACAUAAGAUGUUGAAGAUGAGUACUCGAGAGCAAUGCCAGGUAAGUAAUCAGGUAAGGGGUUCCAGGCAGUCAGUUCCUGGCUGGAAGCUUGAUUCCAAGUGCUGACUGAUUGCUCUCUUUCUCCUUGUCUUGCAGGUAAAAACAAGGCCAAAGGAAAAGACAGGGAAAAAGCAUGAUAUGGGAUACUCUUGCUUUUAACCCUGAUGAUAUGAGAUAUUCUUGCUCUAGUAUAGCUUGUUUACAGAGGUAUUAUCGGGGGGAAAGAAAGCUGAAUAUUUCGAAAGGCUUCGUUGGGAGUGCCCUCUCAGAUAUGAUGAAGGGUUGAGCAUUUUUGCAGGUCUGCCUGUCCGUUGGGGAUGGAGGUCGACAUAUAUAGGAGUCUCCCUAACAAGUAGUAAUGCUAUUCCUUUACCCUGCUUGGUCAUAGCACGGUAGUAGGGAGCUGCCAGUUUCACAUGUUUUAACUCUGUCAGAGCACUUUGAAAAAGUGGUCUGUGGUAUUUGGCUCUCGAGAUUCGGAGAACGAUGCCUCUUCGAUUUUUGAGAAAGCAAUCAUGCUGGGGGUCUGGCUCUCGAGAUUCGGAGAGCAGUGUCUCUUCAAUUUUUGAGGAAGUAAUCAUGUUGGGAGUCUGGCUCUCGAGAUUCGGAGGGCGGUGCCUCUUCGAUUUUGGAGCAAGCAAUUUUUGUUGGGAGUGUUUGUCUCGAAUGUGAGUAAAGGUUGGGCAUGUUUGCUAGUCUACCUUGCCACGAAGCACAAAGGUUGACACACAGGGACUUUCCAAUUAUCCAGCAAUGGUACUGUUCCUUUACCCUCUCUCUUCGAUUUUGAGAAAGUAGUCAUGUUGGGAGUCUGGCUCUCGAGAUUCGGAGGACGGUGCCUCUUCGAUUUUGGAGCAAGCAAUCUUGUUGGGAGUGUUUUCUCGAAUGUGAGUAAAGGUUGGGCAUGUUUGCUAGUCUACCUUGCCACGAAGCACAGAGGUUGACACACAGGGACUUUCCAAUUAUCCAGCAGUGGUACUGUUCCUUUACCCUUGUGGGUAAUAAUAUGGUAGCUAGACCUUCAAAAUUUAUGUGUCUAAACUUUGUUAGUGCUGUUUCUUUGCUAUUCUUUUACCUUUCUUGGUCAGAGCGAUGUAGUGGGAGCUGCAAGCUUCACGUGCUCAACUUUGGCAAAGUUAUCUGUGGUACCCAUGAGCUAUUGUUGCGUGUGGGAAGUGGGUGAUUGAACAGUAAGAUUCAUGUGCUUUCUACUUCACCAGAAGUCUUCGACAGAAUGCCCAUAAUUUCUGCAAAGCUGAGUGUGCGUGUGACAGGUGCUGACAAGGCUAGAAAAGUAGGUGUCUCUUCGAUUUCUGAGAUCGGCCCUCGUGGUCUCUGAGCAGCCCAGCUUUUGAGAAAGCGAGCGCCUCUUCGAUUGAUUCGGAGAACGAUGCCUCAUCGAUUUUUGAGAAAGCAAUCAUGAUGGGGGUCUGGCUCUCGAAGAUUCGGGGAGCAGUGUCUCUUCGAUUUUUGAGAAAGUAAUCAUGUUGGGAGUCUGGCUCUCGAGAUUCGGAGGGCGGUGCCUCUUCGAUUUUGGAGCAAGCAAUCUUGUUGGGAGUGUUUUCUCGAAUGUGAGUAAAGGUUGGGCAUGUUUGCUAGUCUACCUUGCCACGAAGCACAGAGGUUGACACACAGGGACUUUCCAAUUAUCCAGCAAUGGUAUUGUUCCUUUACCCUCUUCGAUUUUUAAAAAAGUAGUCAUGUUGGGAGUCUGGCUCUCGAGAUUCGGAGGACGGUGCCUUUUCGAUUUUGGAGCAAGCAAUCUUAUUGGGAGUGUUUUCUCGAAUGUGAGUAAAGGUUGGACAUGUUUGCUAGUCUACCUUGCCACGAAGCACAGAGGUUGGCACACAGAGACUUUCCAAUUAUCCAGCAGUGGUACUGUUCCUUUACCCUUGUGGGUAAUAAUAUGGUAGCUAGACCUUCAAAAUUUAUGGGUCUAAACUUUGUUAGUGCUGUUUCUUUGCUAUUCUUUUACCCUUCUUGGUCAUAGCGAUGUAGUGGGAGCUGCAAGCUUCACGUGCUCAACUUUGGCAGAGAACUUUGGCAAAGUUUUCUGUGGUACCCAUGAGCUAUUGUUGCGUGUGGAAAGUGGGUGAUUGAACAGUAAGAUUCAUGUGUUUUCUACUUCCCCAGAAGUCUUCGACAUAAUGCCCAUAAUUUCCGCAAAGCUGAGUGUGCGUGUGACAGGUGCUGACAAGGCUGGAAAAGUAGGUGCCUCUUCGAUUUCUGAGAUCGGCCCUCGUGGUCUCUGGGGAGCCCAGCUUUUGAGAAAGAGAGCGCCUCUUCGAUUUCUGAGAUCAGCCUUCGUGGUCUUUGAGCAGCCCAACUUUUGAGAAAGCAAACGCCUCUUCGAUUUCUGAGAUCAACCCUCGUGAUCUCUAAGCAGCCCAGCUUUUGAGAAAGCAAACGCCUCUUCGAUUUCUGAAGCUCCGUCGAGUGCAGAUUUUUAUAGGGGCUGGCAUUAAGUUCCAAAGCACACUUGAAUCUCCACCAGUAGAAGCUUCAUUCUUGCACUUCUAAGAUCUUGAUUUGUCCGACCUCUUCUCUCUUCAACACCUUUGAAAAUGUCUGGCCCCUCCGACCGUCGUUUUGACUUGAACCUUGUUGAAGAGGCAGCCCCGCCUUCUCCAGACAACAUAUGGCGCCCAUCCUUCGUCUCCCCUACUGGUCCUCUUACCGUUGGGGAUUCCGUGAUGAAGAAUGAUAUGACCGUUGCGGUGGUGGCCAGGAACCUUCUCACUCCCAAAGAUAACAGACUACUUUCCAAACGGUCUGAUGAGUUAGCUGUUAAGGAUUCGCUGGCUCUCAGUGUUCAGUGUGCAGGUUCUGUGUCUAAUAUGGCCCAACGCCUAUUUGCUCGAACCCGCCAAGUUGAAUCAUUGGCGGCUGAAGUGAUGAGUCUCAAACAGGAGAUUAGAGGGCUCAAGCAUGAGAAUAAACAGUUGCACCGGCUCGCACAUGACUAUGCUACAAACAUGAAGAGGAAGCUUGACCAGAUGAAGGAAACUGAUGGUCAGGUUUUACUUGAUCAUCAAAGAUUUGUGGGUUUGUUCCAAAGGCAUUUAUUGCCUUCGUCUUCUGGGGCUGUACCGCGUAAUGAAGCUCCAAAUGAUCAACCUUUGAUGCCUCCUCCUUCUAGGGUUCUGUCCAGUACUGAGGCUCCAAAUGAUCCCCCUCCGGUGCCUUCUCUUUCUGGGGCUCUACCGACUGCUGAGACUUCUCCUAAGCAACCUUUGUGAAGGCUCCCUCUUGUGUGUUUUAUUUGACUCAUGUAUAUGCACAUAUUUGUAGCUUAUCGGGGAUAUCAAUAAAUAAGCUUUCCUUCAUUUCAACGUAUUGUGUUAAAUACACCAAAGCCUUCUUCGCUAAGUUCUUUGAAUUUUCUUUUGUUGAAGCUUGUAUGUUGAAGCUUUCUGAGUGGAGCAUGAAGGUUGGGGUAGUGUUCCCUUAAUUUUCCGAGUGAGGAAAACUUCUCGGUUGGAGACUUGGAAAAUCCAAGUCACUGAGUGGGAUCGGCUAUAUGAAUCUUAGAACGCCAUUGUGCUCAAUCCUGUGUCAUGUCCUUCGUUAGAUCCAAGUACUCUAAGUCUUUUCUUAGAGUCUCUUCCAAAGUUUUCCUAGGUCUUCCUCUACCCCUUCGGCCCUGAACCUCUGUCCCAUAGUCGCAUCUUCUAAUCGGAGCGUCAGUAGGCCUUCUUUGCACAUGUCCAAACCACCGUAACCGAUUUUCUCUCAUCUUUCCUUCAAUUUCGGCUACUCCUACUUUACCCCGGAUAUCCUCAUUCCUAAUCUUAUCCUUUCUCGUGUGCCCACACAUCCAACGAAGCAUCCUCAUCUCCGCUACACCCAUUUUGUGUACGUGUUGAUGUUUCACCGCCCAACAUUCUGUGCCAUACAGCAUCGCCGGCCUUAUUGCCGUCCUAUAAAAUUUUCCCUUGAGCUUCAGUGGCAUACGGCGGUCACAUAACACGCCGGAUGCACUCUUCCAUUUCAUCCAUCCAGCUUGUAUUCUAUGGUUGAGAUCUCCAUCUAAUUCUCCGUUCUUUUGCAAGAUAGAUCCUAGGUAACGAAAACGGUCGCUCUUUGGUAUUUCUUGAUCUCCGAUCCUCACCCCUAACUCGUUUUGGCCUCCAUUUGCACUGAACUUGCACUCCAUAUAUUCUGUCUUUGAUCGGCUUAGGCGAAGACCUUUAGAUUCCAACACUUCUCUCCAAAGGUUAAGCUUUGCAUUUACCCCUUCCUGAGUUUCAUCUAUCAACACUAUAUCGUCUGCGAAAAGCAUACACCAAGGAAUAUCAUCUUGAAUAUGUCCUGUUAACUCAUCCAUUACCAACGCAAAAAGGUAAGGACUUAAGGAUGAGCCUUGAUGUAAUCCUACAGUUAUGGGAAAGCUUUCGGUUUGUCCUUCAUGAGUUCUUACGGCAGUCUUUGCUCCUUCAUACAUAUCCUUUAUAGCUUGGAUAUGUGCUACUCGUACUCCUUUCUUCUCUAAAAUCCUCCAAAGAAUGUCUCUUGGGACCCUAUCAUACGCUUUUUCCAAAUCUAUAAAGACCAUGUGUAAAUCCUUUUUCCCAUCUCUAUAUCUUUCCAUCAAUCUUCGUAAGAGAUAGAUUGCCUCCAUGGUUGAGCGCCCUGGCAUGAACCCGAAUUGGUUGUCCGAAACCCGUGUCUCUUGCCUCAAUCUAUGCUCAAUGACUCUCUCCCAGAGCUUCAUUGUAUGACUCAUUAGCAAUUCUCAUCUUCCCAAAGGAAUAAACCAAGAGCAUGAAUUCAGAAAAAUAUAUAAACAAGGCGAAAACGGGGAGUCUUCUGGGAAAUGCUCUAAACUCAUGGUAAGACUGUUCACCUUCUAUGGUUUGGUGUGAAAAGAAAUUUGAGGGGGGGGGUUGGAUUGUUAAUAGCAUUUGGUAUUUAUAUCACCCACUCUCAAAUCCCUUAAAAUCCUUCAUUCACAAAAAUCCUAGCAAAUCUUUAACAUUUCCACUACACCUAGAUUUGUAUGGACUUUUUAAACUUUUAAUUGACUACCCAUGAAUUUGGAUGUAUUCUUUAAAUCCUCCUAUAUCCUAAUUUGACUACACCAUGAUUUUAAAAUAUUUUAAAAUCCACAUUCAAACUUCUAAUUAACUACUCUGAUUUUAAAGUCCGUUAAAAUACUAUCAAAUUCUAGUUUGACUACACCUCUUACUUUUCCGGCAACUUCUUGCAGUGAAGAAGGGGCGAAAAGAAAUUCCUGGAAAUUAGCUUACCUUACUUCUCCCUUACUCUUUCUCCCUGAACCCAUACCAAACAGAAAUCGCCGAAAAUCCUCUCCCCUACCCUCUGUCACUUGGCGAAUUACAGAAAUGCAGCUGUUGGAUGUGGAAUCAAGCAGGGAAAAUGGUAAUUUCACUACCCCACUCUCACUCCAGAGUCAAAGAUCCGCACCAAAUCUCUCUCACUCUCUCUGUCUCUCUCUGCAAGCGACAUUGCUGUCCCCCUCUGUCGGCUCUAGAAUUCCCUACCCAUCAAUCCAAAUUCGUCCCAAAAUUAAGAUGACAAAAGUGCCCUGCAGCCCUUCAAUCUCAUCCGCGUGAUCCUAACCCUAGAUAGAUAUUUCCGUCAUUUAAGCACCCUAAGGCAUACAAGUAUGUUCAUUCUUGUUACAAGAAAGCAGCAUACUUGAGAGCCUACACUCCUUAUAUCCAAUCCAUGCCUAGUCAAGAAUUUUGGUCACCUACAAAUCACCAACCCGUUGCACCUCCAAAGUAUCAUAAGCAAGCUGGUAGGCCAAAGAAGCUGAGGGCAAGAGAGAAAGAUGAGCCACAACCACCAUCAACCUUAAACAAAUUGCCUAAAUGCUUCAGUAAGGUCACUUGUGGAAUGUGUGGCAAGAAAUGUCAUAAUUGUACAACAUUCGGGAAGAAGCAACGACAAGCUUCACAGGUAAAAGUAGCUUAAUGCUUUCACUUAUCUGCAUUUUUUUUUUUUUUGAAAACUCACUUAUCUGCAUUUUUAGUCACAUAUGGUUGUUAUAAAUUGGGGAAUAUCAUCUCAUAGGCCUAUGUAGAAGCUGGGAGAGGACAAACUUGUGGGACAAAUGAAAUUGGCCAUAACUCACCAACUACUAAAAGUGGGCAAACACAAGCAAUGGUGUGCUCACUGAAAACUUUCGUAUUUUAAAUUUUAGUCUUGUAUUUAUAGACGGAUGUAUGUGUAACUUUUUUAUUGAUCAUUUUGUAGCAUGCCACUGGAGGAAAUAUGGGAAGUGAAACUCCACCAAAUCAGGGACAAGAACAAUCUGCAUCUAAUGCAAGUUCUUUUGACCUAUGUCUUUGUCCCUUUCUCGUGUGUGCUUUUAUAACCCAAUGCCAUCUGUUAAUUUUUCAGGUUUUUUAUUAUUUAUUAUUUUUAUUAUUUGUAGGUUUCUAAAAGGCGUAGUGUGAAAUGAAAUGCAAAAGGCAAGUCAGUGCACAAUUCAAGAAAGCCACCUGAAAACUGUAGAAUCUGAAGGAAAUCAUUUGGAAAUUUAGACUUUUUGUUAAUGUCAAUUUUUUUUUUUUUUUGAUGAAGACAAUGUUGUGAACUUUAAGCCCUGUUUUUUAUUUUGAACAUAAUUAAGCAAUGAAAUAAUAUUUUUGAUAUGGUAGCAAUCAAAUGAUCAGGCAUUGCAUUCUGUUAUGGUUGCUCAAAAUAUGUUUAAGAUACAAUAGUGGGUGUGUUCAGUUUAGCAUGUCACAAAAUCAAAUUUUAUAUGGGCUCUGUAAUAUAAGAAACGGGUUGAGAUUGGUGCCAUAAAUGGAGUUGUAGAUGCAUAUGCGCUACUCGAACACAACUAUCCACAUGAAUACUCUCUAACAAAAUUUUAAGAGUUUUACUAAAGAAAAGUAAAAACUUGUUAAAAGAUCUUAAAAUGACAUAAAUAACCCCGAACAAAGCCAUGUGUGAGGCACAUGACUUAUUUUGGAUGGAAAACUUAACGGAGUAAGAGUGAGAUGACAAAUUGAUGAUUUCGACAAGUUGGUAUGAUAAAUUGCUUAAAAUUUUAGUUUAUAUGACACAUUGAAAAAGAUGUACAAGUUCAUAUUAUAUUUCAAAAAAAUUCCUUGGAAAAAUUAUGGUCCCUACGUCCAACCAAAUAAUAAGGUUUUUGAUGAGAUAAUGCAUGCCAACUUGAGCAUUAUAAUGUUCAUGAUUUUGUUUGAGUCUAUACAUAUAUUUACUCCGUAAACGUAGAUUAGGUCGGUUGGUAAGCCAUUGUAUCUGUCACGUUUUUAUAUUUAAGUUUAAAUUAUUCUCUCGUAACUCGUAAGUUAUAGCUUCUAAUACCGUCUUAACAAAACUAAAUAUACUUAUUUUUAGUGGGAUAUAUUUUGCUUAAGUAUGCAUGUUUGCAAGAUUAAAUGAAAACCUCCAAAACGUAUGGGGUUAAAUUGAAUUCUAACCACCACCACCACCCCCAUAUAAUUAGGGCAAAAGGCGAAUUUAGGAGGGCUCCUGUUACAGCCCAUCCAUAAUUUUUUUUUGUUAAAUGUGUAACGAUCAAAAUGCCCUUAGAGGGUAUGUGUCGACUUUCAUUAACUUACUGGACAGGUCACGUGUGACAUAUUAAUUAGUAUAUUCUGACAGCAUUCGUUAUUAUGAAUGACUGAUCAUAAGCAUAGCGAAAAUUAGAACUAGAAGCAAGAUUUUAUGAAAUAGUAUAAAUCAUUUUAUUUAAAGUAAUGGAAAAGAUAAUAACACUAGAUAUAAAAUAUGAAUGAUAGAAUAAAAUAAUUUUUAAAAAAAAAAGAUGAAAAGAUGAGAGGUGGAGAAGGAUCGGGAAGAAACGAAAAGAAGGGAAAAGUGGAGAAGGGGGAAAGAAACUUUUCUUCUUCUUCCUUCUCCUUCACUCACGGUAUCCCUUUCAAACUAUUUUCAUCAUAAUUUCCUCAUACGAUAACGAAAUCACAUGAGGUGGGAAGCUAUAGUUUCGUAGCAAGGCCGUCUUCAAUCUUACCAUACCCACCCUUUCAAAACCAUUGUAUAAAGAAAACGAGGUCCAAAUAUAUUGACGUGUUAUGGCGACUUUUCUCUGAUUUCGGGCAAUCCCACUGGAAUCUAGCUCGACCCAAGUGAAAAUAAUGAUUUUCCCCUCGUGGGCUCUCCUCUAGCGUAAGCAUUUUUCCAAGGUUUUAACUUUUAGUUUUGGGGUCAAUUCAUGGUUUCGAAUUUUAAUUCGAUAUUUUGUAUGCAUAUUUGAGAUGAUGCUUGUUGUAUUGUUUAGGAGUUGAAUCGGAACCGGGUAGUCAUGUUUGGUUGCAUAUAUAAGGAAGAACAUUGAAAUCCUAACCUCAAUUCGAUUCUCUUUAGAAAUUUAAGGGUUGGGUUUGUGUUAUAAGCAUUAAUGUUAUUCCAUAAUCGAGGCCAGAUACGUUGGAAUAUUUUGUGUGCCAUAUUUGUCCUACCCUUUAUGCACUGAAAAGAACAUUGCUGAAAUUGUAUGUGUUGCAGCCUAGGUUUGUCACGCCCCGAUCCCGACAUACGUUCAUGAUGGACACGUGACGUCAUCAAAUAACCAUAUAUCUAACAUACCCGUCUUUGGGAUAUGUACCAAGCACAUCCCAUACCUCGAAUUGCGUAGUCAUUUUUUUUUUGUACACUUUAUGGCUGCAUCUAACCUCCCGUUAGACUGCCUACGUACCCUCAAUAGGGAUCAAGCCAUUCGUAGUUCGUCAUUCACUAAUUUAGACAUUUAUUCUAGUACGUUCUAACAGGAAUACGUAGCAUUCUGUAAUUAAUUAUUAGAACUUGACAUGCAUGACAUUACCAAGUUCAAGGCUACAAAACAAACCAACAUGCCAUUGUCAUUCCACAAUCUUGUCAAUCGAUCAAUUCAUAAAUCAAAGAUACAUGAUCUUAGCAUUUAAUUAUGUUAAUCAAUGAAUGCAAUAACAUGUCAUUUCACAAAAUUAACCAAGGAACUCUAUAUAAUUUCCUACUUGGAUUAUGAGCAAUAACAUGGUAAAUCUAUUUUAUAUUCGCAAGGUCUAUUGUGGAUAACUCUCAUUCAUUCGAAUCUAGGCUUCUAGACUAACCUUAUGGGAAUGAGCAAGAGCAAGGAUUCCGGACCACUCAACAGAAUCCAACAACACUGAGUUUCGGACCACUCAACGAAACCAAAAUAUCAAGUGGUUUCUUAUAAUCUAUCCAGGCCUGUCAUAUGUAAAAUCAGUGCCAACAUCAUGGAAAUGGUGCACCGACCAAACAGAACUCGGAUAAGCUGCGAAGCUCGGGUGAGUGACAAUAAUACAAGUAUGUGAUAAUCAAUAAAAACAAAGACCAUUGAUCAGAGUUUAUAAACCUCAAUAUAAGUUCGUAAAUAUAAAAACAUAGUCAAGUCUCUAACAACUCUGAAUGAGUCAUCCAGACAUCCAACGGCUUUUCCCAUUCAAACCACCAAGAUUCUCAAAAACCAUCAUUCAUAUGUACAUUAAAAACUAGGGCUAGAGGGAUGUAGUUCAGCCGAAGCCUACAUAAGUAACCAAACACGAAGUGGCCACCCAAAGCGGAUUAACCAAGCAGAGCCACCCCUGAGAAAGUAACCAAGUAGGCAAUGACCCUCCAAUGCGGAUUAACCAAGCAGAGUCACUCAUAUAGUUGUUAGGAAGUGAUCACCCAAUGCAGAUUAACCAAGCAUGAUCACUCAUAAGCAUACAUGGCCAUAAGGAUCGCCCAACGCAGAUUAACCGAGCGCGAUCCACAUAUAGUAUGGUCCCCCAAUGCGGAUUAACCAAGAAGGACCACUAGUGACCCCCCCAAUGCGGAUUAACCAAGCAGGGUCAAGAUAAUUAGGUAGGUAGUGACCCCGAACGCGGAUUAACCAAGCAAAGUCACACCUACAGAACUGUUAGGCAGUGAUCACCUAACGCGGAUUAACCAAACAUGAUCACCCCUAAGUAUAAAUGGCCAUAAGGAUCACCCAACGCGGAUUAACCAAGCGUGAUCCAUAUAUAGUAUGGUGCCCCAUGCGGAUUAACCAAGCAGGACCAUCGAUAUACCAUUGCUCCAUGGUGCAGGAAAUUUAACACAUAAUCUACCCACAACUCAACCCCUAUGGGUUACAACGUAGUCACUACACCAUCAACUUCUCAUGGCCACCAACUAAUACAUCACACAAUCAUAUAAAUUCUACAUAAUACUUCUAAUAGGAUUCUAAGAUCACAUAGUCAUAGCAUUUAUCAUUCUUAUCAUUCACAUUGCUAAAAAGAGAUAAUUAAACACACGUAUAUUACAAUCAUCAAUACACAAGCCAAAUCACGUAUAGCUAAAUAUAUAUAUAUAUAUAUAAAAAAUCACAUUUCAAAAGAAAUUACAUUUAUAAAACCAAGUCAUAUUCACAAAUGAUAUUAAUAUAAGAAAUUAAGGUAAUAACCAUAUCACAUAUAUUCAAAUCACUCUCUAACCAAUGGUUCACUAGACUUCACUUAGUCUCCCGUAGUACCAAUUUUAGUAUCCAAAACGUUUCGGGACAUGUUGACCAAAAGUCAACUCUCGAUCAACGGUAGGGUUCGCAACUCCACGUAAUUCAAUCCGAAAGAUCUGCCGAUCCGAUUUUGGAUCCGUAAGUUCUUAGGUCCUUAUUAUUCUCAUAGAAUAACAUACUAAAUUCUCAUUGAGAUCCGACGGCCGGAUCUCCGCCAAUUUCUAGAAUUAGGUGGCGGUCAACAAUAAGUUUUACAAACUUAGAAAUUCAAUUCGGGAAAAUCCGUACUUCGGAUUCCCGAUCCGUCAAUUUCUAAUGUCCUAAAAUAUUAUGUGUUAUAAUGCACUAAAGUUUGGAGACGAUCCAACAGUUGGAUCAUCAAUUCGUAUAAUGAUCAAGUGAUGUAUCAUAAUGAAACUAGGUUCAAUUAAUCAAAUCACAUUAUUCGGAUAUCAAAUAUGAAAUUAGGGCAUCUAAUUGGACUUAGAAAGACAUCAUCGGUCCACCGCCGCACGCGCCGCCGCACACGGCGGCCUGUCGUCCCAACUUGCAGGAAAAUUCAACUAACUCCAAAAAUUAUCAAAUUUUACAGGCAAGUAGAUUUCAAUAAGAGGAACAACUUUCAUACCUGGUCCAAAGUCCAAUUCAGCCGGGAAGUGGCCUGAAAACUCCUCCAUCAGCCAGAACCCUAGAAAUUAGGUGCGGUUCAAUUCAAUGUCAAACUCAACUCCACCGCCUCCAAUGUUGAUUGGGCUUUGUUCCUGGACUCUAAAGACACUUGAGGGUGGUGAUGGUUGACGGAAAUCCCUUCGAAAAUAGGCGGAUCGCCGUCAUGGCUUCGGAACACCCACUGUCAGUUCUUCACCAAAUUACCCUAAAUUACUUCGAAUAGGGAGUGGUGAGAUAAAGCUUGGGCAUGUGAAUUCGGUCCAAUUUGAUGGAAAUCCAAUGGAAAACCAUCAGAAAAUAUGGUGGAACAAGUCGGGUGCGCGGGUCAAGGGGAAACUCGAUUUCCCCCUCAUUCUCUCCUUCCCUCAUUUCCCCUUCUUUCUUCCUCCCUCAUUCGCUACCUCCUUUCUCUAUCCUCCUCCCCUUGGCCGAAACUCUCCCCUUUUCCUCUUGAAACUCCCUUCUUCUUUCUUUUCUUCCCUUUUUUUUAAUUGGCUGCUGCCUAACCUUUUUUUUUUGUUUAAAUCUGAUUGGUCAUUUCCCUCUUCUAACCAAUUGGUCCUUUAACCCAAAUAUCGGUAUGGGCCUCUUACUCACAAAGUGGGAGAUAAUUAAUUCCUAAAAUCUAUAGUAUCACAACUUUAAACGUCGGUAAUUAUACUGUUAUAAUCCGAACUCGCAAACGGCUUUCGCUUGUGCGUUCAUGGGAUCGAGCUCUAUUCAGAAAUAUAAAUUGUGACCUCGAAAGAUCUACGGAUUUUAAAUAAUUAAUUUCCAAACUUCAAACUUCGUAACUGGUUUAAUUAAAAUCUAAAUUCAAAUAAAUUACUAUAAAUUCCCAAAAACAACAUAAAAUUUCAAUAAUAAUAAUGCGUGGAUUAUAACAGUGAAAUCCGGGAACGAGAUUUCACAAGGUUUGUGCAGUUAAUUAGAGUUCUAAAACUACUGAAUGGUUCUUUAUUCUUCCCAUGGCAUAUUUAUUCUUCCCAUGGCAUUGCCAGAUGUUGAAUAUUUGAUUGGACAAUGUUAUUAUUAGAGUAUUAUAUGACUUUUGUUUUGGCUGUGGAUUUAUUGGUGGUUCUUUAUUUCAUUCUUUCAGCGGAUGAAGAGCUUAAGACUGCUAGGAAUUUACAUUUUUAUUUUGAGGCACUUGAAUAAACAAUUUGGUUUUUCUAUAAUAAUAAUUAAGGAUCAUUGAUGGUUGGGCUAGUGUACUAGUUACGAAUAAUUAUAUGAAUGUUAUAGUUUAUGGAUUGCAUGUUAUUCUAUGGCCUGAGAACUAGUUCCUUGGUUAAGAUUAAUGGAUUAUCAAACAUUAUACAUAUUCUCUAAUUGAAUACAUUACUAUGUUUAUGAGUUCAAGAUCAAUUUAUUAUGGCUGGUAUAGAUAUCAAUAGUUGACAUAUCCAAUUUGGUGUGGUUACUUUUCGUUUAAGUAUUUCACGCUUAUACGUAUCAUGUUGUUUGCUUAAAUGAUACAAUGGAUGUCCUAUUAGGUGUAAAUGUCUACAUGCAUGCCUAUUCUGAAACCAAAAUCAAGUUGAUGGUUCAUGUUUUGAAGUUAUAUAUAUGUGUGAGUGUGUGUGUGUGUGUGUGUGUGUCUCAUAUGCCUAGACAAGCUAUACAAAGAAAGUAUACCGUUUCUAUUAGUUAUUCUGAUUACAUGUACGUAGUAAUGACUUGCAGUGGUGAUAUGAGUUUAUUGAAAUGAUAAACCACAAAUGACUUGAUCCCUUUAGGGUAUGUAGGCAGUCUAACGAGGAGGUUAGAUGCAGCCAUAAAGUAUACUAAAAUUACUACGCAAUUCAAAUCUUGAGUUAUGCUUUGUACAUAUCCCGGAGGCGGGGUAUGUUAGAUAUACAGAUACUUGGUGACGUCACGUGUCGAUCCUGGACAUAUGUCGGGAUCGGGGCGUGACGGCUCAUUUCAAUCAUUUUGUACCCCUACAUAUUAUUGUGAUUCAAUGAAGCUCCCCAUUAAAUGAAUUGCACCAAAUAGGGGAGGCCUUCGCGGGAUCUCUGUGUCCGAAGCCGACAAACACAGAGAUCCAAACCACUCAUUUUAAAUUAUAUGGUUCUUAUUAGCUCAUUCUAAUGGCCUUCCUCACACAAACCACUGAGUUUAGAUCUCCCUCUCUUUAACUACCUUGGAUAUGGGGUCACUCUUUAACCACCACCACCCACCCACAACAAAAGUACAACUAUAAGCAAAGUUGUAUGAGGGGUCGCUCUAAAAUUGAUCUUAAAAUUAAAUAGUCCGUCGUUCCAAAAAUUGUUUUGGCAAUAUUGCAUUUAAAAUUAUCUGACAAUAUAACAUUAUUCCGAAAAAAAUUUGUAUAAAUUAUAAGUUCAAACAAAAGACACUAUAUAGCUUAUUCUUGACUAUUUUAGGUGUAUAUAUACUCCAUUGCUGAAAAUUCUACUAUGCUCAUCAUAAUUCUUGCCAAUUGACCAGGCAAUUGGGUUAAAUUACCUUUGACCAAAAAUAUGAUGGUCCGUCGAUGCCAAAUUGGGCAGGCAAUUGUUGGGCUCCAAGAAGCUCGUUGAACUACCCUUGCAGCCCGUUGGCAAUAAGUAACGACGGGCCUGACGUCAAGUAGCUGGAGGCUGACCUUAACCCCGUGCACCAAUGUUGAACCAAACAGCUCUAAUUUGGGCGCCCCACAACUAUUGGAUUUUCAACAAUUUGUUGAUCCGGACUAUUAAAUUUCAAAAGAUACAAGUAAUUUAAAAGAUGAUGUUGUGCCACGUGGCACUUUGUGGCGCAUUUGAUAUUAAAAUUUUGAAAAAUUCAACGGUCAGGAUUAAUCCCACGGUAAAAAAUACAAAAAAAAAAUUAGAAAAAAUUUACAACAAAAAAUAUCUAAAAAAACUUUCAAAUUUCACACUUAAACAAAAAUCUGAGCUGAUAUUACUAAUAGAUAAAGACACGUGGUGCGAUGAAAGUGGUUGAAAAUGGAAAAGUAUCCUCUCCGGCUCCCUUCCACCAAAUCCACCAAGUUCAAAGAUCCGAGUAAUUUAAAUUUGAUCAAACGGCUACAAACAAAGUUCACUAUAAAAGUUAUAAUAGAUUUGAUCAAAUUUCAAGGGCCGAUCCGAACUUGUGAAUUUGGCGGAAGGGAUCCGGAGUCAUUUCUGUUGAAAAUCUCAUCGCCUCUCCUUUCAGCCCUUCAAGGAAAACCCACUUCUUGGGCCGUCUUCAACCACGUAAAGCUUCACUCUUAUAUUAGUUUCGGUGUUUAAAAUUGUUGGGAUUUGCAGUUUUGGAUUGAAAUUUGUGUUUUGGGAUUUGUUGGGUGCUCGCAUGUGUUAAUUUGGAAAAUUUUAGUUGUGGAUUAUGGGGAACUGAUGUAAUGGCGAUCCCGUUUCAUGUAAGUUGCUUUUGUUGAUGUGUUUUUGGUGAAAUAAUGACGAGGAGGGUUGGAUAGUUUGGCUGGUUUUAAUUUUUUUUUGUGAAAUUAGAGUGGGAUCAAUCAAGGUUGAGACUUUUUAAGGUAAGAGUUAUUGUGAAAGUUAUGUUUUUACAAAUUUUUGGGCAAAUUUUGUGACUUGGUGGAUUUGGAAUUUUGGUUAUAUUAGAUAUAUGUGUAAAGAAAAUAGUUGAACUGCAUGAAGCUUGAGGGGUAAUGAGGGUUUUAGGUAUUUAGUGACAUUCAGGCCAUGCUUGAUGUCUAUUUGAUGUCGGUGUAUCGGAAAUGCUUGAACAAAGAAGAAAGGUGCUCGAAGAGCUGCAGUAGUUAACUACUUGGUUUGAUUAGAUUGCUAUGUUAAUCAAAAUGUCCCCUGUAGUAUGUUUAUAGGGUUAAAGUUUUACUUUAGCGUUCUUUAGCGACUUGGUUUCAAAAGUUCACUUUCCUUGGUCUGUGAGGCCAAUGGUAGAAUGAUCAUGGAAAAAUGAAAUUGUUCUGUCUUAAUUUUGUCUGGUAAGAGCGGGUAUGCAUUCUUACAGGACUCGUUUGUCAUUCUUUUAAGCUGUUUAAUGUGCUCAUUUCAGUAUGCAUCAUCCAAAGUCUUUAACCGCUCAAAGUAGCACUACAAGGGCCAGGGAGCUAUCAUCUGUUUGUAAAUAAGAGCUAUAGACAUGUCCUAUAAGGUCAAUAGGUCUCAGUUGCAUAUCUAACUUGUUUCUCAUGUGUUUUCAUCCUAAAGGUUAGAAAAGGUGGGUGCUCUAGACACGCAAGGAGUGGUUCAUCAACACCAAGGGAUGGCGGCUGAUCUCAUGUAUGUGGUUACAUGCUGGAGUUUUCCAUGUGCUUGCCAAUAUGCUGAGUCUUGUAUUCAUUGGAAUUCGGCUUGAGCAAGAAUUUGAAUUUGGUAAGCAUCUGGAUUUUUAGCUUCAUGUAUGUUAUCAUGCAUGUAUGGCCACAUCCAUAAGUGAUUGUAGUAAAAGAUAAUACAUAUAUAUAUAUAUAUAUAUAUAUAUAUAUAUAUAUAUAUAUAUAUAUAUAUAUAUGAGCAAAAAGCCGUCUCAAAGAAGGAGAACGAAGCUUUAAUCUCAUUGGCUACUACAUAAUGGAUAAAAAGGUCGUACCUAGUGCACAAGGCUCCUGCUUUACGCAGGGUCUGGAAGAGGUGAAUGUCGGCUAGCCUUACCACCAUUUAUGGAGAGGCUGCUCCCAAAUCUCGAACCCGAGACCUACCGCUCAUGAGCGAAAGCACUUGCCAUCGCACCAAGUGCGACCUCUAGCUACUACAUAAUGGAUGCAUCAAAAAAAAAAUCCACACAUAUAUGACAUUAGCGUAAAAUUAUAUGAAAUGGGUUCAGUCUAAAACUUGUAACAAGCUAAGUUGUACAUUUCUUGAAUUCAUCUGGCAAAAGGCUAGUUCUGUCUUAGCUAACUUUGUAAUAUACUUCUACUAAAGCAUGCCAACAAUCUAAGUUUAAGUUCCUAUUACUACUAAGGCAUUCCAUCUUUCAACUCUAAAUCUUAAGAAUAAUCAGAAAUCCACCAACUUUAAAGAUAUUUGACCCUCCCACAACAUGGAAUUGAUGGUUUACAAACACAGUAUCAAACAGAAAAUAGUAUUGCAUAUGAACAUGAUUUGAACGAAAUAGGAGCCAGAAGAAAGAAAUGCCCACCAUCCUGUCAUGAACUUUUUUGAUGCCCAACUUCUAACAAUUUUGGAAAACGUCUGCACAGAGAUAAAAAGAGAUUAGAAUGAUUGUUAUGAAGAUUAAGAAAAAGGAGCACAAACACUCAAAGCAUCGGAAAACUUAUGCCCCAACUUAGGCCACCAAAAAGUAACAAACUUUGACACACUGUAACCGUUUCUUCUUCUCCUUCCGAUUCAGAGUGUAUUAUGCGUCUUGCCUAGUUGUAUUAUGUUGAAAAGUUGGACUGGGCAUUCAUAUGGCUUCCCUUUCUCCGGCCAAAACCAAACAACAGCUUGCUCAUCCCCUGCAAUUAAAAUACAACAAAAAAAAUCAAAAGAAUAAGUUAAAAUUUAAAAUCUCAUCUGGGUACGUUGGGUUCGAUAUUUUAUCAAUUGUUGUUUCUGAGUUGUGUUUUUUGCGGAUUUUCACAACCAAAAAUAAACCUUAAUACCCAGACCUAAAUUCUUGUUCGGAUUUUAUUAGAUUUUUUAUACCGUAUAACUUACCAAUUUCCAUUGUGUUUGAGAAGAUAAACUACUUUUGUAAAGAACUUUAGAAUUCUAAAUUAGGAUAAAUUGCUUAUCUUUAGCAAAAUGGAUUCUACUGCUAUUCUUCACAGGCGACGGUGAAUGUUUGGGUGCCGCUGCUGGUUGGGAUUGCGCUAGUUGUUGCACACGCGGCGUUGAGGUGGACCGAUGGGUUGCCGUGGACAAAGAGAGCUCUGCGUUGUUGACUGGUUAUUCGGCUCGAUUAUGCGAAUUCAUGGAUUUGGAUGAAUCAGUGAUGGCGGUGGUUUGGGUAAACUAUUUGGAGAAACAAUUUACAGCGUCACACGGUGGGGAAGCAUCCAGAAAUCAGGUGGGUCGACAGACUGAAACGGUGGGGCAAGGAAGAAUUCAGAAAUGAAGUAAAAGACCAAAGAAUAAUAAGGGGGUGUAUUCAAUUAUUGGUAUUUUAAGAGCUUUUAAUUUUUUUAAUGAAUAUAGGGUGUAUUCAAUUACGAUUUUAAAAAGGUUCACAAUAUUACAAAUGUAUUCAAUUAGUAUUUGAUUUUAAAGAAUUUUAGAAAGUUGAGUAAUUAUAGGAAAUUUGAGAGAUUUUGUAGUAUAUUUUAAGCAUCUAUAAAUCUCUUAUCUUCCCAUGAGAUUUCAAGGUAAUUAAAUUAAAAUUUUACAUAAAAUCUUUACAAAUCAAUUAAACUUCAUAAAAAUCCAUGAAUUUAUAAACCUUUUAAAAUCUCAUCAAUUCUCAAUUGAAUACACCCUUUUAAAGCAGGACUCAAGAUGGAAUCUCAUUGUACAAUAUACAGUAACGACAGAAACAGAGAAAGAAUAAAAAUGGAAUAACACUGUAGAAUAAACAGUGUUUUAGGCAAUUUUCUCUUUUAGUGUGUGUAUAUAAUUUGCAUAGUAUGUAACACUGAGAAAAAUGACACGUAAUAUAACAACAACAAAACACUAAGAACUACUAAAUCUUAUUCUAUUAUGCAUGGGUUAGCCGUAUAAAUUCUAAAAUUUCACUAAGCCGGUUUGGUGAUAAGUUUUUCGUUACCAUCGUACUCCAUAUCUUUCUUACCAUUUCUUCCCAAAUGUUCUUACUUCCUCUACCCUCUGAACUAACCCAAGAAACAUAAAUUUUUUUUUUUUUAAAAAACCCCAAAAAGUAGAAAAAAAAGAGGCAAACUUCAGAACCCAUUUCAUUCAAUUUUUCCCACAUUUUGAUUUCGAUGAGAUUCGAAUCAAAACCCAAAUGGGGUUUCUGGGUCUGAAUCCAAAUUUUUGAUUGAAGACAAAAAAAACGAAAAAAGGGGAGAUUUUUAUGGAGAGAGGCCAACCUGCUGCGCCGAGCAGCUUAGAGAUAAAGGUGGUGAGUCCACGGCGGAGCGACAACGUUGUGCACCCGGCGGGACAGCCUCCGGAGACGACGACGCCGCGGCAAUCGUUCAGCGACUACAGCCCGUUGAAGAGGUGGGUGUCAUGGCUGGUGCCGUCGAUUGUGGUGGCCAACAUUGUGGUUUUUGUGGUGACCAUGUUCGUGAACGAUUGCCCCAAGAACUCCGACACUUGCAUUGGUCGGUUCCUCGGCCGCCUCUCCUUUCAGCCCUUCAAGGAAAACCAUGUAAAUUUUUCACUCUUUUAUUUGUUGGGGUUUGGAGUUUUGGAUUGAAAUUUGUGUUUUGGGAUUUAUUGGGCAUUUACAUGUGGAAAUUUGGAAAAUUUUAGUUGUGGAUUGUGGGGAACUGCCGUAGUGGCGGCGAGCCCGUUUGUGUGUUUUUUGGUGAAACUAUGAUGAGGAGGGUUGGAUAGUUGGAUUGGUUUAGUUGUGAAAUUAGAGUGGGAUCAAUCAAGGUCGAGACUUUUUUAGGUAAGAGUAAUUGUGAAAGUUAUGUUUUUACCAUUUUUUAGGUAAAUUUUAUGACUUGGUGGAUCUAGAAUUUUGGUUAUAUUACAUAUAUUUGUAAAGAAAACAGUUGAACUGCAUGAAGCUUGAUGUAAUUCUGCUUUUAAUCAAUGUUGGACUUGGGAACCCUAGUGAAUAUAGAAGUGAAUCUACGAUUAGUUGAGAAACUUAAGGGAGCUUGACGGGUAAUGAGGGUUUAUGUAUUUAGUGACAUUCAGGCAAUGCUUGAUGUCUAUUUGAUGUCGGCAUAUUGGAAAUGCUUGAACAAAGAAGAAGGGUGCUUGAAGAGCUGCAAGUAGUGAACUACUUGGCUUGAUUAGAUUGCUAUGUUAACCAAAAUGUACCCUGUAAUAUGUUACAGGGUUAAAGUUUUACAGUAGUGUUCUUUAGCGAUUUAGUUUCAAAAUUUUCGUUCGACUUUCCUUGCUCUGUGAGGUCAAUGUUAGAAUGAUUAUGGAAAAAUGAAAUUGUUUGUCCUAGUAUCUCUGGUAAGAGCGGGUAUGCGUUCUUCAAGGACUUGUUUGUCAUUCUUUAAAGCUGUUUAAUGUGCUCAUUUCAGUAUGUGUCAUCCAAAGUCUAUAACUGCUAAAAGUAGCACUACAAGGCCGAGGGAGCUAUCAUCUGUAUGGAAAUAAGAGCUAUAGACAUGCCCCAUAAGGGUCAAUAGGUCUCAGCUGCACAUCUAAGUAUCUAACUUGUUUCUCAUCUGUUUUCAUCCUGAAGGUUAGAAAAGAUGGGUGCUCUAGACGUUCAGAGAGUGGUUCAUCGACACCAGGGAUGGCGGCUGAUCUCAUGUAUGUGGUUACAUGCUGGAGUUUUCCAUGUGCUUGCCAAUAUGCUGAGUCUUGUAUUCAUUGGAAUUCGGCUUGAGCAAGAAUUUGGUUUUGGUAUGCAUCUGGAUUUUUGGCUUCAUGUAUGUUAUCAUGCAUGUAUAGCCACAUCCAUAAAUGUUUGCAGUAAAAGAUAAAGCACACAACAUAAAUUGUAGAAUAAUAAAUUAGUUACCAAGUGCAAAACUUCUUUCAUAAAUCUAGAAGAGACACUUUCCGGAUGGUUUCAUCUACCUUGCGAUUAAUCUACAGAGGAUUUCUCUGCAUUUGUUUAUUGAAUUGUAAUCCUAGAGUAGUGGUCAUGUAGUGCUGGUUGCAUUAUAACUUUCACCAGUAUGUUGCUAGGUUUGAUGGAAACAAGAGGACGUUUUAUUCAGCGGUGAGCAAAGAAAAGAGUUUAUACACCGAAGAUGGGGUUCAAACUUUAGUUUUAGACAUAGUAUUUCAUUUUAUAGAAUAAAAUUGCUUGAAACAAAAGCUGAGAGAUUAUUUCAGUUUUCCAUCACAUCUGUGGGAACAAGGAUUGUUUUGGAUAUCCAGUACAUGUAGACAUGGUUCCUCAUUUUGAAAUGUUUCAAGAUGCCGUCUAUUUGAAAAGAUUGAAAAAAUAAUAGUUUGAUGCUGAUCUACAUCAUGUACGGUUGUUUUGAUGAACUGUUUUAACUAAUUGGUUUGAAAUUCUAAUUUUUUUUUUAUUUGUUCUUCGGCAGUUCGAAUUGGUUUCCUAUAUUCUCAUGUCUGGUUUUGGUGGGAGUUUGCUUUCAGCUCUUUUUAUUCAAUAUGGUAUUUCUGUUGGUGCUUCUGGUGCACUUUUUGGUUUACUCGGAAGCAUGCUUUCAGAGCUCAUAUCAAAUUGGACAAUGUAUGUAAAUAAGGUAAAUAAAGUUUCUGUAUACUCAACGAUGCACCUCUUUAUAGUAUGUGCACGACCCUUUGAUCUUACAGUUUCAGAUUUCAAUCCGCAGUUGGCAGCAUUGCUUACUUUCCUUUUCAUCAUCAUAAUAAACUUAGCAGUGGGAAUUCUACCACACGUGGACAACUUUGCUCAUAUUGGAGGAUUUGUCUCCGGAUUUCUUCUUGGAUUUUUUUUUCAUUUUGAACCAAAUGUUACAAAUUUCAAUCAAUGCUCUCGAGUCUUGAACCAAAUGUUUUUUCAUUUUGGAUGAUUGCCAAAUGUUUCCAGAGAGCUUCUGAAGUCAAGGUGCUUUAAGGGUCUUGGUCCUUGGCGUACCGAAAAUGCCAGACAAUAGGGCCCAGUAGUGGAAGUAAGCUAGUGAAGUCGUCUAAAAAAACAAGCCAAAGUUGUUCCUCCUAUGAUCCUAUCCUUGCUUUUCAGUGCAGUGUUCGUUUGCUGUAGGAGCUCCCUGCAGUCGGGACUCGGAGGGAAUGCGACGGAUAGGCUGGCGCUGCUUGCCAUCAAAGCUCAAAUAAAGCAAGAUCUCCAUAAUUACAACGUGAUGAGCUCCUGGAACGAAUCCACGCACUUUUGCAUGUGGAAUGGUGUGACGUGCAGUCGACGACAUCGUCAAAGGGUCACUACCCUAGACCUGCAAUCUCAAAAUCUGGUAGGGAAACUAUCCCCAAACAUUGGAAAUCUAAGUUUUCUAAGGGAGCUGUGGCUGUUAAAUAACAGCUUCAGUCAUGAAAUUCCUCCACAAAUUGGGAAUUUGCGUAGGUUGCAGGUAUUGCGAUUAGACUUUAACUCGUUUAGUGGCAGUAUUCCACACAAUAUAUCAUAUUGCUUCAACCUUAUCCAUGUGAAUUUCACUCGCAACAAGUUGGUGGGUAAAAUUCCUUCAGAAAUUGGAUUGUUGUCGAAGCUGCAAAAACUUGCAUUAGAAUAUAAUAAUGUAACGGGACAGGUCCCUCCUUCCUUGGGGAACCUUUCGUCUCUCCAGGGACUAAGUCUUCUUAGUAAUAACUUGAUGGGAAACAUCCCUAGUUCUCUUGGCCGGUUGAAAAAAUUAACCUUCCUGGGAUUGGGGGUAAAUCAGUUGUCUGGUAGCAUCCCUUCCUCCAUUUAUAACCUAUCUUCUCUUGUUACAUUUACCAUGCCAUUUAACCAAAUUCAAGGGAGUAUUCCAUCAGAUAUUGGCAAAAAUAUUCCUAAUCUUGGAUUCUUUAACGUCCACAAAAACCAACUCACUGGGUGCAUACCUCACUCAAUAUUCAAUGUCACAAGUGUUUUGGGUUUUGAUGUUGGGAGUAACAACCUAAUCGGACAGGUAUCGAAUCUCCAAAAGCUUCACAACCUCCUGCAUUUCAGCAUUCAAAAUAAUAAUAUUGGAAGCGGUAAAGAUGGUGACUUAAGUUUUCUCUCGGACUUGACCAAUGCCACCCAGUUACAACGGUUGUUUAUUAACAACAACAAUUUUGGAGGGACAUUGCCCAUGUCAAUAUCCAAUCUCUCAACCAAACUUGAUAUGUUUUGGGUUGGCGGUAACCAAAUAUAUGGAAGCAUCCCAUCUGGGAUAGGGAAUCUGGUGAGCUUGGAAUCGUUGUAUUUGGGGUAUAAUAGCUUCACAGGUAACAUCCCCUCUGACAUGGGUAAGCUGUCAAACAUUGGAAUAUUAGAUAUUUCCAAUAACACAUUAUCAGGAAAUAUUCCGUCUUCCAUAAGAAAUUUAACCAAGUUAUUCCGUCUUGCGUUGCAUAGAAAUCAUCUUGAGUGCAGCAUUCCUUCAGGUAUGGGGGAAUGCCAUGGGUUGCAAUUGUUGAAUCUUUCUUAUAACCUCCUAAAUGGCACAAUACCCAAACAAGUUUUUAGACUCUCCUCCUUAUCGAUUUCUUUGGACUUGUCUAAUAACCUCUUCACAGGUUCCCUUCCCUCGGAGGUUGGGAAUUUCCAGAGUCUAAGUGAACUGUAUCUUUCUGAUAACAUGUUAUCUGGAGAACUCCCCAGUAGGCUUGGUGGUUGUGAGAGUUUAGAAGUCCUGCAUUUGCAAGGAAACUUCUUCAAUGGGGCCAUUCCAUUGUCUAUGAGUUCAGUGAGAGGGAUUCAAGAUCUAGACCUUUCUCGCAAUAAUUUUUCAGGUGAAAUUCCGCAUUUUUUAGAAGGCUUUAGAUUCUUGAAUAAUUUGAACUUAUCCUUCAAUCAAUUUUGGGGAGUGGUACCAACUGGAGGUGUUUACAAAAAUGCGAGUGCUAUUUCAGUUAUUGGCAACACUAAUCUGUGCAGCCCUGUUGCUAAUUUAAGCUUCCCAAGUGCAAGUCUAUAGAGACCAAGACACAAAGAUUGUAUCGUAGCUUGAAACUAAUACUCCCUUUAGUAUUUGGACUUACUCUUCUAGGAAUAGCCAUGGUGUUCUCCUAUUUCUUUCUUUGUUCGUCAAGGAAGAAAAGGAAAGAAAUUUCAUUGAGCACUUUGGGGAACACUACUCUACAAGUGUCAUAUGCUGCUCUACUCAAAGCUACCGACGGGUUCUCAGAGGCUAAUUUAAUUGGUGCUGGUAGUUUUGGGUCUGUGUACAAAGGAGUUCUUGAUGAGGAUGACAAAUCUCAACUUGUUGCCGUGAAGGUGUUUAACUUGUUACGCCAUGGAGCUUUAAGGAGUUUCAUAGUCGAAUGUGAAGCUUUGAGAAAUAUUAGGCAUCGAAAUCUCGUCAAGAUUAUAACAAUGUGUUCAAGUGUUGAUUUUCAUGGUAAUGAUUUCAAGGCUCUAGUUUAUGAGUUCAUGGACAACGGGAGCUUAGAGGAGUGGCUGCAUCCACCUAUUGAAACUGAAGAGUUAAGAGACCAUGUACCCAAGAAGUUAAGUCUUCUUCAGAGGCUAGAAAUUGCCAUUGGUGUUGCUUGUGCACUGGAUUAUCUUCAUAAUCAUUGUAAAACUCCAGUAGUUCAUUGUGAUCUUAAGCCAAGCAACGUUCUCUUGGACAAUGAAUUGAUUGGCCAUGUUUCUGAUUUUGGAUUAGCAAGGUUUAUCUCACAAGUAACAAGUAAUGUUUCAGCAAUUCAGAGUCGGACAAGUUCUGUUGGAAUAAGAGGAACAGUUGGUUAUGCAGCUUCAGGUAUAUAUAUGUUAGAUAUGUACUUCAUUAUAUUUCCUUUUUUAUUUUGGAGUAUUGAAUUUACAAAAUUCAAAAUGAACUAUUUAUACACAAAUGUGAUGUUUGAAUUGUAGAGUAUGGCAUGAGGAGUGAGGUGUCAACGAAUGGUGAUGUCUACAGCUUUGGCAUUCUCUUGUUGGAGAUGUUUACACGGAAGAGACCCACUGACAACAUAUUUGGUGAUAGCUUGAACCUUCAUAAUUUUGUCAAGAUGGCUCUCCUCGGGCGAGUUACUGAGAUUGUAGACGCGCCACUUCUUCAAGGAGGCACAAACGAGAAUCCCAAUCAAUGCAACGCAAGAAUUCAUAAAGUUGAGGUGUGCUUGGGUUCAAUAUUUAGAAUUGGAAUUGCUUGUUCUGCUGAAUCCGCAACAGAUCGACUAAAGAAUAUCAAUGAUGCUGCAUCUGAACUUCAUUCCAUUAGGAAUACUUUUCUUGGAUAGAAACUCUUUUUUAUGUGCUUUUGUGAUAGAGAAGUUUCGUGUGAAGGGUGUAUUACUACUUUUAUGUACUGCCUGUGUAAGUCUAGCUUUUAUGUUACCACAGUAGAUGUGGAAGUUUGCAAUGUAAAUAAUCACCAAUGAGGUUCAUUGUGUGAAGAGUGUAUUACUACAUCUUGUACUUGGUAUUUUUGUGUAAGAUUCACAUCGAUUUGUUUGGAUCAAAACUUAAACUUUGGGCUCGAAGGAAGUUGGCCCAAAGAGCAGCCUAAAGGGGAGAGGUACUCGAAGGCCCAGUCAAAACCCAGCCGAAGUCCAGAAGACAGGAGAAGCUUGUUUCUGACUAGGUGCAGGCCAUGCAGACCACUUGCUCACCUACCCAAAGGCCAAGUGGUAUAGACCAGCCAGCUAAUCAGCCCAAAAAGUACUUUUAAAUGGUAGUACAAGUAAAUAGCUGAUGAGUCACUACCCUUCAAACUGCAUUCGGGCAAGGUUGUUGCUACCGGAGGCCAAGCCAAGGUGUCUAUAAAAGGAGAAAGAGAGGUCAGAAUCAAGGACACUCAAACAAACAAAUACAAGCACAAACUCUGCUCAAAGCCAGAUUUGCCUUCAAAACUAAGCUGUAGUCAGCCCAAGCCUUCAUCCAUUUCGGGAUAAACCUUUUGUAAUAGCUCUGCUACCCUGUUCAACUCUUGUUGUAGUAUCGAUUUCUUUUGUAAACUCACCUCCCAACCCUUUUUCUAAGCUUUCAAACUUUCUGAUAAACCACAAAGAUAGGAAGUUGCAAGACGAUCAGCCUUGCCUGACAAGGUUAAACCUUGCCCAACCCUCUUUGUUUUUUUUCUUUUCAUUCAUUAGCCUAGCAAUAUGUUGUAUACUACAAGUUGUAUCCCAGUUGUUUCUAGUAAUAUGGCUAUUAAAGGACUCUCUCAGCACUUGAAUCCGAUUUGAAUAUGUCUUCACAGUUUAAGCCAGAUUUAAGUUCUAAGUCUUCGGGCAUAUAAGAUUUGAUCAUUCUAAAAGUCCUUGGCCUCAAGGCAUAAAAAAGAACCUGAUGUGGACUUAACCCAUCCACUACAAGCUUUGAUAACAAGAAGUCCGAAGUUACUUGGGGCGCAAGUAAUCGACCUGUCACUUAGUUUUAUUGCUGUUAUAUUAUGAUUACCAUAUAGCGUCCGAGGACAGGAUGAAUUCUGAUGGGAAGCCUCAAGGCCUAUUCAAGGCCCCACAAAGGCACCUAUUUGGAUUCAUCCUAUUUCUCGGGCAAGAACAUUGAGUAUAGAAGGGGUUUUGAUGGGAAGCCUCAAGGCCUAUUUAAGGCCCCACAAAGGCAUCUAUUUGGAUUCAUUCUGCUCUUUGAGCUCAGGUAAUCAGAAGUAUGAUGGUUAUAAGACCCAUAUAACCAAGAAAAGGAACCUUAUGUGUUCGAGUACUAAGUUAGUUAUUUAUGGGAAGCCUCAAGGCCUACACCUAAGGCCCCACAAAGGCACCUGUCAAUAACUAAACUUAGUCUCUCGAAUAUAUAAUUAAACUCAAACAUCCGUUCUACAUCUGCCAUGCUGAAAAUGGCAGUGGCACGCCUGAGCACUUAAAAGUUAAUUUUGAUUGUGAGCCUCAAGGCCUACACCUAAGGCCUCACAAAGGCACCUUUCAAAGUUAACUUUGUCAUUCUCUUUCAGCCUUGCCCGACAAGCCCGCCAGUAAAGCAGGAGCCCGACAUAAAAGCAUCAACCGGCGCCAACCUCUCGGGGAGCUGUGUGCUCGUCGGACAGGAAGCAUCCCCCACGGAAAUUCCUGCCACGAACACGAUUAAAGUCUAGUUAGGGCCACGAAAUUGUUGAAUAUUCACAUUGACAUAUUUGAAAUUUUUGAAAGAUUCAUAACCUCAAAACCCUCAACGUUCAAUAAAAUCAUCUUGGCAGCUGUAAGAUGGUGAGUUGAGUUUCCUAUCAGACUUGACCACCAUCAGUGUUAGAUUCUGCAAGGGAAUUCCUAAUCUCAAGCUGCCCUAUUGCAAGUCUAAAGAGCUCCAAGAAAAGAAGAUUAGCUUGAAAUUAAUAAUCCCUUUAGUAUUCGGACUUGAUCUACUUGCAAGUGUCAUAUGCUACUUUCUCAAAAGCCACUGAUUGGUUUUCUUCAGCUAAUUCGACUAGUGUUUAACAUGUUAUACGUCAUGGAGCAUCAAAGAGUUUCAUAGCCGAAUAUAAGGCUUUGAGAAAUUUCAAGCAUCAAAAUCGUGUCAAGAUCAUAUCUACAUGUUUUCUCGAUGAUUAUUUCAAGGGUCAUGUUUAUGAGUUGAUGCACCAAAGGAGCUUAGAGGAGUGGUUGCUUCCCCUCCUGUAAUUGAAAAGGUAAGAGAUCAAUACAUCCAACAAUUUAAAAUCUUCUUCAAGGGCUAGAUAUUGUUAUUGGUGUUGCUAUUAUGCACUGGAUUAUUUUCAUAACCAUAGCGAAACACGAAUAGUUCAUUAUGAUCUAAAGCCAAGCAAUGUUCUUCUAAACACCAAGUUAACUGGACAUGUUUAUUGAAAGUAGAUUAAUAUCAGACUGUUACUUAUAUGAACUCCUCCAUAUAAGUGAAGGGAAUUGGGUUCAAGUUGGUUGGUUUGGUUAAUAGGGUUUGCAAAUGGCCAUCUUUUGUAGAAUUUUAACCCCAACUUUAAAGCCCAUGGGCUAUGACAAAUCAAGGUUUUCUAGCAUUGUUGCUAUCAAUAUUCUCCCAUGCGCAUUCUGAAGUCUAUUCCAAUGGUUUUAGCAGUCGUUCUACUAAUCUUGACAAUGAACGAGUUUUUAUUUAUUUUUUAUUCGAGCAAAUGAUAUUAUCUACACUAAGAGGAAGGGGAUAGUUUUAGUCUUAUAAUGGGCUAACAAUAAUGUGGUUUAAAUUCGUCUUUGGUGAGAAACGAACCCAAGACCUCUCACUUACAAGUGAAGAGAAUACCACUAGACCGUAGUACUAAGUGGCAUGAAAGAGUUUCUAUUAAACCCGCAAAAAUGAAAAUUCUCAACCAUUCAUUAAUGGAUACUAACAAAUUUUUUUUUAGUACAAAGAUAUGUCACGAUAAUGUAACUUAUAGUUGUGUCACUGACCUUUUAACUUAUUGCCCUAUCUUUAACUCACUCCAAUUAAUAUCGUCCUCUAAUUGUUAGUAUCUAAUGAAUCUCAUCAUAAAUUGUUACCCAAUAUAUUAAUUAUCAAAGCAAAUAAACUUGAUUGAGUUAUAAAUUUAUUGUGACCCAAUUGGUAUGGUUAGUAGAAAAAUCAAUUUUGUUCAUAAUUUUCAUGUCUUCCAAGUGAACAUGGGGCUAUAAGUGAAGUUCCAAAGGUUACGGUGGUGUAAUUUGGUCCAUGAAUUGUCUCCUUCAUUUUGCAUGCAUGCGGUAGGUUACUGACUACCAAUAAUUCUCGUUACCAAGCAAAUUAAAUACCAUUAAUUAAGAGCUUAAAAAGUCUUUAAUUAUUACCUCUCUAUUUUGCUUUAGCAAUUAGGAAAUUUUCCCCUUUUGCGUACAAUAUUAUAAGAAUAUUUGUGUUCUCCACACUCAAAUGAUGGUGAUGCUUACUACCUUAUUUAUCACUGUUAUAUGAGUUUAGUACCUUGGAUAGACACAAAUCUCAAAAUUUAAACAAAUACAACGGUAACAAAUAAGGUGGUAAGCAUUACCACCACUUGAGAGUGAUGACUAAAAAUCUCCCCAAUAAUAUAAGUAGUUAAGUUUGUUGGUGUGGUAGUUGGUCUUUAGCAAGCUUCUUAUAGAAAAGAAGAAGCAUUUAUUUGAAAAGAUUCAGACUCCUUUUGGAUAUAGAUAAACAAUGGCUUGUUAAAAACCAAAAUGAUAAGGCAUUCAACAUUCAACAUUCACCUAAAAAAAAUGAUAUACAUGAUAUCCAUCAAUGUUUUGGUAACAAAUUCCCAAAUUGCUCUAUCUACCAAACAUUUGCAGAUCAAUAGUUACAGAAGGUCACUUUUAUGAUAUUCAACCCAAUACCCACAUUAUUGGCAAAACAAACAUUGUAUAGAUCUUUUGAGUACCCGAGCCAAUGACAAUAACAUUGACGGCAACUACAAAAAAUUUACAUUAUAUAAAGAGGCAAUCUCAGAAUCAAAAUUGUCAAAAUCCAUAUUUGAUGGCAUUUUUUCAUCAGUCAAUCAAUACACACAUAACACAUAAUCACAAACUCGAUAAAAAUUCAAACCCAUAAAUCCAUAAUUAGCAAUGUUUUUUCUUAACCCCCAAAAACAAUCCAAAUCUUAGUGGUUACAUUCCUUAGUCAAGCACUCAACCACUUGGGCACAUCGACUACAACUUGGGAAUGUUACGCAAAUCUUAGGCAGCUUGAAUCAUUAAAUUUGAGUUGGAAGAAGCUCUGUUACCUGCUCUGCUAGUUGAGGAGUGUCACCAAAUUCGGCACUAUCAUCAGCAUCAACACAUUUCACAAACUCCCACUUCCAAAACAUUUCACAAAAUCAAAAAUCAAAUGAGUUUAUGUAGCAGAAAAGAUUGACGGAAAAAUAGACUAGGAAAAGCAAUUAAUAUUAAAUAGAGGAUAAAUGAUGUUGUCCAGUAAAUAAGACAGUUGUAUAUAUUUCUCGACCAUGAGAAAACAUCAAAUUAAUAGAGGCAUUAAUCCUAAGUUUGCCAUUCAUUGUUGUCGGUCUAAACUUGAUGACAUAUUGUAAAGUCCUCGUACAUACAGAUUCAUGAAAUAUUAAUUUAUUUCCAUGAGUUAUUUGAUUUUGCAAAUUCAAAAUAAUUGAAGAAUACUGAGAAUUACUAAACAUCCAAAGAUAGCAUUUGUGAAUUACUAUCCCAUUUGUGAAUUACUGUCCUUCUAAGCAUCCAAAGAUAGCAUACCCAAAAUACCAAAUUCAACUCCAAUAUAAUAAAAAAUUAAAAAACAAAUUAACCAAAUUGGGAUAGUUAGAUCAAAUAAAGAUUUACGUCAACCAAUUACACAAAAUAAUUCAUGCAAAGUAGGCUCCUAAGAAAAUAUACCACUAUGGAGGUGGAGGAGGCCCAGGCUCAAACAGUGGAGGACGGUAGCAUUUAAAUAUACCGCAGCAGCAUGGAAUCCACAAACUGCAUAAUCAAAACCAAAAUUUUAAAAUUUAUAUUUAUAUUUAAAUUUGAAAGAAAAAUGCAGUAGAAUUGUAUAAUGAGAAAUUCUCCAAUGUGGAUAAAUUAAUCUUGCAGGAUGCGAUCAGUUGUAUUGGGCUGGCAACCGGCUUAUGCUCAAAUCCAACUAAAUUUAUCAUACAGCCUUCCAACUACAAUUCAAGGGAAGAAGUUCCAAGUCCAUGCAUAAUGUUUGCUCAACUAAAAUAAAUUGCUUUUCAUGAUUAAAAUAGCCAACCAACCAACACUCAUUUGAUAAAAUUGAACAUUUGGAGUUAUAUAUCCACAUAUUCCACAUAUUUAAGAUCGAACGAACCUUCUCAUGAAGACCACCCAAGGGUCCAUUAGUGAGUUGUGUGACCAGAGGAUUUACUGCACUUGAGUUUCCUCGUGCAGCUGCAAGAGCUAUGAGCUUACGUUGACUGUCAAUCACUUCUCCGCUUAAGGUUUGCGUCACCGAUGAUGCAGAAUUAAUAGCUUCCUGCAAAGAAGUGCAAUAAGAAACCUUAAUUUGUUAAAAUGUGAGUAACUACAGUGUUCUCAAUUGAUUAAAACAUCAUCCGAUGGUGUUUUCUAGGCUUUUUUUUUCCUUCCUUUCGCAGGCCAUUAUUUCAUUAGCCAUCUGAAGAAUUGCAAUUGAUAGAAUCGGUGUUCUUUGAAAUAAUCAUAACACUUCACAACACAAUGGCAACAAUUUAUACAAAUUCUAACAACAAAUUGUCAAAAACAAUGAGAACAAUUACCAGAAAUUUCAAAUCUUUUGGGGGUUCAGAGUAAUUACCAAAGAGAUGAAAGCUAAAAUCAACAUUAGUCCAAUUUUUUCAAAAUAAGAACAGCUCCGAUCUGAGAAAUACAAUGCAAUUUCUGAAGGAAAAAAAAAAGCAAGAAAACCCUAAAAUCCCUAAGAACCCUAAUUUAUAAACCCUAAACAAACGCAAAAGGAGAGGAGACUCAAAUAAAGGGAAAAUCGAGAAAUUCAACAUACUAUCGGAGCGAGGACGCUUUCUGACGACCAAAUUCAUCGACACCGGAGGCGGUUGUCGACCAUCGCUGCACCUUCAUUUCGCCUCCGCCAUGUUUGAGGCUUUCGACCGUCACUACUUGGUUUGUGUGCUUCAUGUCGAGAGAUAUGGGGAGCCGAGAGGUUGUGGGUUUUCUAGUAGAGAAGGACAGAAACAGGAAGAGUGAGAGAUGAGAGAGCGCUCGCGUAGGAGAGAAAGAGGAAGAGUGAGAGAUGAGACCAGAGCGCACGCGUCUAACCCAUCGCAAUCCGUUAUAAACUUACCCUAUCAACUUUUGAGAAAUACCCUCCCAACCCAUCCCCAUUUGGCUGACAUUGUUGUAAAUAGCGUCAAAUUGAGUGGCAAAGAUUUGAAAUUACACCCGCUCAUUGCUGCAAGAAUCAGUUGUUUCAGGCGUAAUCGGAUGAAUAAAACACAUUUAAGUUAAAUUUAACACAAUUAUGAACAAACAGAGGGAUACAUGAGUGAAUGAAGUCGAUAAGAUAAGCAGUUUUGCUUUUAUAUACAUUCAAGUGAGCUAGCAUAUAAACAUAUUGUACAACGAGUGGGAAGAAACUGAACGUCUUUGAUUACAAAGAUAUGGUUUCCAAAAAAGUUUUUUUUUCUUAAGAAAUAGAAGAAACAUGUAGUUCACACAUAAUAUGUGUCUUGCAGUGUAGACAGUCAUUGAACAGGUAAUAUCAAGAAAAGAAAUUAAAAUAUUAGGCAUAUGAGUGCAAGCUUACAAAUACGUUGUUUUUGUAUAAUUUCUUCUCCCUUCAAUGAUAGUUUGUUUCUUAUGCAGAAAAAUAAAAUGACCAGGUCAAUGAUACUCACAUGUGCAAAAUGCUAAUUCUAAGGUCUAAAGCUAACUGAGUUUUUAAGUGUAAAAUCCCUAAUUUCACUGCAUUUGGAUUGAUCACAGUUCGUGACUUGUUAAACUUGAUAUCCCCUUGUACAUUUUGUGAACUUGACAACUUAAAGAAGUGCUCAUAAAAGCAAAUUACACAAUAUCUACUGAAAAACUUAGAGAAGAGACUUAACUAAUCAACAAACAGGUGCCUCACACUUAAAUAUUAAAGACCAAAGAGAGAAAACCAAGCCGAACUCUUCAAAAUUCGUUGGCACACAUGCUUCAUUAGCUCAAUUGAAUGUAUAAUGCCUACUUAGAUACAACAAUUCGAACAAUAGCUCAUAAACAGUGCUGAAAUUCCAUUAGCACUAAUCACACACUGCAGGAACAUAGAUCCUAGCAAAGCUACACCAAUUAAAUGACAACGACUAAAAACCACAAACAGGAAAAAUAGAAAAACAGAGUUAUUAGACAGCAUGAUUCAGAUAUAAUUUUAUUAGGGUUGGUAAAAGAACAACCCAUCCAGCACUUCGAACACACCGUGGGAUUUAAAAGUAGGUCUUUCUUGAUUAUAAGCUCAUAUGUCUUGCACCUAAUUUUCAAACACUCAAGCGUCAGUGUCUUAAUACUUCUAACCCACAGUUCAAAACAGAAAGAACCUCAUUUGAUGAAAAUGCCAAAAUUUUCUAAGAAUGGAGUCCAAAAAUUUAUUUUUAAGCAUCCAAAAAGCCAUUAAACUAAAAAUAGUUAGUUCUUCGUACCUUUGUAUGAAGAUAUCACAGGAAAACAUUAGCCUUCCUACAUGCUAUGUUGGAAUUUCAGGGGUUAGAUUAGAGCCACACUUGAGUUCGACAUUGAAAGUGAGGCCUCGCUGGUGUGUUUCCACACCACAUGCUCUGCAAAAGAGAUACAAUCUCAGAAUCAUAAACACAUUGAUAAGAAAUAUACACACCAUAUAUAUAGCAAGAGAAACUUAAGAAACGAAAAGUUCAAUCAAAGUGAGUGAAGUGAACCUUUCUUCUUUUUUUAACCCAAAGCAUUGAAAGUAGCGCAAACCAUUCUUUUGUCCUCUUUCUCCCCUCUUCCCGUGUCCCUCACUCUUUUUCAUCCUUUGAAACAAUAACUGAUAAGGAAAAAUUAAAAAUUACUAUGCAAUCUUGAUUCUGCUAACAUUCCAAAAUUAUUAUCAGUAAGUCUCCAUAUAACCUUUUUGAUUCGCUUCUUUUUCCUCCUAUUUCCCAACCAACAACACAUUUCUUAUCAUCUUUCUUACUAACAUAUGGGCACACACAAAAUAUGUGAGAAAAGUUUUUAUUUUUGUUUUUGAAAUAGAAUGAGAGAGGAAGAGAGUGCUAGAGAAUGUGAAAGUGGGAAGGUUUUUUUUUAUUUUUUAAUUAAAGAUAUGUUAGGAUUACAUGUAAGUGAGACUUUGAAAAAAAAAAACAAAAUUUGAUUGUGUAAAAUUACAUUUCUUAUGCAUGUUCUGUUUUAAUUAGAGGGUUAAACUGGUAAUUUCAUAAGAUUUUGAUUGACAAUGAGUUUCAUUAAUUAGUAGAGAUUCAUAUAUAUGACAAUAAACAAAAAAAAAACAAUAUGCAAAAGAUACAAAAAGUAACAAUAGCACCUUCAUAUUUACCAUUUACACUUGAAGUAAAAUCUCGAAAUAUUUCAGAAAUAUUGUUGAUGCACAAAAUCAGCGAUGACUUUGGUACAACAGAAAGUGUCAAGUUUGUGACCUUCGCUAGAUUGCUCCAGUCACUAGUGUGGAUAAGUAUGUAAAUGGAUAAAGAGAGGGAAGCAAACACAAGAUGUAUGUGGUUCACCCAAAUUGGCUACGUCUACAGAGUAGAGGAGUUCUCAUUAAUUGUGAAGGGUUUACACAAGUACAUAGGUUCAAGCUCUCCUUUAGUGAGUACUAGUGAAUGAUUUAGUACAAAUGAAAUUAGGAAAUAUUGUGGGAGAAUGAUCUCCUUUUAUAGAAGAGAGUUUCUAGCUUUGUUUUGACAUUGACAUGUGUCGUGUUAUGAUUGACUUCUGAUGUUGACACGUGUCGCAUUAUGAUUGGCUUCUGAUGUCGACACGUGUCGCGCUGUGAUUGGCCUCCUGGUUGGAGGGAAACUCUUCUGGGUCAUUGACAAUAUAACGUUGAUCGGUGCUCGGUAGUUUCGAGAUUGAUCAAGUAUGGUACAAACAAAUAUCAUAUGAAAUGCACAAUGUUACAAAUGAAAUUGAUUAAUUAGCACACAAAAAAAAUUGAUAGUGGAGAAUUGGAAAUAACUAUAGGUCGUACCCAGUGCACAAGGCUCCCGCUUUACGCAGGAUCUGGGAGAGGUGAAUAUCGGCUAGCCUUACCCCCAUUUAUGGAGAGGCUGCUCCCAAGUCUCGAACCCGAGACCUACCGCUCAUGGGCGAAGGCACUUGCCAUCGCACCAAGUGCGACCUCUAGAAUUGGAAAUAACUAUAAAAAAUUAAAAAUAUCAAUAGACCAGGAGAAAACUACUUUAAACAAAAUGAAAACUCAGAAUUUAGGAUAAAAAGAAGGAAAGAAAUCAAACAGAAAAGAAGACAAAAGAGAAGAAAAAAAUUAAAGCAAAAUACCUGAAGCUCGGUGAGAUUCAAGCUUCGAACUGAAAAAUGAAACAUUCGGCGGUCAACACCCAAUCACUAAUUAACUAAGUGGUGACCUGCUGACCAUGAACACGUGAAUAAAAUUGUAGAGGUUAAUUAUACGGAAUCUUACCGCAAAAAAAAUAAAAAAUAAAAAACUAAUUGAAAUUAGGGGUGGGUUCAAAAACGAAAACCGAAACCGAACCGAACCGAAAUCGAAAAAACCGAAUCAAAUUAAAAAAAUCGAACCGAACCGAAUUAAUUAAAUUAAUAUAUUUUUUUUAUAUUUAAUUAUUUGUUUUGGGUAUUAUUUUUUAAACCCAAUUUGUAAGCCCAAUGUGUUGCCCAAAAUCAGAAAUUCCAAAUGCAUCGCUACUUUUCCAUUAACUACAAGGAAGAAGUCGUAUAAAAAAGCAAGACCUAAAAUAGUGAUAACAAAAUGGUGCUAACUCCUGACACAGUACUGUUAGUUUCUUAUUCUUGUUUAAUAUGGCUUCUUGCUUCAAGUAUUUGUAUGCUUAUUCAAUACUUCAUUGCUUAUUGUUAUAUGCAGUGAUCAGGUAUUGGUUUUGAUAAAGUGUUUUCCCAUUUGAUAUUACUUCUUCCGACUAAAUAGUAAAUUACAUUACUAAAUGACCGAUAAUACAUACAAAGAGAGCAUAAUCGAUAUAUGACCCUCAUUGGUUAGUAUGAUAAUGCUCUCAUUGUACGUACUAUCGUGAUAAAAUAAUCAGCACAUGUUCACCAACAUACACCAGCUCUUUAUAUUAUUCAUGGUUAAGAGUUGAGGUGUGAAGAAAAUGGUAGAAAAUUUUACUUUUCUAAAAAGAAAUCUAUUUACAAUUAAACUUUAAACACAAAAUAUUAAAAAAAACCUUUAUGUUAUAAUUCUAGUUGAACUUUAAAUAUUUAUUUUCAUUUUCUUUUAUUCUAGUUGGAAUAUUUAUGUUAUGAUUAUGUUGGAGAUGUUAAAAUUUAAGACUUCAAUUUUUUUCAUUUUUUGAAAAAAAAAACACCGAAACCGAACUGGAAAAAACUGAAAAAAAAAAUGAACUGAACCGAAAUUUCGGUGAUUUCGGUUUUGGAAAAAAACCAAACCGAUUUGACCCGAACCCAGCCCUAAUUGAAAUUAUGUGUUGCACACAGUGAUAUCGAAGAAGAAUAAUUUCUAUUUAACUGAAAUUAAAUCCGAAUAAAUGAUUCAUAAAAUUACAGAUUUUCAAUCAAAUGCGGAAUAUACACAACAAUUUUAUUUCUGAUUUGAAUAUAACCAACUAAAUCCCAAGUUGUAUCAGUAUCAAUGGAUCCAACAUGGUGACCAUCUGCCCCUCAAGUAUUCAUAUCUGCAAACCCCCGUCUAAAGAAAAAUUCAUCCAGAAAUUAAUCACUGAGUAUGCAAGGUUGGCAUGCAUAUUCACGUUUUAUCGUGGCCAUGAUGAUAGGAAUUAAAAAAACACGAAAAUAGGAAUGAUGUACCUUUACUUAGAUUUCAGGGUUCUAAAACCUGUUGCUGAGAUUUGAGAAACAUAGGAAAUGUGUUUCAUGAUUUCAAUUUAGAUUUGCAUAAGAGUUCAGAAACACAUACAUCCCUUCUUUUCAUUCCGCGCCUAGGCUUGCAACACCAAAAUAGCACCAGAUCUUUGCAAUGUGCAGGGAAUAUACUGAAAAAACUUAAACCACAAUCAAUCAUCAUCUAUCUAAACAAAAUCAGAACCCAAACCCCUAAAUAUAUAAUAAUAAUAAUGAUUCUAGUAGAAAUUCCAAUCCAUUACAACAAAACACAGAGCUAAAACAACAAAACACAGAAUACCAGGUAUUGCUGGAUGUAGAUAUCCAAAACAGUGGCACCCAUCUAUUGAUCUAAUUACGUAUCCAUUCCCUAUCCAUGGCAGACAAAGUUUGUACUCCCUGUUUACAUGUUAUAAAACAUUUACUAGACCAGCAAUCAAAAUUAACAACCCUAAUUGUUGUAUACGCUAAGCUCUCCAACUGAAAAUGUUUAAUUAAAUUUUCCAACUUAAAACCCUAAAUUAAAUCCUACAAUUUGAAAUAGCAGAAACAAAAUUAGAGAGAAGGAAGAAAUCAAUGACCUUCGAGUUGUUGAAAGCUCAGAUAGGUGUUUCUUUUCAUCCAGCCCUAAAAUUAACCCAGCCUGUGUAUAGAAAAAUUGAACAAAUUUAGACAUUUAUAUGUAUGUAUAUUCCAGUAAAAAGAAUGAAAUGCAUUGAACCCUAAAUUGCAAAACUACAUCAAACUGAUUAAAGAAAAGAAACAGAGAGGGAGUGGGACAGAGAGAAAACCCUAAAAACAGAACCCUUUGGCAACCUAAUACAAAAUCAAGCCAACAAAUUCCAUUCCAAUUUUGACAAAACAAAUCGAAAAAGAAUAAUGAAAACCUGAAUGAAUUACGGAGGAACCGAUGGGUUUAUGCAUCAGCAAUGUGAUAAAACCCAGAAACACAAAACCUAAUAUGUAACAGCUACAAAAACCCAAAUAAAUAAAUAAAACACUCAAAUUUCAAACGAAGAUGUCAUAGAUGGAGGAAGAGAGAAGCGAUAGAGGGGGAGAGAUACUAACUCAACCCCACCAUCUCUCUGCAGCCAACACACUGAUUCCCUCAACCCUACCCUCAAAUCUUGUACCCAAUCAACUCUCUUUCUGUCCCCCUAAUCGUGCACCCGCCGUCACCUUCUCUCUGCAACCAACCCCCUCUCCUCUCUUCCCCAUAUCACACCCCCACCUGUGAGGGCACUGACAGCAGACUACCUCCCUAGAAACCGGCCCUAAAAACCCAUACCCAUACCUCCCUUACUCGUUCCCUUUAACCCUCGCAUAAAAUCCUCCCAUCUAUCUGUCUUUGCAAAUCGCAGAAAACAAACCCUAAACCAAAUCCCUAAAAUCCCACCUCAAUCCUCCCACACUUCUCUUGGACACUCCCUAUCUCUCUCUGCAAUUCGUAAAACAAAUCUCCUAAAUCCUAUCUCGGGCACCCGCAUCUCUCUACAAAUCACACAAACAAAACCCCAAACCUAAUCCUUGAAAUCCUACCCAAACCUAAUCCCUGAAACCCUUUCUCUUGGACAUCCCAUACCACAGAAAAUGUAUCUGAACUUUAGUUUAUAAAAUCGCAGGCCGCCUUCUCUCUUCCUACCUUUUAACAAUUCACCAGUAAGAUUAUCUCAAUAAAAACUUAUAUUAGCAAAUCCAGUGACGAAUGAUGUCAAACUGAAGCCGUAAUGAAAGCAUAUUUUGAGAAAGAAUGAAAAGCCGUCUUUCUACAACUUGAAACCAAAAUUUAAGUGAAUGGCCUUGUAACUAAGGUUAUUGAACAUGAUUAACUAUUCGCAACCCUCAACCUUGUCCCAUCUUUCUGUCCCUGCAAAUUGCAGAAAACAAACCCUAAACCAAAUCCCUAAAAUCCCGCCUAAAUCCUCCCACACUUCUCUUGGACACUCCCUAUCUCUCUCUGCAAUUCGUAAAACAAAUCUCCUAAAUCCUAUCUCAGACACCCCCAUCUCUCUACAAAUCGCACAAACAAAACCCCAAACCUAAUCCUUGAAAUCCCACCCAAACCUAAUCCCUGAAACCCUUUCUCUCGGACAUCCCACACCAUAGAAAAUGCAUCUGAACUUUAGUUUAGAAAAUCGCAGGCCGCCUUCUCUCUUCCUACCUUUUAACAAUUCACCAGUAAGAUUAUCUCAAUAAAAACUUAUAUUAGCAAGUCCAGUGACGAAUGAUGUGAAACUAAAGCUGUAAUGAAAGCUUAUUUUGAGAGAGAAUGAAAAGCCAUCUUUCUACAGCUUGAAACCAAAAUUUAAGUGAAUGGCCCUGUAACUAAGGUUAUUGAACAUGAUUAACUAUCCGCAAUAUGACAACCAUCUGCAACCCUCAACCUUGUAACCUGGAUCAAGCUGGUUUCACACAUACCAAUAGAAAACCAAAAUAUCAAUGUUUGGGGAAGUUACCUUAUUUGAAAUACCACUAAAAAACAGAGUACACUUUUAGGCAAAUAUUGUUUAAACACGCAAACAUAAUUCAUGAUAUGUGCCAAAAAGAAAAUACCUCUCGAUUAGAUUUCUUUUGUUCAUGAACUUUCUCCCUGACAAACUCCUGAGAUAGAACCAAAAAAGAAAAUAAGUCACAACUGAUGCAAGUAGAGGGGAAUGAGGCAGAGAAAAGUAUGAAUUUAUGAGUACACCACUCCUGUUUUAGGUUCCCAACUUAUAAGGAUGCUAACUUCAUCAUAUAGGACUAUUGUUAAACUCAUUUCUUUCCGAAAUUAAAUUAAGAAAAAAGUUCGACACUGGCAUGCCACAACACAAUGUUACAUAAAGUAAUCUUACCAUCACAACCAAAUUGACACAAAACUUCUAACAGUCAUUUUGAAAGUGAAAAUCAAGCAAAUACUCAUUUUCCGAAAAAGAAAAAACCCAACAAAAAUAAACAAAAAGUAGAAGUACCUAAGUUCCCAAUAGUCCAAUCCAUCAGGAAAAUACAAACUUGCACAUGUUUGAGUAAAAGGACCAUAAGAAAGAAGCAGGGGAUGCAAAAUUUUGAGAAUGGGUCUAAUAAUACUCAUCAAGUACAGAUAAUCAAAGUUAAAAGGAGGUAAUAAAGGUAUUGAAAAAAGAAGAAUAUAUUCUACAAGUGAAUGAAACAAAAUAUGGUGAAACUAGAAUGGAAACACUUCAGGAGGCCAGAGGAAGAGGGACAAUACUAUAGCAAAUAAAUUGAUAAUGCUUGUGCUCUCCUCUGUUCUUUCCCAAGUUGAUCCUACAAACAAAAGCACAGACAAAACUUAAAAAACGAUGCCAAUCAAUGAAAGCUAUAUUAUACCCAUCCUGAAUCUUUUAUAAAACAAGGCACCAAGAAAAUUUCAACAGCAAAUAUUUCAUACGAUAAACAAAACGAUGAAAUAAAUUUCAACAUCGGCUUGUUUCAGACAUUAACAUCUUACUUUGAAAUUUCUCCCAUGGUUCGUUGACAGUCAUUGUAGAGUAAACAUUAGGUGGACAACUCUUUGACUACGUCAUUAGACAACUACAAAAGCUUACUUUCCAUAAGCUUGUAACUUACAAAUUCCAAACUACAUGUAUCAUUUGUGUGCCCUCAGCUUUCAUUCUGUAAUCACAUUUACGAUUGAAACAUUAACCAAAUCCAACAACAACAACAACAAAGCCUUUUCCCACUAAGUGGGGUCGGCUAUAUGAAUCCUAGAACGCCAUUGCGCUCGGUUUUGUGUCAUGUCCUCCGUUAGAUCCAAGUACUCAAGUCUUUUCUUAGGGUCUCUUCCAAAGUUUUCCUAGGUCUUCCUCUACCCCUUCGGCCCUGAACCUCUGUCCCGUAGUCACAUUUUCGAACCGGAGCGUCAGUAGGCCUUCUUUGCACAUGUCCAAACCACCGGAACCGAUUUUCUCUCAUAUUUCCUUCAAUUUUGGCUACUCCUACUUUACCUCGGAUAUCCUCAUUCCCAAUCUUAUCCUUUCUCGUGUGCCCAUACAUCCCACGAAGCAUCCUCAUCUCUGCUACACCCAAUUUGUGUACGUGUUGAUGCUUCACCGCCCAACAUUCUGUGCCAUACAACAUCGCUGGCCUUAUUGCCGUCCUAUAAAAUUUUCCCUUGAGCUUCAGUGGCCUACGACGGUCACACAACACGCCGGAUGCACUCUUACACUUCAUCCAUCCAGCUUGUAUUCUAUGGUUGAGAUCUCCAUCUAAUUCUCCGUUCUCUUGCAAGAUAGAUCCUAGGUAGCGAAAACGGUCACUUUUUGUGAUCUUCGCUAGAUUGCUCCGGUCAUUAGUGUGGAUAAGUAUAUAAAUGGAUAGAGAUAGGAAAGCAAACACAAGAUGUACGUGGUUCACCCAGAUUGGCUACGUCCACGGAAUAGAGGAGUUCUCAUUAAUUGUGAAGGGUUUACACAAGUACAUAGGUUCAAGCUCUCCUUUAGUGAGUACAAGUGAAUGAUUUAGUACAAAUGACAUUAGGAAAUAUUGUGGGAGAAUGAUCUCGUAAUCACGAAACUUCUAAGUACCGGAGUGUGGUAUCGUCUUGACUUGCCUUAUCUGUCUCAUAGGUAGAUGUGGCAUCUUCUCUGGAAGUACUCUUCCUCCAUCCAGGGGUGGUAUCUUUAACUGGUGGAGAUGCACAAGGUAAUGUAUCAAUUUCACUUGAAGCUUACUUGUAGUUUCAGGCUUGGUCAAGCGCGAUACAAACCAUGUAGUAGGAGUCCCCCAAGUCGCCGAGCUAGGGGAUCUGCUGAAAGAGGUGACAGACAAGGUAAGCAAUCAGAGCUCCGGCUGAUUGUUCACAUUCUCCCUAUCUUGCAGGCAGCAUGAAGGAUAAAGAGAAGAAAAAUGAGAAGAGAUGAUAUGGGAUACUUUUGCUUUUGAAGAAGUAACUUUCCACAGGCUUAUUCUUGAACUGGGCUGGAGGGUUUUCUGGUUUCCUCCAGAGUAUAAGGCCGACUGAAGAAUUUGAGGGUCAAAACAAGUCCAUCAAAUCUAGAGUACGUUCGACCCUGCUGAUAUGGGAUACUUUUGCUUUUGACAGAGUAAGUGGAUGUAUCGGCACGUGUGCUGUUACGCUUGUCUCCACAUGCUUCCUUGUAUCCUUCUCACUUGCCCUAUCUGUUCCUCAGGCAGAUGCGGUAUCUUCCCUGGAAGCAUAAGAUGUUGAAGAUGAGUACUCGAGAGCAAUGCCAGGUAAGUAAUCAGGUAAGGGGUUCCAGGCAGUCAGUUCCUGGCUGGAAGCUUGAUUCCAAGUGCUGACUGAUUGCUCUCUUUCUCCUUGUCUUGCAGGUAAGAACAAGGCCAAAGGAAAAGACAGGGAAAAAGCAUGAUAUGGGAUACUCUCUUGCUUUUAACCCUGAUGAUAUGAGAUAUUCUUGCUCUAGUAUAGCUUGUUUGCAGAGAGGUAUUAUCGGGGGGAAAGAAAGCUGAAUAUUUCGAAAGGCUUCGUUGGGAGUGCCCUCUCAGAUAUGAGGAAGGGUUGAGCAUUUUUGCAGGUCUGCCUGUCCGUUGGGGAUGGAGGUCGACAUAUAUAUAGGAGUCUCCCUAACAAUCAAGUAGUAAUGCUAUUCCUUUACCCUGCUUGGUCAUAGCACGGUAGUGGGAGCUGCCAGCUUCACAUGUUUUAACUCUGUCAGAGCACUUUGAAAAAGUGGUCUGUGGUAUCUGGAAAGCUGAUGUUGCGUGUGAAGAUUACAGACAAGCUUUAUCCAAGGAGAUCCGGCUCUUGAAGUUGGGAAAGUGGUGCCUCUUCGGAUUUUCGAACAAGCAAUCCUUGUCGGGGAUCUGGCUCUCGAGAGAUUCGGAGAACGAUGCCUCUUCGAUUUUUUGAGAAAGCAAUCCUGCUGGGGGUCUGGCUCUCGAGAUUCGGAGAGCGGUGUGUCUCUUCGAUUUUUGAGAAAAGUAAUCAUGUUGGGAGUCUGGCUCUCGAGAUUCGGAGGGCGGUGCCUCUUCGAUUUUGGAGCAAGCAAUCUUGUUGGGAGUGUUUUCUCGAAUGUGAGUAAAGGUUGGGCAUGUUUGCUAGUCUACCUUGCCACGAAGCACAGAGGUUGACACACAGGGACUUUCCAAUUAUCCAGCAAUGGUACUGUUCCUUUACCCUCUCUUCGAUUUUUGAGAAAGUAAAUCAUGUUGGGAGUCUGGCUCUCGAGAUUCGGAGGACGGUGCCUCUUCGAUUUUGGAGCAAGCAAUCUUGUUGGGAGUGUUUUCUCGAAUGUGAGUAAAGGUUGGGCAUGUUUGCUAGUCUACCUUGCCACGAAGCACAGAGGUUGACACACAGGGACUUUCCAAUUAUCCAGCAGUGGUACUGUUCCUUUACCCUUGUGGGUAAUAAUAUGGUAGCUAGACCUUCAAAAUUUAUGUGUCUAAACUUUGUUAGUGUUGUUUCUUUGCUAUUCUUUUACCCUUCUUGGUCAGAGCGAUGUAGUGGGAGCUGCAAGCUUCACGUGUCUCAACUUUGGUCAGAGAACUUUGGCAAAGUUAUCUGUGGUACCCAUGAGCUACUGUUGCGUGUGGGAAGUGGGUGAUUGAACAGUAACGAUUCAUGUGCUUUCUACUUCACCAGAAAUCUUCGACAGAAUGCCCAUAAUUUCCGCAAAGCUGAGUGUGCGUGUGACAGGUGCUGACAAGGCUGGAAAAGUAGGUGCCUCUUCGAUUUCUGAGAUCGGCCCUCGUGGUCUCUGAGCAGCCCAGCUUUUGAGAAAGCAAGCGCCUCUUCGAUUUCUGAGAUCGGCCUUCGUGGUCUUUGAGCAGCCCAAGCUUUUGAGAAAGCAAACGCCUCUUCGAUUUCUGAGAUCGACCCUCGUGGUCUCUGAGCAGCCCAGCUUUUGAGAAAGCAAACGCCUCUUCGAUUUCUGAGCAGGCGCCUCUUCGAUUUCUGAAGCUUCGUCGAGUGCAGAUUUUUUAUAGGGGCUGGACAUUAAGUUCCAAAGCACACUUGAAUCUCCACCAGUAGAAGCUCCAUUCUUGCACUUCUAAGAUCUUGAUUUGUCCGACCUCUUCUCUCUUCAACACCUUUGAAAAUGUCUGGCCCCUCCGACCGUCGUUUUGACUUGAACCUUGUUGAAGAGGCAGCCCCGCCUUCUCCAGACAACAUAUGGCGCCCAUCCUUCGUCUCCCCUACUGGUCCUCUUACCGUUGGGGAUUCCGUGAUGAAGAAUGAUAUGACCGCUGCGGUGGUGGCCAGGAACCUUCUCACUCCCAAAGAUAACAGACUACUUUCCAAACGGUCUGAUGAGUUGGCUGUUAAGGAUUCUCUGGCUCUCAGUGUUCAGUGUGCAGGUUCUGUGUCUAAUAUGGCCCAACGCCUAUUUGCUCGAACCCGCCAAGUUGAAUCAUUGGCGGCUGAAGUGAUGAGUCUCAAACAGGAGAUUAGAGGGCUCAAGCAUGAGAAUAAACAGUUGCACCGGCUCGCACAUGACUAUGCUACAAACAUGAAGAGGAAGCUUGACCAGAUGAAGGAAUCUGAUGGUCAGGUUUUACUUGAUCAUCAGAGAUUUGUGGGUUUGUUCCAAAGGCAUUUAUUGCCUUCGUCUUCUGGGGCUGUACCGCGUAAUGAAGCUCCAAAUGAUGAUCAACCUCUGAUGCCUCCUCCUUCUAGGGUUCUGUCCAGUACUGAGGCUCCGAAUGAUCCCCCUCCGGUGCCUUCUCUUUCUGGGGCUCUACCGACUGCUGAGACUUCUCCUAAGCAACCUUUGUGAAGGCUCCCUCUUGUUUGUUUAUUUUGACUCAUGUAUAUGUACAUAUUUGUAACUUAUCGGGGAUAUCAAUAAAUAAGCUUUCCUUCAUUUCAACGUAUUGUGUUAAAUACACCAAAGCCUUCUUCGCUAAGUUCUUUGAAUUUUCUUUUGUUGAAGCUUGUAUGUUGAAGCUUUGUGAGUGGAGCAUGUAGGUUGAGGUAGUGUUCCCUUAAUUUCCCGAGUGAGGAAAACUUCUCGGUUGGAGACUUGGAAAAUCCAAGUCACUGAGUGGGAUCGGCUAUAUGAAUCUUAGAACGCCAUUGUGCUCGGUCCUGUGUCAUGUCCUCCGUUAGAUCCAAGUACUCUAAGUCUUUUCUUAGAGUCUCUUCCAAAGUUUUCCUAGGUCUUCCUCUACCCCUUCGGCCCUGAACCUCUGUCCCAUAGUCGCAUCUUCUAAUCGGAGCGUCAGUAGGCCUUCUUUGCACAUGUCCAAACCACCGUAACCGAUUUUCUCUCAUCUUUCCUUCAAUUUCGGCUACUCCUACUUUACCCCGGAUAUCCUCAUUCCUAAUCUUAUCCUUUCUCGUGUGCCCACACAUCCAACGAAGCAUCCUCAUCUCCGCUACACCCAUUUUGUGUACGUGUUGAUGCUUCACCGCCCAACAUUCUGUGCCAUACAGCAUCGCCGGCCUUAUUGCCGUCCUAUAAAAUUUUUCCCUUGAGCUUCAGUGGCAUACGGCGGUCACACAACACGCCGGAUGCACUCUUCCACUUCAUCCAUCCAGCUUGUAUUCUAUGGUUGAGAUCUCCAUCUAAUUCUCCGUUCUUUUGCAAGAUAGAUCCUAGGUAACGAAAACGGUCGCUCUUUGGUAUUUCUUGAUCUCCGAUCCUCACCCCUAACUCGUUUUGGCCUCCAUUUGCACUGAACUUGCACUCCAUAUAUUCUGUCUUUGAUCGGCUUAGGCGAAGACCUUUAGAUUCCAACACUUCUCUCCAAAGGUUAAGCUUUGCAUUUACCCCUUCCUGAGUUUCAUCUAUCAACACUAUAUCGUCUGCGAAAAGCAUACACCAAGGAAUAUCAUCUUGAAUAUGUCCUGUUAACUCAUCCAUUACCAACGCAAAAAGGUAAGGACUUAAGGAUGAGCCUUGAUGUAAUCCUACAGUUAUGGGAAAGCUUUCGGUUUGUCCUUCAUGAGUUCUUACGGCAGUCUUUGCUCCUUCAUACAUAUCCUUUAUAGCUUGGAUAUAUGCUACUCGUACUCCUUUCUUCUCUAAAAUCCUCCAAAGAAUGUCUCUUGGGACCCUAUCAUACGCUUUUUCCAAAUCUAUAAAGACCAUGUGUAAAUCCUUUUUUCCCAUCUCUAUAUCUUUCCAUCAAUCUUCGUAAGAGAUAGAUUGCCUCCAUGGUUGAGCGCCCUGGCAUGAACCCGAAUUGGUUGUCCGAAACCCGUGUCUCUUGCCUCAAUCUAUGCUCAAUGACUCUCUCCCAGAGCUUCAUUGUAUGACUCAUUAGCUUAAUACCCCUAUAGUUCAUGCAAUUUUGUACGUCGCCCUUAUUCUUGUAGAUAGGCACCAAAGUGCUCGUUCGCCACUCAUUUGGCAUCUUCUUCGUUUUCAAAAUCCUAUUGAAAAGGUCAGUGAGCCAUGUUAUACCUGUCUCUCCCAAAACUUUCCACACUUCGAUUGGUAUAUCGUCUGGGCCUACUGCUUUUCUAUGCUUCAUCUUCUUCAAAGCUACAACCACUUCUUCCUUCCGGAUUCUACGAUAAAAAGAGUAGUUUCUACACUCUUCUGAGUUACUCAACUCCCCUAAAGAAGCACUCCAUUUCAUGUCCUUCAUUGAAAAAGAUUAUGAAAAUAACCUUUCCAUCUGUCUUUAACCGCGUUCUCUGUAGCAAGAACCUUUCCAUCCUCAUCCUUGAUGCACCUCACUUGGUUUAGGUCCCUUGUCUUCUUUUCCCUUGCUCUAGCUAGUUUAUAGAUAUCCAACUCUCCUUCUUUGGUAUCUAGUCGCUUAUACAUAUCGUCAUAAGCCGCUAACUUAGCUUCUCUCACAGCUUUCUUCGCCUCUUGCUUCGCUUUUCUAUACCUUUCACCAUUUUCAUCAGUCCUAUCCUUGUAUAAGGCUUUACAACAUUCCUUCUUAGCCUUCACCUUUGUUUGUACCUCCUCAUUCCACCACCAAGAUUCCUUUUGGUGUGGGGCAAAGCCCUUGGACUCUCCUAAUACCUCUUUUGCUACUUUUCGGAUACAACUAGCCAUGGAAUCCCACAUUUGGUUAGCUUCCCCCUCUCUAUCCCACACACACUGGGUGAUUACUUUCUCUUUGAAAAUGGACUUGUUUUUCUUCUUUUAGAUUCCACCAUCUAGUCCUUGGGCACUUCCAAGUCUUGUUCUUUUUUUUCUCACUCUUUUGAUAUGUACAUCCAUCACCAACAAGCGAUGUUGAUUAGCCACGCUCUCUCCUGGUAUAACUUUGCAAUCCUUACAAGUUAUACGAUCCCCUUUCCUCAUUAGAAGAAAAUCUAUUUGUGUUUUUGACGACCCACUCUUGUAGGUGAUCACAUGUUCUUCUCUCUUCUUAAAGAAGGUGUUGGCUAAGAAGAGAUCAUAUGCCAUUGCAAAAUCCAAGAUAGCUUCCCCAUCCUCGUUUCUCUCCCCAAAACCAUGGCCACCAUGAAAACCUCCAUAGUUGCCUGUCUCCCUGCCCACGUGUCCAUUUAAAUCUCCUUCCUAUAAAUAACUUCUCCGUCUGAGCAAUUCCUUGCACCAAGUCUCCAAGGUCUUCCCAAAAUUUCUCCUUCGAACUCGUAUCCAACCCUACUUGAGGUGCGUGCGUACGCACUAAUCACAUUGAUAAGUUCUUGUCCUAUUACAAUCUUGAUUGCCAUGAUUCUAUCUCCUACCCUCUUGACAUCUACAACAUCUUGUGUCAAGGUCUUGUCCACGAUGAUGCCAACACCGUUUCUCGUUCUAUUUGUGCCCGAAUACCAUAGUUUAAACCCUGAGUUUUCUAGAUCCUUUGCCUUACUACCAACCCACUUAGUUUCUUGUAGGCACAUAAUAUUUAUCCUUCUCCUCACCAUAACUUCUACUACUUCCAUAGAUUUUCCCGUUCAAGGUUCCUAUAUUCCACGUUCCUAAACGCAUUUUGCUCUCUUGAACUCUACCCUUCUGUCCUAGCUUCUUCACCCUUCCCCGUCUAAUAGGAUCAAAAUACUUCUUUUGUGUGUCCCGUGUAAAGUUGAUAGGAGCAUAUGCUCCUAAACAACUUUGAGUGGAGUCGUUCGAAAAGAAGUUUCUAUAGCCCCCUUGCUCAUUUAACACUGCAUCCGGGUGCCGAUGGAGAUACAGCGACCCUUGCUCACUUAUCACUGUGCUCGGGCCACACAGCGCGCCACUUACGGGUGACGCCCUAGCUUUAGCGCGAUUUCGUUCUGGAUUCAUUUUCAUAAGGAUUCGACGUAAUCAUGGAGUGCUGGCUGUCGACUACCUGACGCUCUCCCCCUCCUCCUUUAUCCGUCUCUCUCUCUGUGGCUUUCUUAUAACACAAAAAUAUCCCUAAUUAGAGCAUGCCACACACCAACACAUUGCUAUUAUAGAAGUAUUUUUCUUAGUGGCAAGUAUUAUACUCUCAUUUGGCCAAGAGGAUAUGAAAUUGGUUGAGUAUAUUGUUCUAGCCAUUUGGAUCAAUAAGCUCAAGUUUGUAUUGUACAAAACCAUAAGUACUCAGACAUAUGAAAUCCAAUCUUUCACUUUACAAACAACAUAUGGGUAAGAAAUAGAAAGCUUUAGAACACAAAUAUACCUGAAGUGCUGAAAUAUGAGCUGAGGAAAUGUUUUCUUCUUAUUUUGAGGGAAGAAAAAUGCAGCUCUGAAUUAGGACCCAUUUCUUAACCUGUGGUUCCUAUAACCCAUAAAUAAUUUUAGUGUCAUUCAAAAUCACAAAUACCCCAGAUGAAUUGAAAAACUGCAGAGAUUAGUUUCAUGAAUACAUAAUGAAGCAGAAAGCCAUAGUUAAUCUAAAAAGAGCGUUUAGUUAAUCUAAAAAGAGGCAUACACAUACUACCAAUCCUCCGAAUGUUCUCUGCACGAUGUUCUGCUUUAAAACUAAGGUCGUAAUUCAAGCCAUGCCUGACAUUGUCCCCAUCAAGAAUGUACAACAGCUUCUGCUGUAGUACAAACUCCCACUCAAAGCACAUGCCACCGUGCUCUUCCCUGCACAAACAAAAUAAAUUAUACGCAAGUAAUGAGCAACUUUCUUUCGGCACAUAGUCUAAGUUCAUACUUAACCUUUAGCAUCGUUCAAUCAUAUACUACCAGUAUGUUGACCAAGGUAUGAUUCUAAUUUACAUAUGUUCUUAUAAAAAAGUUUAUACACAUAAAUUUCAAUAUGUCUCCUUACAAUUUUUAAAGGGAUUAGUGAGGAUAAGAUUAGGGAUACGCUUUAGACAUCAACCCCUUCUUAAUCCUUCAAUUGUAAUCUAGUCCUUCAUAUUAAGCAUGGCCUAAAUGCUUAACAAUCAGGGAUAACUUGUAUGGAAAUGAACUGACAAUGAAGGUGGGUUUUUGUCUUUUGGGUGAUCUCAUGAUGCAAACAUAUACUGGAGGAUAGGUAGCUAAAGCUAUUUAUGCUUCGUUCACAUUUUAGUAUCUAUUUGUACAGUGCGAAGUUCUUACCCCAAAGUUUGCCUUAUAUGUGACAGCUUUCUCCAUGUAUGCGCCAUUGAAAGUUGAACCACUGAAAUCAGAUUCCCUCAUAUCCGCUCAUGUUAAAUUGGCUAGCUCUUCUGCAUCAGUCAGUUUACAUUGAUGUGAAAAUGCAGAUACUAAUGACAAAAUUAGUCUUCUUCUUUUCAAACCAAAUACAUUAGCUUUAGCAGGUCGUUCAUUAUGGAGGGUAGCAGACAAAUGCAACAAAGAAAAACAACAAUUUGCGGAAAGAAAGAAAUUAACAAAAUAAAAAAUUGGUUUUUUUUUCUCAUGUGAGGGACCAUACCAAUAUUUGAUUCAACCAAGGGUUUUUCUCUGAGCUAAAAGUUCGGACUUCCACUUUUCAACUGAGGAUGAAAUAACAGAGAAAACGCACAAAAUAAAAGGCCUAAUUCCAAAUUAUUUAAAGGAAAAUAAAAAAAUUAAUUUGAAUCAAACUGAAGAAAAAAGUUCAAAUUAAGAAAAUCCUAGUAAGUGGAAAAGGAUAUGGUGAGUGACUAUUUGCCUUGAAAACUCACAGUUUGGAAUGGAUCAUCAAUCAUCUCUGGAGUCAUCAAGUGGCAGCAUCAGCUUCACAUCCAACAACAGGAAGUAACUCUGUAUUCUUGUAUAAAAGAGUGCUCAUAUGGGUUAGCAAGAGUGGGGCAUUGAGUCUGCCAAUCGAAAACCUUAACCUCCCACUCCCUGUAAGCUGUAGGUACAACAUUCUCGGGAAGUUCUAUUGGGCACCCUUCCCUUGUGAAGUCUGCUCCAUGGCCAUCCCAUUCACCGGACACAUUCCUGGCAAAUUCGGACCAAACACAUAAAAGAGAGAUUGAAUUACAGCAGCACGUCAAAUAUAUUAACUUAUAGAUUCUAGACUUCAAAUAGUUAACAUAACAAAUACAAAUUCAACCAUCAUCUCUCUUAUCCAUUGCCUUUUCUACUAUAAAUGAAACCGGAUAUUAAAUAACCCAUGGUUUUAGAUUGGCAGAUUGCAAUUUCUUUGGAAAUUAGUCGUAAAAGUUAAUACAUUUCAUCACUCCAUUUCUGACUUAUCCUUUUAUCAACUGUUGUGCACCCUAAUCCAAAGAAUGGAAUUUUACCCGCCAAAUAUCAAACUGGAUAUCUAACAACUAGAAAUUUUCCAUUGGAUAUCUAAUAAAUUUCAAUUACUCAAUUUCUAUACAACCCCAAAUCCAAAUACCGUAUGUUGCUCCAAAUAUCAAUGCAAAGAUGCAAACCUUUUUUACGCUACAACAAGAACCAUACAAUUUUAAUAAAACCCACAAAAACCAAGUAAAUAAGCAGAUUUUUGGCAAAAGCACUUAAAAUACACUCACCAGAAGCAAAAGUGGAAAUGGGAUUGAAGCCUUUGCUGCGGUCCUCCUCCUGGAGCUGCAGCUUAACAUCUGACACAGCGCUGUUGGCAGAGGAAGAGGCAGCGCUCUGGACAAUCUGACCUCUCUGGCGGCAGUUGUGAGGCAGUUGGAAUCUAUAGGCCUCGGUUGAUGGAUCUCCCAUUUGGUCACACUGUUGUUAUAUCCAUUUUUGUUCUUCCUUGUCAAUCAGGAUCUGCACCCCUGAAAACCCACAAAGACAUUAGAAAUGGAACCCUCUGCAUUUCUUUUGAAAAUAGAAACACAGAGAUCAGACGAAUCAUUUUAAAUCAUAUGAUUCACAUUAGCUCAUUCUACUAACCUUCCUCGUACAAACCACGAGUUCAGAUCUCCCUUUCUUUAACUACCUGGCUAUCCAAGUUCUUGAAUUUCGAAAACAAAAAUCCGAAGAGGAUCUUGACUCCAAAUAGGGUAGCUUUUCUACCGUGCAGGUAGCUAGCCCUAAAAAUAAGGGAAACCCCACCCCACGCACAACAAAAGUACAAUGUCGCUCUAAAAUUGAUAUUAAAAUUAAGUAUGUUUUAACGAAAAAUUUGUGGUACUGUUUAUUUUAACGAAAAAUCAUAUUUUUAUACUAAAAAGUCAAAUCUGGGACUAUUUAUUUUACCCUUUAUUUUAUCUUUAUCGUUAAAACUCAAAGUUUUCAAACCCUUUUUAUUAAUUUUUCUCAAAAUUAACUAGUCCAUCAUUCCAAAAAUUGUUGUGACAAUGUUGCAUUUAAAAUUGUCUGACAAUAUAACAUUAUUCUGGACAAAACUUUUGUAUAAAUUAUUAGUUCAAACAAAAGACGUUAUAUAGCUUCUUCCAAUUUUAGGUAUAUAUAGUCCAUUGCUGAAAAUUCUACCAUGCUCAUCAUAAUUCUUGACAAUCAACCAGGCAAUUGGGUUAAAUUGUCCUUGACCAAAAAAAUGAUGGUCCAUCAAUGCCAAAUUGGGCCGGCAAUUAGUUUCCCAAAAUAAAAAAAAAUUGGGCAGGCAAAGGUAGUUGAACUACCCUUUCAGCCUAUUGGCAAUGAGUAACGAUGGGCCUAAUGUCAAGUAGGAGAGGCUGGACAACUGAUUGUUUCCCAUAGCUUCUGUGAUCCAAACAAUGCUUUGAAUUGGAUGCACCAUCUUUCGUAAUUUUCUUUCUUCAAUGUGGGAACCUGGAGCUGCACUAAGUUGGACGCCAUAACUGCUACACUUGCCAGAAUGGUAUUCUGGCUCUGAUACCAAUUGUUGGUAUUCACAAGAGUUUACUAACUCAAUACCAAAAUAUGUGGGUGAUAAGUUUACAAACUAUAUCACACCUCUCACUUGCACUCUCAAUAAUAUUGGACAAAGAAAUAGAGAAAGGAGGGAAGCUACAAGCUUUGGCAAACAAUGCACUUUGAUAUAUUUAAAAAAGUUUGCAAACACACUUCUUAAAUGGAAUGACAAAUCAGAGAGAUAUAUAUUCUAAAGCCUUACGUGAGGCUUAUUUAUACAAGCAGAAAAGAAGGACCACUCAAGUGCUUUUAAUAAAAUAAACACAACAGCACACACAAACAAAUCAUAUGAACUUUGGACAAUCUAGCACACAUAUGCAGCUAUCUUUCCAGCUUGCAAUCAACACACUUUCGGCUAGCAUAUCACAUGGCAGCACACUGCUGUCUUGUAAUCUGCUUUCGGCUAACAGAUGGAGGAGCAAUGAUGUUUAUAUUUGCUGGAUACAACCUGGAAAGAAAAGCUAGCAUCACAUGGACAUAUAGUUAGACAUCACAUGGCUUUUAAUUUAAAUUUCCAACAUGCCCCCUCAAAUUAAAACGCCUUCAUGCCUAGCAUUUCACGUAGUAGUCGGAAUGAUUCAACUGGUAGUGGCUUAGUGAAGAUGUCUGCCACUUGUUCCUUCGUGUGACAAUAGACAAGCUCAAUUGUCUUUUGCUUCACAUGGUCCCUUAGAAAAUGGAACCUGGUAUCAAUGUGCUUGCUCCUUCCAUGUUGAACAGGAUUCUUUGCAAGCUUGAUUGCAGACAUGUUAUCCACAUGAAUCACAGUCGAUUCCACUUGUGGAUGACACACUGACUUCAAUAGAUUUCUUAACCAAAUUGCCUCACACACUGUUGAGGCUACAACAACAUACUCGGCUUCACAUGAUGACAAAGCAACAAUUGAUUGCUUCUUUGAAGUCCAUGAGAAAGUUGUUGAUCCUAGAAAAACACAUAGCCAGUUGUGUUUUUCCUUUCAUCUUGAUCACCUCCCCAAUCACUAUCUGAAUAACCAAAUAAUUUUGCAUCUUCACCAAAAUUAUAAAACAGACCAUAGUUUAGAGUACCUCUUAUGUACCUCAAAAUUCUCUUGGCGGCCAGCCAAUGAGACUCCCUUGGUGUUUCCAUGUAUCCACUCACGAGUCCAACACCAUAAACUAUAUCAGGUCUUGCGAUUGUAAGGUAUCUUAGGCUUCCAACCAAGCUUUUGUACACGGUCGAGUUUACAAACUCACCUUCUCCUUCCUUGGACAGCUUCAAGCCAGUUGCAACUGGAGUGUUGACAAUAUUGCACUUGUCCAUAUUGAAUUUCUCCAAUAUAUCUCUCAUGUACUUUUGUUGAGAGAUGUAGAUACCGUCACUUUCUUGCUUCACCUCUAUGCCAAGAAAGUAUGACAUUAACCCAUUGUCAGUCAUCUCGAAUUCACUGAACAUGGAUUGCUUGAACUCACAGAACAUUGCUUCAUUGUUCCCUGUAAACAACAAGUCAUCUACAUAGAGACAAAUAAUUAAGAACUCCCAUUUUUCACCGUUCUUCAUGUAAACUGAAUGCUCGUAUGGACAUUUCUGAAAUCCAUUUUGGUGAAGGUAGUUAUCAAUCCUUGAGUUCCAAGCUCGUGGUGCUUGCUUGAGGCCAUACAAAGCCUUCUUCAAACGAUACACCUUAUCUUCUUCUCCUUGUACUUGGAAGCCUUCCAGUUGUUCCACACACACCUCUUCCUCAAGAACUCCAUUAAGGAAGGCUGACUUGACAUCUAGUUGAUAAAUUUUCCAUUUAUGAUGAGCAACAAGAGAGAUUAGCAAUCUUACCGUGUCAAGUCUUGCAACUGGAGCAUAGACUUCAUCAUAGUCAACUCCAUACUUCUGUUUGUAGCCCUUUGCUACAAGCCUUGAUUUGUACCGAUCCACACUCCCAUCUGCAGUGCGUUUGAUCUUGUACACCCACUUGACACCAAUAGCCUUCUGAUUUGGUGGGAGCUUUGUCAACUCCCAAGUGUCAUUCUUCUCGAUGGCAUGGAUUUCUUCCUCUAUGGCUAUUCUCCAACGAUCUUCUUCCAUAGCUUCAUUGAAUGAGAGAGGCUCGUGGUCUACAUACAAGCAGAAAAAGUUGGUUUCUUAUUCUUCUUCUUGUCCAUAUAUCUCAGUGAGACUUCUUAGCCUUACUGGAGUUGAGGAGCUGCUUUCUUCACUGGAUGUAGGACCACUCUUUGCAGUUCUGUGCAAUGGAGUUGUUGUGUUUGUUUGAGCAGGCUGUUGCUCAACAGGUAGUACAACUUCUGGUUCUUCAAAAUCAGUGGAGACGAUCUUUUCUUUACUGACUUCUUUGUUGUUCCACUUCCAUGCCUCUUCCUCACUGAAGAUGACAUCUCUACUAACCACUAGUUUGCCAGUUAGUGGGUUGUAGAGCUUAUAUGCCUUGGACUCUUCACUAUAGCCCACAAAAACACACUUCUCACCUCGAUCAUCGAGCUUUCUCAUCUUGGCUUCUGGAACUUAAGCAUAUGCAACACACCCAAAAACUCUUAGGUGUGCAACAUUCGGCUUGUAUCCACUCCAAGCCUCUUGUGGUGUCAUCCUCUUGACACUCUUUGUUGGACAUCGAUUAACAAAUAAAUCGAACAAGCUACAACUUCUGCCCACAAUUCUUUUGGAAAAUUCUUCUCCUUAAGCAUGGACCUUGUCAUGUCAAGGAUGGUUCGAUUCUUUCUUUCGGCUAUCCCAUUUUGUUGUGGGGUAUAGGCAGCAGUCAGUUGAUGCCUAAUUCCUUGCUCCUUGCAGUAUGCUUGGAAAGCAUUGGAGGUGUACUCUCCACCUCUAUCUGAUCUCACAGCCACAAGCUUGUGGUUGCUUUCAGCCUCUGUGAGUGCCUUGAACUCCUUGAAGAUUCUUAGGGCAUCCGACUUCUCCUUGAGAAAAUAAACCCAAGUUUUCCUACUAAAAUCAUCAAUGAAAGUAAUAAAAUACCUAUUACCUCCAUAAGACAUGGGAUACAAUGGACCACAUAUAUCUGUGUGCACCAACUGCAGUGGUGCCUUUGCUCUCCAUGUAUCACCAACAGGGAACGAUAGUCGUGCUUGCUUGCCAAGCACACAACCUUCACAUACUUGGUGUGUGGCUUCAAUCUGGGGUAGACCACGAACCAUUCCUCCACUUGACAGCAACUUUAGGCCAUUGAAAUGAAGAUGGCCAAAUCGAAGAUGCCAUUUCCAUGACUCAUCUUCCAUUACAUCGAUGUUGCAACUCCCAAUCUUUGUGUUCAACUUCAACGAGAACAUUCGGUUCUUUGACAUUUGAACACGUGCAAUAAGUUUUCUCCUUGCAUUCCUGAGAGUGAGAAACAUAUCCUCCAUAUGUAUAACAUACCAUUUCUGGAGCAGUUAACCAAUGCUCAUAAUGUUGCUCUUCAUACCUGGUAUGUAGUAGGUAUCGGAGAUGUAUUCUUCUCUACCAUCCUUCUGGAUGAUUUUGAUCUUUCCUUUGCCUUCAACUGGCAACUUUGAGGAGUCACCAAGACUCACAGAUCCAUAAUGCCCAUCUUUGAGUUCGGCAAAAAACUCUUUCUUUCCACACAUGUGGUUACUUGCACCAGAGUCCAAAUACCAAACAUCUUGUUGGCUACUGAUAUCAUGGUGUGCUAGUAAGACUGUAAAUUCUUCACCAGCAUUUCCACUUGAUUCUGCCAUGUUGACAUGCUCACCAAUGUUAUAUGAACAUUCAUUGGCAUAAUGUCCAUAUUGCUUGCAACUGUGACACUGGAUAUGCGCCUUUCCUCGAGUUGAUCUCCACUCUUGAGAUUGACCUCGGUUUUGUGCAUAGCCUCGACCUCUUCCUCGGGCUCGUCCUCGGCUACGGUUGGAUGAACUCCCACGACGUGAGUUCCACUGCCCACGACCUCCAUUUGGUUUGUCAAUAUUCAACUUUGACUCCAAAGCUUGCUCUAGCAUUGUAGGGCUUGCAUUCUUUUAAAUGCGUUGCUCAUGAACUAGGAGGGAUCCUAGUAGCUCCUCUGUGCUCAUCGCCUCCAAAUCCUUGGAUUCCUCAAUGGCAGUCACCACAUGCUCAAACUUAGAUGUGAGUGAUCGGAGUAUCUUCUCCACAACUCGUACUUCAUCGAGUCUCUCGCCAUUUCUCCUCAUCUGAUUUACUAUCACAAUGAGCCUUGAGUGAUAGUCGGAGAUGCUCUCCCCUUCAUUCAUGUGAGCAGUUUCAAAAUCUGCUCGAAGUGACUGUAACCUCACUUUCUUGACUCGAUCUACUCCUUUGUAGAUUGUACUGAGUGUGUCCCAUACUUGCUUGCUCGUUGUUGCUUCUGCAACCUUCUCGAACGUUGAAUCUUCCAGACCCUGGUAUAGAAAAUACAGCGCCUUCUGGUCCUUAUUUCGUAAGUCCUUGAGAAUGUUCCUUUGGUCUGCAGUAUAUGCGGCUUCUUGCUCGGCAGUGGGUACAACAUACCCACUACUAACUAUUUCCCAUAGCUCCUGUGAUCCAAACAAUGCUUUGAAUUGGAUGCACCAUCUUUCGUAAUUUUCUUUCUUCAAUGUGGGAACCUGGAGCUGCACUAAGUUGGACGCCAUAACUGCUGCACUUGCCAGAAUGGUAUUCUGGCUCUGAUACCAAUUGUUGGUAUUCACAAGAGUUUACUAACUCAAUACCAAAAUAUGUGGGUGAUAAGUUUACAAACUAUAUCACACCUCUCACUUGCACUCUCAAUAAUAUUGGACAAAGAAAUAGAGAAAGGAGGGAAGCUACAAGCUUUGGCAAACAAUGCACUUUGAUAUAUUUAAAAAAGUUUGCAAACACACUUCUUAAAUGGAAUGACAAAUCAGAGAGAUAUAUAUUCUAAAGCCUUACGUGAGGCUUAUUUAUACAAGCAGAAAAGAAGGACCACUCAAGUGCUUUUAAUAAAAUAAACACAACAGCACACACAAACAAAUCAUAUGAACUUUGGACAAUCUAGCACACAUAUGCAGCUAUCUUUCCAGCUUGCAAUCAACACACUUUCGGCUAGCAUAUCACAUGGCAGCACACUGCUGUCUUGUAAUCUGCUUUCGGCUAACAGAUGGAGGAGCAAUGAUGUUUAUAUUUGCUGGAUACAACCUGGAAAGAAAAGCUAGCAUCACAUGGAAAGAUAGUUAGACAUCACAUGGCUUUUAAUUUGAAUUUCCAACAAUAGCUCCCUCGCCCUUGUAGUGCUACUUUUAGCAAUUAUAGACUUUGGAUGAUGUAUACUGAAAUGAGCACAUUAAACAGCUUAAAAUAAUGACAAACAAGUCCUUUAAGAAUGCAUACCCGCUCUUACCAGAGAUAUUAAGACAGAACAAUUUCAUUUUUCCACGAUCAUUCUACCAUUGGCCUCACAGACCAAGGAAAGUCGAACGAAAAUUUUGAAACCAAGUCGCUAAAGAACACUAAAGUAAAACUUUAACCCUAUAACAAACUGCAGGGGACAUUUUGAUUAACAUAGCAAUCUAAUCAAACCAAGUAGUUAACUACUGCAGCUCUUUGAGCAUCUUUCUUCUUUGUUCAAGCAUUUCCGAUACGCUGACAUCAAAUAGACAUCAAGCAUGGCCUGAAUGUCAUUAAAUACCUAAAACCAUCAUUACCCCUCAAGCUCCUUUAAGUUUCUCAACUAAUCGUAGAUUCGCUUGUAUAUUCACUAGGUUUCCCAAGUCCAACAUUGAUUAAAACCAGAAGUACAUCAACCUUCAUGCAGUUCAACAAUUUUCAUUGCACCACAUGUCAUUAUCUAUAAGUAAUAUUAUCUUAGAUUUUUGUUCAAGUGUGAACUUUGAAAGUUUUAUUAGAUAUUUUUUGUUGCAAGUUUUUUCUAAUUUUUUUGGAUUUUUUAACGUCUGAUGUGAGAAAAUAUUGGGUUCCAUGUAUUUGUUUUUCCAUUUAGGAUGAUUGCCAAAAUGAAUUAUGGAUGAUAAUGCUAUUUCGAGUCAGCUUCUGGACUCAAGGUGCUUUAAUGGUCUUGGUCCUUGGCGUUCACCGAAAGUGCCAAACAGUUCCCAGUAGUGAAGUCGUCUAAAAAAACAAUCCAAAGUGGUUAUCAUAUUUGAAUUUUCAAUAAAAAGAAACUGUGGUGGAGGUUCAUCCUAUGAUCCUAAAGGUGCUUUAAUGAUCUUGGUCCUUGGUGUUCACUGAAAGUGCCCAACAAUAGUUCCCAGUAGUGGAAGAAAUGGAACUCACUAUGAUGCUAUUCUUGGACUUUUUCCAGAUAGUCUAAAAAACCAGUCAAAGUGGUUAUCAUUUACUUGGACUUUUUCCUUCCCAUAUUUGAAUUUUCAAGAACCAGAAACCGUGAUGUAAGUUCCUCCUAUGAUGCUAUUCUUCUAUAAAUUGUCUUCCCAUGCAACAAAUGGAACUCACCACUUUCACAACUCAACACCUAUCUCUCUGUCUUUUUGCUUCUCUCUCUAGUUAUUUUGUUAAUCAGAUCAGAAAUGGGGGUUUUGGUUGUGAAAUUGAUCUUAACAUGCUUUUCAGUGCAGUGUUCGUUUGCUGUUGGAGCUCCCUGCGAUCGGGACUCAGAGGGAAUGUGACGGAUAGGCUGGCGCUGCUAGCCAUCAAAGCUCAAAUAAAGCAAGAUCUCCAUAAUUACAAUGUGAUGAGCUCCUGGAACGAAUCCACGCACUUCUGCAUGUGGCAUGGUGUGACGUGCAAUCGACGACAUCGCCAAAGGGUCACUAAGCUGGACCUGCAAUCUCAAAAUCUGGUAGGGAAACUAUCCCCAAACGUAGGAAAUCUAAGUUUUCUAAAGGAGUUGUGGCUGCGAAAUAACAGCUUCAGUCAUGAAAUUCCUCCACAAAUUGGGAAUUUGGGUAGGUUGCAGGUAUUGCGAUUAGACAUUAACUCGUUUAGUAGCAGUAUUCCACACAAUAUAUCAUAUUGCUUCAACCUUAUCGUUGUGAAUUUCACUCGCAACAAGUUGGUGGGUAAAAUUCCUUCAGAAAUUGGAUUGCUGUCGAAGCUUCAAAAUUUUAUAUUAGAAGAUAAUAAUAUAACGGGACAGGUCCCUCCUUCCUUGGGGAACCUUUCGUCUCUCCGGGCACUAAUUCUCGUUAGUAAUAACUUGAUGGGAAACAUCCCCAGUUCUCUUGGCCAAUUGAAAAAAUUAACCUUCUUGAGAUUGGGGUUAAAUCAGUUGUCUGGUAGCAUCCCUUCCUCCAUUUAUAACCUCUCUUCUCUUGUUACAUUUUCCAUGACAAAUAACCAAAUUCAAGGGAGUAUUCCAUCAGAUAUUGGCAAAAGUCUUCUUAAUCUCGAAAUAUUCAACUUCGGCAUCAACCAACUUACUGGGUCCAUACCUCCCUCAAUAAUCAACGUCACAAGUGUUUGGUUUUUUGACGUUGGGAGUAGCAACCUAAUCGGACGGGUACCGAAUCUCCAAAAGCUUCACAACCUCCAGGUUUUCAACAUUCAAUAUAAUAAUAUUGGAAGCGGUAAAGAUGGUGACUUAAGUUUUCUCUCGGACUUGACCAAUGCCACCCGGUUACAAUUUUUGAUUAUUAACACCAACAAUUUUGGAGGGACAUUGCCCAUGUCAAUAUCCAAUCUCUCAACCAAACUUGAAAUUUUUGCAGUUGACACUAACCAAAUAUAUGGAAGCAUCCCAUCUGGGAUAGGGAAUCUGGUGAGCUUGGAAUGGUUGUCUUUGGGGAAUAAUAGCUUCACAGGAAACAUCCCCUCUGACAUGGGUAAGCUUUCAAACCUUGGAUUAUUAAAGAUUUACAAGACCAAAUUAUCAGGAAAUAUUCCGUCUUCCUUCAGAAAUUAACCAAGUUAUACCAUCUUUCGUUGGUUGGAAAUUAUCUUGAGGGCAGCAUUCCUUCAGGUCUGGGGGAAUGCCAUGGGUUGCAAUUGUUGUAUCUUUCUUAUAACCUCCUAAAUGGCACAAUACCCAAACAAGUUUUUAGACUCUCCUCCUUAACGAUUUCUUUGGACUUGUCUAAUAACCUCUUCACAGGUUCCCUUCCCCCGGAGGUUGGGAAUUUCCAUAGUCUAAGUGAACUGGAUCUUUCUGAUAACAUGUUAUCUGGAGAACUUCCCAGUAGCCUUGGUGGUUGUGAGAGUUUAGAAGUCCUGCAUUUGCAAGGAAACUUCUUCAACGGGUCCAUUCCUUUGUCUAUGAGUUCAGUGAGAGGGAUUCGAGAUAUAGACCUUUCUCGCAAUAAUUUUUCAGGGGAAAUUCCACAUUUUUUAGAAGGCUUUAGAAUCCUGAAUAUUCUGAACUUAUCAUUCAAUCAAUUUUGGGGAGUGGUACCAACUGGAGGUGUUUUCAAAAAUGCGAGUGCUAUUUCAGUCAUUGGCAACACAAAUUUGUGCAGUCUUGUUGCUAAUUUAAAGCUUCCCAAGUGCAAGUCUAAAGAGACCAAGAAACGAAGAUUGUCUCGUAGCUUGAAACUAAUACUCCCUUUAGUAUUUGGGCUUACUCUUCUAGGAAUAGCCAUGGUGUUCUCCUAUUUCUUUCUUUGUUCAUCAAGGAAGAAAAGGAAAGAAAUUUCAUUGAGCACUUUGGGGGACACUAUUUUGCAAGUGUCAUAUGCUACUCUACUCAAAGCUACUGAUGGGUUCUCAGAGGCUAAUUUAAUUGGUGUUGGUAGUUUUGGGUCUGUGUACAAGGGAGUCUUGAUGAUGAUGAUAAAGCUCAACUUGUUGCCGUGAAGGUGUUUAACUUGUUACGCCUUGGAGCUUCGAAGAGUUUCAUAGCCGAAUGUGAAGCUUUGAGAAAUAUUAGGCAUCGAAAUCUCGUCAAGAUUAUAAUUGUCUGUUCAAGUGUUGAUUUUAAUGGUAAUGAUGUCAAGGCUCUAGUUUAUGAGUUCGUGGACAACGGGAGCUUAGAGGAGUGGCUGCAUCCACCUACUGGAACUGAAGAGUUAGGAGAUCAUGUACCCAAGAAUUUAAGUCUUCUUCAGAGGCUAGAAAUUGCCAUUGGUGUUGCUUGUGCACUAGAUUAUCUUCAUAAUCAUUGUGAAACGCCAAUAGUUCAUUGUGAUCUCAAACCAAGCAACGUUCUCUUAGACAAAGAAUUGACUGGCCAUGUUUCUGACUUUGGAUUAGCAAGGUUUCUCUCAUAAGUAACAAGUAAUGUUUCAGCAAUCCAGAGUCAGACAAGUUCUAUUGGAAUAAGAGGAAUGGUUGGUUAUCCAGCUCCGGGUAUAUAUAUGUUAGAUAUAUACUUCAUUAUUUUUCCUUUCUUAUUUUGGAGUAUUGAAUUUACAAAAUUCAAACUGAUUUAUUUAUACAGAUAUGUGAUGUUUGAAUUGUAGAGUAUGGCAUGGGGAGUGAGGUGUCAAGGAAUGGGGAUGUCUACAGCUUUGGUAUUCUCUUGUUAGAGAUGUUUACAGGGAAGAGACCCACUGACAACAUUUUUGGUGAUAGCUUGAACCUUCAUAAUUUUGUCAAGAUGGCUCUCCUCGGGCGAGUUACGGAGAUUGCAGAUGCACCACUUCUUCAAGGAGGCACAAACGAGAAUUCCAAUCAAUGCAGUGCAAGAAUUCAUAAAGUUGAGGUGUGCUUGAGUUCAAUAUUUAGAAUUGGAAUUGCUUGUUCUGCUGAAUCCACAACAGAUCGACUAAAGAAUAUCAAUGAUGCUGCAUCUGAACUUCAUUCCAUUAGGAAUACUUUUCUUGGAUAGAAACUCUUUUUUAUGUGCUUUUGUGAUAAAGAAAUUUCGUGCUCGUGAAGUCUAGCUUUUAUGUUACUGCAAUAGAUGUGGAAGUUUGCAAUGUAAAUAAUCACCAAAGAGGUUCAUUGUGUGAAGAGUGUAUUACUACUUCUUGUACUUGGUAUUUUUGUGUAAUAUUCACAUCGAUUAAAAUCUAGUUCGUGCCACAAAAUUGUUGAAAAUUCACAUUGACAAAUUCCAAAUUUUUUGAAGAUUCAUAACCUCUAGACCCUCAAGAUUCAAUAAAAUCAACUUGGAAGCUGUAAAGAUAGUGAUUGGAGUUUCCUAUUAGACUUGACCAACAAAAUUGUUGGUUAUGAAGGUGUUUAACAUGUUACGUCACGGAGCAUCAAAGAGUUUCAUAGCCGAAUACGAGGCUUUGAGAAAUAUCAAGCAUCAAAAUCUCUUCAAGGUCAUAUCUGCAUGUUUUCUCGAUGAUGAUUUCAAGGCUCUAGUUUAUGAGUUGAUGCACCAAAGGAGCUUAGAGGAGUGGUUGCAUCCCCCUCCUGUAAUUAAAAUCUUCUUCAAGGGCUAGAUAUUGUUAUUGGUGUUGCUAUUAUGCACUGGAUUAUUUCAUAACCAUAGCGAAACACCCAUAGUUCAUUGUGAUCUAAAGCCAAGCAAUGUUCUUCUAAACACCAAGUUGACAGUGGACUAAUCUCAGACUAUUACUUAUAUGAACUCCUCCAUAUAAGUGGAGAGAAUUUGGUUCAAGUUGGUUGAUAUGGUUAAUAGGGUUUGCAAAUGGCCAUUUUUUGUAGUACUUUAACCCCAACUUUAAAGCCCAUGGGCUGUGACAAAUCAAGGUUUUCUAGCAUUGUUGUUAUCAAUAUUCUCCUAUGUGCAUUCUAAAUUCUAAUCCAAUGGUUUUAGCAGUCGUUCUACCAAUCUUGACAAUGAAAGAGUUUUUAUUUUAUUUUUUCGAACAAAUGAUAUUAUCUACACUAAGGGGAAGGGGAUAGGCUUAGCCUCGUAAUGAGCUAACAAUAAUGUGGUUCAAUUUCGUAUUUGACGAUAAUCGAACUUAAAACAUAUCACUUACAAGUGAAGAGAAUAUCACUGGAUCGUAGUACUAAGUAGCAUGAAAGAGUUUCUAUUAAACCAACAAAAAUGAAAAUUCUCAACCGUUCAUAAAUGGAUUUGAAUUUAGAUUUAUUACAAUUGAUAGAUUUUUUUUUUUUGGGUAAUCAAUAGGAUACUAACAAAUUUGUUUUUAGAACAUACGUCACAAUAAUGUGACUUGUAGCUGUGUCACUGGCCUUUUAACUUAUUGCCCUAUCUUUAACACACUUCAAUUAAUAUCAUCCACUAAUUGUUAGUAUUUAAUGAAUCUCAUCAUAAAUUGUUACCCAAAAUAUUACUUAUCAAAGCAAAUAAACUUGAUUGAGUUAUAAAUUUAUUGGCAUGGUUAGGAGAAAAAUCAAUUUUGUUCAUAAUUUUCAUGUUUUCCAAGUGAACAUGGGCUAUAAGUGAAGUUCCAAAAGAUACGGUGGUGUAAUUUGGUCCAUGAAUUGUUUCCUCCAAUUUGCAUGCAUGCGGUAGGUGACUAACUCCCAAAUAAUUCUCGUUACCAAGCAAAUUAAAUACCAUUAACUAAGAGCUUAAAAACUCCUGAAUUAUUACCCCUCUAUUUUGCUUUUGCAAUUAGGAAUUUUUCCCCAUUUGCAUAAAAUAUGAUAAGAAUAUUUUUGCUCUCCACACUCAAAUGAUGGUGAUGCUCACUACUUUAUUUAUCACCGUUAUAUGAGUUUAAUACUUUGGAUAGACACAAAUCUCAAAAUUUAAACUCAUACAACGGUAAUAAAUAAGGUAGUAAGCAUUACCACCCCUUGAGGGUGAUGACUAAAAAUCACCCCAAUAAUAUAAGUAGUUAAGUUGGUGUGGUUGUUGGUCUUUAGCAAGCUUCUUAUAUAAAAGAAGAAUCUGGGUACUUUGGCCGUUUUGCAGAAGAAAAAGAAAGGGGCAUUUGAUGUUUGGACAUACAUAGUGAUGGUGCUAGCUACCUGCUUCUUGGUGUUUUUUAAAAGAAAAUAAGAAAAAAAUGAGAAACGGCUAACUUGCACCCUUUGGAUAUUAUGAUGCCAUUUUGCUUGGUUGAGAAACUUGUGGCUUUUCUAAUGGAGAUUGCGUAAAGGUGCAAACAAUUUGUUAGUGGUUGUGCAAAAUAGGUUUCAUAGUAGAAAAAAUGCCCGCGCUCCGCCGCGGGUUUUGAAAUCGUAAACCACAAUUUAACAUACCCAUUUCUAAAUUAUUCAGAAAUCAAUCGGAGAAAACUUCAAAAUAGAAGAAAAAUGAGUUUUCAAUCAAAGAAAACUUCAAUUUCAUGCAAGCUUUUUUGUUCUAAUUUCAGGGCUUAACAAUGCAAGAUUGGAAUUUCCAAUUGGUUCAAGGAAGUAAGAUAAACCAAUAUGCAAAAUGAACUAAAAAAAUAGAAUCUAAUCCAAUUUGAUUUGCCGUUCAGGUUCAAAAAGACAAAACGAAGAAUAUUUGUAAGCAGCCAAACAUCAGUUAAAACUAAUCAAUUAAAGGCAAUAAAACUAAAGCAUUUCAUUGAAGACAUAGAUAACAUAUUUGGUUCUUUGUACCUAAAAUGGAAAACAUUUGCUUUCCUAUAUGCUCUACAGUUUGCGAAAGUGCUGGAAAUUUACAAAAUAUAAAGAGACAAUCUCAAAAUAAAACACAGUUGAAGGAAAAGUAAUAAGAAAAGAAUAGUGUUUUUUACCUAUGAUCCAUGUGAGGAGUAGAAUUUCCAGUCACAAUUGACAACCCAAGAGCUCUGUAAAUCAAAUAUAUAGGAAAGGAUCUAUAAAAAGUGAAUUACAGUUUCUCAAAUCAGAAAGUAACAUUUAUUGGAAAAGAUUCAGACUCAUUUUGGAUAUAGAUAAACAAUGGCAUAUUAAAAACCAAAAUGAUAAGGCAUUCAACUUCAACAUUCAACAUUCAUGUAAAAAAAUAAAAAAGAUAUACAUGUUACCAUCAAUGUUUUGGUAACAAAUUCCCAAAUUGCUCUAUCUACCAAACAUUUUCAGAUAUAUAGUUACAGAUGUUCACUUUUAUGAUAUUCAACGAAAUACCCACAUUAUUGGCAAAACGACAUGGUAUAGAUCUUUUGAGCACCCGAGCCAAUGACAAUAACAUUGAAGGCAACUACAGAAAUUGUACAUUAUAUAAAGAGACAAUCUCAUAAUCAAAAUUGUCAAAAUCAAUAUUUUAUGGCUACAUUUUUUCAUCAGUCGCUCAAUAUACACAAAACACAGAAUCACAUACUCGACAAAAAUUCAAACCCAUAAAUCCGAAAUUAGCAAUGUUAUUUCUUACCCCCCAAAAACAAUCCAAAUCUUAGUGGUUACAUUCAUUAGUCAAGCACUCAACCACUCAAGCACAUCGACUACAACUUGGGAAUGUUAUGCAAAUCUUAGGCAGCUUGAAUAAUUAAAAUUGAGUUGGAAGAAGCUCCGUUACCUGCUCUGCUAGUUGAGGAGUGUCACCAAAUUCGGCACUAUCAUCAGCAUCAACACAUUUCACACACUCCCGCUUCCAGAACAUUUCACAAAAUCGAAAACCAAAUGAGAUUAUGUAGCAGAAACGAUUGACGGAAAAAUAGAUUAAGAAAAGCAAUUAAUAUUAAACAUAGAGGAUGAAUGAUGUUGUCCAAUAAAAAAGACAGCUGUAUAUAUUUCUUGACCAUGAGAAAACAUCAAAUUAAUAGAGGCAUUAAUCCUAAGUUUGCCUGUUCGCUCCCUAAAUUCGCCAUGGGCCUCGCGGGCAUGUCGGGAAUUUAUUCAAACACGAAAUUGGUGGGGUGCGGGCGUGCCACUACUAGAUGCCGCUAGUAGACGGAUUUUGAAUGAUUGAGGUUGCACCUGAGUUCGACUUCUGACCACGAGAUUGUGUCAUUGAGUGGGAGUGACUCAAAUCAAGGUUCUUUGUUUCCCUUAAAAAUAAGGACUUUACUUAUAUGGAGAGGUAGAACAAUAUGUAAAUGACAAAGGAAAACGAAUGACUAAUAUUGUAGAUUGCUUGUAAAUUAAAUGACUGAAGAUAAGUUGUACAUGAAAACUACAAAGGAGAUCGAUACUACAAGUGAGCAGCAGAGCUAAUAAACUAGAUAAAAGAAGGCUUUUGAUUAAGGUUGAUCCUGAAAAAGAUGAAGGCAUGGUGCUGACUACAGCUUCAUAUGCAAAUCUGACUUGAGCAGAGUUUGUGUAUUUGUUUGAUUGAGUGUCCAUAAUCCUUGUGCAUCUGCCCCUUUAAAUGGAGAUCUGAAAAGAGACACAUGCUGAGAACCUUGUACUUGCCCGAAAGAAACUUGGGCAGCUUGCAUUGCUUUUGCCAACUUGCAUAUAGAAAUAAUAUUUAAAAGGGAAACUUACAUCUUCACCACAUGUUUUUAGCACAUGUCUCCCCAACUUGUAAUAAGUUGGCUUCUUUCACAUGUUCUCUGCAGGAUGUAUGUAUGCUUUCCAAUCCAUUUGUAAUGGGAAAGCAUGCAAUUGUUGACUUGGCAAAUCUCCACCACCCAAACAAAUUGGAGAAACAAUAUUAUAGUGUAAAAACUCAUCCACUUGCAGCCAAAUAUCUUUCUAAGUUAGCUUUGUUGCAUAUUAAUCCUUCAAAUACCAUAUUUUAUCCCAAUGGCCCAAGUAAAUUGGGCACAUUUUAAGUGCAAACAGAAGCCCCCCAAGUUUUAUAAAUUUGAGCAAAGUUUGUGAAACUUACGACUCCAAUAAGCUCUUCUCGAAAUGGAGGAUAUAGCAGGCAUAAGAGAAUUGAGCAUGAAGAACACUGAUCUCAAAGGGCAAUUGUUUGGGUUAAAACUUGAACUCCUCUAGACGAACAUCAACUUUGUUUGCUCUCCAGUGUUGCCAGGAAUGUCAUUGAAGGAAGAGGCACGUCUACCCCUUCGGUCCUUUUGUCGUUGAUAAACUUGGCAAGAUGAGCAAGGCAAUUGGUAGUACAACUAGCAUUGGAAAGAAUGUUGUAUGACUUGUGCUCCUUCUUGUUGAUACCAAAACAACAUGGAAGCAUCCUCAUUGGUUACAGAGAUAGUAAACUGGAAAAAUGCCCGAAGUCGGGCAAACUGGAAAACACAGAAAAAGAUAGAGAAGAGAGAAACUUGGGCAACUUUUCUUUUUAUUGUUCUUUUUCUUUUUUGCCUCUUUUCAUAUAAUAUAUAAUAUAACUUUCAUAUAUAUAUAUAUAUAAAAACCCAAAGCCCUUUCAGGCAACCCAAAACAGAAAGAGACAGGAAGAAAGAGAAAGGAAGGAAAAGAAAAAAGAAAGAAGAAAGAAGAAGGAAAAGGAAAGAUAGACGACAGCCACUUUGGGUGACUUUUCUUCCCUCUAUAUAUAAUAUAAUAUAAAGACAUAUAAUAUAUAUAUAUAUAUAUAUAUAUAUAUAUAUAUAUAUAUAUAGAAACCUUUGGGCAAAAUGGAAGAAAGAGAGAGAGGGAGAAAGAGAAAGAAAAAGAGAAAGAGGGUGUCCUUUCGGGCAAGAAAGGGACAGAAGAGAUAAGAGGGAAAGAAAAAAUAAAGAGGAAGAGGGAGAAGGAUAUAAAAAAAACGAAAUGGAAAUCAAACAGGUCAGCACUGGAAAUGGCUGCAGGGCUAGAACUUCUGCAAGGAGGUUUGAGCAUCAACAUCAGCAAAUCUGCUUUGGUCACCUAGAAAUUUGUGCGGAAGGGAUAGAUUCUGCAUUUGUGAAUUUCUUUCUUGCUUCAUCAGACUUCUGAUUUUGAACUCCUAAGGUAUUUUGAAAUAGUUCUCUUGGGGAAGUUACUGUCCAUCCCAAAAUUCAAAAAUCGAGAUGCAAAGGAUGAUCAAGCUGUUGGAGUACUGUUAGUUGAGGACGGUGCUGGUAUUAGGACACCUGGAUUUCCGGUUCCUGAUCGUAUAGGUUUUCAUUUGUCUGUGCAGUAAGUUUGCGAGCACCAAGCCCCCCAGUCUUCACAAUUUUCUUGUGCACAGUCGUUUCCCCGAAGCUCAUUAUUCUCAGUUGCUUAAGAGUCCACGAGUCUCAAUUUGUAGAUCUAACAAAGCUUGAUAUGAACGCCGAGAUUGCAAUGAACGGCCGAAUCAAUCGAUGCAGAGAAAGAUCCCAUAUGUAAUUGAUGCCCAAGUCUGGUUCUUUGCAUUAUAAUCGAAACACAUCUUGUUUUCUGACUUUGCCUCUGAGCCCAGGCCGGGCAUUUGGGUGAGCUGCAAAAGUAAAUUUCUGCACACCUCCUCCAACUAGUGGUGAGUUGAAGAUGACGGCUGAAGUGUAAUGGCUGGCUUUGAAGCUGCAGCUGCUAUGUUGGCUGCAUGUUGGGAGGUAACGACAGGCGGCUGUGAGCUGCUGGUUGGAUGUUGCAAGUUGCAACCAAUGGAGCCAAUGGGAGAGCAGAAGCAGAAUGACUACCUUCUAACAUUUGUAAUUUGUUUUGUCUUGUGAGAGUAGAAUUCAAAACUUGUAAAUCUGAUGCAGAUCCUUCUUAACCAGCCAAGACAUAAAGGAACAUGAGAUCAAAUGCGCAAGCAGCCAUAACAUUUUUUUUUAAAGUAAGCCACUCUUGUUACGGGAAGGUCCUUGCUCACUUUGAGAUGAUUUUUCUUUCUAGGAAUUGGUCAUCCUCUCUUGCAUCCUUCUCCAUAUUUUGACCAAGAUUACUUCACGAUAACUGGGAAAAUUAGAUCUCAUGACUGCAUGCUGUGGUAACCCAUGGUGAAGUUUUGAGGGAUCGAGAUGGCUUGUGUCUCCUUCCACUGUUUUAGACACCUCAAGCAGUACAAAGUGAGGAGAAUGGGCAGCAAAGUCAGAUGCUCUUGUUGUGGUUGCUGCUGUAGUUGUUGGUAUAUCAACAAUCUUCUGCUUUUCAGGGUCUGUUUUGAUCGGGGAUGGAUCUGCUGAAGCUUCCACUGAUGAUGCGGCAACAGCAAGAGCAUGAGAAGAGUUUAUUGCAAACGCACUACCCGCAGAGAAACUGAGUCCUGAUCCACGAAUGAAACUCAGAUAAAUGGCAUUUGGAGGGGGAUGACCAGCAGUUAUCAAGGGACCAUAACAAAGAGGGUAGGCAAGAAACAGAGCAACCAGCGUAGUAUGUAACAAGAACACUUCAUGUUUGCCAGAUCGAAUGUGGGGCCCCCACAUUUGAUUGACAAUAUCUAAAUCAAUUGUAGUGGAGAAUAUAUCAUGUCCCUUGGGCAAAAUUGUAGUUCCGUCGGGCAACCACUCAUUGGGUAAGAUAACCCAGUCGGGCAAGACAACAUCUACCCAAGUCGGGCAAGUAAGCAAAACAGAGGAGUAGAAAGAAAAAGAAAAGGAAAGGAAAAGAGAAAGAAAGAAAGGAAACAAAAGGGAAAAGACCGAGAGAGAGAGCCCUUUCGGACAAAUCAAAACAACAAAAAGAAAGCCCUUGUCGGGCAAUAGAAACAUAAACUACAGCCUUUUCGGGCAGAGUAUAAGAAAAGGUUAUAUAUAUAUAUAUAUAUAUUCUUGUUUUUUGUUGCCUGAUAACUCAAAAAGCCAAAGAAAGGCCUUUUCAGACAAAAAGGGAAGAAAGAGAAAAUGAGAAAAUGAGAAAGAAAGGAACUAAGAAAAAAUGUACAGGAGGAUAAUAGAAGGGAAAGCCAUUCGGGCAAGUUGUAGGAGCCUAUUGGCUACCCAUGUGUUAUUUUUCUCUUAACACUCAAAUCUUUUUCUCUUCUUAAAAUUAAGUAUAGAAAGAUCAGAUCCACCUUUUAAAUUGGCCAUACUAUGUAGCUUGGGAAUCAAAGGAGGUGGUCAUUCAAGUUUGAUCCUAAGCUUUGUCCUUCUCGAGAUCUCGAUGCGAGCAACAUGCUUGUGUUGGUGGGGAGGAGUGUACGAGCUUUUUUUUUCUUCUUCGGGCUCCACAUGAGGUGUGAGUUCGAGCCCCCCAAGAGUUGGUGUUUGGCCUACAACGGCUUGGUCUUCUACAACCAUAUCCAUUUUCAUGGAUUUUUCAUUAGGUGGGGCCAUUGUUUGGCCUUCAUCAAUGUGUAUGAUUUGUUCUUCCUUGGUUGUAGUAGGGUGAGUGAGCUUUGUAGAGCGGAUUUGACAUAUUUGAUCUAUCAACUUUCUCAAAGUUUCUCCAAAAGUUGUAUAGCCUUCCUCCACCCUUUUAAAACACUUAGUCACCUCUUCACCAUACUCGAUGCUUGCCACAUGGAGUUUGGACACCUUCUCUAAUUUGCCCACAUCCUCUUUGUAAAGCUUUUCAUUCGGAUGAUCAUGAGUUGACAUCUCAUAUAUUGGCUCUUUUGAAGCAUUUUGAUACUCAAAGCCAUUUGUUGGCCUAUCAUAGUAUUCAUGAAUGUGAUUGUCUUUAAAAGAAUAAUAAUCUUCAUCAUAGCCAUAAGUUGGCCAAUCUUCAAGAUUAUUAUUUAUUUGAUGGCCAUUAGUUGGCCGACAAUCAUGUUCCAUGGGACUUAAGUACUCUUCAGCCAUGUACCCAUAAGUUGGCAACUCAUAGGUUGGCUCUAUGUGAUAGCCAUAGCUUGGGCGCUCUUCAACACCGUCAUCCUCCUCAUACUCCGAAAAAGCAUAUUGAGAAAAAUCAUGAACAUAAGGAUUGUUCAUAAUCUAACUCUAUAUAAGGGUCCCACUGGGCGUGCCAAAAUAUAUUUGCUCCCUAAAUUCGCAAUAGGCCUCGCGGGCAUACCAGAAAUUUAUUCAAACACGAGAUUGGUGGGGUCCGGGCGUGCCACUACUAGAUGCCGCUAGUAGACGGAUUUUGAAUGAUUGAGGUUGCACCUGAGUUCGACUUCUGACCAAGAGAUUGUGCCAUUGAAUGGGAGUGACUCAAAUCAAGGUUCUUUAUUUGCCUUAAAAAUAAGGACUUUACUUAUAUGGAGAGGUAGAACAAUAUGUAAAUGACAAAGGAAAGUGAAUGACUAAUAUUGUAGAUUGCUUGUAAAUUAAAUGACUGAAGAUGAGUUGUACAUGAAAACUACAAAGGAGAUCGAUACUGCAAGUGAGUAGCAGAGCUAAUAAACUAGAUAAAAGAAGGCUUUUGAUGAAGGUUGAUCCUGAAAAAGAUGAAGGCUUGGUGUUGACUACAGCUUUGUAUGCAAAUCUGGCUUGAGCAGAGUUUGUGUAUUUGUUUGUUUGAUUGAAUGUCAUAUGAUCUCUUGGGGAGAGAAACGAGGAUGGGGAAGCUAUCUUGGAUUUUGCAAUGGCAUAUGAUCUCUUCUUAGCCAACACCUUCUUUAAGAAGAGAGAAGAACAUGUGAUCACCUACAAGAGUGGGUCGUCAAAAACACAAAUAGAUUUUCUUCUAAUGAGGAAAGAUGAUCGUAUAACUUGUAAGGAUUGCAAAGUUAUACCAGGAGAGAGCGUGGCUAAUCAACAUCGCUUGUUGGUGAAGGAUGUACAUAUCAAAAGAGUGAGAAAAAAGAACAAGACUUGGAAGUGCCCAAAGACUAGAUGGUGGAAUCUAAAAGAAGAAAAACAGGCCAUUUUCAAAGAGAAAAUAAUCACCCAGUGUGUGUGGGAUAGAGAGAGGGAAGCUAACCAAAUGUGGGAUUCCAUGACUAGUUGUAUCCGAAAAGUAGCAAAAGAGGUAUUAGGAGAGUCCAAGGGCUUUGCCCCGCACCAAAAGGAAUCUUGGUGGUGGAAUGAGGAGGUACAAACAAAGGUGAAGGCUAAGAAGGAAUGUUGUAAAGCCUUAUACAAGGAUAGGACCGAUGAAAAUGGUGAAAGGUAUAGAAAAGCGAAGCAAGAGGCGAAGAAAGCUGUGAGAGAAGCUAAGUUAGCAACUUAUGACGAUAUGUAUAAGCGACUAGAUACCAAAGAAGGAGAGUUGGAUAUCUAUAAACUAGCUAGAGCAAGGGAAAAGAAGACAAGGGACCUAAACCAAGUGAGGUGCAUCAAGGAUGAGGAUGGAAAGGUUCUUGCUACAGAGAACGCGGUUAAAGACAGAUGGAAAUGUUAUUUUCAUAAUCUUUUCAAUGAAGGAAAUGAAAGGAGUGCUUCUUUAGGGGAGUUGAGUAACUCAGAAGAGUGUAGAAACUACUCUUUUUAUCGUAGAAUCCGGAAGGAAGAAGUGGUUGUAGCUUUGAAGAAGAUGAAGCAUAGAAAAGCAGUAGGCCCAGACGAUAUACCAAUCGAAGUGUGGAAAGUUUUGGGAGAGACAGGUAUAACAUGGCUCACUGAUCUUUUCAAUAGGAUUUUGAAAACGAAGAAGAUGCCAAAUGAGUGGCGAAUGAGCACUUUGGUGCCUAUCUACAAGAAUAAGGGCGAUGUACAAAAUUGCAUGAACUAUAGGGGUAUUAAGUUAAUGAGUCAUACAAUGAAGCUCUGGGAGAGAGUCAUUGAGCAUAGAUUGAGGCAAGAGACACGGGUUUCGGACAACCAAUUCGGGUUCAUGCCAGGGCGCUCAACCAUGGAGGCAAUCUAUCUCUUACGAAGAUUGAUGGAAAGAUAUAGAGAUGAGAAAAAGGAUUUACACAUGGUCUUUAUAGAUUUGGAAAAAGCGUAUGAUAAGGUCCCAAGAGACAUUCUUUGGAGGAUUUUAGAGAAGAAAGGAGUACGAGUAGCAUAUAUCCAAGCUAUACAGGAUAUGUAUGAAGGAGCAAAGACUGCCGUAAGAACUCAUGAAGGACAAACCGAAAGCUUUCCCAUAACUGUAGGAUUACAUCAAGGCUCAUCCUUAAGUCCUUACCUUUUUGCGUUGGUAAUGGAUGAGUUAACAGGACAUAUUCAAGAUGAUAUUCCUUGGUGUAUGCUUUUCGCAGACGAUAUAGUGUUGAUAGAUGAAACUUAGGAAGGGGUAAAUGCAAAGCUUAACCUUUGGAGAAAAGUGUUGGAAUCUAAAGGUCUUCGCCUAAGCCGAUCAAAAACAGAAUAUAUGGAGUGCAAAUUCAGUGCAAAUGGAGGCCAAAACGAGUUAGGGGUGAGGAUCGGAGAUCAAGAAAUACCAAAGAGCGACCGUUUUCGUUACCUAGGAUCUAUCUUGCAAAAGAACGGAGAAUUAAAUGGAGAUCUCAACCAUAGAAUACAAGCUGGAUGGAUGAAGUGGAAGAGUGCAUCCGGCGUGUUGUGACCGCCGUAUGCCACUGAAGUUCAAGGGAAAAUUUUAUAGGACGGCAAUAAGGCCGGCGAUGCUGUAUGGCACAGAAUGUUGGGCGGUGAAGCAUCAACACGUACACAAAAUGGGUGUAGCGGAGAUGAGGAUGCUUCGUUGGAUGUGUGGGCACACGAGAAAGGAUAAGAUUAGGAAUGAGGAUAUCCGGGGUAAAGUAGGAGUAGCCGAAAUUGAAGGAAAGAUGAGAGAAAAUCGGUUACGGUGGUUUGGACAUGUGCAAAGAAGGCCUACUGACGCUCCGAUUAGAAGAUGAGACUAUGGGACAGAGGUUCAGGGCCGAAGGGGUAGAGGAAGACCUAGGAAAACUUUGAGAUAGACCCUAAGAAAAGACUUAGAGUACUUGGAUCUAACGGAGGACAUGACAUAGGACAGAACACAAUGGCGUUCUAAGAUUCAUAUAGCCGAUCCCACUCAGUGACUUGGAUUUUCCAAGUCUCCAACCGAGAAGUUGUCAUCGCUCGGGAAAUUAAGGGAACACUACCUCAACCUACAUGCUCCACUCACAAAGCUUCAACAUACAAGCUUUAACAAAAGAAAAUUCAAAGAACUUAGCGAAUAAGGCUUUGGUGAUUUAACACAAUACGUUGAAAUGAAGGAAAGCUUAUUUAUUGAUAUCCCCGAUAAGUUACAAAUAUGUACAUAUACUUGAGUCAAAAUAAACAAACAAGAGGGAGCCUUCACAAAGGUUGCUUAGGAGAAGUCUCAGCAGUCGGUAGAGCCCCAGAAAGAGAAGGCACCGGAGGGGGAUCAUUCGGAGCCUCAGUACUGGACAGAACCCUAGAAGGAGGAGGCAUCAGAGGUUGAUCAUUUGGAGCUUCAUUACGCGGUAUAGCCCCAGAAGACGAAGGCAAUAAAUGCCUUUGGAACAAACCCACAAAUCUCUGAUGAUCAAGUAAAACCUGACCAUCAGAUUCCUUCAUCUGGUCAAGCUUCCUCUUCAUGUUUGUAGCAUAGUCAUGUGCGAGCCGGUGCAACUGUUUAUUCUCAUGCUUGAGCCCUCUAAUCUCCUGUUUGAGACUCAUCACUUCAGCCGCCAAUGAUUCAACUUGGCGGGUUCGAGCAAAUAGGCGUUGGGCCAUAUUAGACACAGAACCUGCACACUGAACACUAAGAGCCAGAGAAUCCUUAACAGCCAACUCAUCAGACCGUUUGGAAAGUAGUCUGUUAUCUUUGGGAGUGAGAAGGUUCCUGGCCACUACCGCAGCGGUCAUAUCAUUCUUCAUCACGGAAUCCCCAACGGUAAGAGGACCAGUAGGGGAGACGAAGGAUGGGCGCCAUAUGUUGUCUGGAGAAGGCGGGGCUGCCUCUUCAACAAGGUUCAAGUCAAAACGACGGUCGGAGGGGCCAGACAUUUUCAAAGGUGUUGAAGAGAGAAGAGGUCGGACAAAUCAAGAUCUUAGAAGUGCAAGAAUGGAGCUUCUACUGGUGGAUAUUCAAGUGUGCUUUGGAACUUAAUGUCAGCCCCUAUAAAAAUCUGCACUCGACGAAGCUUCAGAAAUCGAAGAGGCGCCUGCUCAGAAAUCGAAGAGGCGUUUGCUUUCUCAAAAGCUGGGCUGCUCAGAGACCACGAGGGUCGAUCUCAGAAAUCGAAGAGGCGUUUGAUUUCUCAAAAGCUGGGCUGCUCAAAGACCACGAAGGCCGAUCUCAGAAAUCGAAGAGGUUUUCUUUCUCAAAAGCUGGGCUGCUUAGAGACCACGAGGGCCGAUCUCAGAAAUCGAAGAGGUUUGCUUUCUCAAAACCUGGGCUGCUCAGAGACCACGAGGGCCGAUCUCAGAAAUCGAAGAGGCACAUACUUUUCCAGCCUUGUCAGCACCUGUCACACGCACACUCAACUUUGCGAAAAUUAUGGGCAUGCUGUCGAAGAUUUCUGGCGAAGUAGAAAGCACAUGAAUCGUACUGUUCAAUCACCCACUUCCCACACGCAACAGUAGCUCAUGGGUACCAUAUAUAACUUUGCCAAAGUUCUCUGACAAAGUUGAGACUACUUUUCCAGCCUUGUCAGCACCUGUCACACGCACACUCAGCUUUGCGGAAAUUAUGGGCAUUCUGUCGAAGAUUUCUGGCGAAGUAGAAAGCACAUGAAUCGUACUGUUCAAUCACCCACUUCCCACACGCAACAGUAGCUCAUGGGUACCACAUAUAACUUUGCCAAAGUUCUCUGACAAAGUUGAGACACGUGAAGCUUGCAAGCUCUCACUACAUCGCUCUGACCAAGAAGGGUAAAAGAAUAGCAAAGAAACAACACUAACAAAGUUUAGACACAUAAAUUUUGAAGGCCUAGCUACCAUAUUAUUACCCACAAGGGUAAAGGAACAGUACCACUGCUGGAUAAUUGGAAAGUCCCGGUGUGUCAACCUCUGUGCUUCGUGGCAAGGUAGACUAGCAAACAUGCCCAACCUUUACUCACAUUCGAGAAAACACUCCCAACAAGAUUGCUUGCACCAAAAUCGAAAGAGGCAUCGCCCUCCGAAUCUCGAGAGCCAGACUCCCAACAUGAUUACUUUCUCAAAAAUCGAAGAGAGGGUAAAGGAACAGUACCACUGCUGGAUAAUUGGAAAGUCCCUGUGUGUCAACCUCUGUGCUUCGUGGCAAGGUAGACUAGCAAACAUGCCCAACCUUUACUCACAUUCGAGAAAACACCCCCAACAAGAUUGCUUGCUCCAAAAUCGAAGAGGCACCGCCCUCCGAAUCUCGAGAGCCAGACUCCUAACAUGAUUACUUUCUCAAAAAUCGAAGAGAGGGUAAAGGAACAGUACCACUGCUGGAUAAUUGGAAAGUCCCUGUGUGUCAACCUCUGUGCUUCGUGGCAAGGUAGACUAGCAAACAUGCCCAACCUUUACUUACAUUCGAGAAAACACUCCCAACAAGAUUGCUUGCUCCAAAAUCGAAGAGGCACUGCCCUCCGAAUCUCGAGAGCCAGACUCCCAACAUGAUUACUUUCUCAAAAAUCGAAGAGACACCGCUCUCCGAAUCUCGAGAGCCAGACCCCCAGCAUGAUUGCUUUCUCAAAAAUCGAAGAGGCAUCGUUCUCCGAAUCUCGAGAGCCAGAUCCCCGACAGGAUUGCUUGUUCGAAAACCGAAGAGGCACCACUUUCCCAACUUCAAGAGCCGGAUCUCCUUGGAUAAAGCUUGUCUGUAAUCUUCACACGCAACAUCAGCUUUCCAGAUACCACAGACCACUUUUUCAAAGUGCUCUGACAGAGUUAAAACUUGUGAAGCUGGCAGCUCCCACUACCGUGCUAUGACCAAGCAGGGUAAAGGAAUAGCAUUAUUACUUGAUGUUAGGGAGACUCCUAUAUAUGUCGACCUCCAUCCCCAACGGACAGGCAGACCUGCAAAAAUGCUCAACCCUUCCUCUUAUCUGAGAGGGCACUCCCAACGAAGCCUUUCGAAAUAUUCAGCUUUCUUUCCCCCGAUAAUACCUCUGUAAACAAGCUAUACUAGAGCAAGAAUAUCUCAUAUCAUCAGGGUUAAAAGCAAGAGUAUCCCAUAUCAUGCUUUUUUCCCUGUCUUUUCCUUUGGCCUUGUUCUUACCUGCAAGACAAGGAGAAAGAGAGCAAUCAGUCAGCACUUGGAAUCAAGCUUCCAGCCAGGAACUGACUGCCUGGAACCCCUUACCUGAUUACUUACCUGGCAUUGCUCUCGAGUACUCAUCUUCAACAUCUUAUGCUUCCAGGAAGAUACCGCAUCUGCCUGAGGAACAGAUAGGGCAAGUGAGAAGGAUACAAGGAAGCAUGUGGAGACAAGCGUAACAGCACACGUGCCGAUACAUCCACUACUCUGUCAAAAGCAAAAGUAUCCCAUAUCAGCAGGGUCGAACGUACUCUAGAUUUGAUGGACUUGUUUUGACCCUCAAAUUCUUCAGUCGGCCUUAUACUCUGGAGGAAACCAGAAAACCCUCCAGCCCAGUUCAAGAAUAAGCCUGUGGAAAGUUACUUCUUCAAAAGCAAAAGUAUCCCAUAUCAUCUCUUCUCAUUUUUCUUCUCUUUAUCCUUCAUGCUGCCUGCAAGAUAGGGAGAAUGUGAACAAUCAGCCGGAGCUCUGAUUGCUUACCUUGUCUGUUACCUCUUUCAGCAGAUCCCCUAGCUCGGCGACUUGGGGGACUCCUACUACAUGGUUUGUAUCGCGCUUGACCAAGCCUGAAACUACAAGUAAGCUUCAAGUGACAUUGAUACAUUACCUUGUGCAUCUCCACCAGUUACAGAUACCACCCCUGGAUGGAAGAAGAGUACUUCCAGAGAAGAUGCCACAUCUACCUAUGAGACAGAUAAGGAAAGUCAAGACGAUACCACACUCCGGUACUUAGAAGUUUCGUGGUUACGAGAUCAUUCUCCCACAAUAUUUCCUAAUGUCAUUUGUACUAAAUCAUUCACUUGUACUCCCUAAAGGAGAGCUUGAACCUAUGUACUUGUGUAAACCCUUCACAAUUAAUGAGAACUCCUCUAUUCCGUGGACGUAGCCAAUCUAGGUGAACCACGUACAUUUUGUGUUUGCUUUCCUAUCUCUAUCCAUUUAUAUACUUAUCCACACUAAUGACCGGAGCAAUCUAGCGAAGAUCACAAAAAAGUGACCGUUUUCGCUACCUAGGAUCUAUCUUGCAAGAGAACGGAGAAUUAGAUGGAGAUCUCAACCAUAGAAUACAAGCUGGAUGGAUGAAGUGUAAGAGUGUAUCCGGCGUGUUGUGUGACCGUCGUAGGCCACUGAAGCUCAAGGGAAAAUUUUAUAGGACGGCAAUAAGGCCAGCGAUGUUGUAUGGCACAGAAUGUUGGGCGGUGAAGCAUCAACACGUACACAAAAUGGGUGUAGCGGAGAUGAGGAUGCUUCGUGGGAUGUAUGGGCACACGAGAAAGGAUAAGAUUGGGAAUGAGGAUAUCCGAGGUAAAGGAGGAGUAGCCAAAAUUGAAGGAAAUAUGAGAGAAAAUCGGUUCCGGUGGUUUGGACAUGUGCAAAGAAGGCCUACUGACGCUCCGGUUCAAAAAUGUGACUACAGGACAGAGGUUCAGGGCCGAAGGGGUAGAGGAAGACCUAGGAAAACUUUGGAAGAGACCCUAAGAAAAGACUUGAGUACUUGAAUCUAACGGAGGACAUGACACAAAACCGAGCGCAAUGCCGUUCUAGGAUUCAUAUAGCCGACCCCACUUAGUGGGAAAAUGCUUUGUUGUUGUUGUUGUUGUUGUUGAUUGAAUGUCCAUAAUCCUUGUGCAUCUGCCCCUUUAAAUAAAGAUCUGAAAAGAGCCACAUGCUGAGAACCUUGUACUUGCCCGAAAGAAACUUGGGCAGCUUGCAUUGCUUUUGCCAACUUGCAUUGCUUUUGCCAACUUGCAUGUAGAAAUAAUAUUUAAAAGGGAAACUUACAUCUCCACCACAUGUUUUUAGCACAUGUCUCCCCAACUUGUAAUAAACUAACAAUUAAAAUAAACAAGUUGGCUUCUUUCACAUGUUCUCUGCAGUAUGUCUGUAUGCUUUCCAAUCCAUUUGUAAUGGGAAAGCAUGCAAUUGUUGACUUGGCAAAUCUCCACCACCCAAACAAAUUGGAGAAACAAUAUUAUAGUGUAAAAACUCAUCCACUUGCAGCCAAAUAUCUUUCUAAGUUAGCUUUCUUGCAUAUUAAUCCUUCAAAUACCAUAUUUUACCCCCAAUGGCCCAAAUAAGUAAAAACGGGCACAUUUUAAGUGCAAACAUUGCCAUUUAUUGUUGUCUGUCUAAACUUGAUGACAUAGUGUUCUCUUACAUACAGAUUAAUGAAAUAUUAAUUUAUUUCCAUGGGUUAUUUGAUUUUGCAAAUUCAUAAUAAUUGAAGAAUACUGAAAAUUACUAAACCCCAUCACAACAUCCCAUCAGUGAAAAAUCAAAGACAAAAGUAAAUUACUAUCUUUCUAAGCAUCCAAAGAUAGCAUACCCAAAAUACCAAAUUCAACUCCAAUAUAAUAAAAAAAUUAAAAAACAAAUUAGCCAAAUUGAAAUAGUUAGAUCAAAUAAAGAUUUAAGUCAACCAAUUACACAAAAUAAUUCAUGCAAAGUAGGCUCCUAAGAAAAUAUACCACUAUGGUGGUGGAGGAGGCCCAGGCUCAAACAGUGGAGGGCAGCAACAUUUAAAUAUACCGCAGCAGCACGGAAUCCACGAACUGCAUAAUCAAAACCAAAAUUUUAAAAUUUAUAUUUAAAUUUAAAUUUGAAAAAAAAAUGCAAUAGCAUUGUAUAAUGAGAAAUUCUCCAAUGUGGAUAAAUUAAUCUUGUGGGAUGCGAUCAGUUGUAUUGGGCUGGCAACCGGCUUAUGCUUAAAUCCCACUCAAUUUAUCAUACACCCUUCCAACUACAAUUCAAAGGAAGAAGUUCCAAGUGCAUGCAUAAUGUUUGCUCAACUAAAAUAAAUUGCUUUUCAUGAUUAAAAUAGCCAACCAACCAACACUCAUUUGAUAAAAUUGAACAUUUAGAGUUACAUAUCCACAUAUUCCACAUAUUUAAGAUCGAACAAACCUUCAAAUGAAGACCACCCAAAGGUCCAUUAGUGAGUUGUGUGACCAGAGGAUUUACUGCACUUGAGUUUCCUCGUGCAGCUGCAAGAGCUAUGAGCUUACGUUGACCGUCAGCUACUUCUCCGCUUAAGGUUUGAGUCACAGAUUAUGUAGAAUUAAUAGCUUCCUGCAAAGAAGUGAAAUAAGAAACCUUAAUUUGUUAAAAUGUGAGUAAUUCUCAAUUGAUUAAAACAUCAUCCGAUGGUGUUUUCUAGGCUUUUUUUUUUCCUUCCUUUCGCAUGCCAUUAUUUCAUUAGCCAUCUGCAGAAUUGCAAUUGAUAGAAUCGGUGUUCUUUGAAAUAAUCAUAACAUUUCACAACACAAUGGCAUCAAUUUAUACAAAUUCUAACAACAAAUUGUCAAAAAACAAUGAGAACAAUUACCAGAAAUUUCAAAUCUUUUGGGGGUUCAGAGUAAAUACCAGAGAGACGAAAGCUAAAAUCAACAUUAGUCCAUUUUUUUCAAAAUAAGAACAGCUCCGAUCUGGGAAAUACAUUGCAAUUUCUGAAGAAAAAAAAAAGCGAGAAAACCCUAAAAUCCCUAAGAACCCUAAUUUAUAAACUAUAAACAAACGCAAAAGGAGAGAGGAGACUCAAAUAAAAGGAAAAUCGAGAAAUUCAACAUACCAUAAUCGGAGGGAGGACGCUUUCCGACGGCCAAAUUCAUCGACACCGGAGGCGGUUGUUGACCGUCACUGUACCUCCAUUUCGCCUCCGCCAUGUUUGAGGCUUUCGACCGUCACUAGUUGGUUUGUGUGCUUCAUGUCGAGAGAUAUGGGGAGCAGGAAAAGCAGAGGAAGAUGAAAGAUUGUGGGUUUUCCAGUAACAGGAAGAGUGAGAGAUGAGAAGAGAGCGCACGCGUGUAACCCAUCGCAAUCCGUUCUAAACCAUACGGAUAAAAUUACCCUCUCAACUUUUGAGAAUUACCCUCCCAAGUUCCCAACCCAUCUCCCUUUGGCUGGCAUUGUUGUAAACAGCGUGAAAUUGAGUAGCAAAGAUUUGACUGUAGCUAAGCUACAGUCAAUUGCUCCUUAACUUUAGAAUAGACUAGAAAUUACGUUUGCACAUUGCUGCGGGAACCAGCUGUUUCACGCGGAAUCAGAUGAAUAAAACAUAUUUAAGUUGAAUAAAUUCAACAUAAUUAUGAACAGACAAAGGGAUACAUGAGUGAAUGAGGUCGAUAAGAUAAACAGUUUUGCUUUUAUAUACAUUCAAAUGAGCUGGCAUAUAAACACAUUGUACAAUGAGUAGGAAGAAACUGAACGUCUUUGAUUAGAAAGAUAUGGCUUCCAAAAAAGUUAUGUUUCCUUGAGAAAUAGAAGAAACAUAUAGUUCACACAUAAUAUGUGUCCUGCAGUGAAGGCAGCCAUUUCAACAAGUAAUGCCAAGAAAAUAAAUUAAAAUAUUAUGCAUAUGAGUGCAAGCUUACAGAAACGUUGUUUUUGUACACUUUCUUCUCCCUUCAAUGAUAGUUUGUUUCUUAUCCAGAAAAAUAAAAUGAUCAGGUCAAUGAUACUCACAUGUGCAAAAUGCUAAUCCUAUGGUCUAAAGCUAAUUGAGUUUUUAAGUGUAAAAUCCCUAAUUUCACUACAUUUGGAUUGAUCACAGUUCGUGACUUGUUAAACUUGAUAUCCCCUUGUACAUUUUGGGAACUUGACAGCUUAAAGAAGUGCUCAUAAAAGCAAAUUACACAAUAUCUACUAAAAAACUUAGAGAAGUGACUCAAUUAGUCAACAAACAGAUGCCUCACACUUGAAUAUCAAAGACCAAAGAGAGAAAACCAAGCCGAACUCUUCAAAAUUCGUUGGCACACAUGCUUCGUUGACCCAAUUGAAUGUAUAAUGCAUACUUAGAUACAACAAUUCGAACAAUAGCUCAUAAACAGUGCUGAAAUUCCAUUAGCACUAAUCACACACUACAAGAACAGAGAUCCUAGCAAAGCUACAUCAAUUAAAUGACAAAGACUAAAAACCACAAACAAGAAAAAAAGAAAAACAGAGUUAUCAGACAGCAUGAUUCAAAUAUAAUUUUAUUGGGGUUGGUAAAAGCACAACCCAUCCAGCACUUUAAAAGCAGGUCUUUCUUGAUUAGAAGCUCAUAUGUCUUGCACCUAAUUUUCAAACACUCAAACGUCAGUGUCUUAAUACUUCUAACCCACAGUUCAAAACAGAAAGAACCUCAUUUGAUGAAAAUGCCAAAAUUUUCUAAGAAUGGAGUCCAAAAAUUUAUUUUUAAGCAUCCAAAAAGCCAUUAAACUAAAAAUAGUUAGUUCUUCGUACCUUUGUAUGAAGAUCACACAGGAAAACAUUAGCAUUCCUAAAUGCUAUCUUGGAAUUUCGGGGGUUAGAUUAGAGCCACACUUGAGUUCGACAUUGAAAGUGAGGCCUCGCUGGUGUGUUUCCACACCACAUGCUCUGCAAAAGAGACACAAUCUUAGAAUCAGAAACACAUAAAUAAGAAAUAUACACACUACAUAUAUAGCAAGAGAAACUUAAGAAAACGAAAAGUUCAAUCAAAGUUAGUGAAGUGAACCUUUUUUCUUUUUUUUUAACCCAAAGCAUUGAAAGUAGCACAAACCAUUCUUUGGUCCUCUUUCUCCCCUCUUCCCGUGUCCCUCACUCUUUUUCACCCCUUGAAACAAUAACUGAUAAGGAAAAAUAAAAAAUUACUAUUGAAUAAUCUAACAAAUCAUUUAGCACCAUCGGUUGCCAACCUGCAAUCUUGAGUCUGCUAACAUUCCAAAAUUAUUAUCAGUAAGUCUCCAUAUAUCCUUUUUGAUUCGCUUCUUUUCCUCCUAUUUCCCAACCAACAACACAUUUCUUAUCAUCUUUCUUAGUAUCAUAUGGGCACACACAAAGUGUGUGAGAAAUUUUUUUUUAUUUUUGUUUUUGAAAUCGAAGGAGAGAGGAAGAGAGUGAUAGAGAAUGUGGGAGUGGGAAGGUUUUUUUAAUUUUUUUUUAAUUAGAGAUAUGUUAGGAUUACAUGUAGGUGAGAUUUUGAAAAAAAACAACAAAAUUUGAUUGUGUGAAAUUACAUUUCUGCCCCAUAUUUUUUAUUCAUGUUCUGUUUUAAUUAGAAGGUAAAAUGGUAAUUUCAUAGGGUUUUGAUUGAAAAUGAGUGUUUUAUUAAUUAGUACAGAUUCAUAUAUAUGACAAUAAACAAAAAAAAAUGUGCAAAAGAUUCAAAAAGUAACAAUAGCACCUUCAUAUUUACCGUUUACAUUAUAGUAAAAUCUCAAAAUAUUUCAGAAAUAUCAUAUGAAAUGCACAAUGUUACAAAUAAAAUUGAUUAAUUAGCACACAAAAAAAAUUGAUAAUGGAGAACAGGAAAUAACUAUAAAAAAUUAAAAAUAUCAGUAGACCAAGAGAAAACUACUUUAAACAAAAUGAAAACUCAGAAUUUAGGAUAAAAAGAAGGAAAGAAAUCAAACAGAAAAGAAGACAAAAGAGAAGAAAAAAAUUAAAGCAAAAUACCUGGAGCUCGGUGAGAUUCAAGCUUCGAACUGAAAAAAGAAACAUUCGGUGGUCAACACCCAAUCACUAAUUAACUAAGUGGUGACCAUGAACACGUGAAUAAAAUUGUAGAGGUUAAUUAUACGGAAUUUUACCGCACCAAAAAAAAAAAAAAAAAAACACUAAUUGAUAUUUGGGGUGGGUUCGAAUUCUUUUGGUUUGGUUCAGUUUUAGUGGUCUAGAAACCGAACCGAAUUAAUUAAAUUAAUAUUUUUUUUAUUUAUUUAAUUAUUUGUUUUGGGUAUUAUUUUUUAAACCCAAUUUGUAAGCUCAAUGUGUUGCCCAAAAUCAGAAAUUCCAAAUGCAUCUGCUACUUUUCCUAUAACUACAAGGAAGAAGUCGUAUAAAAAAGCAGGACCUUCAAUAGUGUGGUGCUAACUCUUGACACGGUACUAUUAGUUCCUUAUUGUUGUUUAAUCUGGCUUCUUGCUUCAAGUAUUUGUAUGCUUAUUCAGUAUUUCAUUGCUUAUUGUUAUAUGCAGUGAUCAGGUAUUGGUUUUGAUCAAGUGUAUUCCCUUUUGCUACUAAAUAGGAAAUCAUAUUACUAAAUGAUCGAUAAUACAUACAAAGAGAGCAUAAUCGAUAUAUGAUCCUCGUUGGUUCAAAGUGGGUUAUAGUAUGAUAAUGCUCUCAUUGUACUUACUAUCGUGAUAAAAUAAUUCAGCUCAUGUCCACCAACCUAUACCAGCUCUUUAUAUUAUUCAUAGUUAAGAGUUGAGGUGUGAAGAAAAUGGUAGAAAAUUUUACUUUUCUAAAAAGAAAUCUAUUUACAGUUAAAUUUUAAACACAAAAUAUUAAAAAAAAAACCUUUAUGUUAUAAUUCUACUUGAACUCUAAAUCUUUGUCUUUGAUUCUAAUUGGAAUAUUUAUGUUAUGAUUGUGUUGGAAAUGUUAAAAUUUAAGACUUCAGUUUUUUUCAUUUUUUGAAAAAAAAAACGAAACCGAACCGGAAAAAACCAAAUGGAAAAAAAAUGAACCGAACCGAAAUUUCAGUUUGGUUUCGAUUUUGGCAAAAAACCGAACCGAUUUGAACCGAACCUAGCCCUAAUUGAAAUUAUGUGUUGUGCACAGUGAUAUCGAAGAAGAAUAAUUUCUAUUUAACUGAAAUUAAAUCCGAAUAAAUGAUUCAUAAAAUUACAGAUUUUCAAUCAAAUGCGGAAUAUACACAACAAUUUUAUUUCUGAUUUGAAUAUAACCAACUACAUCCCAAGUUGCAUCAGUAUCAAUGGAUCCAACAUGGUGACCAUCUGCCCCUCAAGUAUUCAUAUCUGCAAACCCUCGUCUAAAGAAAAAUUCAUCCAGAAAUUAAUCACCGAGUAUGCAAGGUUGGCAUGCAUAUUCACGUUUAAUCGUGGCCAUGAUGAUAGGAAUUAAAAAAACACGAAAAUAGGAAUGAUGCACCUUUACUUAGAUCUCAGGGUUCUAAAAUUUGUUGCUGAGAUUUGAGAAACAUAGGAAAUGUGUUUCAUGAUUUCAAAUUAGAUUUGCAUAAGAGUUCAGAAACGCAUACAUCCCUUCUUUUCAUUCCCCUAAACGCUAAAGCCUAGGCUUUCAACACCAAAACACCCAAAUAGUACCAGAACUUUGCAAUGUGCAGGGAAUAUACUAAAAAAAUUUAAACCACAAUCAAGCAUCAUCUAUCUAAACAAAAUCAGAACCCAAACCACAUACAAAAUCUCUAAAUAUAUAAUAAUAAUAAUAAUAAUAAUAAUUCUAGUAGAAAUUCCAAUCCAUUACAACAAAACACAGAAUACCAGGUAUUGCUGGAUGUAGAUAUCCAAAACAGCAGCACCCAUCAAUUGAUCUAAUUACGUAUCCAUUCCCUAUCCAUGGCAUACAAAGUAUGUACUCCCUCUUUACAUGUUAUAAAACAUUUAGUAGACCAGCAAUCAAAAUUAACAACCCUAAUUGCUGUAUACACUAUACACUAUGCUCUCCAACUGAAAAUGUUUAAUUAAAUUUUCCAACUUAAAACCCUAAAUUAAAUCCUACAAAUUGAAAUAGCAGAAACAGAAUUAGAGACAAGGAAGAAAUCACUGACCUUCGAGUUGUUGAAAGCUCUGAUGGGUGUUUCUUUUCAUCCAGCCCUAAAAACAGAACGCACAAUUGUAAUAUAAUAUCCAAUCAUAGGUUAAGAAUCAAAUUAACCCAGCCUGUGUAUAGAAAAAUUGAACAAAUUUAGACAUUUAUAUGUAUGUAUAUUCCAGUAAAAAAGAAUGAAAUGCACUGAACCCUAAAAUGAAAAACUAUGUCAGACUGAUUGAAGAAGAGAAACAGAGAGGGAGAGAGAGUGGGACGGAGAGAAAACCCUAAAAACAGAACCCUCUGGCAACCUAACACAAAAUCAAGCCAACAAAUUCCAUUUCAAUUUUGACAAAACAAAUCGGAAAAAAAUAAUGAAAACCUGAACGAAAUACAGAGGAACUGAUGGGUUUAUGCAUCAACAACUUGAUAAAACCCAGAAACACAAAACCUAAUAUGUAUCAGCUACAAAAACCCAAAUAAAUAAAUAAAACACUCAAAUUUCAAACGAAGAUGUCAUAGAUGGAGGAAGAGAGAAGUGACAGAGAGGGAGAGAUACUUACUCAACCCCACCAUCUCUCCGCAGCCAACACACUGAUUCCCUCAACCCUACCCUCAAAUCUUGUACCCAAUCAACUCUCUUUCUGUCCCCCUAAUCGUGCACCCGCCGUCACCUUCUCUCUGCAACCAAACCCCUCUCCUCCCCCAUAUCACACCCCCACCUGUGAAGGCAGUGACAGCAGACCACCUCCCUAGAAACCGGCCCUAAAAACCCAUACCCAUACCUCCCUUACCCGUUCCCUUUAACCCUCGCAUAAAAUCCUCCCAUCUCUCUCUCACCCUUGUCCCAUCUCUCUGUCUCUGCAAAUCGCAGAAAACAAACCCUAAACCAAAUCCCUAAAAUCCUGCCUCAAUCCCCCCACACUUCUAUUGGACACUCCCUAUCUCUCUCUGCAAUGCGUAAAACAAAUCUCCUAAAUCCUAUCUCGGACAUUGUAACCUGAAUCAAGCUGGUUUCACACAUACCAAUAGAAAACCAAAAUAUCAAUGUUGGGGAAGUUACCUUAUUUGAAAUACCACCAAAAAACAGAGUAUACUUUUAGGCAAAUAUUGUUUAAACACCCAAACAUAAUUCAUGAUAUGUGCCAAAAAGAAAAUACCUCUCGAUUAGAUUUCCUUCGUUCACAAGCUUUCUCCCUGACAAACUCUUGAGAUAGAACCAAAAAAGAAAAUAAGUCACAAUUGAUGCAAGUAGAGGGGAAUGCAGCAGAGAAAAGUAGGAAUUUAUGAGUACACCACUCCUGUUUUAGGUUCCCAACUUAUAAGGAUGCUAACUUCAUUAUAUAGGACUACCGUUAAACUCAUUUCUUUCCGAAAUUAAAUUAAGAAAAAAGUUCGACACUCGCAUGCCACAAUACAAUGUUACAUAAAGUAAUCUUACCAUCACAACCAAAUUGACACCAAACUUCUAACAGUCCUUUUGAAGGAGAAAAUCAAGCGAUUAAUCAAAUACUCAUUUUCCAAAAAAGAAAAAACCCAACAAAAAUAUAUAAAAAGUAAAAGUACCUAAGUUCCCAAUAGUCCAAUCCAUCAGAAAAAUACAAACUUGCACAUGUUUGAGUAUAAGGACCAUAAGAAAGAAGCAGGGGAUGCAAAAUUUUGAGAAUGGGUCUAAUAAUACUCAUCAAGUAAAGAUAAUCAAAGUUAAAAGGAGGUAAUAAAGGUAUAGAAAAAAAGAAGAAUAUAUUCUACAAAUGAAUGAAACAAAAGAUUGUGACACUGGAAUGGAAACACUUCAGGAGGCCAGAGGAAGAGGGACAAUACUAUAGCAAAUAAAUUGAUAAUGCUUGUGCUCUCCUCUGUUCUUUCCCAAGUUGAUCCUACAAACAAAAGCACAGACAAAACUUAAUAAACGAUGCCAAUCAAUGAAAGCUAAAUUAUCCCCAUCCUGAAUCUUUUAUAAAACAAUGCACCAAGAAAAUUUCAACAAUAAAUAUUUCAUACGAAAAACAAAACACGAUGAAAUAAAUUUCAACAUAGGCUUGUUUCAGUUAACAUCUUACUUUGAAAACCUUAACCUCCCACUCCCUGUAAGCUGUAGGUACAACAUUCUCGGGAAGUUCUAUUGGGCACCCUUCCCUUGUGAAGUUUGCUCCAUGGCCAUCCCAUUCACCGGAUACAUUCCUGGCAAAUUCGGACCACGCACGAACACAUAAAAGAGAAAUUGAAUUAUAGCAGCACGUCAAAUAUAUUAACUUAUAGAUUCUAGACUUCAAAUACUUAACAUAACAAAUACAAAUUUAACCAUCAUCUCUCUUAUCCAUUGCCUUUUCUACUAUAAAUGAAACCGUAUAUUAAAUAACUGACCGUUUUAGAUUGGCAGAUUGCAAUUUCUUUGGAAAUUAGUCAUAAAAGUUAAUACAUUUCAUCACUCCAUUUCUGACUUAUCCUCUUAUCAACUGUUGUGCACCCUAAUCCAAAGAAUGGAAAUUUAACCGCCAAAUAUCAAACGAGAUAUCUAAUAACUGGAAAUUUUCCUUUGGAUAUCUAAUAAAUUUCAAUUACUCAAUUUCUACACAACCCCAAAUCCAAAUACCGUAUGUUGCUCAAAUAUCAACGCAAAGAUGCAAACUUUUUUACGCUACAACAACAACCAUACGAUUUUAAUAAAACCCACAAAAACCAAGUAAAUAAGCAGAUUUUUGGCAACAUCGCUUAAAAUACACUCACCAUAAACAAAAGUGGAAAUGGGAUUGAAGCCAUUGCUGCGGUCCUCCUCCUGGAGUUGCAGCUUAACAUCUGACACAGCGGUGUUGGCGGAGGAAGAGGCAGCGCUCUAGACAAUCUGACCUCUCUGGCGGCAGUUGUGAGGCAGUUGGAAUCUAUAGGCCUCGGUUGAUCCGUUGCUGUUUUUUUUUUUCAUUGGAUCUCCCAUUUGGUCUCACUGUUGUUAUAUUUGUUUUUGUUCUUCCUUGUCAAUCAGGAUCUGCACCUCUGAAAACCCACAAAGACAUUAGAAAUGGAACCCUCUGCAUAUCUUAUGAAAAUAGCGUUGAGCCUUGAGGUGUCCUCGCAACCCUAAGGUAUGGCGCAGUUGGAGUUUUCAACUACAUGAGCGCAACCUUCUCCGGAUCUCUGUGUACGAACCCGACAAACACAGAUCCACACAACUCAUUUUAAAUCAUAUGAUUCUCAUUAGCCCAUUCUACUCACCUUCUUAACACAAACCACGAGUUCAGAUCUUACUCUUUUUAACUACUAAAUAUCCGAGUUCUUGAACUUCGAAAACAAAAAUCCAAAGAGUAUCUCGACUCCAAAUAAGGUAGCUUUUUUACUGUGCAUGUAGCUACCCCAAAAAUGAGGGAAACCCAACCCCACCCCCCAAAAAAAAAACCACCCACAACAAAGUACAACUAUAAGAAAAGCUUUAUGAGGGGUCACUCUAAAAUUGAUCUUAAAAUUAUCUAGUCCGUCAUUCCAAAAAUUGUUGUGACAAUGUUGCAUUUAAAAUUGUCUGACAAUAAAACAUUAUUCUGGGCAAAAUUUUUGUAUAAAUUAUAAGUUCAGCCAAAAGACAUUAUACAGCUUCUUCCUGACUAUUUUAGGUCUAUACUCCAUUGCUGAAAAUUCUAUUAUGCUCAUCAUAAAUCUUGCCAAUCCACCAAGCAAUUGGGUUAAAUUACCCUUGACCUAAAAAAUGAUGGUCCAUCGAUGCCAACUUGGCCAGGCAAUUGGUGGGCUCCAAUAAGCUCGUUGAACUACCAUUGCAGCCCGUUGGCAAUAAGUAACGACGGACUUGAUGUCAAGUAACAGAAGGCUGGCCCCAAUCCCGUGCACCAAAUCGAACGAAACAGCUCCAAUUUGGGUGCCCCAUAGCUGUUGGAUUUUCAACAAUUUGUUGAUAUGAACCAUUAAAUUUCAAACGAUAAAAAAAAUUUAAAAAGAUGAUGUUGUGUAAUGUGGCACUUUGUGGCGCAUUUGAUAUUAAAAUUUUGAAAAUUUCAACAGACAGAUUAAGCUGAUGGUAAAAAAAAUCCAAAAAAAUAAGAAAAAACUUGCAACAAAAAAUAUCUAAAAAAACUUACAAAGUUCAUACUUAAACAAAAAUCUAAACUGAUAUUACUAAUAGAUAAUGACUUAAUGAAAAUGAAAGGAAUCACUCCGGCUCUCUUUCACCAAAUCCAUAGGAACCAUUGAAAUUUGGUUGUUACAAACAGAACCCACUGUAAAAGUUAUAAUAGGAUAGAUCAAAUUUGAAUGGCCCGAUCCCGGUCUUAUAGAUUUGGUGAAAGGGAUGGAUCCUUUCCGUUGAAAAUUUCAUCGCCUCUCCUUUCAACCCUUCAAGGAAAACCCACUUCUUGGGCGUCUUCAACCACGUAAAGCUUCACUUGGGGUUUGCGGUCUUGGAUUGAAAUUUGUGUUUUGGGAUUUGUUGGGUGCUCGCAUGUGGAAUUUUGGAAAAUUUUAGUUGUGGAUUGUGGGGAACUGACGCCCAUUUCAUGUAGGUUGCUUUUGUUUGUGUGUUUUUGGUGAAAUAAUGAUGAGGAGGGUUGGAUAGUUGGACUGGUUUUAUUUUUUUUGUGAAAUUAGAGUGGGAUCAAUCAAGGUUGAGACAUGCCCCAUAAGGGUCAAUAGGUCUCAGUUGCAUAUCUAACUUGUUUCUCAUGUGUUUUCAUCCUGAAGGUUAGAAAAGAUGGGUGCUCUAGACGCGCAGAAAGUGGUUCAUCAACACUAGGGAUGGCGGCUGAUCUCAUGUAUGUGGUUACAUGCUGGAGUUUUCCAUGUGCUUGCCAAUAUGCUGAGUCUUGUAUUCAUUGGAAUUCGGCUUGAGCAAGAAUUUGGAUUUGGUAUGCAUCUGGAUUUUAGUUCAUGUAUGUUAUCAUGCAUGUAUGGCCACAUCCAUAAGUGUUUGUAGUAAAAGAUAAAGCACACGACAUAAGUUGUAGAAUAAUAAAUUAGUUACCAAGUGCAAAACUUCUUUCAUAAAUCUAGAAGAGAAACACUUUCCGGAUGGCUUUAGCUACCUUGUGAUUAAUCUACAGAGGAUUUCUAUGCAUUUGUUUAUUGAAUUGUAAUCCUAGAGUAGUGGUCAUGUAGUGCGGGUUGCAUUAUAACUUACACCAGUAUGUUGUUUGGUUUGAUGGAAACAAGAGGAUGUUUUAUUUAGCGGUGAGCAAAGAAAAGAGUUUAUAGACCGAAGAUGGGGUUCAAACUUUAGUUUUAGACAUAGUAUUCCAUUUUACAGAAUAAAAUUGCUUGAAACAAAAGCUGAGAGAUUAUUUCAGUUUUCUAUCACAUCUGUGGGAACAAAGAUUGUUUUGGAUAUUCUGCAGUUCGAAUUGGUUUCUAUAUCUCAUGUCUGGUUUUGGUGGGAGUUUUCUUUCAACUCUUUUUAUUCAGUAUGGUAUUUCUGUUGGUGCUUCUGGUGCACUUUUUGGACAAUGUAUGUAAAUAAGGUAAAUAAAAUUCUGUAUACUUAAUGAUGCACCUCUUUAUAGUAUGUGCCCGACCCUUUGAUCUUACAGUUUCAGAUUUUGAUCCACAGUUAGCAACAUUGCUUACUCUCCUUUUCAUCAUCAUAAUAAACUUAGCAGUGGGAAUUCUACCACACGUGGACAACUUUGCUCGUAUUGGAGAAUUUUUCUUUGGAUUUCUUCUUGGAUUUUUGUUUUUGAUCCAUCCCCAGUUUAAAUGGCUUACCCAACGGAAUGCUCCCCCUGGACGUGUUACUACUCCAGUUAAAUCUAAACACAAGACGUAUCAAUAUGAGUAUUGUGGGUCCUCUCUUUGAUACUAUUGAUUGUUGGGUAAGCUCCUCCUCGAUCUCUGAUUUAACUAUUUGACUUCAUGAACCUAAUCGACUCCCUGCAUGAGAAUCUGGUAGCCACAGUUGACGUGUGCACAUUUUUUUUUAUCAAAUCAGAGAACUGGAUUUUGUGUAGAUAUGUAGAUAUCAUGUGUCCUGUAAUAUUUUCAUUGCGAAUAGGCUCUGUAUCUGCUUGUUUCUCAUCAUAAUGGUUUGGAGAAGGCAUUGUGUUAUCGCUAUUCUCUGUGUAAUACUAAUUUAUCACUUUGUUGAUAGCGGCUUCUACUUUGCUAUUUUGGAUUGCAUGUGUUGGCAAUACUGUAGACAUCGAAAUUUCGGUAAAUAAAUGUUGACCGAUAAAUCAAAGUGUCAACGCUCAUGUAUUACAUAAAUUUUACACGUAGCGUGUGACUCAACGAAAAUUGAAAUGAGUUGGAAAAGUCAUCAAAAACAGGACACGUGUCAACACCUGGCAGAAACAACUUAUUUCAUCUGGAAUAUUAUAUUCAAAAUUAGGCUAUAGAAAUUUCUAUAAAUAGAAGGCCAAUUCAUUCAUUUAAAGGGACCAAUUCAAAUUACACCUUGAAGCUCUGAAGCUCUGAAGCUCUGAAACUCCGAAGCUCUCAAGCAAAUCCCGAAGGAUCAAGAAAGCCCUUUUCGUUCUUCAUCAAAUCCUCCUUCAAGAUCAAGCCCCGACGGCCCUUGAAGAAAGUGUUCUUCGUUCAUCGUUCUUCCAAGAUCAAGCCCCGACGGCCCUUGGAUCAACAAUCCACCAAUUCAAGAUCACGCCCUAAAGGCCCUUGAAGAACUUCCACCAAUUCAAGAUCAAGCCCCGACGGCCCUUGAAGAAGGCACCAUCAUUCAUCAUCUGUUCAUCCGAGAUCAAGCCCCAACGGCCAUUUGGACCAACAACGUCGACAAAUCCACACAUUCCAACCGUUCUUCAAGAUUAAGCCCAAAAGUCCUUGAAGAGCCGUUCAUCACUGUUCUUCAAGAAUAAGCCCAAAAGCCCUUGAAGAUCCGUUCAUCACUGUUCUUCAAGAUCAAGCCCAAAAGCCCUUGGAGAUCCGUUCGUCACUGUUCUUCAAAGAUCAAGCCCAAAAGCCCCUUUGAAGAUCCGCUCAAAUCCACCUUCAAGAUCAAGUCCACGGCCCCUUGAAGAAACUUCCAACAGUUCAUCCAAGAUCAAGCUUUGACGGCCCUUAGAUCAACGAAACAUCCACAAAUACACACCUUACGAAGAUCGAAUCAGAGGAUCAAAAUUUAAGAGAGAUUGUAACCCAAAACCAUCAAAAAUACAAAUAUUUGUUUGUGCACGUUGUUCUUAUCUCUUUCGUUUCAGGAAUUUUCCGUGUUCACAAAUACUUUGUUGUUUUGUUAUUGGAAAUAAAGGUUCAUUUUCCUUGUAUUGUGUAGUAUCAAUAUAUGCAGGCAUUUUCUGAAAGAAGUCAUGUUUUUUACAAGUAUACUCUUGGCUUGGUUACUCUUUUUCGAGGGGUCAAUCUAAACAACCAUUGUUCCUGGUGUCAUUAUUUGAGUUGUGUCCCUACAUCAAAAUGGAAUUGCAAGUCAAAAUAUUUAUUGUCUGAUAAUAUGUUGUACUUUUCUGCGCAUAUUAGCUUCUACCUUAAUAUUUGAUAGACAGAAGUGCUUGCUUAUUAAAAUGAUCAUGGUUGCAUUCAGUCGUUCUAGUUUGGCAUGCCGUUUAGUCUAAUGCCUUAAAGAAAAGUAAUUUAAGAAAUGACUCGCGAAAUUCUGUGUCAGGAAAUUGUUUUUGCAACGUACUUUGUUAGUACUAUAAAUUGGUUUUGUACUGACAUAUUGUUCUUUAUAUGCAUAUAUGCACCAAUCUUGCAGUCGAGCCAGAUAGGGAAUCAGCUGAACUUAACGUGCGUAAGCAAUGGUAGAAAUGGGACAUAUUCAUUGUCGGAUCCCAGCCCCUCCCGGACUCAGCAGCUAUAUGCUGCUCUUUGUAGUUGACCAUACAUGUACAGAUUUCAGAGUUGAUAGAAUGUUGAUUGAUAUGCUUCAUUCUUGUAGUAAGUAUUCUUUCUCUUUCUUUUGUUUUUUGUUGGGUAAAAUAGUCAUUUGUAUUCACCAAGCAAUGGUUCUCAUUGUCAUUAUUCUUUUCAUUCUUUUACUGCCCUUGUACCUCUUUUCUACUAUUCAUAACAGUUGAAACCCAUACCGAUAAUUAUGAAAUUUACUUGCCAUGUAAAACUACUCAAACAUGCAAUUUACCCAUACCUAAGUUUGUUGAAUGUGGGAUGUUAUGGAUCCUCUCAAUCGGACCUUUGUUCUGUACCUUCUCGUCUCUCUCUCAUUCUGCAAUGUUGCAAGAUGAUCGGACAUAUGUAUACUUUGUAGUUCAUCCUCUAGAGACCAGCUUUGAAAAAAAAAUCAACUAAAUAAAAAAUCAUUUAACCAUUUAAUUAACAUUGUCAAAAUUUCAGUAUUUAAUUGAAAAACAUAGUUCAUUUAUUUAUUGGAUAACAAUUAGAUGACAAAACAAGUAUGAAUUACUUUGGUUUUUGGCGAAGUUGGACUUUAAAGUGAGGCAUUAAUAACUGGAUAUGUCUACAGUGGUGGAAUUCUCUUGCUAGAGACUUGAGCCCCCAUGAAGAAUAAAAAUUAAGAAAGCUUGAUCUCACUAGUAACUGAUACAAUUUUUAGAAAGGUUGCAUCCACAACAGGCUUUCUUGCAAUGGUACUUUAGGGGAACUAUGAGAAAAUCAGCAAUCUCACAAUCCAGCCCCUCAAAAAACAUAGAGACUUCAAAAUUUCCUUUCAUAGCCAGGGUCGCCUAGCAAGGUUACUUUCAUAUUAAAUGACACCAGCGUGACGUUUGAUGUGACCAAAAUAUAGGAUUCCUUGUAUUUGUUUUUUCAUUUUGAAUGGUUGCCAAAUGUUUCGAGUCAGCUUCUGGAAUCAAGGUGCAUUAAUGGUCUUUGUCCUCGGCGUACCGAAAGUGCCGGACAAUAGGUGGUUGCCAAAUGUUUCCAGUCAGCUUCUGGAAUCAAGGUGCUUUAAUGGUCUUCGUCCUUGGCGUACCGAAAGUGCCAGACAAUAGGUGGUUGCCAAAUGUUUCCAGUUAGCUUUUGGAAUCAAGGUGCUUUAAUGGUCUUGCUCCUUGGCGUUCACCGAAAGUGCCAAACAACAGUUCCCAGUAGUGGAAGUAAGCUAGUGAAGUCGUCUAAAAAAACAAGCCAAAGUUGUUGUCAUUUACUUGGACUUCUUCCUUUUCAUAUUUGAAUUUCAAGAACCAGAAAUUGUGGUGUAAGUUCCUCCUAUGAUCCUAUCCUUCUAUAAAUUUCCUUGUCAAGCAACAAUGGAACUCACCAAAUUCACAACUCAACAGCCAUCUCUCUAUUUCUUUCUGCUUCUCUUUCUAAUUAUAUAGUUAACCAGAUCAGGAAUGGGGGUUUUGGUUUUGAAAUUGAUCUUAAUAUACUAGCUUAUCAGUGCAGUGUUCGUUUGCUGUUGGAGCUCCCUGCAAUCGGGACUCGGAAGGAAUGCGACGGAUAGGUUGGCGCUGCUAGCCAUCAAAGCUCAAAUAAAGCAAGAUCUCCAUAAUUACAAUGUGAUGAGCUCCUGGAACGAAUCCAUGCACUUUUGCAUGUGGCAUGGUGUGACGUGCAGUCGACGACAUCGCCAAAGGGUCACUAACCUGGACCUGCAAUCUCAAAAUCUGGUAGGAAAACUAUCCCCAAACAUUGGAAAUCUAAGCUUGCUAAGGGAGCUGUGGCUGCAAAACAACAGCUUCAGUCAUGAAAUUCCUCCACAAAUUGGGAAUUUGCGUAGAUUGCAGGUAUUACGAUUAGACAUGAACUCAUUUAGUGGCAGUAUUCCACACAAUAUAUCAUAUUGCUUCAACCUUAUCUUUAUGAAUUUCACUUACAACAAGUUGGUGGGUAAAAUUCCUUCAAAAAUUGGAUUGUUGUCGAAGCUGCAACAUUUUGCAUUAGAAUAUAAUAAUGUAACGGGACAGGUCCCUCCUUCCUUAGGGAACCUUUCGUCUCUCCGGGGACUAAGUCUUCUUAGUAAUAACUUGAUGGGAAACAUCCCCAGUUCUCUCGGCCAAUUGAAAAAAUUAACCUUCUUGGGAUUGGGGUUCAAUCAGUUGUCUGGUAGCAUUCCUUCCUCCAUUUAUAACCUCUCUUCUCUUGUUACAUUUUCCAUAGUAAUCAACCAAAUUGAAGGGAGUAUUCCAUCAGAUAUUGACAAAAGUUUUCCUAAUCUCGAAAAAUUCAACGUCGGCUCUAACCAACUUACUGGGUCCAUUCCUCCCUCAAUAUUCAAUGUCACAAGUGUUGGGAGAUUUGACGUUGGGAGUAACAACCUAAUCGGACAGGUACCGAGUCUCCAAAAGCUUCACAACCUCCUUUUUUUCAACAUUCAAUUUAAUAAUAUUGGAAGCGGUAAAGAUGGUGACUUAAGUUUUCUCUCGGACUUGACCAAUGCCACCCAGUUACGAGUGCUGCUUAUUGACAACAACAAUUUUGGAGGGACAUUGCCCAUGUCAAUAUCCAAUCUCUCAAACAAACUGGAAAUGUUUUGGGUUGGCGAUGACCAAAUAUAUGGAAGUAUCCCAUCUGGGAUAGGGAAUCUGGUGAGCUUGGAAUCGUUGCUUUUGGAGAAUAGUAGCUUCACAGGUAACAUCCCCUUUGACAUGGGUAAGCUUUCAAACCUUGGAGAAUUAGAUAUUUCCAUGAACAAAUUAUCAGGAAAUAUUCCGUCUUCCUUAAGAAAUUUAACCAAGUUAUUCCAUCUUGCGUUGCAUAGAAAUCAUCUUGAGGGCAGAUUCCUUGAAGCCUAGGGGAAUGCCAGGGGUUGCAGUUGUUGAAUCUUUCUUAUAACCUUCUAAAUGGCACAAUACCCAAACAAGUUUUUAGACUCUCCUCCUUAUCGAUUUCUUUGGACUUGUCUAAUAACCUCUUUACAGGUUCCCUUCCCCCGGAGGUUGGGAAUUUACAAAGUCUAAGUGAACUGGACAUUUCUGAUAACAUGUUAUCUGGAGAACUCCCCAGUAGCCUUGGUGGUUGUGAAAGUUUAGAAGUCCUGCAUUUGCAAGGAAACUUCUUCAACGGGUCCAUUCCUUUGUCUAUGAGUUCAGUGAGAGGGAUUCAAGAUCUAGAUCUUUCUCGCAAUAAUUUUUCAGGUGAAAUUCCACAUUUUUUAGAAGGCUUUAGAAUCCUAAAUAAUCUGAACUUAUCAUUCAAUCAAUUUUGGGGAGAGGUACCAACUGGAGGUGUUUUCAAAAAUGCAAAUGCUAUUUCAGUUGUUGGCAACACUAAUUUGUGCAGCCCUGUUGCUAAUUUAAAGCUUCCCAAGUGCAAGUCUAAAGAGACCAACAAACGAAGAUUGUCUCUUAGCUUGAAACUAAUACUCCCUUUACUAUUUGGACUUGCUCUUCUUGGAAUAGCCAUGGUGUUCUCCUAUUUCUUUCUUUGUUCGUCAAGGAAGAAAAGGAAAGAAAUUUCAUUGAGCACUUUGGGGAACACUAUUUUGCAAGUUUCAUAUGCUACUCUACUCAAAGCUACUAACGCGUUCUCAGAGGCUAAUUUAAUUGGUGUUGGUAGUUUUGGGUCUGUGUACAAGGGAGUUCUUGAUGAUGAUGAUAAAGCUCAACUAGUUGCCGUGAAGGUGUUUAACUUGUUACGCCUUGGAGCUUCGAGGAGUUUCAUAGCUGAAUGUGAAGCUUUGAAAAAUAUUAGGCAUCGAAAUCUCGUCAAGAUUAUAACUGUGUGUUCAAGUGUUGAUUUUCAUGGUAAUGAUUUCAAGGCUCUAGUUUAUGAGUUCAUGGACAACGGGAGCUUAGAGGAGUGGCUGCAUCCACCUACUGGAACUGAAGAGUUAAGAGAUCAUGUACCCAAGAAUUUAAGUCUUUUUCAGAGGCUAGAAAUUGCCAUUGGUGUUGCUUGCGCACUGGAUUAUCUUCAUAAUCAUUGUGAAACACCGAUAGUUCAUUGUGAUCUCAAGCCAAGCAAUGUUCUCUUGGACAACGAAUUGACCGGCCAUGUUUCUGACUUUGGAUUAGCAAGGUUUCUCUCACAAGUAACGAGUAAUGUUUCAGCAAUUCAGAGUCAAACAAGUUCCGUUGGAAUAAGGGGAACAAUUGGUUAUGUAGCUCCAGGUAUAUAUAUGUUAGAUAUAUACUUCAUUAUGUUUCCUUUUUUAUUUUGGAGUAUUUAAUUUACAAAAUUAAAAAAUGUGAUGUUUGAAUUGCAGAGUAUGGCAUGGGGAGUGAGGUGUCAACGAAUGGUGAUGUUUACAGCUUUGGCAUUCUCUUGUUGGAGAUGUUUACAGGGAAAAGACCCACUGACAACAUGUUUGGUGAUAGCUUGGACCUUCAUAAUUUGUCAAGAUGGCUCUCCCCAUGCAAGUUACUGAGAUUGCAGACGCACCACUUCUUCAAGGACGCACGAACGAGAAUCUCAAUCAAUGCACUACAAGAAUUCAUAGAGUUGAGGUGUGCUUGAGUUCAAUAUUUAGAAUUGGAAUUGCUUGUUCUGCUGAAUCCGCAACAGAUCGACUAAAGAAUAUCAAUGAUGCUGCAUCUAAACUUCAUUCCAUUAGGAAUACUUUUCUUGGAUAGAAACUAUUUCUUAUGUGCUUUUGUGAUUGAGAAAUUUCGUGUACUGCCUGUGAAGUCUAGCUUUUAUGUUACCACAGUAGAUGUGAAAGUUUGCAACGUAAAUAAUCACCAAUGAGGUUCAUUGUGUGAAGAGUGUUUUACUACUUCUUGUACUUGGUAUUUUUGUGUAAUAUUCACAUCUAUUAAAGUCUAGUACGUGCCACGAAAUUCUUGAAUAUACACAUUGACAGAUUCCAAAUUUUCGAAAGAUUCAUCACCUCAAGAUCCUCAACUUAUAUUCAACAAAAUCAUCUUGGAAGCGGUAAAGAUGGUGAUUUGAGUUUCCUAUCAGACAUGACCACUAUCAAUGUAAGGUGCUUUCGAAAAUCAAAGUGCUAUUUCAAUUGUUAACAACACUAGAUUCUGCAAGGGAAUUUCUAAUCUCAAGCUGCCUAAUUGCUGCUAGAGUUUGAAUAGAAAAUGUGGGGUAUUGUUGGAACUUUUGUGAAUAUGUGGGAUUGGGAGUCCCGCAUCGCCCAUUUCCCAUCUUAAAGUUAUCUUUAUAAGUGUGUCCUCACACUUAUGGUUUGAAAACAAUUGGGCCUAGGCCAUGGACCUUGGGCCUUAGGCUUGGAAGGUUUAGGUGUAUAUUAAAUGUCAAAGAUGGGCCUUGGGCCAUGGUGCUCGGAUGGACGAAAACACAAGUUACGUUUUUUAUUUUUGGGAUUUAGUUUUUUUUCUGAAAGGAUAAAACUGAUUGAACAGUUAUGUCAGUUUUAUAACUGAUAAGAAUGAACAGUUAUGUCUGUUCAAUUUAUGCCAUUAUAUAUAUGGCAAUAAGAUCAGAAACUUAACAUAGAAUUUCCAACGCUUCCUUUUCAUCUUACACAGAGAAACGCACAACCAAUUCGCCAAGAAUCCAAGUUCGAGUGCAAGAACUUGGAUUAGAUAGUUGUAUCCUGCAAGAUAGAUGUCCGUUGAACUAUUGCAUGGGUGUAGGGGUGAAUUUCUGUCUUAGGUGAUUGCAUUUGCAAGCCUUUAUCUUCAAGAACAAGUCAAUGAUUUGUGAUUUUAUAUGCAAUUUACUUAAGUGUUUGUAUUUUGAUAUUUAUAGUAUUUGUUGUUGAAUUUAGCAUUCGAAAUAAACUGUGCAAAAUAUAUAUUGUGUCAGUGACAUUUGAUUGGUUUCCAACAUUCUAAGACAGAAAUUUUCAUUAUGAAACCAUGGAUCAAUCAAAUGUUGGUGUCGUCAAGCAACACGUUGAGAAACCUGAGAAAUUCAAGGUUGUUGAUUUCAAACGUUGACAACAUAAAAUGUUGUUCUAUUUGACAACUCUGAACUUGCGUCAUGUGAUUACUUCUGAGGCCCCUUGGAGAAUUAGAUAUUUCCAUGAACAAAUUAUCAGGAAAUAUUCCGUCUUCCUUAAGAAAUUUAACCAAGUUAUUCCAUCUUGCGUUGCAUAGAAAUCAUCUUGAGGGCAGCAUUCCUUCAAGCCUAGGGGAAUGCCAGGGGUUGCAGUUGUUGAAUCUUUCUUAUAACCUUCUAAAUGGAACAAUACCCAAACAAGUUUUUAGACUCUCCUCCUUAUCGAUUUCUUUGGACUUGUCUAAUAACCUCUUCACAGGUUCCCUUCCCCCGGAGGUUGGGAAUUUACAAAGUCUAAGUGAACUGGACAUUUCUGAUAACAUGUUAUCUGGAGAACUCCCCAGUAGCCUUGGUGGUUGUGAGAGUUUAGAAGUCCUGCACUUGCAAGGAAACUUCUUCAACGGGUCCAUUCCUUUGUCUAUGAGUUCAGUGAGAGGGAUUCAAGAUCUAGAUCUUUCUCGCAAUAAUUUUUCAGGUGAAAUUCCACAUUUUUUAGAAGGCUUUAGAAUCCUAAAUAAUCUGAACUUAUCAUUCAAUCAAUUUUGGGGAGAGGUACCAACUGGAGGUGUUUUCAAAAAUGCGAAUGCUAUUUCAGUUGUUGGCAACACUAAUCUGUGCAGCCCUGUUGCUAAUUUAAAGCUUCCCAAAUGCAAAUCUAAAGAGACCAAGAAACGAAAAUUGUCUCGUAGCUUGAAACUAAUACUCCCUUUAGUAUUUGGACUUACUCUUCUAGGAAUAGCCAUGGUGUUCUCCUAUUUCUUUCUUUGUUCGCCAAUGAAGAAAAGGAAAGAAAUUUCGUUGAGCACUUUGGGGAACAAUAUUCUGCAAGUGUCAUAUGCUACUCUACUCAAAGCUACUGACAGGUUCUCAGAGGCUAAUUUAAUUGGUGCUGGUAGUUUUGGGUAUGUGUACAAAGGAGUUCUUGAUGAGGAUGAUAAAGCUCAACUUGUUGCCGUGAAGGUGUUUAACUUGUUACGCCGUGGAGCUUCGAAGAGUUUCAUAGCCGAAUGUGAAGCUUUGAGAAAUAUUAGGCACCGAAAUCUCGUCAAGAUUAUAACCGUGUGUUCAAGUGUUGAUUUUCAUGGUAAUGAUUUCAAGGCUCUAGUUUUUGAGUACAUGGACAACGGGAGCUUAGAGGAGUGGCUGCAUCCACCUACUGGAACUGAAGACUUAAGAGAUCAUGUACCCAAGAAGUUCAGUCUUCUUCAGAGGCUAGAAAUUUCCAUUGGUGUUGCUUGUGCACUAGAUUAUCUUCAUAAUCAUUGUGAAACGCCAAUAGGUCAUUGUGAUCUCAAGCCAAGAAACGUUCUCUUGGACAACGAAUUGAUUGGCCAUGUUUCUGACUUUAGAUUAACAAGGUUUCUUUCACAAGUAAAGAGUAAUGUUUCAACAAUUCAAAGUCAGACAAGUUCCGUUGGAAUAAGAGGAACGGUUGGUUAUGUAGCUCCAGGUAUAUAUAUGUUAGAUAUACACUUCAUUAGAUUUCCUUUUUUAUUUUUGAGUAUUUAAUUUACAAAAUUCAAACUGAACUAUUUAUACACAAAUGUGAUGUUUGAAUUGUAGAGUAUGGCAUGGGAAGUGAGGUGUCAACGAAUGGUGAUGUCUACAGCUUUGGCAUUCUCUUGUUGGAGAUGUUUACAAGGAAAAGACCCACUGACAACAUGUUUGAUGAUAGCUUGAACCUUCAUAAUUUUGUCAAGAUGGCUAUCCCUUAGCGAGUUAGUAAGAUUGCAGAUGCACCACUUCUUCAAGGAUGCACGAACGAGAAUCCCAAUCAAUGUAGUGCGAGAAUUCAUAAAGUUGAGGUGUGCUUGAGUUCAAUAUUUAGAAUUGGAAUUGCUUGUUCUGCUGAAUCCACAACAGAUCGACUAAAGAAUAUCAAUGAUGCUGCAUCUGAACUUCAUUCCAUUAGGAAUACUUUUCUUGGAUAGAAACUUUUUUUUAUGUGCGUUUGUGAUAGAGAAAUUUCAUGUACUGCCUGUGAAGUCUAGCUUUUAUGUUACCACAGUAGAUGUGGAAGUUUGCAAUGUAAAUAAUCACCAAUGAGGUUCAUUGUGUGAAGAGUGUAUUACUACUUCUUGUACUUGGUAUUUUUGUGUAAUAUUCACAUUGAUGAAAGUCUAGUUCGUGCCACGAAAUUGUUGAAUAUUCACAUUGACAGAUUCCAAAUUUUUUAAAGAUUCAUAAUCUCAAGACCCUCAAGAUUCAAUAAAAUCAUCUUGGAAGCUGUAAAGAUGGUGAUUUGAGUUUCCUAUUAGACUUGACCACUAUCAGUGUAAGGUGUUUUCGAAAAUCAAAGUGCUAUUUCAAUUGUUGACAACACUAGAUUCUGCAAGGGAAUUCCUAAUCUCAAGCUGCCCAGCUGCAAUCUAAAGAGCUCCAAGAAUAGAAGAUUAGCUUAUAGCUUGAAAUUAAUAAUCCCUUUUGUAUUCAUACUUGCUCUACUUUGCAAGUGUCAUAGGCUACUUUCUCAAACGCCACUGAUUGGUUUUCUUCAGCUAAUUUGACAGUUUUGAGUUUGUAUACUGACAAUAGAGCUCGGCUUGUACUUGUAGAUAUGAAGGUGUUUAACAAUAUCAAGCAUCAAAGAGUUUCAUAGCCGAAUGUGAGGCUUUGAGAAAUAUCAAGCAUCAAAAUCUCGUCAAGGUCAUAUCUGCAUGUUUUCUCGAUGAUUAUUUCUAGGCUCUAGUUUAUGAGUUGAUGCACCAAAGGAGCUUAGAGGAGUGGUUGCAUCGCCUCCUGUAAUUGAAGAGGUAAGAGAUCAAUACAUCCAACAAUUUAAAAUCUUCUUCAAGGGCUAGAUAUUGUUAUUGGUGUUGCCAUUAUGCACUGGAUUAUUUUCAUAACCAGAGUGAAACACGGAUAGUUCAUUGUGAUCUAAAGCCAAGCAAUGUUCUUCAAAACACCAAGUUGACUGGACAUGUUUAUUGAAAGUAGACUAAUCUCAUACUGUUAAUUAUAUGAACUCCUCCAUAGAGGUGAAGGUAAUUGGGUUCAAGUUGGUUGGUAUGGUUAAUAGGGUUUGCAAAUGACCAUUUUUUAAAGAAUUUUAACCCCGACUUUAAAGCCCAUGGGCUAUGACAAAUCAAGGUUUUCUAGCAUUGUUGCUAUCAAUAUUCUCUCAUGUGCAUUCUGAAUUCCAAUCCAAUGGUUUUAGCAAUCUUUCGACUAAUCUUGACAAUGAAAGAGUUUUUUUUUUUUUUGUUCGAACAAAUGAUAUUAUCUAUACUAAGAGGAAGGGGAUAGGUUUAGCUUCAUAAUGGACUAACAAUAAUGUGGUUCAAAUUCGUCUUUGGCAAGAAUCCAACUCAAGACUUCUCACUUACAAGUGAAAAGAAUAGUACUAAGUGACAUGAAAGGGUUUCUAUUAAACCCACAAAAAUGAAAACUCUCAGCAGUUUAUUAAUGGAUUUGAAUUUAGAUUUAUUACAAUUGAUAAGAGAUUUUUUUUUUCAGCAAUCAAUAGGAUACUAACAAAUUUGUUUUUAGUACAAAGAUAUGUCACGAUAAUGUGACUUAUAGCUAUGUCAUUGGCCUUUUAACUUAUUGUCCUAUCUUUGACGCACUCCAAUUAAUGUCGUCCUCUAAUUGUUAGUAUUUAAUGAAUCUCAUCCUAAAUUGUUACCCAAAAUAUUAAUUAUCAAAGCAAAUAAACUUGAUUGAGUUAUAAAUUUAUCAUGAUCCAGUUGGCAUGGUUCGGAGAAAAAUCAAUUUUGUUCAUAAUUUUCAUGUCUUCCUAGUGAACAUGGGGCUAUAAGUGAAGUUCCAAAGGAUACGGUGGUGUAAUUUGCCCCAUGAAUUGUCUCCUCCAAUUUGCAUGCAUACGGUAGGUGACUGACUCCCAAAUAAUUCUCGUUACCAAGCAAAUUAAAUAUCAUUAAUUAAGAGCUUAAAACUCUUUAAUUAUUACCUCUCUAUUUUGCUUUUGCAAUUAGGAUAUUUUCCCCUUUUGCGUAAAAUAUUAUAAGAAUAUUUUUGUUCUCCACACUCAAAUGAUGGUGAUACUCACUACUUUAUUUAUCACCGUUAUGAGUUUAAUACCCUGGAUAAACACAAAUCUCAAAAUUUAAACCCAUACAACGGUAAUAAAUAAGGUUAUAAGCAUUACCACCACUUGAGGGUGAUGACUAAAAAUCACCCCAAUAAUAUAAGAGGUAGUUAAGUUAGUUGGUGUGGUAGUUGGUCUUUAGCAAGCUUCUUAUAGAAAAGAAGAAUCUGGGUACUUUGGCCGUUUUGCAAAAGAAAAAGAAAGAAAGGGGCAUUUGAUGUUGCAACAGGCAUAGUGAUGGUGCUAGCCGCCUGCUUCUUGGUGUUUUUUUUAAAAGAAAAUAUAAAAAAAUAAGAAAAGGCUAAUUUGCACCCUUCGGAUAUUAUGAUGCCAAUUUGCUUGGUUGAGAAACUUGUGGCUUUUCUAAUGGAGAUUACGUAAAGGUGCAAACAAUUUGUUAAUGGUUGUGCAAAAUAGGUUUCAUCCUAGAAAAUAUGUUCGCGCUCCGCUGCGGGUUUUGAAAUCAUAACCCACAAUUUAACAUGCCCAUUUUUAAAUUAUUCAGAAAUCAAUCAGAGAAAACUUCAAGUAGAAGAAAAAUGAGUUCUCAAUCAGAGGAAACUUCAAUUUCAUGCAAGUUUUUUUGUUCUAAUUUCAGGGCUUAACAAUGCAAGAUUGGAAUUUGCCUUUGGUUCAAAGAAGUAAGAUAAACUGAUAAGCAACAACAACAACAACAACAAAGCCUUUUCCCACUAAGUGGGGUCGGCUAUAUGAAUCUUAGAACGCCAUUGCGCUCGGUUUUGUGUCAUGUCCUCCGUUAGAUCCAAGUACUCUAAGUCUUUUCUUAGAGUCUCUUCCAAAGUUUUCUUAGGUCUUCCUCUACCCCUUCGGCCCUGAACCUCUGUCCCGUAGUCACAUCUUCGAACCGGAGCGUCAUUCGGCCUUCUUUGCACAUGUCCAAAUCACCGGAGCCGAUUUUCUCUCAUCUUUCCUACAAUUUCGGCUACUCCUACUUUACCUCGGAUAUCCUCAUUCCCAAUCUUAUCCUUUCUCGUGUGCCCACACAUCCCACGAAGCAUCCUCAUCUCCGCUACACCCAUUUUGUGUACGUGUUGAUGCUUCACCGCCCAACAUUCUGUGCCAUACAACAUCGCUGGCCUUAUUGCCGUCCUAUAAAAUUUUCCCUUGAGCUUCAGUGGCCUACGACGGUCACACAACACGUCGGAUGCAUUCUUACACUUCAUGCAUCCAGCUCGUAUUCUAUGGUUGAGAUCUCCAUCUAAUUCUCCGUUCUCUUGCAAGAUAGAUCCUAGGUAGCGAAAACGGUCGCUUUUUGUGAUCUUCGCUAGAUUGCUCCGGUCAUUAGUGUGGAUAAGUAUAUAAAUGGAUAGAGAUAGGAAAGCAAACACAAGAUGUACGUGGUUCACCCAGAUUGGCUACGUCCACGGAAUAGAAGAGUUCUCAUUAAUUGUGAAGGGUUUACACAAGUACAUAGGUUCAAGCUCUCCUUUAGUGAGUACAAGUGAAUGAUUUAGUACAAAUGACAUUAGGAAAUAUUGUGGGAGAAUGAUCUCGUAAUCACGAAACUUCUAAGUAUCGGAGUGUGGUGUCGUCUUCUUGACUUGCCUUAUCUGUCUCAUAGGUAGAUGUGGCAUCUUCUCUGGAAGUACUCUUCCUCCAUCCAGGGGUGGUAUCUUUAACUGGUGGAGAUGCACAAGGUAAUGUAUCAAUUUCACUUGAAGCUUACUUGUAGUUUCAGGCUUGGUCAAGCGCGAUACAAACCAUGUAGUAGGAGUCCCCCAAGUCGCCGAGCUAGGGGGUCUGCUGAAAGAGGUGACAGACAAGGUAAGCAAUCAGAGCUCCGACUGAUUGUUCACCUUCUCCCCAUCUUGCAGCAGCAUGAAGGAUAAAGAGAAGAAAAAUGAGAAGAGAUGAUAUGAGAUACUUUUGUUUUUGAAGAAGUAACUUUCCACAGGCUUAUUCUUGAACUGAGCUUGAGGGUUUUCUGGUUUCCUCCAGAGUAUAAGGCCGACUGAAGAAUUUGAGGGUCAAAACAAGUCCAUCAAAUCUAGAGUACGUUCCACCCUGCUGAUAUGGGAUACCUUUGCUUUUGACAGAGUAAUGGAUGUAUCGGCACGUGUGCUGUUACGCUUGUCUCCACAUGCUUCCUUGUAUCCUUCGCACUUGCCCUAUCUGUUCCUCAAACAGAUGCGGAAUCUUCCCUGGAAACAUAAGAUGUUGAAGAUGAGUACUCGACAGCAAUGCCAGGUAAGUAAUCAGGUAAGGGGUUCCAGGCAGUCAGUUCCUGACUGGAAGCUUGAUUCCAAGUGCUGACUGAUUGCUCUCUUUCUCCUUGUCUUGCAAUAAAAACAAGGCCAAAGGAAAAGACAGGGAAAAAGCAUGAUAUGGGAUACUCUUGCUUUUAACCCUGAUGAUAUGAGAUAUUCUUGCUCUAGUAUAGCUUGUUUGCAGAGGUAUUAUCGGGGGGAAAGAAAGCUGAAUAUUUCGAAAGGCUUCGUUGGGAGUGCCCUCUCAGAUAUGAUGAAGGGUUGAGCAUUUUUUCAGGUCUGCCUGUCCGUUGGGGAUGGAAGGUCGACAUAUAUAGGAGUCUCCCUAACAACAAGUAGUAAUGCUAUUCCUUUACCCUGCUUGGUCAUAGCACGGUAGUGGGAGCUGCCAGUUUCACAUGUUUUAACUCUGUCAGAGCACUUUGAAAAAGUGGUCUGUGGUAUCUGGCUCUCGAGAUUCGGAGAACGAUGCCUCUUCAAUUUUUGAGAAAGCAAUCAUGCUGGGGGUCUGGCUCUCGAGAUUCGGAGAGCAGUGUCUCUUCGAUUUUUGAGGAAGUAAUCAUGUUGGGAGUCUGGCUCUCGAGAUUCGGAGGGCGGUGCCUCUUCGAUUUUGGAGCAAGCAAUCUUGUUGGGAGUGUUGUCUCGAAUGUGAGUAAAGGUUGGGCAUGUUUGCUAGUUUACCUUGCCACGAAGCACAAAGGUUGACACACAGGGACUUUCCAAUUAUCCAGCAAUGGUACUGUUCCUUUACCCUCUCUUCGAUUUUGAGAAAGUAGUCAUGUUGGGAGUCUGGCUCUCGAGAUUCGGAGGAUGGUGCCUCUUCGAUUUUGGAGCAAGCAAUCUUGUUGGGAGUGUUUUCUCGAAUGUGAGUAAAGGUUGGGCAUGUUUGCUAGUCUACCUUGCCACGAAGCACAGAGGUUGACACACAGGGACUUUCCAAUUAUCCAGCAGUGGUACUGUUCCUUUACCCUUGUGGGUAAUAAUAUGGUAGCUAGACCUUCAAAAUUUAUGUGUCUAAACUUUGUUAGUGCUGUUUCUUUGCUAUUCUUUUACCUUUCUUGGUCAGAGCGAUGUAGUGGAAGCUGCAAGCUUCACGUGCUCAACUUUGGCAGAGAACUUUGGCAAAGUUAUCUGUGGUACCCAUGAGCUAUUGUUGCGUGUGGGAAGUAGGUGAUUGAACAGUAAGAUUCAUGUGCUUUCUACUUCACCAGAAGUCUUCGACAGAAUGCCCAUAAUUUCCGCAAAGCUGAGUGUGCGUGUGACAGGUGCUGACAAGACUAGAAAAGUAGGUGCCUCUUCGAUUUCUGAGAUCGGCCCUCGUGGUCUCUGAGUAGCCCAGCUUUUGAGAAAGCGAGCGCCUCUUCGAUUGAUUCGGAGAACGAUGCCUCAUCGAUUUUUGAGAAAGCAAUCAUGUUGGGGGUCUGGCUCUCGAAGAUUCGGGGAGCAGUGUUUCUUCGAUUUUUGAGAAAGUAAUCAUGUUGGGAGUCUGGCUCUCGAGAUUCGGAGGGCGGUGCUUCUUCGAUUUUGGAGCAAGCAGUCUUGUUGGGAGUUUUUUCUCGAAUGUGAGUAAAGGUUGGGCAUGUUUGCUAGUCUACCUUGCCACGAAGCACAGAGGUUGACACACAGGGACUUUCCAAUUAUCCAGCAAUGGUACUGUUCCUUUACCCUCUCUUCGAUUUUUAAGAAAGUAGUCAUGUUGGGAGUCUGGCUCUCGAGAUUCGGAGGACGGUGCCUCUUCGAUUUUGGAGCAACCAAUCUUAUUGGAAGUGUUUUCUCGAAUGGGAGUAAAGGUUGGGCAUGUUUGCUAGUCUACCUUGCCACAAAGCACAGAGGUUGACACACAGGGACUUUCCAAUUAUCCAGUAGUGGUACUGUUCCUUUACCCUUGUGGGUAAUAAUAUGGUAGCUAGACCUUCAAAAUUUAUGGGUUUAAACUUUGUUAGUGCUGUUUCUUUGCUAUUAUUUUACCCUUCUUGGUCAGAGCGAUGUAGUGGGAGCUGCAAGCUUCACGUGCUUAACUUUGGCAGAGAACUUUGGCAAAGUUUUCUGUGGUACCCAUGAGCUAUUGUUGCGUGUGGGAAAUGGGUGAUUGAACAGUAAGAUUCAUGUGUUUUCUACUUCCCUAGAAGUCUUCGACAGAAUGCCCAUAAUUUUCGCAAAGCUGAGUGUGCGUGUGACAGGUGCUGACAAGGCUGGAAAAGUAGGUGCCUCUUCGAUUUCUGAGAUCGGCCCUCGUGGUCUCUGGGGAGCCCAGCUUUUGAGAAAGCGAGCGCCUCUUCGAUUUCUGAGAUCAGCCUUCGUGGUCUUUGAGCAGCCCAACUUUUGAGAAAGCAAACACCUCUUCGAUUUCUGAUAUCAACCCUCGUGAUCUCUAAGCAACCCAGCUUUUGAGAAAGCAAACGCCUCUUCGAUUUCUGAGUAGGUGCCUUUUCGAUUUCUGAAGCUCCGUCGAGUGCAGAUUUUUAUAGGGGCUGGCAUUAAGUUCCAAAGCACACUUGAAUCUCCACCAGUAGAAGCUUCAUUCUUGCACUUCUAAGAUCUUGAUUUGUCCGACAACAUAUGGCGCCCAUCUUUUGUCGCCCCUACUGGUCCUCUUACCGUUGGGGAUUCCGUGAUGAAGAAUGAUAUGACCGCUGCGGUGGUGGCCAGGAACCUUCUCACUCCCAAAGAUAACAGACUACUUUCCAAACGGUCUGAUGAGUUAGCUGUUAAGGAUUCGCUGGCUCUCAGUGUUCAGUGUGCAGGUUCUGUGUCUAAUAUGGCCCAACGCCUAUUUGCUCGAACCCGCCAAGUUGAAUCAUUGGCGGCUGAAGUGAUGAGUCUCAAACAGGAGAUUAGAGGGCUCAAGCAUGAGAAUAAACAGUUGCACCGGCUCGCACAUGACUAUGCUACAAACAUGAAAAGGAAGCUUGACCAGAUGAAGGAAACUGAUGGUCAGGUUUUACUUGAUCAUCAGAGAUUUGUGGGUUUGUUCCAAAGGCAUUUAUUGCCUUCGUCUUCUGGGGCUGUACCGCGUAAUGAAGCUCCAAAUGAUCAACCUCUGAUGCCUCCUCCUUCUAGGGUUCUGUCCAGUACUGAGGCUCCAAAUGAUCCCCCUCCGGUGCCUUCUCUUUCUGGGGCUCUACCGACUGCUGAGACUUCUUCUAAGCAACCUUUGUGAAGGCUCCCUCUUGUGUGUUUAUUUUGACUCAUGUAUAUGUACAUAUUUGUAGCUUAUCGGGGAUAUCAAUAAAUAAGCUUUCCUUCAUUUCAACGUAUUGUGUUAAAUACACCAAAGCCUUCUUCGCUAAGUUCUUUGAAUUUUCUUUUGUUGAAGCUUGUAUGUUGAAGCUUUCUGAGUGGAGCAUGUAGGUUGGGGUACUGUUCCUUUAAUUUUCCGAGUGAGGAAAACUUCUCGGUUGGAGACUUGGAAAAUCCAAGUCACUGAGUGGGAUCGGCUAUAUGAAUCUUAGAACGCCAUUGUGCUCGAUCCUGUGUCAUGUCCUUCGUUAGAUCCAAGUACUCUAAGUCUUUUCUUAGAGUCUCUUCCAAGGUUUUCCUAGGUCUUCCUCUACCCCUUCGGCCCUGAACCUCUGUCCCAUAGUCGCAUCUUCUAAUCGGAGCGUCAGUAGGCCUUCUUUGCACAUGUCCAAACCACCGUAACCGAUUUUCUCUCAUCUUUCCUUCAAUUUCGGCUACUCCUACUUUACCCCGGAUAUCCUCAUUCCUAAUCUUAUCCUUUCUCAUGUGCCCACACAUCUAACGAAGCAUCCUCAUCUCCGCUACACCCAUUUUGUGUACGUGUUGAUGUUUCACCGCCCAACAUUCUGUGCCAUACAGCAUCGCCGGCCUUAUUGCCGUCCUAUAAAAUUUUUCCUUGAGCUUCAGUGGCAUACGGCGAUCACAUAACACGCCGGAUGCACUCUUCCACUUCAUCCAUCCAGCUUGUAUUCUAUGAUUGAGAUCUCCAUCUAAUUCUCCGUUCUUUUGCAAGAUAGAUCCUAGGUAACGAAAACGGUCGCUCUUUGGUAUUUCUUGAUCUCCGAUCCUCACCCCUAACUCGUUUUGGCCUCCAUUUGCACUGAACUUGCACUCCAUAUAUUCUGUCUUUGAUCGGCUUAGGCGAAGACCUUUAGAUUCCAACACUUCUCUCCAAAGGUUAAGAUUUGCAUUUACCCCUUCCUGAGUUUCAUCUAUCAACACUAUAUCGUCUGCGAAAAGUAUACACCAAGGAAUAUCAUCUUGAAUAUGUCCUGUUAACUCAUCCAUUACCAACGCAAAAAGGUAAGGACUUAAGGAUGAGCCUUGAUGUAAUCCUACAGUUAUGGGAAAGCUUUCGGUUUGUCCUUCAUGAGUUCUUACGGCAAUCUUUGCUCCUUCAUACAUAUCCUUUAUAGCUUGGAUAUAUGCUACUCGUACUCCUUUCUUCUCUAAAAUCCUCCAAAGAAUGUCUCUUGGGACCCUAUCAUACGUUUUUUCCAAAUCUAUAAAGACCAUGUGUAAAUCCUUUUUCCCAUCUCUAUAUCUUUCCAUCAAUCUUCGUAAGAGAUAGAUUGCCUCCAUGGUUGAGCGCCCUGGCAUGAACCCGAAUUGGUUGUCCGAAACCCGUGUCUCUUGCCUCAAUCUAUGCUCAAUGACUCUCUCCCAGAGCUUCAUUGUAUGACUCAUUAGCUUAAUACCCCUAUAGUUCAUGCAAUUUUGUACGUCGCCCUUAUUCUUGUAGAUAGGCACCAAAGUGCUCGUUCGCCACUCAUUUGGCAUCUUCUUCGUUUUCAAAAUCCUAUUGAAAAGGUCAGUGAGCCAUGUUAUACCUGUCUCUCCCAAAAGUUUCCACACUUCGAUUGGUAUAUCGUCUGGGCCUAUUGCUUUUUUAUGCUUCAUCUUCUUCAAAGCUACAACCAUUUCUUCCUUCCGGAUUCGACGAUAAAAAGAGUAGUUUCUACACUCUUCUGAGUUACUCAACUCCCCUAAAGAAGCACUCAUUUCAUGUCCUUCAUUGAAAAGAUUAUGAAAAUAACCUCUCCAUCUGUCUUUAACCGCGUUCUCUGUAGCAAGAACCUUUCCAUCCUCAUCCUUGAUGCACCUCACUUGGUUUAGGUCGUACCUAAAAUGGAAAAUAUUUGCUUUCCUAUAUGCUCUGAAGUUUGCAUAAGUGCUGGAAAUUUAUAAUAUAUAAAGAGACAAUCUCAAAAUAAAACACAUUUGAAGGAAAAGUAAUAAGAAAAGAAAAUACUAUUUUUUACCUAUGAUUCAUGUGGGGAGUAGAAUUUCCAGUCACAAUUGACAACCCAAGAGCUCUGUAAAUCAAAUAUACUGGAAAAGAUCAAUAAAAAGUGAAUUACAGUUUCUCAAAUCAGAAAGUAACAUUUAUUUGAAAAGAUUCAGACUCAUUUUGGAUAUAGAUAAACAAUGGCAUGUUAAAAACCAAAAUGAUAAGGCAUUCAACAUUCAACAUUCACGUAAAAAAAAAUGAUAUACAUGUUAUCCAUCAAUGUUUUGGUAACAAAUUCCCAAAUUGCUCUAUCUACCAAACAUUUGCAGAUCUAUAGUUACAGAUAUUCACUUUUAUGAUAUUCAACCCAAUACCCAAAUUAUUGGCAAAACGACAUUGUAUAUAGAUCUUUUGAGCACCCGAGCCAAUGACAAUAACAUUGAAGGCAACUACAAAAAUUGUACAUUAUAUAAAGAGGCAAUCUCAUAAUCAAAAUUGUCAAAAUCAAUAUUUUAUGGCUACAUUUUUUCAUCAGUCAAUCAAUACACACAGAACACGGAAUCACAUACUUGACAAAAAUUCAAACCCAUAAAUCCGAAAUUAGCAAUGUUAUUUCUUAACCCCCAAAAACAAUCCAAAUCUUAGUGGUUACAUUCAUUAGUCAAGCACUCAACCACUCAGGCACAUCGACCACAACUUGGGAAUGUUAUGCAAAUCUUAGGCAGCUUGAAUCAUUAAAUUUGAGUUGGAAGAAGCUCUGUUACCUGCUCUGCUAGUUGAGGAGGGUCACCCAAUUCGGCACUAUCAUCAGCAUCAGCACAUUUCACACACUCCCGCUUCCAAAACAUUUCACAAAAUCAAAAACCAAAUGAGAUUACGUAGCAGAAAAGAUUGAUGGAAAAAUAGAUUAAGAAAAGCAAGUAAUAUUAAAUAUAGAGGAUGAAUGAUGUUGUUCUGUCAACUAAAAGCAGCCAUGAGUAUUGGAUGGCUAGUGAAGUUAGGCUAGUCAACUUUCUUUAUGUAAAUUAGGCAAGUUAGGUAAGUUAGGCAAGUUAGGCAAAGUUAGGUUUUAUGUCUUCUUUCUUUCCCUAUAUAUAUGUUCAUCUUGUAAUGAGAAAAUCAUCAAAUAAAUCAAGGAAUUAACUCUAUUUUGGCAUGGUAUCAGAGCCAUUCUGAUCCAAAAAGAGUUUCUAUUCUGAUUCACUUACUGGCACUACUGCCAUCUACCCAAUAAGACCUGCUAUUCUGCAGGUCUUCUACUUUCAUACCAAUACCUGCUAUUCUGCAGGUCUUCUACUUUCAUACCAAUCCAAUCUUACUCUUUUUCAUUUGGCCAUAUCUGCCAACAUUAUUACCCAUAUCCAGCUUGUUAACCAUACAUAUUCCGCUGCAUCUUUUCCCAUAUUCUUCCCAUUUGCAGUAUCUCUGCAAAACCCAGAAAUCUUUCCACACAAAAAAUAUACUACCCAAUACCCCAUAAACCAUACCCGUUGGAAUCACCCAACAAAUUUACCCAUAACCUCUGAGGCAGUAAUAAUGGGUGACUCCAAGACCACUGUUUCAGCUACUGUUACUCAAAGUGAUAUGUCUCUACAUAUCACCCCAGACAAGUUGGAUGGGUCCAACUAUUCCUCAUGGUCCCAAAGUGUCCGCAUCUACAUCACUGGCAGAGGUAAAUGGUCUUAUGUCAGUGGAACAAAAAUGGCACCAGCAGAAGCUGAUGCAUUGUAUGCUAUAUGGGAGGAAGAGAAUGCCAUGGUUCAAUCUUGGUUACUCAACUCCAUGACCAGAGAUGUACGAGCCAUUUUUCUCCGACUCUCUACUGCAAAAGAUGUUUGGGAUGCUGUAACCCAAACUUACUCAAUUGAAAAAGAUGCAUCAAAGUUAUACGAACUUCGCCGUCAAGCACUGGCGACUCGCCAGAAUGGAGAACCUUUAUCUGCAUAUUAUGGUAAACUUCAGCAAACAUGGCAAGAAAUUGAUUUCUUGCGUCCUGGUAAAUUGAAGUGCGCUGAUGAUAUUGCUACCCGAGAGACAGAAAUUUCGGAAGAAAGAUUGUAUGAUUUUCUGGCUGGUCUUGAUCCUCAUUUAGAUCAUGUUCGCAGUCAAGUUUUGACUCAAACAACUCUGCCUUCUGUUCGUGCUACUUAUGCUCUUGUGAAUACUGAAGCAAGUAGGCAAACCAUUAUGUUGGUUGGCCCACAAGUGGAAGGAUCCGCCAUGGUAGCUGCUCCGUCUCGAUUUCCCCGUGGAAUCUCCAAUUCUCGAUUAGGUGGAUCCAAAACUACUGAUACAAGGAAGUGUACUUAUUGUGACAAGGAUAAGCAUACUAGAGACACUUGCUUCAAGCUGCAUGGAUAUCCUGAUUGGUGGGUUCAAAAGAAGGAAAAUAAAAAGAAAGGCAUUGGUGGAUCACAAGCACACUUGACACCAAAGCCUUCCAUACCUCGGGUGGAUCAAUCUGCUCACUUAGUUUCUCCUACUACUGCUUCUACUUCCUUAGUCGAUGCAGGUAACUUUGGUUUUGCCUUGAACACUACAAUUGUUCCUCCCAAUAAACCUUGGAUCAUUGAUUCAGGGGCUUCUGACCACAUGACCAAUGACUCUACAUGGUUUGUUUCUCACACUACUCCACCUUUAAAUACCGUUAAAGUUGCUAAUGGUAUUUCUACUCCAGUGCUUGGAGCAGGCUCCAUCUCAUUAACACCAGGCUUAUCUCUCUCAUCUGUUUUACAUGUUCCUAAUCUUUCUCACAAUUUGCUUUCCAUUGGUAAACUUACAAAUCAACUAAACUGUCUUGCCAUCUUUUCUCCUACCCAUUGUUGGUUUCAGGAUAUUCGAACGAAAGCAUUGAUUGGUCAUGGUAGAGAGAGGGGAGGUCUAUACUACUUGGACUUACCACCAGAUUGUGAGAAGACAAGUUACAGUUGUCAAGUGGAGGCCAAACAAUUUGAAGCUUCUGAAAAAAUUUGGUUAUGGCACAAAAGAUUGGGACACCCUUCCUUUCAGUACCUGCAAUAUCUAUUCCCUUCUUUAUUUUCUAAAGUCAAGGUUUCUGAUUUCCAUUGUGAAACUUGCAUUCUUUCUAAAAAUCAUCGUGUCUCAUUUCCUUUAAGUUCCCAUAAAAGUAAUGUUCCUUUCUCUCUUAUUCAUUCUGAUUUUUGGGGACCAUUUCAUAUUCCUACUUAUACUGGUGCUAAAUACUUUGUCUCUUUCAUUGAUGACUGCACUCGAGUUUCUUGGGUAUACUUACUCAAAAAUAAGAGUGAGGUUAUGACUAUUUUUCCAAUCUUUCAUCAAAUGAUUCAAACCCAAUUUCAUGCUAAAAUUCAAGUUGUUCGAUCUGACAAUGGGAAAGAAUAUUUGAAUUAUGGACUUGGAACAUUUUUUCAACAACACGGUAUCAUUCAUCAAACAUCUUGUCCACAUACUCCUCAACAGAACGGUAUAGCAGAACGUAAAAAUCGUCAUCUCUUGGAUGUGGCUCGCUCUUUAUGUUCUGCUAUGCACGUUCCUAAACGUUUUUGGGGUGAUGCCAUUCACACAGCUGUUUUUCUUAUCAAUCGCAUGCCAUCACGUGUUCUCCAAUUUCAAACACCUAUCCAGACCCUUUCCCAAUAUCAUUCUCUUCCUUCACUCCUUCAUAUUCCUCCAAAAGUGUUUGGUUGUGUCUGCUAUGUUCACGUCCCCAUGCAAAAUCGUGAUAAGUUGGAUCCUAGAGCCAUCAAAUGUGUGUUUAUUGGCUAUUCUGCUACUCAGAAAGGGUAUCGAUGUUACUAUCCUCCCACUGGGAAAUUUUUUGUCUCUAUGGAUGUUACCUUUCGGGAACACGAGGCUUUUUUUUCAAAAGAAGAUUUGGCCACUUCUCUUCAGGGGGAGAUAUGGAGUAAGGAGGAAGAGAAGUUGCCCCUUGGCAUUGGUGGUAUGCAUUUUUUAGAUGAACACUUGUCUGAUGUCGGUGAUUUGCCUAAUGAUGAGGCACAAGGUGAAAAAAUAUUGAAGGUGUAUGAGAGGACAAGAAAAAAGGGAGAUAAAGAAAAAAGGGAUGAUGAGAUAGACCACCCACAGACAGAUCCCCACAUUGACCAACUCUCUGACCAAUCAGCUGCUACUCGUACGAAUUAUCCUGAGGUAACCACUCAUUCUCCCUCUCUUCAGCCUACUAUAUUUGAUGAGUCCAAUCAUGAGAUUUCAUUAAGUGAUGAUCCAAAUGAUUCAAAUGAACCACAUCAUGAGUCUCAGGGUUCUCGUUAUCCUAUUCGAGAAAAUCGAGGGAUACCCCCUGUUCGUUAUGGUCAUUCUUCUACAAAGGGUAUUCAAUAUCCUAUAUCUAAUUUUGUUUCAUCUCAUCGCUUGUCAGACUCUUAUAUAUCUUUUGCAAACCAAUUGUCAUCAGUCUCAGUUCCUAAUAAGUUACAGGAUGCUCUUAAAGAUCCAAAAUGGAAAAAGGCUAUGAUUGAAGAGAUGGAAGCGCUUCGAAAAAACUCCACUUGGGAACUGAUUGCACUUCCUGAAGGCAAGAAACCUGUUGGGUGUAGAUGGGUGUUCACAGUAAAGCAUAAAGCUGAUGGUUCAGUGGAAAGGUACAAGGCUAGACUGGUAGCCAAAGGUUAUACUCAAACCUAUGGCAUUGAUUAUCAGGAGACAUUUGCUCCGGUAGCAAAGAUCAACACUAUCAGGGUUCUUAUGUCAUUGGUAGCAAAUCUAGGGUGGCCUCUACGACAGUUUGAUGUAAAAAAUGCAUUUUUACAUGGAGACUUGGAUGAAGAGGUAUACAUGGAUCUUCCUCCAGGAUUCACUACCACUUGCGAUAUUGGCAAAGUAUGCAGGUUAAGAAAGUCCUUGUAUGGAUUGAAACAAUCACCAAGGGCAUGGUUUGGCAGGUUCGCUCAAUCAAUGAGAAGUUAUGGGUUCAAGCAAACUCAAGCUGACCAUACCUUAUUUCUUAAGCAUGAUAGAGGUAAACUUACAGCCUUAAUUGUUUAUGUGGAUGAUAUGGUGGUUACAGGUAAUGAUGUCGAGGAAAUUCAAAAACUUCAAAAGUAUCUAGCCAAGGAAUUUGAAAUGAAGGACUUGGGUACUCUGAAAUAUUUCUUGGGUAUUGAAGUUGCAAGAUCAAAGCAUGGCAUUUUUCUUUCUCAAAAGAAAUAUGUUUUAGACUUAUUAACUGAGACUGGGAUGUUAGCUUGUAAACCUGCAGACACACCAAUUGAGCAAAACCAUAGAUUGGGAGACUAUCAUGAUCAAGUUCCGGCUAACAAGGAAAGGUACCAAAGAUUAGUUGGGAGGUUGAUUUAUUUGUCUCAUACACGACCUGACAUAGCCUAUGCUGUAAGUGUAGUGAGUCAAUUUAUGCACAGGCCAAGCGAAGCCCACAUAGAUGCUGUACAACGUAUUCUCAGGUAUUUGAAGUCUGCCCCUGGAAAAGGCUUGAUGUUUUCCAAUCAUGGACAUCAAGAAGUUGAAGGGUACACUGAUGCAGAUUGGGCUGGGUCAGUAACUGAUCGCAGAUCGACUUCUGGAUACUUUACAUUUGUUGGAGGAAAUCUAGUUACUUGGCGCAGUAAGAAGCAACAUGUAGUGGCUAGAUCCAGUGCCGAAGCUGAAUUUAGAGGUAUGGCACAUGGUGUGCAAGAAUUGUUAUGGCUCAGGACUUUGUUGAGAGAAUUAGGCUUUAAUUCUGCAAAGCCAUCAAAACUUUAUUGUGAUAACAAAGCUGCCAUUAGCAUUGCUCAUAAUCCAGUUCAACAUGAUCGUACUAAACAUGUUGAAGUGGAUAGGCACUUUAUUAAGGAAAGGUUGGUUGAUGGUACCAUUAACUUGCCUUAUGUGAAGAGUGAUGACCAGCUAGCAGAUAUUUUAACAAAGGCAGUGUCAAGUAGGAUUUUCCAUCUUUCACUCAGCAAGUUGGGCAUUCGAGAUAUUUACGCACCAACUUGAGGGGGAGUGUCAACUAAAAGCAGCCAUGAGUAUUGGAUGGCUAGUGAAGUUAGGCUAGUCAACUUUCUUUAUGUAAAUUAGGCAAGUUAGGUAAGUUAGGCAAGUUAGGCAAGUUAGGCAAAGUUAGGUUUUAUGUCUUCUUUCUUUCCCUAUAUAUAUGUUCAUCUUGUAAUGAGAAAAUCAUCAAAUAAAUCAAGGAAUUAACUCUAUUUUGGCAUGUUCAAUAAAUAAGACAGCUGUAUAUAAUAAAUAUCAAAUUAAUAGAGGCAUUAAUCCUAAGUUUGCUAUUCAUUGUUGUCAGUCUAAACUUGAUGACAUAUUGUAAAGUUCUCUUACAUACAGAUUAAUGAAAUAUUAAUUUAUUUCCAUGAGUUAUUUGAUUUUGCAAAUUCAAAAUAAUUGAAGAAUACUGAAAAUUACUAAACCCCAUCACAACAUGCCAUUAGCCAUUAGUGAAAAAUCAAAGACAAAAGUAAAUUACUAUCUUUCUAAGCAUUCAAAUUAAAAAACAAAUUAGCCAAAUUGGAAUGGUUAGAUCAAAUAAAGAUUUAAGUCAACCAAUUACACAAAUAAUUUAUGCAAAGUAGGCUCCUAAUAAAAUGUACCACUAUGGUGGUGGAGGAGGCCCAGGCUCAAACAGUGGAGGAAAGCAGAAUUUAAAUAUACCGCAGCAGCAUGGAAUCCACAGACUGCAUAAUCAAAACCAAAAUUUUAAAAUUUAAAUUUAAAUUUGAAAAAAAAAUGCAGUAGAAUUGUAUAAUGAGAAAUUCUACAAUGUGGAUAAAUUAAUCCCACUCAAUUUAAAUUUAAAGGAUGCAAUCAGUUGUAUUGGGCUGGCAACCGACUUAUGCUCAAAUCCCACUCAAUUUAUCAUACACCCUUCCAACUACAAUUCAAAGGAAGAAGUUCCAAGUCCAUGCAUAAUGUUUGCUCAAUUAAAAUAAAUUGCUUUUCAUGAUUAAAAUAGCCAACCAACCAACACUCAGUUGAUAAAAUUGAACAUUUGGAGUUACAUAUCCACAUAUUUAAGAUCGGACAAACCUUCUCAUGAAGACCACCCAAAGGUCCAUUAGUAAGUUGUGUGACCACACGAUUUACUGCACUUGAGUUUCCUCGUGCAGCUGCAAGAGCUAUGAGCUUACGUUGACCGUCAGCCACUUCUCCGCUUAAGGAUUGAGUCACCGAUGAUGCAGAAUUAAUAGCUUCCUGCAAAGAAGUGAAAUAAGAAACCUUAAUUUGUUAAAAUGUGAGUAAUUACAGUUUUCUCAAUUGAUUAAAACAUCAUCCGAUGGUGUUUUCUAGGCUUUUUUUUUUCCUUCCUUUUGCAGGCCAUUAUUUCAUUAGCCAUCUGCAGAAUUGCAAUUGAUAGAAUCGGUGUGCUUUGAAAUAAUCACAUAGAAUCGGUGUGCUUUGAAAUAAUCAUAACACUUCACAACACAAUGGCAGCAAUUUAUACAAAUUCUAACAACAAAUUGUCAAAAACAAUGAGAACAAUUACCAGAAAUUUCAGAUCUUUUGGGGGUUCAAAGUAAUUACCAGAGUGACGAAAGCUAAAAUCAACACUAGUCCAAUUUUUUUAAAAUAAGAACAGCUCCGAUCUGAGAAAUACAGUGCAAUUUCUGAAGAAAAAAAAGCGAGAAAACCAUAAAAUCCCUAAGAACCCUAAUUUAUAAACCCUAAACAAAUGCAAAAGGAGAGAGGAGACUCGAAUAAAGGGAAAAUCCAGAAAUUCAACGUACCAUAAUCGGAGCGAGGACGCUUUCCGACGGCCAAAUUCAUCGACACCGGAGGCGGUUGUCGACCGUCACUACUUGGUUUGUGUGCUUCAUGUCGAGAGAUAUGGGCAGCGGAGAGAGAGGAAAAGUAGAGGAAGAUGAAAGCUUGUGGGUUUUCCAGUAGACAAGGACAGAAACAGGAAGAGUGAGAGAUGAGAGGAAAGCACACGCGUCUAACCCAUCGCAAUCCGUUCUAAACAACAAAAUUACCCUCUCAACUUUUGAGAAUUACCCUCCCAACCCAGCCCCAUUUGGCUGGCAUUGUUGUAAAUAGCGUGAAAUUGAGUGGCAAAGAUUUGACUGUAGCUAAGCUACAGUCAAUUGCCCCUCAACUUUAGAAUAGAUAACUAGAAAUUAUUACCCGCACGUUGUUGCGGGAUUAAAAGUCAUAAAAAGCAUUAUGUUUGAAAGAUAUAAAAGUUGUACAAUUCACUGCUAUAUUUAAUUGAUACUCCACUUAAAAAUCGUAGAAGUUUUGGCUAUCUAUGUACAUAAAAUAUUAGAUCAAGACAUUCCACUUGGGUAGUUUAUGUAAUUUUCGGUCGACAACAGUACUUAUAUACAAAAGAUUAUGAAACUUUGGGCUAUUUACAUGCAAAAAUGUUAAGAAAUAUUGUGUCAUUUACAUUGAUAAAAUAUGACAAAAAUUAUUAAAUGGAACACCAAAAAUUCCCUCCAAUACUCUUGAUUGUCAAGAAAGUAGUUUAAACCAAUCCACAGACCGAAACUUCCAUGUGUAUUCAGUUUCUAUAAAUCAACCAACUACUCCAUUCCAAACUAUCCAACAAAUAUUUGAUAGCAAUACAACCAACCACCAACAAACAUUUUAUACCCAUCCAAAGACCAAAACCCUUUCAAAUUUCCAUGAGUAUUAAUGAUUUUCAACUAUAUUAUUUGAAGACGGAGACACACAGAGCUAGCAUAGGAACCAAAGAAGAUCUGCAAAAGCAAGUUAAGAGAUCAUCGUAUUACAGAAGCAAAUACAUAAUAAAAUUAAGAGAGUAUCAUAUUACAAAAGCAUAAUAAUGUUCGUUUCCUAAUGUAUUACAAAAACCUAUGAUUUCAUUCCACUUCACAUAAUUCACAGGGUUUAUUUUUAAAACCCACAAAAUUUACAGCUUAGUUCAAAGAAUUUGGUCUGAUUAUUAAUAUUCACACGGAAAAGAUAAGACUCAAAUAAACUGGGCAUUUGAAGUCACUUUCAUAUUUCUUAUAAUCACAUCAGUAUCAUAUAUAUAUACAAAUGUAGCAAAAGAGAAUAGCGAGUGCAAGCACAAAUCUUGUGAUAGUACACAAAAAAUGACUAAACCCGAAAUUCCCAAAACAUACACCAAUCUUAUACAAAAAUCGAUAUCUUAUCGAGAAGAAAUUAGAAUAUCAAAAUCCUAUAACAAAACAUGAGGCACAAUUAUCACAAUUAGAAAAAUAUUUCAAAUAAGAGCCAAACCAAAAAUGCACAUAAAGGUAAGUUGUGAACUCAAAUAAAACUCACUAUGAUGCUCAUUUCUAAUUAUGAAUGCUCUCGGGACUCCAAUCUUCUCAUCCCAGUCGAAAAUAAUGUCAAAUGCAGACUCCUCUGCUGUUUAGAGGGUGAUUGUGGUAACCCAAUUUUCCAAUUAUGUUGCCUUCCAAUUUUUUCUUGCAACCAAGUUUCUAAAAAAAAAAACAGAUUGAAUUCAAAAGGUAAUUGGACCAAGGCAUCAAAAGACAUAAGAAAAAGUAUAGAAAGAAUAAACCACAUAUAUCACGUAUUAUACUACUUUGUAUUCCAAAUACGUGUAAGAAUAUAUCCAUCAACGGCAUCAUAUUUAAGAGUUAGCUUCCAUCAAACCCUUCAUCUAAUCCCACCCUUACUUUCUUCUUUAACCCUUCAUAAUCCCACUUUUACUCUCUCAAACCCCUCAACUUACCCUGGACUUUGUUUCUGCAGCUUAGUUUCAUUUAAAAGCUUAUUUCUCAACAAAAUCAUCAUUAGUUUCAGUCUUAAAUAAUCAACGCAAGAGAACUUAGGAAAUUAUUCUCCACUCUCUUGGUGACCAAACAGAUGAUAAGUGGAGAAAAGGGGUUGUUAAGAAGAAGAGUACCUCAAAUGUUCAGAAAUUAAGAAAUUGAGAAGCUCAGUUGCAUCAUAUAUAUUUAAUAAAUCUCCAUCUUAAAUUAGCUUAAAUCUCCAUCUCAAAUGUUCAGUUGCAUCAGAAAUUAAGAAAUUGAGAAAAGGGGUUCUUCAUAACAUCAAUUUCCAUCUUAAAUUAGAAUAAUCUCUAACGUUAGAAAUAUGAGUACAAACGAAUGCUUAGUAAAAGAAUCGGCCAAUUCUAAUUAAGAAUUGUUAAUCGAACUGUAAAAGCAACAUAUAUAUUUUCCAACUUCUAACACAGAACCAACAGAGAGAAUCCAAUUGAAAACCAUUAUACAAUCAGAAGAAGAGAUAUUUCGAGAAGAAGAGUUCAUUACUGAAGGCAGGGGAGCAGCAGCAAAAACUGAAAAAAGCGAACUUUGGCCUCAAAUUUUAUCUAGAAUAAUUGAAAACAAUAACAAAAUUAACAGUUAAGGGUGAUAAUGUUAUUAAUAUGUGGGUUGUGUCUUUGAAACACCAAGAGGUCAAAAAAUCGAAACAAAGUGGAAUAUAAAUCUUAAAAAAAUUUAGACAAAAACAUCCUCCCCAGAUAAAAUUGAACGAAAAAUUCAUAAAUAUAAAAUUACAAAAAUUAAAUCAUUGGAAAAACAAAACGUACAUGACAACGAAUAAGGUACUUGCAGGCCUCUUAAGCUUGUUCGGAUCCUUCUCAACCUCCUUGCAUCUCCACGUUUACUCUUCAACCUAUGAAAAUCAGAAACCAACAGACACACAAAUAAAGAUGAGAUAUGUGCAUAAUAUCAAACAAAGCUUGGUGGUGAUCUUUUCAAAAGUCAAGUUCGGAGUACAACUUUAUAUUUUUUUUUCACUUACACUGAUGAUAAGUAUAAUCAAGACAGAGAAACUCAUGAACCAGCCUGUCAAAAUCAUUGACGGAGAAAUGAUAAAUAAACGGAUUCAGAAACCUAUUAAGCACUUGGACAAUGAACAUUCCUAAAAAAGGAAUUUCUUGGACAUGCAACCAACAGGUCUACAGAAAAUUAAACACAAAUACAAAAUCAACGGUUCAUAUCGAGAUCUCCGAUCAAAUCGCAAAAAGUGUAAAUACAUACAAAAUCCUUUGAGCCGCACGAUAUUGGAGAAAAUUCAUCUGGUGGUUCAUCAAUUGAAGGCGAUGAUGAUCCAAAAUCAAGAGCGGGGUAGAAGCCAGGUGGCCUUUCUCGAGGUUUAAUUGACAGCAAUUGGCUAGAGUCACCAACGACAUCUGCCCACCCGUAAUGCGGCUCAGCCCUUCAUCAAAAAGUGAAAGAUCAAAAUUACUUUUACAGUAAGAGCAAUACCAGAAAAUGUAAUCUAAAUUCUUUAUAUUUGGUUCCCCUGAAAUCCUUUUGACUGCUUCAACAUACUAUAUGCAGACAGAACCAGAACCAAGUCCAGACUCUUACUCGUAAUAGGUCUCCUCAUCCACAACAAUAUCCCAGCUUUCCCCUGUCGUGCUUUUCCCAUAUUUGUGCACCUUACUGCAAAGAGAGAGCAAGUUAACUUAUCAAAGAAAAGCCAGAACAAUAGAUGCCAAUGCAGUUCAGCAAGUUUAUUUCCUUUCGUACCCAUUUCCAAAGUGCUCUUCUCCUCAUGUCCUUGACCAACCUAGACAUAAGAGAACAAAAACAGAGUUACAUCAGAUUAAAUUAUUGAAAGAAAAAGUUCACUUAUGUUGUAACGAAUUGACAUUAGAAUCAAGCAACCGAGUUCUGAAAUACGAAUUUAAAAUGUAACUAUUUGCUGUGUCCGAAAUGAAUCUGUGAAAUCAAAUAGUUAAACCCUAAAAAGCACCACUGCAAAUAGCAUAAGAAAAUUGAAAUUAACCCUAAAUAAAUUGGGAGAGAAGAAUAUGAAAAGGGAAUACCUUUCGGCCCUUUGAGUUAUUGGAAAAAAAAAACCCAACAGAGCAAAAGAUAAACAAAAAUACAGGAGGAAAGAAUAUAAAUUUUCAACUUGUAAGAUUCAUACGCGAACAGAUUGGCGGUCAAAAGCAUUUCGGAACUCAGAGCCAUCAAGCUUUUUGAUCUGCAGGAAAUUAUUUAUGAAGUUUGAGAUUCUUAUAGACGCUUCAGACACAUCGACAUAUUGAAAAAGCAAUAUUCAACAACCUAGUACCCAUGCUUCAUAGAAGGUUACAGAAAAUAUGAAUGUCUGGACUCUGGAGUGAGAAAGUAAAAGGACUUACCGCAUACUUCAUAUCUUCUAAGUUUGUGUAGUCCACAAUCCCUGUUGUGCCUACAAAAGAGGCAUAGGUCUUAGGAUUACACUUUUGAAAUAACACUAUAUGAAAUAGUAGUGUAUAUCCCAAAAACAAUCUGAAAUCUGGUUGAUCAUCGAAGAGUUCGAAGGGAUUUACCUUUGGAUUCUUCGGCUUUCAGAUGGAGUUUGCUUGUGUGAGGGAGAGAGAGGUGGAGCUGCUAGGGUUUGAGUAUGGAAGAGAUGAAAAAUGGAGAGAGCACCUGUUUUGGCUGAAGCAGCUCACACGCGCGUGGAUCAAAAGUAGCGGCAUGGCCUCCCAUCCCCGAAACCCACCCGCAUGUCCCUCCCGAAAAUCCUUUCCCCGAAAUCCCGGCCAACGUCUCCCUCUCAACCCUUCUGUCGCCCUUCCCUCUCUCUCCCCGAGUCAAAGCCCAAAUCCAACCCAAAGAGUGAAGACCCGUUCUUAAGCCCAGUGGCAAUCUUGUAAAUGAAGCGAAAUUUGGGCUGAAAUCAGCCCGGUGGCAAACUCGUAAAUAACGUGAAAUUGAGCUAAAAUUGCACAGUGCCGUUUCCCCACCCCACCCUUUAGACUAAAGUAAUAAUUUGGGAAAAGGGAAAAUUUUUGAAAUGUCAUAUAAACUUGUACAUAUUUUUCAAUUUGUCAAAUAAAUUAAAAUUUUCAGCAAUUUAUCAUACCAACUUUCCGAAAUCAUCGAUUUGUCAUCUCAUCCUAAUUCUGUUAAAUUUUCCAUUCAAAGUCACAUAACUUGUGUUCAGGGUUAUUUAUGUCAUUUUAACACCUCAUUUCCUUCUAUUAAGUUGCAUUCGAUCACAAUAAUUAUAGGGUUUCUAAAGCUACAAAAAGGGACUGAUAUACGAUACGUGGUCUAAGAGUUUUCGUUCAAAAGGAGAACGACGACGCUUGUGUGUGUUUCAAAUUGAAGAUGACUAAAGAAUAGAGUCAUUGCGAACCCUUCAAUCUAUAUGAUAAAGUUGGAUGAAAUUAUUUAUUAUGGCUGUUUGGAUGAAAUUAUUUAUUAUGACUAUCUACGACAAUGAGAAAUCUGAUUCUUCUAGUUGUAGCUACUCCCGUUUUCUAUGUUUAUUUGCAUUCUUAUUUGAUGGAAUGGCGUUUUACCAUGACAUUGAAUGGUUUUUUAUUUGGUUCUUUGUUUAGUUUGAACUAGAAAAUUUGCCCGCACUUUGCUGCGGGUUUUGAAACCAUUAUCUACAACAGGCAAGAAUAAUUUCCAUAGAAAGUAACUAAAAAGACGGUCUAGCACCUAAGAACCAAUGAAGUGAAACUUUGCUUGUUAUAUAUGGAUAUACAUGCUAUAAGAAACCAUUCAUAUUCAGUUCCAGCGACAAUAUCGCUUUUCUUUAGUCCAUUUUGAAUGGUAUUUCCUGUGGCUUUGGAUCGACAAUAGUACUUGCAUACAAAAGAUUACGAAACAUUGUUUUAUUUACCUGAAGAAAAAUGACAAAAUAUUGUUUUACUUAGUUACCUUCAAAAAAUUUAGAAUUACACUAAAAAUGCUUUUGCUAUUCAAAUAUCAUAUGCCAGAUUGAAAUCGAAAAACUAGACUUCGAAUUCAAAACUAUUCACAUGUGGAAUAAAUUGAAAUGCCUCAAAAUAUUAUCAUUAUCCAAUUGUAUAUGGAAAAUGCCUGAAAGUAAUCCAUGCCUUUCUCAAAAAUAGGUCAUUCAGCGUAAAGCACCAAGUAAUAGCCUCUAAUAUCAGAGAAAAUACCUGCCAAGAAAAGAAAUUAAAAUAUUAGGCAUACGAGUGCAAGCUUACAGAAACUUUGUUUUUGUACACUUUCUUCUCCCUUCAAUGACAGUUUGUUUCUUAUCCAGAAAAAUAAAAUGAGCAGGUCAAUGAUACUCACAUGUGCAAAAUGCUAAUCCUAUGGUCUAAAGCUAACUGAGUUUUUAAGUGUGAAAUCCCUAAUUUCACUGCAUUUGGAUUGAUCACAGUUCAUGACUUGUUAAACUUGAUAUCUCCUUGUACAUUUUGGGAACUUGACAGCUUAAAGAAGUGCUCAUAAAAGCAAAUUACACAAUAUCUACUAAAAAUUUAGAGAAUGGACUCAAUUAGUCAACAAACAGGUGCCUCACACUUAAAUAUUAAAGACCAAAGAGAGAAAACCAAGCCGAACUCUUCAAAAUUUGUUGGCACACAUGCUUCAUUGGCCCAAUUGAAUGUAUAAUGCAUACUUGAUACAACAAUUCGAACAAUUGUUAGAGAUUCACAUAAGCCUCCAAACUUUAAAAAAUUUGAAACCUUAAGAAAGCAGAACCUGUUUUCCUUCAUAUUUUUGCUGUUUCGAUUAGCUUAUCUCGCUAUCACUUGAUUCAUUAGUUCUGAAGGAAGUUCUAAUCACUACGAAAACAGCUUAAUAACAGUUGAUUAUCUCUAAAACAAAGAGGGAAAACAUAGAAAUACUAUUUGUACUCAAAAUCCCAAAUGUGUAACACAUGGUCGUAAUCUACCUUGAUUUCUAAAUUUAAAAUUCGACACAAAAAUGAAAUUUGGAAUGAUUAGCAGGGAAAUAAGAGAGAGAAGUGUGAGCGAAUAUACCCAUGAGGCCUUUGGAUCCGAGUUCGGAGCUGGAAGCGCAGAGGUUAUGAACCCAAAGCAUGGAAGAAGCGGGAAGGAUUUUCCUCUGUGCUGCCUCAUGCACGUGUCUUGUACCAUUCAUCCAAGCAUUGACUGUGUCAAAUAUUGGGCAGUGGGUAAUCUUAAAACUGAUAUAAUCAUAGAAAUAACUUUGUUCAAUCUUUCAGGAUCUUAGCAACAUGUCUUUUGUUUCAUGACUUCUCAACAAAAGAUGUGGCAUCAACAAUAUUUGUGAUGUUUAUUGAAUUUUGAUGUAUAUUUGCUUUAUGAAACAAUUACAAGAUGAAACAUAUAUAUAGGGAAGAAAAAGAUCAUAAGCCUAAUUUUGCCUAACUUACCUAUCUUGUUUGACUAACCUAACUUGCCUAAUUUUGAACAAGAAAGUUGACUAGCCUAAUUUCACCAUUAUUCCAACAUGUUUAUUUCAUGCAUUUUAACACUCCCCCUCAAGUUGGAGUGUGAAUGUCGAUGACACCCAACUUGCUAAUUAAGACCUCAAAUUGUGCCGAGCUUAGUGGUUUGGUGAACAAGUCUGCAGGUUGAUUCGAGGUCCGUAUGUAAGCUGUUUGCACCAUUCCCAUUUGAAUCUUCUCACGUAUUAGGUGACAAUCUAUCUCUAUAUGCUUCGUUCGUUCAUGAAACACUGGGUUCGAAGCAAUGUGCAUGACAGCUUGAUUAUCACAAAACAUUGUGACUGGUUGUGCAUGAUUUACUUGCAAGUCCUUCAAAAUGUUUCUUAGCCAUAUAACUUCACAACAAGUAGUAGCCAUAAAACGGUAUUCUGCCUCUGCACUAGAACGAGAUAUUGUGCUUUGUUUCUUCGUUUUCCAAGAUAUCGGUGCUUGUCCAAGGAAGAUACAAUAAUCGGUUAUUGACCUUCUAAUGUCUUUACACUGAGCCCAAUCAGCAUCACAAAAGGCUUGUAAUUGUAGUGAACCUGUAGAAGGCAAAAGAAUUCCCUAUCCAGGAGAUUGUUUGAUGUACCUGAGAACCUUAUGCACCGCUUCAAGGUGUGGUUGUCGUGGCUUAUCCAUGAAUUGGCUCAACAUAUUAACCACAUAAGUCAGGUCAGGCCGCGUGAUGGUUAAGUAAAUCAGCCUCCCUACGAGUCGCCUGUAUGAAGAAUGAUCAUGUAGGAGCGUCCCAUCAGUUUGUGUAAGGGACAGGUUUGGUUCCAUUGGUAAUCGUGAGGGCUUCGCACCAAGGAACCCAACAUCUUCUAGUAUCUCCAACGCAUAUUUGCGUUGGCACAAGGCAAUCCCUUGUUUAGAUCUUGCAACUUCUAUCCCCAAAAAGUAUUUGAGUUUUCCCAAAUCCUUUAGUUUAAAAUGUUGGGAAAGGAUGAGUUUAGUCUCUUCAAUCUCUCAAAUUGUUACCUGCAAGUAUCACGUCAUCAACAUACACAAGUAAUGCCAUAAAACUGCCUUGACGGUUUCGGACGAACAAUGAGUAAUCUGACCAUGAUUGAUGAAAACCAGCAGUCUUGAGAGCACUAGACAGCUUGAUAAACCAUUGUCUUGAGGCCUGUUUUAAACCAUAAAUGGAUUUGUGUAAUUUGCAUACUCGUGUCUCCCCCUUUCGUCCGAACCCAGGAGGCAAGGACAUAUAAACCUCCUCGUAUAAGUCACCAUGUAAAAAUGCGUUGUUCACAUUAAGUUGAUGAAGAUGCCAGCCUCGUAUGGAGGCAAUACUCAGGAGGACGCGGACGGUGGUGAGCUUGGCAACUGGAGCAAAAGUUUCCCGAUAAUCAAGCCCCUCAAUUUGACUGUAGCCUUUAGCAACGAGACGAGCUUUGUAGCGUUCAACACUGCCGUCAGGUUUAAGCUUCACCUUAUAGAUCCAUUUGCAACCGAUGGGAUGUUUGUGAGGUGGUAAGGGCACAAGAGUCCAAGUGCGAUUGUCAUGAAGGGCAACAAUCUCUUUUUGCAUGGCGUCACGCCAUUUUGGAUCCUGAACAGCUUGCGAAAAACUGGUGGGUUCUUUGAUAAUGGUGAGGGUGGUGAGAAAGGUUUUGUGAGUGGGGGAUACAUGGUCAUAAGAUAAAUAACGAGAUAUGGGGUGAGAUGUACCUGAUGACUGGACCAUGCUUGUGGAAGAUGUGGGAGCAACACGGGAAGGGAGGGCCACCUCAACAUGAAAGUCCUGCAAAAAUGUGGAAGUUUUGGUCGGUCGAGUGCUACGACGGAGUGGAGGUGGUUGGUCUGGUGAUGGAGUGGUUGGAGGUGGUGAAGAGUGUAGGGUAUGUGAAUGUGUUGAUAAGGUAUCUGGUGGUGGAGUUGUAGUAGGUAAAGGAGAUGAGAGUGGGGUGAUGUCGGCAAGUGUGGGAGAGGUAAUGUUUAUUUCUUCGGGUGCAAGGCUUGAGUGCGACUCAAUGGGAGAGGUCAAGUCAAACGUGAUGGGUGAGGGUGUAAUGUUUGAUGGAGACGGGGCAGCGGAAGUGGUAUGAUUUUGGAAUGGAAAAUGAUCUUAAAAAAAAACAACAUCCCUAGAAACAAAAGUCUUAUUGUGUUUUAUAUCAAACAAUUUAUAACCCUUUUUACCAUAAGGAUACCCAAGAAAAAUGCAUUGGAUUGCACGGGGGUCGAAUUUAGAGGGCCUUUGGGCGUGUGUAGAAGCAAAACAUAAACUACCGAAAACCUUUAAAUGGGAAUAGUUAGGUGCUUUGUGAAACAGUUUUUCGUAAGGUGUUUUACCUUGGAGAAGUGGAGUGGGUGUUCUAUUGAUGAGGUAGGCUGAGGUUAAGAUUGCAUCCCCCCAAAAACGUUUUGGCAACAAGCUUGAAAGAGCAAAGCCCGAGCAACAUUGAGCAAAUGCAUGUGUUUACGUUCGACAACACCAUUUUGUUGUGGUGUGUUGACACAACUAGAUUGAUGUAUGAUGCCUUUGAGAGCAUAAAAUUGCUCAAGCUUAAACUCAGGGCCAUUGUCACUUCGUAUGAUUUAACUAUGGUAUUGAAUUGAGUCUCAAUCAUUUGAAUGAAUCCGACUAAAAUGUCUUUUGUGUCAGAUUUAUGUUUCAUCAAAUAAACCCAAGUGCUUCUAGUGUAGUCAUCUACGAUGGUAAGGAAAUACUUGGCACCUGAAAUAAAAGCAACUUGAUAACCACCCCAAAUAUCAAUAUGCAAUAAUUCAAAACAUGAUUUGGUAGAAAUAGAGCUCAAAGGAAAGGGUGAUCUUGUUUGUUUGGCCAAUGGGCAAAUUAAACAUUUUUCCAAAUCACAAGCCUUAUUGUUAAAUAAAGGUAAUAACGAAGUGACUUUAUGAUGGGUGUCCUAGGCGUUGGUGCCAAAGCUUUGGUGAGACGGUUUGAAUAUUGUUGCAUGUUCCUUUCUUUGAUGGGUCGAGGUAGUAAAGUCCAUCCCUUUCAGUUCCUGUCCCAAUCAUCUUCCCCGAGCGAAGGUCCUAAAUGACACAAAAUUGGGUGAAGAAAAUGGUGACAUAUAAGGAAUCAUAGGCUAGUUUACUGAUAGAUAUUAAAUUCAACCUAAAGAACGGCACACAUAGGACAUUUUCAAGGAUAAGAUUAUGAGAGAAAACAACUUGUCCAAUGUGAGUGACUUUGGCAACUGAACCAUUUGGCAAUUCAACUGUAUGAUUUUCAACAGCUCGUGAGUGUGUAAGGAGACUAGGACUGCAAACUAUAUGAUCUGUGGCACCACUGUCCAGGAUCCAAAUACUUUUGGUUCCUUUACAUGAAAAAUAGAAGGCUUUACCUGAAAGUUCUUCAUGACUAGGAAGAUUACUGACUUGAUUGGCAAAUGAUGAUUUGUUCUUGUUCAACAUCUGAAGAAUUUGCUUGCAGUCCUCCUGAGAGAACGGGAAAUUAGGCACUGUCUCUUGCUUGUUACUUUGUGAAACUUGAUUCCCCUUUGAAGAAAAGAGACGAUUGGAUUCGGUCUCUGUGGCUGCUUUCCGUUUUCGACAGAAAUCGAAGGUGUGGCCUUUCCAUCCGCAAAAAGUGCACUUGAGAUGUGCACGACAAUUUUUGGUGAUGUGAUUGGUUUUAUUGCACUUUCCACAUCGCAUCUCCUUGUCUUCAGGUGUAGGUUCUCGCAACAGAUUCUUCACUGCAAAGACAGCAGUUUCUAGUUGUGUGCUUUUCCCAUUGGAAACCUCUGCCUGGCGUUCAUGUCGAAGGACCAACGCAUAUGCCUUGUUCACCGUAGGCAGUGGUUCGAGAAGAAGAGUAUUGCUUCGAACCGUAGCAUACAAUUCGUUCAGUCCCAUAAGGAACUUCAUGGUUUUCUGAGUUUCAACAUAUGAGUUCAUCUCAUUCUUUGUUCCACAACUGCAUGCUAGAAUGGAACACAAAGUAUCACGUUCAUCCCAUAAACUUUUAAGUUUAGUGAAGUAAGAACUUACACUCAUAUUGCUUUGGACGCAAUCAUGGAUCUCGUUCUCAACAUGGAACAGCUGAACUAUAUUCACAUGUGAGAACCUCUCCUGCAGAUCGGUCCACAUUUGUCGAGCAUCCUUGUAGUUGAUGACACUCCCUGAAAUCUCCUUUGACAUGGAGCCUAGUAGCCAUGUAUUGACCAAGUUGUUGCAGCGAUUCCAUUGCUGCAGCUCCUCAAAAUUAUCCUCACUUGGUUUGUUGAUCGUUCCAUCAACAAAACCAAGUUUGUUCUUGACCGUUAAGGCCAUACUCAUGGAUUGAACCCAAGUGUUGUAGUUGUCUUCCACCAAUGGUUGUGGUACGAGGAUUGCACCAGGUUGAUCCGAGUGGUGGAGAUAGAGCGGGUGGUUGGGAUUUUCCCAUUUUGAAUGAGAGGCCAUGCCUAGAAUGGUUGACCUCGUGGCUGCUUUAGAGCUGUGUUUUGUGAUUUUUCCCAGAUCACAGCUCUGAUACCAUAUUGAAUUUUGAUGUAUAUUUGCUUUAUGAAACAAUUACAAGAUGAAACAUAUAUAUAGGGAAGAAAAAUAUCAUAAGCCUAAUUUUGCCUAACUUACCUAUCUUGCUUGACUAACCUAACUUGCCUAACUUUGAACAAGAAAGUUGACUAGCCUAAUUUCACCAUUAUUCCAACAUGUUUAUUUCAUGCAUUUUAACAAUGUUAAUUCUGAAUCAUGUCUCUAUUUUAGAUUGAGAGAGAGAGAGAGCAUGAUUUAAGAUGACAAAAGUGCCAUGCAUCCCUUUAAUCUCAGCCGCGUGAUCCUAACCCUAGAUAGAUAUUUCCAUCAUUUUAGCACCCUAAGGGCCGACCUUACGAAGAAUCUAAGAAGGCCCAUCAAACACAUGAUGGGCGGCCCAAAACAAAGUAACCCAACCCCUAAAACACACUAACCCACCCAGCCCUAAUUUGAUGGCAAUGGCAUAAAUAAAGUAAAAUCAAGUGGCAAACAAUUGACUGUAGCUAAGCUACAGUCAAUUCAAUCCUCAACUUUAGAAUAGAUAGUGUUUGUGUGUAGAAUGUUGUGCGUAGAAUGUCGACUACUUGUUUUAUAUUGAUGUCUUCCUGUGUUUUGUUUAUUUCUUUUAUGUAGAAAGCUGUAACAAGAAAAUUGAAUUGUAGAAGCCGUAGCUCAUAUUCAUUCCUUGGCAGCGUAUAAAUAUAUUGGAUUACAAAGAGUCCUACUGGAAUAAAAGAUGACAUAAAUCAACAUGAUUUGGUUUGUUUACAGAGGGUGGAUUGGAUUGGGACAAGGUCUCUUGUUUAACAUUUUAUGUAUUGAGUCGAGAAUUUGAGAGUUUUUAUCUUUUUUUUAGACAUAUAAAUGGCGUUCAUUGAAAGUUGGUUAUUGUGGGGCAAGUCAGACUUUAAGUUUGACUUGAACACUCUUAAUCUCAAAAUUUAAAGUACUAAAACCUAUUUUCAUGUCCAUGCACUUUUAUGCUGAUGGUUACUUUGUAUCUAAGUAGGGAAUGUUUAUUUGUUUUGUCAUUUUACCGAUUGCUUAAACUUUGAUCACUUAUUUUGUACAAAUAAAUAUGAAUUAUUUACAAUUGCACCAUGGAGGUCACUUUAUAGAAGCCUGUAAUGGAACAAUGACUUGUGUCGGUGGUCGUGUUGCUUGGUUUGACAAUAUGAACUGCGAUCUAAAUGUCCAAGUGGGAUAUUGAGGAUUGUGCGAAGAAGUUAGGGUAUACUAAGAGAUGGUUUGGGAGUGAGGUGCUUAAAAAAAACACCUAUGAAAAAAAGUUGUGAGGGUUUUAGGUGUUUGGUAAACUAAAAAAAAAGUUUAUUUUGGAAGCUGCUGUGAGAAUAAGCUAAAAUAAAAGGAAAAAGCUGAAGCUGCUAUUUGCAGCUUUGGAAAACUGGUUUUUUUUUCAAAAUACACAGAGCUACAGUGCUCCUUUAAUGAAAAUACCCACUAUGAGAUUUUUUUUUUUGCAAAAGCACUUUUACAAAAAAAGUUUACCAAACACUCUGCUAAUUUAUUUCACAGCCGCUUAUUCUCACAGCAAUUUUUUCAAAGCACAGCAAUACCAAACCAGCCCUAAGAUUGCUAAGUACUAUUACACAUUGCCAAAUGACAGAACUUACAAGCCUAUGGUUGCUGAUAGUGAUUUUUGGACUCUAGCUACUGUAUUGCCCCUAAAUAGAGUGGUACUGGUGUACAUUGUUGAUGAUGACCAACUGAUCAAUUCAGCCCCAAACAUUGAAAUUCAAGCUUCAGCAAACCCUUUCGACAUUCCUCACAUGUCAGCCCCGAACAUCGAAAUUCAAGCUUCAACAAACUCUUUUGACAUUCCUCACAUGUAUGAUCCUUUAGGUAUAUUUGAGGGAUUUUUGGAGCAAGCUUAUGAAGGAGAUUGGGAACAAGACAAUCUUGUUGAGGUAGGUAUGCAUAACAUGGAAAAUGAAGAGAAAGAUGGCAAUGGCAAUUCGGAAGAUUCAGAUUAUCGAGACUCAGACUAUGAACAAAGUGAUGUCGAUGACAACUUAUUUGACGACAAUGUAGAGAAAACUAAAGGGAAAUAUACCAAUGGAAAAUGCAAUGGAAAUAGGUAAGCAUCACGUAAUACUGAACCCUUCCCUGAUUUAGGAUUUGGAGAUGUUGAAACAGACUACGAAGAUUCGGAUGGCUUUAGAAGUGGUUCUAGCUCAUCAUCUGAAGGUGAACAACCAAUGAAGCGGAAAAGUAAGAAUAAAAUGCCCAAACUCAUUCCUUUCAGAAGUGAUUUGAAUAUCAAGAACCCACAAUUUAGAACUGGAAUGAUAUUUUCCAAUAGAAAGGAGUUCAGACAAGCAGUGACAUAUUAUGGUUGUGUGAAUGAAAGACAAAUAAGAUUCCCAAUAAGAGAGCGUUAUAAAGUUCAGGGUAAGCGUUCAAAUGAGGGAUGCCCAUGGGUGAUUUAUGCAAGCAAAAUAGAUGGGAGCUCUGCACUUAUAGUGAAGACACUCAAUGAUGUCCAUACAUGCCCGAGAAAGGAAAAGCUUAGACUACACACCUCAACUUGGUUAUCACAUAGGUAUGCUGAGGAUUUGCUUGACAAUCUUAAAUGGGAUGUGUCAAAAUUCCAACAAACUGUUCAUAAACAAUACAAUUUGCACGUAACACUGGCUCAACUUUAUAAAGCACGGUCAUUGGCAGCUGAGAAGAAUGAAGGAGCUUAUGUGGAGCAAUAUGCAAGGUUAUGGGAUUGUUGUGAGAAGCUCAAGCGAAGAAAUCCUGGCAGUACAAUUUUGGUGAAGACUAAAAUGGAAUGAGGAAGGGCUAGGUUUCAGAGGUUGUAUGUAUGCUUUCCAGCAUUGAAAAAGGCUUUUUGGAAGGUUGUAGGCCAAUGGUGGGAUUGGAUGGAUGCCAUAUUAAAGGUCCACAUCCAGGUUGUUGUGCUAGGAUAGCACCAAACCCGUUGGAACCAACUCAAGCUAACUCACAAGAAAUUUAUCAAAUGAAAUGCAAGAACAAAAUAUUAAAGACACCAAGAUUUUAACGAGGUUCCUCAACAGUCAGUGUAACUGGAGUACGUCUUUGGAGCAGUAAGAGCUCACCCAAUAAUCCACUAUCAACCAAAUGAGAGUUUACAAAGUGUUGGCAAUCUCACAACCCAAAUAACCCAAUACACCCAAUAACUCUCACUCACCAAAGAAACAAAUAGAGAGGGAAAUAUAGUGAAUAAUUUCCUCUCUAUACAAAGCUCAAAGCUAAUACACAAAUACAACUUUGAUUGAGUAAGUACCAACAAAGAAAGAAAUCACCUUUCUUUCUUCUCUUUCUGCUCUCAGUUUUCUGCUCUCUGCAGCUCUCUUUGCUCUCUCAAAGAUGGGCUACUAAAACUGAAAAUUAGUGCACUCAUCCUCUUCUCUUUUCUUCUCCGAAACCAAACAUAUUAUUGCUUUGAAAAAGCCACAAACAAGCCAUAAAACAAGGAAACAUAAUCAUGUUGUCCUUUCUUUUUUUUUCUUUAUAAUUUUUUAUAGCCAAAAGUUGGCCACUUGGCCACAUACUCCAACAAUCUCCACCUUGGCCAAGUUCCGAAAAAAAAGCCAUGAUAAGCCAACCAACACAAUAACACACAACAUCACUCCCAAACACUAGCAAGAGAACAACUCAUGCCGAGCCAAAUGCUCCAAAACUCCUACUGCUCAACGCCUUCUUUAUAUAGGCAUAAUGUGAGCCAAGUUCAAACAAUGAACAAAUUUGGCUACACCAACAACCUUAGUUAACAUAUCAGCGGGGUUGUCUUUAGUUGGAAUCUUCUGGAUAAUGAUUUCCCCUUCACCAACAAUUUCACGAACAAAGUGAUAACGCACAUUUAUGUGCUUGGUCCUCGCAUGAUGAACCUGAUACUUAGCCAAAUAAAUGGCACUCUGACUAUCACAAUGUACCUUCACCUGCUUCUGAUCAACCCCCAAAUCUCUAAUCAGCCCAUGUAUCCAAAUGGCCUCAUUUAUAGCUUCAGCAACUGCCAUAUAUUCAGCCUCUGUAGUAGACAAGGCAACAGACGACUGCAAAAUGGACCUCCAACAAACUGGUCCUUUAGCCAUAGUAAACACAUAGCCUGUAGUAGACUUCCUUCCAUCCAGAUCACCUGCAUAAUCUGAAUCAACAUAACCAACUGCAAAAUGACCAAUACCAGAGUCAUCCCUCUCAAAGCAUAAACCAACAUCUCGAGUACCAUGGAGAUAUCUCAAUAUCCACUUAGCUGCUUGCCAAUGCUCUUUACCUGGAUUAUGCAUAUAUCGACUCACCAUGCCAACUGCAGCAAUAUCCGGUCUAGAGCAUACCAUUCCAUACAUCAAACUACCAACCAAAUUUGCAUAUGGUAUAUUUUUUAUUUGCAGCUUCUCUUUAUCAGUUUUAGGACACUGUAGAGAACUCAAUUUAAAAUGAGGAGCCAAAGGGGUACUAACCGGUUUGGUUGAAUCAUGAACUCCAAACUUCCGAAUCAACUUCUCAAGGUAUUGUCUUUGAUUCAAACUGACCAAACCCUUCUCUCUAUCUCUAGUGAUCUCCAUGAUCAGGCAUUGCAUUCUCUUAUGGUUGUCACGAAAUCGAAUUUUAUAUAGGCUCUGUUAUAUGAGAAACAGGUUGAGAAAUCGAAUUUUAAUUAGGGCAAAAGGCAAAUUUAAUGACACACCCACACCCCGAAAUCCCCAAAUAUUAGGAUAGGCACGUGUUGAUCGACACCCCAGGGUGACAAGGCCAUUUUAAACAUGCAUGCAAAUUAAAUUAUAUAAUUAGAAAGAAAUAUGCCAAUGCAAGAACAUGUUCAGAGCAUACAACUAAUUAAGAAUAAUGUGAAAGAAUUAUUAUAAAAAGGUACGAACAAAGGAAUAGGUCAUACACUGAGAAGACUCGAAGAUAUCUAUGCAGAAAUGCCCUGACGCUGAGAUCGAAUGCCGCAACUCUAACUCCUAAAGGGGCCACAAAACAAAGGGUGAGUGGACCAAAGUUUAUAAUACUAAUACUAAUAAUAAGAAAACCAUUUUCUUUCUGAACAUACUAACCCCCUGUUUUGAAAACACAUAUAUAGUACUACAUAGUAGGUUUUCCGAAAACUCUAACAUGCCAUGAAAACAUUCGUAAAAUAUGUACGUAUAAAACAAUGCUCAAUAAAUUUGAUAUCGCCGCCCGAAGGCAAAUCCGUAAAUCUCAUCAAUGAUGUACUCACUAGGGGUAUCAUAGUCUCCCUAAGGCAUAACAUAUCCAUCACCCAAAGGUGAAGUUGUACGACUCUGGGAUAUGCCAAAGAAGAAACAUAUACAUGUAACAUCACUCACUGACACUAGCUGUGGUUAGUGAAGUUGUCCGACACUGGUUUCGUCAAUGAAGCUGGGAGUAUGACAUAAAUAUCCUCAACUGUGUCCUAUGGCCAUAGACGUCUACAUACCCGUGUUGUGUGGAUGUGUUGUAUGAUAACCCACUAGAUAAGCAUCGAAAACAUAUCUCAAAAACUCGUAUCAAAUCACCGGAGCUCAAAAGCUUAAAGCAUCAUCGCAUAAAUCCAUAAUAAAACAUAUGCGUAAAUCCGUAUAAUUUCAUAUAUGAAAAUCCAAUCAUUCCUAAUCUUUCGUAAAAUGUAAACUCGAUAAAUCAUAAAUAAUGCAUAAAACGUUAAAUCAUGAAAUCAUGCUUUUUGUGAAUUUGCGCCUAGUAUUUUAUAAAAACAUGCAAGUUAAGAAGGGCUCCACUCACAUAUAUUUUGUUGCACGGGAACCGCUAGAACUAGAGAGGAAGGUGUCACUUCCCACCGACCACCUAAACAUAAAUAGAGAUCAUUUAAUAAAACUCUACUAAAAUGGUCGAAUUUGGGAAAACAGACAGCAGAUUCGAAUUCGGCACGUCGAAAACCCUAAGGAGGGACCUCGGGUUCUUCCAUCCCACCCCACGUGCCGCCGCACUAGCCGCCAUGGGACGGUGGCCCAAAAGGCCACGCACCGCCGCAUGUGGCAGUUUCCAGCAACAAAAACCCAAUUUUCCAACCAACUCCAAAAAUUACCAAAUUUUACAGGAAUGUAGAGCUCAUCAAGGGGAAGAACUUUCAUACAUGGGUCGAAGUCCAAUUCGGCUGAGAAACUCCUGAAAACACCCUCGAUCCGUCGGAAACCUUAAAAAUAGGUGUACUUCAAUUCGCCAUCUCUGUUACUCCGCUACCUCCAAACUGGUUUGGGGUUUGUUCAUGACCUUAAGAGAAGUCUUUUGGUGGUGGUCAUCGAUGGUGAAGGUUGCUGGAGUGACAGAUCACCCAGGUGGUGUCCUCGAAGCCGUCGAUGCGAGAUCCACGAAACCUAGGCCAAAAUCUAUCGACUAUUAAGUAUGUAUGCUUGCAAGAUUAAAUGAAAACCUCCAAAACGUAUGGAGUUUAAUUGAAUUCUAAUCACCACCACCACCCUCACAUAAUUAGGUCAAAAGGCGAAUUUAGGAGGGCUCCUUUCAAUCAUUUUGUACCCUUGCAUAUUAUUGUGAUUCGAUGAAGCUUCCCGUUAAAUGAACUGCACCAAAUAAGGGAGAUCUUCUCUUGAUCUCUAUAUUCGAAGCUGAUAAACAUAGAGAUCCAGAGUACUCAUUUUAAAUCAUACGGUUCUCAUUAGCUCAUUCUACUGGUUUUCUUUACACAAACCACGAGUUCAGAUCUCACUCUCUUUAACUACCUGGAUAUCCGAGUUCUUGAACUUCAAAAACAAAAAUCUGGAGAAGAUGUUGACUCCAAAUAGGGUAGCUUUUCUACUGUGCAUGUAGCUAGCCCAAAAAAUAAGGGAAACCCAACCCCACCCCCCAAAAUAAAAAAUAAAAAAAAACCCACCCACAACAAAAGUACAACUAUAAGUAAAGCUUUAUGAGGGGUUGCUCUAAAAUUGAUUUUAAAAUUAAAGGAAAACUAACGAAAAAUUCAAAAAAAACUUUAGUUUUAAUGAAAAAUGACAAAUAAAUGUGUAGUGAAUAGUACCAGAGAAAGGUAAAAAUGUGAUUUUUUGUUAAAAGUGAACAAUACCGGAGUGUUUCGUUAAAACUCUCUAAAAUUAAAUAGUCUGUCGUUCCAAAAAUUGUUUUGACAAUGUUGCAUUUAAAUAUUGUUUGACAAUAUAACAUUAUCCUACAAAACAUUUGUAUAAAUUAUAAGUUCAAACAAAAGACAUAAUACAGCUUCUUCCCGACUAUUUUAGGUGUAUACUCCAUUGCUGAAAAUUCUACCAUGCUCAUCAUAAUUCUUGCCACACCAGGCAAUUGGGUUAAAUUGCCCUUGACAAAAAAAAUGAUGGUCCAUCGGUGCCAAAUUGGGCAGGCAAUUGGGGGGCUCCAAGAAGCUUGUUGAACUACCCUUGCAACCCAUUGGCAAUAAGUAACGAUGUGCCUGACGUCAAGUAGCAGAAGGCUGGCCCCAACCCCGUACACUGAAGUGAACCAAACAGCUCCAAUUUGGGCACCCCAUAGCUAUUGGAUUUUCAACAGUUUGUUGAUCCGAACCAUUAAAUUUCAAACGAUAAAAGAAAUUUAAAAAGAUGAUGUUGUGCCACGUGGCACUUUGUGGCGUAUUUGAUAUUAAAAUUUUGAAAAAUUCAACAGCCAGGAUUAAUCCCAUGAUAAAAAAUCCAAAAAAAAAAAAAGAAAAAAAAUUAGAAAAAACGUACAACAAAAAAUAUCUAAAAAAACCUUCAAAUUUCACACUUAAACAAAAAUCUAAGCUGAUAUUACUAAUAGAUAAUGACACGUAAUGCGAUGAAAGUGGUUAAAAAUGGAAAGGGAUACUCUCCGGCUCCCUUUCACCAAAUCCACCAAGUUCAAGGAUUCAGAUCAUUGAAAUUGAUCCAACGGCUACAAAUAAGGACCCACUUUAAAAAUUAUAAUAUGUUGGAUCAAAUUUCAAGAAUCGGAUACCCGGACUUGAUGGAUUUGGUGGAAAUGAUCCGGAGUCCUUUCCGUUGAAAAUCUCAUCGCCUCUCCUUUCAGCCCUUCAAGGAAAACCCGCUUCUUGGGUCGUUUUCAACCACAUAAAGCUUCACUCUGUUAUUAGUUUAUGUGUUUAAAAUUGUUGGGGUUUGCAGUUUUGGAUUGAAAUUUGUGUUUUGGGAUUUGUUGGGUGCUCACAUGUGGAAAUUUGGAAAAUUUUAGUUGCGGAUUGUGGGGAACUGACACAGUGGUGGUCCCAUUUCAUGUACUUUGUGUGUUUUUGGUGAAAUACUGAUUAGGAGGGUUGGAUAGUUGGACUGGUUUUAUUUUUUUUGUGAAAUUAGAGUGGGAUCGAUCAAGGUUGAGACUUUUUUAGGUAAGAGUAAUUGUGAAAGUUAUGUUUUAUAAAUUUUUUGGCAAAUUUUGUGACUUGGUGGAUUUGGAAUUUUGGUUAUAUUAGAUAUAUGUGUAAAGAAAAUAGUUGAACUGCAUGAAGCUUGAUGUAAUUCUGCUAUUAAUCAAUGUUGGACUUGGGAAUCCUAGUGAAUAUAGAAGCGAAUCUACGAUUAGUUGAGAAACUUAAAGAAGCUUAAGGGGUAAUGAGGGUUUUAGGUAUUUAGUGACACUAAGGCAAUGCUUGAUGUCUAUUUCAUUUCGGCGUAUCAGAAAUGCUUGAACAAUAAAGAAAGGUGCUCGAAGAGCUACAGUAGUGAACUACUUGGUUUGAUUAGAUUGCUAUGUUAAUCAAAAUGUCUCCUGUAGUAUGUUAUAGGCUUAGGGUGUGUUUGUUUGGACUCAUUGUCUUUCACUAGAUUAGACUGGACUAAGUUUUAGUCCAGUCCUGUGUUUGUUUCCUACCCGGACUAAGUUUAAUGGGAUUAGGAGGGACUCGCCUCGACUGAGUCCCUCGCUAACGGGUCUUCGCGAGCCCCCCAAUUCGGAGAGGAUUGCUAAGCCGCCCUCUAAUCCUGUCAUCUCACUUCUCUUUCACACCUUCGGACAUCAACCGCAGCAACUGCAACUUGCUCCUCGUCCCUUCGCACCUUCACCCUUUCCCUUCUCCUUCCUUGUCGCACCACCUCGUAGCCGUCCAACAUAUAAACAAUAGAUGACGGACCUGUAUCACUGGCGAUGGUCUGAUCAGGUGAGCUUCAUUUUCCUUGCAUUUCAAUGGGUACUUUUUUAAUUUUCCAAAUUCAAUUGCUUUUUGUUCAUUCCUUUCUUUGUUUAUGCAUUUCAAUGGGAUUUUCGAGUUUCUUUAGGGUUUUUGGUGAUUAACUAUAAUCCAACAUUCAUAAUUAUCAAAUUUAGUAUAACGGCACUGGGUCACUGACAGCAGCUUGUUUUUUGGAUAUACUUAUUAAGAAUUUGACAUUAGGGAAUCCAUUCACAGCUUAUGGAUGUUUUCAAUUUUUCUGGUUCUUAUUCACCCUUUUGUGGAGAUCUUAGUAGUGGAUUAGGGAUAUAUCAUGUCCAUGAUGACUGGUAUUGUAUUGGCAGUGACGGGGUAUCUAGUUGGAUUGGAUGUGUUGAACAAUUAUGCGAUGAGCUAAGAUUUAAGAAGAAGCCUCUCUACCUGUUUUGAUCAUACUUGAUCUUUUUCGAGCUUUGUAUUCGAGUAUUUAACCGUUUCUUCAGCCCUUGAGGGUGCCACUUGUUUUCUAGUGAAUAUAUAUUGGAAGCUUCUCUUUGGAAAUUUUUGUGAGUAAUCAUUUUCUGAAGCUUUCAUCAACGGAUUUAUCUUAUUGGAAGGUUCUGCUUGUUGCACAUCACCAUAGAUGUUCUAUUAUUUUGAUCCAAAAGUUUUUCUUCAUUAUUCAGAUACUCUUAUGCAUAUCUUGGACAGUUUAAUCAUUAUAAUUUUAUACAUAUUUGAGUUCACCUAUCAAAAGGAAUAUCAAACAAAUUGAUAUUAACAAAUCCUCGUGGAGCUAGGAGAUCACCAAUUUCGUGUUGAACUUUAAGAUUUUGUUAUAAACCAGGAUACUUGUACAUUUAACUAUAGUGACUUCUAGUUAUCAUGGAGAAUUUAGACUUGUCUACUAUGUUUGUACCAUACUUAGGGCCUCCGUAUUUAGACCUCGUAUAAAUACUCGGGGGACUCAAAUAUAAUUAUGUAAUAAAUGAAGGGGCAAAUAUGUAAUAAGUGAGGAGCCCUUAUUCUAUAAAAGGACUCCUCACUCUCCUCAUUAAGGGGGGUGAAGGUUUAGGCCAUGGGAAGAGAGAAAACAUCUCAGAGAGGGCAAACACAGAAAAUAGGCUAGAGAGCACACUGCCUCUAGCCUUCUUGUAUAUUCACCAUUCAGAGUGAAACAAUAUCAACAUCAGUGUGGACGUAGCCCAAACAUUGGGGUGAACCACGAUACAUCUUGUGUUCUUUACUUUCUUGCAGAUUCACGGUCGGAUUUAUGUUGUUCCAAGACACCUCCGGUUUUGUGCAUCAACAUUUGGCGCCGUUUGUGAGAAACGACACGAAAAGCUAUGUUGGUUCUCUUUCAUUUUUUUCAUCUUACCAUUGUGAAUCUGCACAACCCAAGAACCCAGAACCUCCCUCCUUGGGCUUUUCUAGAAAACUCCUAGCUUUCUCUCUUUCUACUCAUUUUCUUUCUCUAGAGUUUGGCCGAGUUAUCAAUUUCAUCGCAAUUACAAAUGAAUUCAAGGCGAUAAUAAGAGAGAGAAACAUAAACUGUCUCUUCUUCUCCUUCCAUGCGUUUCUUCAUAACCCACCACUUCUAGCCUUUUUCCCUUCCUCGCUCUCAGAAACCCAGAAGAAAAAAUUGCAAUCAUGAGGCUUCAACGGCGGAGGAGGUGGUGGUGGCGUCCUUAAUUUCUACACAAACGGGCGAUCCAUCUCCAUCUCCGUCGCCAUGAACGGCCACAACCCAUCUCAGAACAAUCCCUACCACCGAUCCCAGCUUCCCAACCUGUUUAUGGACCCUACCGCAUCCCAGAUCGCUCACCAAACACAGUUUCAACCACCGCAACCAGUCCCGGAACAAUUCGAAGUUACUGAUAACAUUGAAAGCAUUCCGGUCCGCUGUGGUUUUCAAUCUCAAAGACGAAACUUACCUGCUACUUCAUGGCCUCGGGAUGGAUGCUGUGUUGCUACUGUGGCGAAAGAAUUUUACCCAGACUCUCCCUCUCUGCUCACAUGGCCUAUCUUCCACCAUCUCAGCGGCUGCAGUCCUCAAUUCAAGGUUCACGCCACCAAAUAUUCUGUCUCGCCUCUCACAACUUCAUGCGCCUCCAGAGUUCUUCUCCAGAUUUGCGCUCCAUAGAUUAUUUUCUAUGUCGAUUUCCAUCAGAUUCGCGUCGAUCGUGUCACGAUCUACGCGUUGAUGGUGGUUUGAGAUUGUGAGGUGAUGGUUUGAGCUGUUUUUGAAUUCAGCUGGUUUUACCAGCUCGAGCUUCUAUGUUCGUCGCUCUUCGAUUCGAAUUUAAAGAUUUCGCAGACAGAGCUCUAACCAAAUCGGAAGAGAUUACAAGUAUUCGGCGGCAUUUCAGCAGCUGAUCCAAUUCGAUCUCGUGGUGGCUGAAACAUGUUUAAUCUUAACCAAAGGGUCAUGGUUCAUGGUUGUAAUUUCAUGAGACUGAAGCUUUUAUAUCGUGGGAUUUGGGUUGGGGUUAUGGGUUGAAUUCAGAUGGAUGUAUAAGAUAUCGGGACGAAAGACUCGGUGGAAGGGCCGAAGUGCUGGACCGAUCUUUGUCAUCCGGCCUUUGCCAUGGCAGUCGGACAUGGAUUCUGGACAACUACGGCCGCAUCUAUAUCUCGUCGCCAAAGUUUUGAAAGUUGCAGGAAAUGAAGUGGGAAACAAAAGCAAAAGAAGAAAAGAAUAGAAAAAGGAAAAUGAUGUCUGGAGAUGGAGAAAAUGAUGAGGUUUGUUAUGGGGGAGGCCAUAGUCCACCACUAUCAAGUCUGCCACACUCAAUCAUUCAUUUGCACUCAUGGAAAACAACCACAAAGAUAAGACUCUUAUCUUUACAGCUCUUACCCACUGUCAUUGAUGAAUAUUUUAUUAAGUUGUCUUCUGCAAACUGGAGCAAUUAUUAUAUAGUGAUACUGAUGUGUAAAGAAGGCAACAUGCCAAAAAAAAAUAAAUAAAUAAUGUCGGCAAGCCCAAAAUAGUGGGCUGGAAUGUUAUGUGAAGGGUGAAGGCCCAUAUGCACAAAAAAGCCAGGCCCUAUGGCUUCAAACUCCAACCUCCAUCCCUCCACUUAAGGUUCACCCUUUAUUAUCACCAACUAGGUGAUCAAAAGUACGUCUAGUACUCCAAUAUUAUUCGGCAGCCUGCUGUUAUUAUCAUUAACCAGGUGAUCAAAAGUACAACCCAUCCUUAAAAAAAUCAUACAUGAGCAUCACUCAUGACAAUCACCAUCAUACAUAAGCAUCACUCAUGUCAACAUUCAUGAACAUCACUCAUGUCAACAUCCAUGAGUAUCACUCAUGUCAAUCAACAUAAACAUUCAUGAGCAUCACUCAUGUCAAUUAGCUUCGAAAUCUUCAUUUACAGAGCUCUAGCUUCGAAAGCUUCAUUUAUAGAGCUCCAGCUUCAAAAGCUUCAUUCAUAGAGCUCCAGCUUCGAAAGCUUCAUUUAUAGAGCUCUAGCUUCGAAAGCUUCAUUUACAGAGCUCCAGUUUCGAAAGCUUCAUUUACAGAGCUCCAGCUUCGAAAGCUUCAUUUACAAGAGCUCCAGCUUCGAAAGCUUCAUUUACAAAAUCUCCAACUUCGAAAGCUUCACCUACAAAGCUUCAGUGCAUGGUAUACAAAGACCGCAACCAAGGCAACAUAAGCCACAAACCGAGCAGCCUCGCAACAUGUGCUACUUCUAGUUGAGUAUCAUUUCAGAUUGAGCACCGCCUCAUAUCGAGUAUCAGUUCUAGACGACAUCUAGUUACUUCGGCCCACACAUGGACUGAAUUUCAAGUCUCCAGCCAAAAGACUCUCUUGAUUGAAGACUUGGGGGACUACUGUUUGUACCAUACUUAGGGCCUCCGUAUUUAGACCUCGUAUAAAUACUCGGGGGACUCAAAUGUAAUUAUGUAAUAAAUGAAAGGGCAAAUAUGUAAUAAGUGAGGAGCCCUUAUUCUAUAAAAUGACUCUUCACUCCCCUCAUUAGGGGGUUGAAGGUUUAGGCCAUGGGAAGAGAGAAAACAUCUCAGAGAGGGCAAACACAGAAAAUAGGCUAGAGAGCACACUGCCUCUAGCCUUCUUGUAUAUUCACCAUUCAGAGUGAAACAAUAUCAACAUCAGUGUGGACGUAGCCCAAACAUUGGGGUGAACCACGAUACAUCUUGUGUUCUUUACUUUCUUGCAGAUUCACGGUCAUAUUUAUGUUGUUCCAAGACCCCUCCGAUUUUGUGCAUCAACAUACUAAAACUUGUACAAGUGAUUCAAGCAUGUUUUUGCUCUCGUCAGUAUUAGUUAUUAACUCAUUGGACUCCAUACACAGUUUCUGUGAUGUUUUCUUCCACAAUUUUAUGGUUUGCAAUUCUGCAGAGGUUUCUACUCAGUUUAAUUGUUUUAAUUGUCUCAUUGACCCAUGCUGUUACACGAAAGAGAGAAAUUAUGUGUUUAUCAGAAAUCUGGCUAAACCAGCAAUACAUCACUCAACUUCAUUAGAACAUGACAAAUUUCACCUUAUGGUUCACAGGCCGUACUUCUCUUUGGCAUCGUAGAUACAGUCUUUUCCAUUUAAGUUUAUUCUGAUUUAUUUGCUAGCUUAAAGUGUAGUUGAAUGAUGUUGUGCAUGGCUAUCUGCAGCGCAAUGGGCACUUGGGUUUUCUCCGUAGCAGGGGCUUUGUUAGCGAUUCCAGUGGGGAUAAAAAGGAAACUUUAGCAUUGCUUGUGUUCUUCGGCACAACAUGUACCAUGCUUGACAUUAUAAUGGGAAUCGCUCAGUGUGAAAGAGAACAUGCAGAACGCCAAGCGAAGCUAUUAGAAGCCCAGAUUUCUGCAACUAAUGCUUCAUUUGCUGAGACUGGGGCGGAAACAUAGUCUUGACUCCUAAGCAUAUGCAUCAUAUGCCCAUGUUUGGCUGCUGUCAGUUUUCUCUUCAAAUUUCUUUACUGUAAAAGAUUAAUAGUCGAACCUGUAGAAUGAACCCUUUGCUUGAAUUUUGCCUUCCCCUUUUCAUGGGUUAAUAAUCACACGAAAGUUGUUACUGAUAUAACGUCAGGUUUAACCUCCCUCGCAUGGCACGAUUCCAUGAGUUAAUCAUUCGAAGCAGAGAAUUCUAAUUCCUCUGUUUUUAUUUAUCUUGGAGAUACCUAUAUGAAAAUUACUUUAAAGUUGUUCAGCAGCAAAGGUUAUGACUUAUAAUAUACGAUGUAUAAUCACGAAGAGAAACUGGUGACAGUACUGUUUUCAUUAUCCUGCUUUCUAGUCUGACACUGCACCAAACGCUUCACUAAGCUGGUUCAGCUUAGUCUAGUCUAAGCCAGUCCAGCUUAAUCCCUGAAGCUAGUCCAUUCCGAGACAGUCUGGUACAACAAACGCACCCUUAAAGUUUUACAUUAGUGUUCUUUAGCGACUUGGUUUCAAAAUUUUCGUUCGACUUUCCUUGGUCUGUGAGGCCAAUGGUAGAACAUCAUGGAAAAAUGAAAUUGUUUUGUCUUAAUAUCUCUGGUAAGAGCGAGUACGCAUUCUUAAAGGAAAAAUGAAAUUGUUUGUCAUUCUUUUAAGAUGUUUAAUGUGCUCAUUUCAGUAUGCACUACAAGGGCGAGUGAGCUAUCAUCUGUUUGGAAAUAAAAGCUAUAGACAUGCCCCAUAAGGGUCAAUAGGUCUCAGUUACAUAUCUAACUUGUUUCUCAUGUGUUUUCAUCCUGAAGGUUAGAAAAGAUGGGUGCUCUAGACGCACAGAGAGUGGUUCAUCAACACCAGAGAUGGUGGCUGAUCUCAUGUAUGUGGUUACAUGCUGGAGUUUUCCAUGUGCUUGCCAAUAUGCUGAGUCUUGUAUUCGUUGGAAUUUGGCUUGAGCAAGAAUUUGGAUUUGGUAUGCAUCUGGAUUUUUAGCUUCAUGUAUGUUAUCAUGCAUGUAUGGCCAUAUCCAUAAGUGUUUGUAGUAAAAAGAUAAAGCACACGACAUUAGUUGUAGAAUAAUAAAUUAGUUUACUAGGAAGCAUGCUUUCAAUAUGGUAUUUCUGUUGGUGCUUCUGGUGCACUUUUUGGUUUACUAGGAAGCAUGCUUUCAGAGCCAUAUCAAAUUGGAAAAUGUAUGUAAAUAAGGUAAAUAAAGUUUCUGUAUACUCAAUGAUGCACCUCUUUAUGUGCACGACCCUUUGAUCUUACAGUUUCAGGUUUCUACCCGCAGUUAGCAGCAUUGGUUACUCUCCUUUUCUUCAUCAUAAUACACUUAGCAGUGGAAUUCUACCACACGCGGACAACUUUGCUCAUAUUGGAGGAUUUGUCCCCGGAUUUCUUCUUGGAUUUUUGUAUUGUGGAUCCUCUCUUUGAUACUAUUGAUUGUUGGGUAAGCUCCUCCUCGAUCUCUGAUUUAAUUUUUUAACUUCAUGAACCUAAUCGAUUCCCUGCAUGAGAAUCUGGUAGCCACAGUUGGCGCGUGCACAUUUUUUUCUUUCUUUCUAUCAAAUCAAAGAACUGGAUUUUGUGUAGAUAUGUAGAUAUCAUGUGUCCUGUAAUAUGUCUUCAUUAUUGUCAUUGUGAAUAGUCUCUGUAUCUGCUUGUUUCUGAUUAGAAUGGUUUGGAGAAGGCAUUGUGUUAUUGUUAUCGUUGUUCUCUAUGUAGUACUAAUUGGUCACUUUGUUGAUAGCGGCUUCUACUUUGUUGUUUUGGGUUGUAUGUGCUGGCAGGUUGUUGUUUUGUUAUUGGAAGUAAAGGUUCAUUUUCCUCGUAUCUAAGUAGUAUCAGAAUAUGCAGGCAUUUUCUAACAAACGUCAUGUUUUUUACAGGUGUACUCUUGGCCUGGUUACUCUUUUUCGAGGGGUCAAUCUGAACAAUCAUUGUUCCUGGUGUCAUUAUUUGAGCAGUGUCCCUACGUCAAAAUGGAAUUGCAAGUCACAAAAUAUUUAUUGUUUGGUAAAUUAACUUCCGCCUUAAUAUUUGAUAGAUAGAAGUGCUUGCUUAUUAAUACGAUCAUGGUUGCAUUCAGUCGUUCUAGUUUGGCAUGCCGUUUAAUCUAAUGCCUUCAAGAAACGUAAUUUAAGAAAUGACUCACGAAAUUUUGAGUCAGGAAAUUGCUUUUACAAUGUACUUUGUUAGUACUAUAAAUUGGUUUUGUACUGACAUAUUGUUCUUUAUAUGAAUGUGAGGCUUAGAGAAGUAUAACUGCAUGUUCAAGUUUUGAUUCUCUUGGUAAUGAUUUCAAGGCUUUGGUUUAUGAGUACAUGGAAAAAGGAAGCUUAGAGAAGUGGCUGCAUCCACCGACUGAUAUUGAGGAAGCAAGAGAGGCACCCAAGAGUUUAAAUCUUUUGCAAAGGCACAACAUUUCCAUAGAUGUUGCUUGUGCUCUCAAUUAGUCAAUUAUCUUCAUAAUCACUCCGAAACACCGCCAGUUCAUUGUGAUCUGAAACCAAGUACUGUUCUUUUGGACAACAUGUCGACUGGACAUGUUUCUGACUUUGACUAGCAAGGUUCUCACAACUGACCAGUAUAAAAGCUUCAACAAAUCAGCAAGUUCCGCUGGAAUAACAGGAGCGAUUGGUUAUAUGGUUUUAGGUAAAUAUUCAAAUUCUCUCCACAAUAUCCUUUUUUUUUAAUUUUUAAAUUUUGCAUAAUUCAACUAAACUCCGCCUAUGUAAGUUUAUCUUACAUUGCCGGUCCCAAGCCCGGAUAAAGGAGGAGGGGGAGGGCGUCAGGUAGUCGACAGCCGGCACUCCACGGUUACGUCGAAUCCUUAUGAAAAUGAAUCCAGAACGAAAUCGCGCUAAAGCUAGGGCGUCACCCGUAAGUGGCGCGCUGUGUGGCCCGAGCACAGUGAUAAGUGAGCAAGGGUCGCUGUAUCUCCAUCGGCACCCGGAUGCAGUGGUAAAUGAGUAAGGGGACCAUAGAAACUUCUUUUCGAACGACUCCACUCAAAGUUGUUUGGGAGCAUAUGCUCCUAUCAACUUUACACGGGACACACAAAAGAAGUACUUUGAUCCUAUUAGACAGGAGAGGGUGAAGAAGCUAGGACAGAAGGGUAGAGUUCAAGAGAGUAGAAUGCGUUUAGGAACGUGGAAUAUAGGAACCUUAACUGGAAAAUCUAUGGAAGUAGUGGAAGUUAUGGUGAGGAGAAGGAUAAAUAUUAUGUAUAAGAAACUAAGUGGGAUGGUCUUAAGGCAAAGGAUCUAGAAAACUCAAGAUUUAAACUUUGGUAUUCGGGCACAAAUAGAAUGAGAAACGGUGUUGGCAUCAUCGUGGACAAGACCUUGACACAAAAUGUUGUAGAUGUCAAGAUGGUAGGAGAUAGAAUCAUGGCAAUCAAGAUUGUAAUAGGACAAGAACUUAUCAAUGUGAUUAGUGCGUAUGCACCUCAAGUAGGGUUGGAUACGAGUUUAAAGGAGAAAUUUUGGGAAGACCUUGGAGACUUGGUGCAAGGAAUUGCUCAGACGGAGAAGUUAUUUAUAGGAGGAGAUUUAAAUGGACACGUGGGCAGGGAGACAGGCAACUAUGGAGGUUUUCAUGGUGGCCAUGGUUUUGGGGAGAGAAACGAGGAUGGGGAAGCUAUCUUGGAUUUUGCAAUGGCAUAUGAUCUUUUCUUAGCCAACACCUUCUUUAAGAAGAGAGAAAAACAUGUGAUCACCUACAAGAGCGGGUCAUCAAAAACACAAAUAGAUUUUCUUCUAAUGAGGAAAGGGGAUCGUAUAACUUGUAAGGAUUGCAAAGUUAUAUCGGGGGAGAGCUUGGCUAAUCAACAUCGCUUGUUGGUGAUGGAUGUACAUAUCAAAAGAGUGAGAAAAAAAAAACAAGACUUGGAAAUGCCCAAGGACUAGAUGGUGGAAUCUAAAAGGAAAAAAACAAGUCAUUUUCAAAGAGAAAGUAAUCACUCAGUGUGUGUGGGAUAGAGAGGGGGAAGCUAGCCAAAUGUGGGAUUCUAUGGCUAGUUGUAUCCGAAAAGUAGCAAAAGAGGUAUUAGGAGAGUCCAAGGGCUUUGCUCCACACCAAAAGGAAUCUUGGUGGUGGAAUGAAGAGGUACAAACAAAGGUGAAGGCUAACAAGGAAUGUUGUAAAGCCUUAUACAAGGAUAGGACCGAUGAAAAUGGUGAAAGGUAUAGAAGAGCGAAGCAAGAGGCGAAGAAAGCUGUGAGAGAAGCUAAGUUAGCGGCUUAUGACGAUAUGUAUAAGCGACUAGAUACCAAAGAAGGAAAGUUGGAUAUCUAUAAACUAGCUAGAGCAAGGGAAAAGAAGACAAGGGACCUAAACCAAGUGAGGUGCAUCAAGGAUGAGGAUGGAAAGGUUCUUGCUACAGAGAACGCGGUCAAAGACAGGUGGAGAGGUUAUUUUCAUAGUCUUUUCAAUAAAGGACAUGAAAGGAGUACUUCUUUAGGGGAGUUGAGUUACUCAGAAGAGUGUAGAAACUACUCCUUUUAUCGUCGAAUCAGGAAGGAAGAAGUGGUUGUAGCUUUAAAGAAGAUGAAGCAUAGAAAAGCAGUGGGCUCAGACGAUAUACCGAUAGGUUUAGCAUGGCUCACUGACCUUUUCAAUAGGAUUUUGAAAACGAAGAAGAUGCCAAAUGAGUGGCAAAAGAGCACUUUGGUGCCUAUCUACAAGAAUAAGGGCGACGCACAAAAUUGCAUGAACUAUAGGGGUAUUAAGCUAAUGAGUCAUACAAUGAAGCUCUGGAAGAUAGUCAUUGAGCAUAGAUUGAGGCAAGAGACACGGGUUUCGGACAACCAAUUCGGGUUCAUGCCAGGGCGCUCAACCAUGGAGGUAAUCUAUCUCUACGAAGAUUGACGGAAAGAUAUAGAGAUGGGAAAAAGGAUUUACACAUGGUCUUUAUAGAUUUGGAAAAAGUGUAUGAUAGGGUACCAAGAGACAUUCUUUGGAGGAUUUUAGAGAAGAAAUGAGUACAAGUAGCAUAUAUCCAAGCUAUAAAGGAUAUGUAUGAAGGAGCAAAGACUGCCGUAAGAACUCAUGAAGGACAAACCGAAAGCUUCCCUAUAACUGUAGGAUUACAUCAAGGCUCAUCCUUAAGUCCUUACCUUUUUGCGUUGGUAAUGGAUGAAUUAACAUGACAUAUUCAAGAUGAUAUUCCUUGGUGUAUGCUUUUCACAGACGAUAUAAUGUUGAUAGAUGAAACUUAGGAAGGGGUAAAUAUGAAGCUUAACCUUUGGAGAGAAGUGUUGGAAUCUAAAGGUCUUCGCCUAAGCCGAUCAAAGACAGAAUAUAUGGAGUGCAAGUUCAGUGCAAACGGAGGCCAAAAUGAGUUAGGGGUGAGGAUCGAAGAUCAGGAAAUACCAAAGAGCGAUCGUUUUCGCUACCUAGGAUCUAUCUUGCAAAAGAACGGAGAAUUAGAUGCAGAUCUCAACCAUAGAAUACAAGCUGGAUGGAUGAAGUGGAAGAGUGCAUCCGACGUGUUGUGUAACCGCCGUAUGCCACUGAAGCUCAAGGGAAAAUUUUAUAGGACGGCAAUAAGGUCGGCGAUGCUGUAUGGCACAGAAUGUUGGGCGGGGAAGCAUCAACACGUACACAAAAUGGGUGUAGUGGAGAUGAGGAUGCUUCGGUGGAUGUGUGGGCACACGAGAAAGGAUAAGAUUAGGAAUGAGGAUAUCCGAGGUAAAGUAGGAGUAGCCGAAAUUGAAGGAAAGAUGAGAGAAAAUCGGUUACGGUGGUUUGGACAUGUGCAAAGAAGGCCUACUGACGCUCCGGUUAGAAGAUGCAACUACGGGACAAAUGUUCAGGGUCGAAGGGGUAGAGGAAGGCCUAGGAAAACUUUGGAAGAAACUCUAAGAAAAGACUUAGAGUACUUGGAUCUAACGGAGGACAUGACACAAGACCGAGCAUAAUGGCGUUCUAAGAUUCAUAUAGCCGACCCCACUCAGUGACUUAGAUUUUUCAAGUCUCUAACCGAGAAGUUUUCCUUACUUGGGAAAUUAAGGGAACACUACCUCAACCUACAUGCUCCACUCACAAAGCUUCAACAUACAAGCUUCAACAAAAGAAAAAUUCAAAGAACUUAGUGACGAAGCCUUUGGGGUAUUUAACACAAUACGUUGAAAUGAAGCAAAGCUUAUUUAUUGAUAUCUCCGAUAAGUUACAAAUAUGUACAUAUACAUGAGUCAAAAUAAACAAACAAGAGGGAGCCUUCACAAAGGUUGCUUAGGAGAAGUCUCAGCAGUCGGUAGAGCCACAGAAAGAGAAGGCACCGGAGGGGGAUCAUUCAGAGCCUCAGUACUGGACAGAACCUUAGAAGGAUGAGGCAUCGGAGGUUGAUCAUUUGGAGCUUCAUUAUGCGGUACAUCCCUAGAAGACGAAGGCAAUAAAUGCCUUUGGAACAAACCCACAAACCUCUGAUGAUCACGUAAAUCUGACAAUCAGAUUCCUUCAUCUGGUCAAGCUUCCUCUUCAUGUUUGUAGCAUAGUCAUGUGCGAGCCGGUGCAACUGUUUAUUCUCAUGCUUGAGCCCUCUAAUCUCCUGUUUGAGACUCAUCACUUCAGCCGCCAAUGAUUCAACUUGGCGGGUUCGAGCAAAUAGGCGUUGGGCCAUAUUAGACACAGAACCUGCACACUGAACACUGAGAGCCAGAGAAUCCUUAACAGCCAACUCAUCAGACCGUUUGGAAAGUAGUCUGUUAUCUUUGGGAGUGAGAAGGUUCCUGGCCACCACCGCAGCGGUCAUAUCAUUCUUCAUCACGGAAUCCCCAACGGUAAGAGGACCAGUAGGGGAUAAGAAGGAUGGGCGCCAUAUGUUGUCUGGAGAAGGCGUGGCUGCCUCUUCAACAAGGUUCAAGUCAAAACGACGGUCGGAGGGGCCAGACAUUUUCAAAGGUGUUGAAGAGAGAAGAGGUCAGACAAAUCAAGAUCUUAGAAGUGCAAGAAUGGAGCUUCUACUGGUGGAGAUUCAAGUGUGCUUUGGAACUUAAUGCCAGCCUCUAUAAAAAUCUGCACUCGACGGAGCUUCAGAAAUCGAAGAGGCGCCUGCUCAGAAAUCGAAGAGGCGUUUGCUUUCUCAAAAGCUGGGCUGCUCAGAGACCACGAGGGCCGAUCUCAGAAAUCGAAGAGGGUUUGCUUUCUCAAAAGCUGGGCUGCUCAAAGACCACAAAGGCCAAUCUUAGAAAUCGAAGAGGCGUUUGCUUUCUCAAAAGCUGGGCUGCUCAGAGACCACAAGGGCCGAUCUCAGAAAUCGAAGAGGCACCUGCUUUUUCAGCCUUGUCAGCACCUGUCAUAUGCACACUCAGCUUUGCGGAAAUUACAGGCAUGCUGUCGAAGAUUUCUGGUGAAGUAGAAAGCACGGGUGAAUCCUUACUGUUCAAACAAUCAGCUUCAUGGGUACCACAGAUAACUUUGCCAAAGAAGGGUAAAAGAAGAGUAAAGAAACAACACUAACAAAGUUUAGACACAUAAAUUUUGAAGGUCUAGCUACUAUAUUAUUACCCACAAGGGUAAAGGAACAGCACAACUGCUGGAUAAUUGGAAAGUCCCUGUGUGUCAACCUUUGUGCUCCGUGGCAAGGUAGACUAGCAAACAUGCCCAACCUUUACUCACAUUCGAGAAAACACUCCCAACAAGAUUGCUUGCUCCAAAAUCGAAGAGGCGCCGCCCUCCGAAUCUCGAGAGCCAGACUCCCAACAUGAGUACUUUCUCAAAAAUCGAAGAGACACCACUCUCUGAAUCUCGAGAGCCAGACUCCUAGCAAGAUUGCUUUCUCAAAAAUCGAAGAGGCACCGUUCUCCGAAUCUCGAGAGCCAGAUCCCCGACAGGAUUGCUUGUUCGAAAACCGAAGAGGCACCACUUUCUCAACUUCGAGAGCCAGAUCUCCUUGGAUAAAGCUUGUCUGUAAUCUUCACACGCAACAUCAGCUUUCCAGAUACCACAGACCACUUUUUCAAAGUGCUCUGACAGAGUUAAAACACGUGAAGCUGGCAGCUCCCACUACCGUGCUAUGACCAAGCAGGGUAAAGGAAUAGCAUUACUACUUGUUGUUAGGGAGACUCCUAUAUAUGUCGACCUCCAUCCUCAACGGACAGGCAGACCUGCAAAAAUGCUCAACCCUUCCUCAUAUCUGAGAGGGCACUCCCAACGAAGCCUCUCGAAAUACUCAGCUUUUUUUCCCCCCGAUAAUACCUCUGUAAACAAGCUACACUAGAGCAAGACUAUCUCAUAUCAUCAGGGUUAAAAGCAAGAGUAUCCCAUAUCAUGCUUUUUUCCCUGUCUUUUCCUUUGGCCUUGUUCUUACCUGCAAGACAAGGAGAAAGAGAGCAAUCAGUCAGCACUUGGAAUCAAGCUUCCAGUCAGGAACUGACUGCCUGGAACCCCUUACCUGAUUACUUACUUGACAUUGCUCUCGAGUACUCAUCUUCAACAUCUUAUGCUUCCAAAAAAGAUACCACAUCUGCCUGAGGAACAGAUAUAGGGCAAGUGAGAAGGAAUACAAGGAAGCAUGUGGAGACAAGCGUAACAGAAUAUGUGCCGAUACAUCCACUACUUCGUCAACAGCAAAAGUAUCCCAUAUCAGCAGGGUCGAACGUACUCUAGAUUUGAUGGACUUGUUUUGACCCUCAAAUUCUUCAGUCGGCCUUAUACUCUGGAGGAAACCAGAAAACCCUCCAGCCCAGUUCAAGAAUAAGCCUGUGGAAAGUUACUUCUUCAAAAGCAAAAGUAUCUCAUAUCAUCUCUUCUCCUUUUUCUUCUCUUUAUCCUUCAUGCUGCCUGCAAGAUAAGGAGAAUGAGAACAAUCAGCCGGAACUCGAAAUCAAACUUCUGAUCUGGGACUGAUUGCUUGGAGCUCUGAUUGCUUACCUUGUCUGUCACCUCUUUCAACAGAUCCCUUAGCUCGGCGACUUGGGGGACUCCUACUACAUGGUUUGUAUCGCGCUUGACCAAGCCUGAAACUACAAGUAAGCUUCAAGUGAAAUUGAUACAUUACCUUGUGCAUCUCCACCAGUUAAAGAUACCACCCCUGGAUGGAGGAAGAGUACUUCCAGAGAAGAUGCCACAUCUACCUAUGAGACAGAUAAGGCAAGUGAAGACGAUACCACACUUCGGUACUUAGAAGUUUCGUGAUUACGAGAUCAUUCUCCCACAAUAUUUCCUAAUGUCAUUUGUACUAAAUCAUUCACUUGUACUCACUAAAGGAGAGCUUGAACCUAUGUACUUGUGUAAACCCUUCACAAUUAAUGAGAACUCCUCUAUUCCGUGGACGUAGCCAAUCUGGAUGAACCACGUACAUCUUGUGUUUGCUUUCCUGUCUCUAUCCAUUUACAUACUUAUCCACACUAAUGACCGGAGCAAUCUAGCGAAGAUCACAAACUUAAUACUUUCUGUUGUACCAAAGUCCUCACUGAUUUUGUGCAUCAACAAUCCUUAAGUCCCUACCUUUUUGCGUUGGUAAUGGAUGAGUUAAUAGGACAUAUUCAAGAUGAUAUUCCUUGGUGUAUGCUUUUCGCAAACGAUAUAGUGUUGAUAGAUGAAACUCAGGAAGGGGUAAAUGCGAAGCGUAACCUUUGGAGAGAAGUGUUGGAAUCUAAAUGUUUUCGCCUAAGCCGAUCAAAGACAGAAUAUAUGGAGUGCAAGUUCAGUGCAAAUGGAGGCCAAAAUGAGUUAGGGGGUGAGGAUCGGAGAUCAGGAAAUACCAAAGAGCGACCAUUUUCGCUACCUAGGAUUUAUCUUGCAAAAGAACGGAGAAUUAGAUGCAGAUCUCAACCAUAGAAUACAAGCUGGAUGGAUGAAGUGGAAGAGUGCAUCCGGCGUGUUGUGUGACCGUCGUAGGCCACUGAAGCUCAAGGGAAAAUUUUAUAGGACGGCAAUAAGGCCGGCGAUGCUGUAUGGCACAGAAUGUUGGGCGUUGAAGCAUCAACACGUACACAAAAUGGGUGUAGCGGAGAUGAGGAUGCUUCGUUGGAUGUAUGGGCACACGAGAAAGGAUAAGAUUAGGAAUGAGGAUAUCCGAGGUAAAGUAGGAGUAGCCGAAAUUGAAGGAAAGAUGAUAUAAAAUCGGUUACGGUGGUUUGGACAUGUGCAAAGAAGGCCUACUAACGCUCCGGUUCGAAGAUGUGACUACGGGACAGAGGUUCAGGGCCAAAAGGGUAGAGGAAGACCUAGGAAAACUUUGGAAGAGACCCUAAGAAAAGACUUAGAGUACUUGGAUUUAACGGAGGACAUGACACAAAACCGAGCACAAUGGCGUUCUAGGAUUCAUAUAGCCGACCCUACUUAAUGGAAAAAGGCUUUGUUGUUGUUGCAUAAUUAAACUAUUUUGUUCUUAGUUUGCUAACAAUAUUUUCUUAUAUUUGAAUGGCAGAGUAUGGUAUGGGAAGUGAGGCGUUGAUAACUGGAUAUGUCUACAGUUUUGAAAUUCUCUUGUAGGAGAAGUUUACAAGGAAGAGAACCACUGACAACGUGUUUAAUGGGGACUUAAACCUUCAUGUUACAAUUUUCAAUCAAUGUUCUCGAGUCUUGAGGCCCCCAUGAAGUUUAAAAAUUAAGAAAGCUUGAUCUCACUAGUAACUAUUACAAUUUUUAGAAAGGUUGCAUCCACACCAAGCUUUCUUGCAAUGGUACUUUAGGGGAACUAUAAGAAAAUCAGCAAUCUCACAGUCCAGCCCCUCAAAAAACGUAGACUUCAAAAUUUCCAUUCAUAGCUAGGGUCACCUAGCAAGGUAACUUUCAUAUCGACACCAGCGUGACGUCUGAUGUAACCAAAAAUAGGAUUCCUUGUAUUUGUUUUUUUCAUUUUGGAUGGUUGCCAAAUGUUUCCAGUCAGCUUCUGGAGUCAAGGUGCUUUAAUGGUCUUGGUCCUUGGCGUACGGAAAGUGCCAGACAAUAGGUCCCAGUAGUCCACAAAUUGGGAAUUUGCGUAGAUUGCAGGUAUUUGCGUAGAUUGCAGGUAUUGCGAUUAGACAUUAACUCGUUUAGUGGCAGUAUUCCACACAAUAUAUCAUAUUGCUUCAACCUUAUCCAUGUGAAUUUCUCUCGGAACAAGUUGGU